UUUGAGUUCACAACAAAGAACAUUGCGUACAUUUACCAAGGAAAAGUGCUUAGCCUCCUAUCAGGACUUGAUCUUUCUUGCAACAAGCUAAUCGGUCCUAUUCCUCUUCAAAUUGGAAAUUUGACAAGGAUUCAAACAUUGAAUCUAUCACACAACAACUUGACAGGAUCGAUCCCAUCAACAUUUUCAAACUUGAAGUAUGUCGAAAGUUUGGAUCUUUCCAACAACAAAUUGAAUGGGAAAAUCCCUCAUCAACUAGUGGAGUUAAAGACAUUGGAGGUUUUCAGUGUGGCAUACAAUAACUUAUCAGGCGAAAUUCCAGAAUGGACUGCACAAUUUGCAACCUUCAAUGAGAGUAGCUAUGAGGGAAAUACUUUUCUUUGUGGAUUGCCAUUGCCCAUUUGCAGAUCACCAGCAACUAUGUCGGAGGCUUCAAUUGGCAAUGAACGAGAUGAUAAUUUAAUUGACAUGAACAGUUUCUUUAUCACAUUUACAACAUCGUACGUAAUUGUGAUAUUCGCAACUGUUAUUAUUUUAUAUGUAAAUUCUUAUUGGCGACGUAGAUGGUUUUACUUUGUUGAAAUGUGGAUAACUUCAUCUUACUAUUUUGUUGUAGACAAUCUUAUUCCAACAAGAUUUUGUCAUUGAAAUUAAUUAGUAGCUUAAUUACGAUUCUUUAAGUACUAAUCAAGUUUGCUUAGGAAAUAUUUUUUUAUUAAAAUUGUAGUAGUAUUUAGCAUUAUAUAGCUUCCAACUUCCAAGCACUUCACAUUUGUCUCUACACUUAAAAAACUGAGUAAUCAUGUUUUGCAGAUCUGUCCACCAUAACUUAUAGCUUCCCUAUACUGUGCAGCAUACUUAAAUAAGAGAACCAUCUCCAAUGUUAAAAGCAUUCACUCUAUAACAUUCAUUUAGAAACUAUAUUCAGAAUAAUUUUAUAAUUAAACACGAGAAAUGAAACACAUAGAUACACUUGAUCGCCUAUUUUACUCUAAAAAAGAACGAUUAUUGUGCUAUCAUCAUCUUCUUCACUAGCAACAUUAACACCAAAUCGAUGGACCCAUACAUUUCAUCAAGAAAGGUAUAUAUCCAAUAAAGUUGAAGCCUAACAAAAAAUUCAAGAAGAUUAAUGCCUCGCCACAACAAGGGGCACAACAACAUCAAAGUAGAGAUUAAGCAGUAUUCUCAAAGCUAAAACUCUCAAAUCCACCCACCAGAAUUUCAUAUCUCCUCAACAAUUUUAAGAACUAAAGAUAAUUAGGAUUUAACAUUAGUUUUUUAUAUAUUAGUUUCAUAAUUUACAAAUCAAUGAAGAUGAAGAUUAUGCUAAUAAAUUCAAAUUAUACCAUACAUUCUCUAGAUGUUACCAAAAAUUUCUAAGUCAAUCCCACAUAUUUCAUAAUUUUAAGACUAGAAAAUUUCACUAGUUAGAAGUUUCAUUACCUUCAAGUGGAAGAUAAAGAACAUUAUACAAGUGAUUCAGAUUAUAUCAUACAUACUCCAAAUGCAACUAGAAAUUAACAAGUUCAUGCGCACAUAUUUCAUAACAUUAUGAUUGAAAAGUUUCACAAAGAGAAAUUCUAAAUUCAAUCUCUUGCAUGAAGGCAGUUUGAUUGAUUUGAGUUACUUUCUUAUCAAGCUACUAAUAUAACAUUCAAGUCAGGGAGAAAAUAAAUUAAAACUGGGAAGAAAUAAUAGUAAAAAUUUGUUGCUCAACAUGAUGUGUAUUUUUUUUCAAGGCAAUUUGGAAACACAAUUGUUACUACAGAUAUUCUUCUCAACUUGGAGAUAAAUACAAAUAUUAAAAUGCAUAUGAUCGCACAUAUUACUUCGAGUUUAGUAAGAUUUCAUUAAAAGAAGCAAUCAAACCACUUAUCAAUUGUCGCAGUCGUUCUAUAAACUAAAAUAGCAAUAUAAUACAAGAAAAAGAACAUAUAGAUACUUGGCAAGAGUUCAUUAAGAAGUCGCAUCACAUUCGGGUGAGGAGUUUGCUUCUGAUAUCUUGCUAGCUGGGGCUUUUUCUUGUCUUUCUACGUAUGCCGAGGGAAACCAACCAGCUUGGCCCUUGCAUUCACCUUCCGACCAUCCAAUAGGAGCCACCUUGAGAAGUUAUAACUAAAACGGUGAAUUAAACAAAAGUUGACCGUUCAAAGACCUAAGGGGAAAACUAAUUCUUUUACGUAGGAGGAGUGAAUUAGUUGUGAUCACUGAAAUAACAGCAUAACUAUGGAAGCAUAACAAGAUAUAAAUUCACACGUCUAUAAGGAUAAACUGGGUGGUUCAGAACUGAGCUAGCAACCCUACUAUAUUCUGAUUUGCACUUCAAUGUAAAAGGGAAUAUAUGGUAGGAAGAAAGAAAACCAACCAUCAUUUGUUAACUCAUUGCUUUUCAAUCAAAAUUUUAAGAACAAAAUGCCAUGUGCUUUGAACAUCAAAUAAGUAUAAGCAUUAGUUCUAAAUUCCACAUAUCAUAAGUUGUUAGAAGGAUAAGUUAAUAGCAGAGUAGAAAAAUCUAUGUGUUGGUAUUUAGAGGGGAAAGUACCUGGCGAAUCACAACAUAAUCAUCAAUUGAAAGACUUAGCUCUCCAUUUGCUUGAGCAUCAAAUGGAUGUAUAACCUGCAAGAUAAUGGGAUAAAUAGAACUUAAAAAAAGCAUAACAAAAGCAGCAACAGUAGCAGCAACGUUCAUUGUAACCACUAUGAUCAUGGCCAACAAAGAUAUAUUAGAAACAAAAUUCCAUUUUUACUACGACAUUAAUAUGUACUAUACAAAUUCUAAUAAGUUCUGUAUAACUUUAUGUAGUUAUUUAAAUUAUGGAUCAGAUUUUAAAUUUGAAAUUUUGACUGCUCUCCACAAAACAUGGCCUAUGCACAAGAAAGUCAUAGAUAAUGAGGAUUACAAGUGUCCGGCAUCUUUUGAGUGAUGGAUUUAACAUGAGAGCUUAUGGUCAGUCAAUUUCCUCUGCCUAGCAAUAUAAGCUUUCUCGGCCAGAUUUAUCAUCAAAUACAUAGAUUGCCCCCAAGUCACAUCCAUAUAAACAUAGUUUUUCUAGGUAAACCAAGUAAGGAGUAUCAUAAUUCAGACAUAAUCAUAAAAAGGCCCAUCUAAAUUAAGAGAAAAUCUCAAAAAGAGGGAUGCUGAGCUAUCAGUCUUGUAUCUAUAAGCAAUAUCAAGACUUUACAUCACCUGCUACAUCGUGAGUGGCUACACAACUUUCAGUGGUUUGUCUUUCUUUGGCACGCCUAACUCAGCUUUGAUGUUAGUGAGAUAUUGAUAGUAGAGACACAUGAUACUUCUAGCUCAUGCAUUCUAUCUAACCCAUCCAACAACUAUCUCUUUUUUAAUUCAUUAGUGUUUGCUAAACCUCAUGCUUAAAAGUCCUAUUCUCCUUAGCACCACAGUUGGACACUUGUAGAGCAAUUUUAUUUGGGGGAAAAGAAUUUUCAAGGUGUUAACUAAUAAAUUUUAAAAAAUAAUUACAAUUUGUCCUACGAUCAUAUGACAAUUUAUCUGGGAUGAAAGGAUACAGAUAGACAUCUUCCACUUUCAAGACUAAUCACUACUUCCAUAGAUGUUGUGCAAUAAUACAAAUACUUGACCAGAUGGUAGUGAUGGUAGAAAAAAAUUUUAUUGCUCCAAAAUUAAAAUAAGAAUGCAAUAUGUUAAGCAAAAGGCUGUGCAACAUCAAAUUAAUUGAUAAGUUUGUAAUUCAGUAAAUUAACAACUUUCGUGGUAAAAUACAACAAAUUUCUUUUGAAAAAAAUAAAAAAAAUAAAUCUUAAAAGACAGCAUUCAAUUUUGUGCGCAUCUUAUUUCUUAAGAUUUUUCAGGAGGAGGGCAAUAGAGGGACUUUCACCUAUGCAAGAGAGCAGAAGCCUUACUUUCCCUAUAAAGUAGACGUCAUUCUGAUUAAUAUGCGUUUGCAAAUCAGCUCCGUUUGAAUCAGUAUUCUGAUAGACACACGAGCCAUUUACAUCCAUUUCCAAAGUCACAUGUUGCGAGGAGGACUCAUUUGAUUGCUCCUAUACGAUCAUCUAAUUCAAGUAGCAAGGGUUGGAAGAGAAUAAAAAGUCACAAUUAUUCUUUUGCAUAAGUGAGACGAAAAUGAUAAAUGCAAUAUUAUCAGCAGUAAACAAGAAGAGAACGCUCCAAGAAAUAGAUAGAUGCAGACAAGCAAGUUAAAAUGCAUAGUCCCAAACCUCCGCAUACAACUUCUCUAAAAUAGCAAUAACGUGUUGAUGCUAUGUUUUCUCAGCAUCUACCUGCAAAGGCCCGAGACCAGGAAAACAACAAUAAAACCACUAGCUGAAGGAGAAAGCAAAGAAAGAAAUACACUUGACAUAAAUCUUGACAAGAAGCACAAUUUAAGACAUAACAAACCCCAAUCAUAUUGUUUAGAACUACCAUUCGUUAUUUCGUUAUUGUAACAUUUCGAACAAGUGUUGACUUAAUUCAACAUUGUUGGAAAGAUGGGCUUUUAGAAGCAGAAGAAAGCCUCUCAAACCAAAGUGCUUGUCCUUGUAUUGAUCAAGGGAUGUAAACAUAUUACAUUUGCAGGAUGAGAUUUAAUCACUCCCCUGAUUUAUUUGGGUUGCAGUAAAACUAAGCGAGCAACUGUUUGACUUCCAAGCAACAGCUAAAUCAGCUAUUAAAAUUCAAAUAAAAUCAUAAUAGAAUAAUAACAGGCCAUCUUGCAUCAAAAAUUAAGUUUAAUUUGUGAAUUGUUUUCUAUAGACAUGUCAGUUUCUGCUAUUGAAAUGUUAAAAGCAUUGAAAAAUUAUUCAAUAAAUUAUGCAAGCAUUAAAAUAGAGGACAUAUUAAAAAGUUUCUAAUUACAAUGUUAAUAUUUCCUAUAUUCUAGCAUUUGCAUAUUUUAAUUUAUUUAAAAGCUACGUCGAUCAACUUUGGGCAUGAAGAUUUUAGCUUCUACGAGACUUGCUUGGAAUAUGCACAAGAGUGUUAAAAUAUGAUGCAUCCAACGAAAGACAAACCACGUGUAGUCUUUUAAUUAAGCCAAAGUAGCAGCUCAAACAAAUGACACUUGGACCAACAUGCAAUCAUGAAGUGGCCGGAAAAAGGACAAAUGCUACUUUGGCUUAAAUAAAAAAUAACAUGUGACUUGACUUUUGCUGGACAUGCAUCAUGUUAUUACAAGACAACAGAAAUCAGUAUGAUAGUACUAAAAGUUGACAAUAACAUGAAGAUAAGAGGCAGACUGUCAACACAUGCAUAGGCACACACAAGAAAGUAUUAACUUCUAUACCAUAGCAAAAAGUCUUUGAUAUGUCAUCUGUUGCUGCUGUGAUUCAACUGACAGCAUGGCAGCUGUUGCUUCUCUACCAAGAGCCAUUAUUGUAGAUUUAAGCUCCGUCUAUCUUGCUUCUGCAUUUCGAAGCUUCACAGCACUCUCUGCUGAUAUAUCAGAUUCCCUAAUCUUUGAUCGGCGCCUAAAUACUUCAGCUGCCUGGUGAAAAUAUUCAAUAUAAAUCUAACAUAAUUCUAAUCUUGCCUUAUACAUGCAUAUGUUACCUCAAAGCUUACCUGGGCUUCAACUUCAUGUCGAAGUUUGUCAUAACGAUGAGUCAGGUGUCGAGCAUCUUCCAAAGGUGUUCCGUUGAUUAACGCCCGUAGUGGCUCAGGUACCUACAUGUCCAAAAACCUGUAACAUAGUUAGAAAAAUGAAAAGAAAGAGCGAAACCUCAAUUAAAAAGUUCCUCCAACAUAAUCAUGGAAUUUGGGCCUACUUCAAGGAUAUAUAUAAGGAUAAUUUAUGCAAUUUUGGGUCUGAGGAUGAUUCAUAUUAGGUUAGUGUUCUUCUCUUCUGUAUUUAAGGUUAAAAUAGAAAUAAACCUAUGAAAAUAUCUAAAUUAGGGCUGUAAGACUUCCACAUGCAUCCUUCAGUCUCAUGGAUUUGAUUUUACUAUAGAUGCAAGUGUCUUUAAAGAAAAUGCUUGGAGUCAAUUGAGAGAACUCACGGCCAAAAACUUGUCACACGCUAGUCUUUGCUAGUGAUGUAAGAAGUCACAGGGUCUCUUCAACAUUUGAACCAAUAAAAUUAUUAAGUCAUGGAUGUCACUAGCAAUGAUUUUAAUAUAAAACAUUAAAUAUUUCAGAGUUGUAACUUUAAAAUGGAUUCUUUUAUUCAAUAUCAUAGAACUAAGUUUCCUUAUGAGAAGAUAAUAGUUUCGAUAAUAAUUUUACAUAUAAUUUUCUAUAUUUGAAUUAUUUUCUAGUUAGGGAUGAACUAACCUGAUCACGAAGAAUCCCGAGCAAAGUUUCCCUCUCAUUUUCCAUCAAAUCAUGUGAAGUGCCAAAUUGAAGAGCAGCUCUUGCAACGCAAGAAUUGUCACUUUGAUUCUCUGCUCCAUACUUGCAACAAUCUUCAGCCAACUUUCUCGCUACAAUAUUUGAAUACAAAAAUAUUGUACACAAGAACUAUAAAAAACUAAUGAAAAAUGCCAAGAUGGAGCAGAUGCUUCAAUACUGCCCGUACAAACCAUAAAAAACUAAUGAAAAAUAAAUAAAAUCAAGAAAUUUUACUAAUUAAAAGUCUAAAUAUAAUUUUGAAAAAAGAAAAGAAACGGACUUGCUGCUGCUUGGCGACUUGUUCUCGGAGCUUGAUUGCUUGUUUCUUGAUAGCUUCCAUACUGUUUCUUUCAAAAAGCGACGACGGCUCAGCUCAUGGAAGUGGAAAAAAAAAGUGUGAUCGAGAAAAAUGAAAAGGCGUGAAUAAUUUUUGACAAAAAGCGAAAAUCAAGGAAAGCCGGCUCUUUCCAGAAAAUAAAAAAAGAAAAAAGAAAAUCAUAAGUUUGAAAGGAGAAGAUGAUAGUGGAAGUAUGCAGUGUGGCUGCCAGGUACUUGGAUUGUAUUGUCGGGUAAGGUAAAAGUGGAGAAUUAUAAGUUUGAACAGAGCAUGUUGGACUUUUGUUGACCAAAUUCAAAAGCCCAAUGGGACGGUCCAGAAGCUUUUGAAUAGAAAAACUUGCUAGAAAGCAUCAGUUUAAAUCACUACUUAAACGCUUGCUUUAACUGCACCGCUUUGUACUGUUUUAUGUAUGUAGCGGUUGUGCGGUUGUAAUUCACGGCUGACGCUACGUGUUUGUUUGUACUGUUCUAUUCGGUGACAGAGUAUUAUUAGUUAGGCCAAAACUAUGUUGCAACAGUGGUACAAUAGCACUGUUGUUUUCAGUCAUUAGAUCUAUAGUUGUACAGUUGCAUUAACAAGAUCCAAUGGUUGAAAACAACAGUGGUACCGAACUACUGUUGCAACAUAGCUGGACCCUAUUAGUUAUUUCAAAGGGAUAAAUAAGAUUGGUUACAACAAACCUACUAAUUUUAUAAAAUUCAAGUAAUAUAGAAUAAAAUAAAAAAAUAAAUACAAAAUUGACUUUUAUUUUUUAUGGUUGACUAUAUUUUGUGUUCUCUUCGGGCACUGCUACAAUUCUUCCCUAUAUAUCAAUUACACCACAUACUAUCGACACAAGAAAUGAAAUCUAAUAUCACCUAUUUAGUUAAAAAAUCACUCAUGAAAAAAUUUUACCAUUUUGAUUUGAGGAUCCAUAUUUUGAACUACAAGCUAAUGUUCAUCAAGAAUCACUGAUGGCCGUUGAGUAGAAAAAUUAUUUUUGGACAAAUUAUUUUUGUUGAUAGAAGAAUUUCUUUAGGGACUACUAAAUUAUUAAUAAAAAUAUCGAACACACCCAAAUAUCAUCGACACAAUUGAUUUUGAGGAUCCAUGCUUUGAACUGCCGCCUAAUGUUCAUCAAGAAUAGAGUAUGGCUUGUGAGUAUAAAAUUUUCUUAUUUUGGCCCGAAAUAAAAAAAAAUUAAAUUGGAUGAGAAUCUGCCACUUUCUCAUGAAGAAAGGCAUACGGAGCAUACCAUGGUACCAUACAAUAUAAGGAGCCUCCGUUCUUUGGUUUUUCAAACUCUGAAGGGGCCAAUAUUGCCAAAUUCCCCCUUGAAAAUUCUGAUUACGACAUUAUUCAUCGCUUGAUGCAAUCAAAGUAGUGACAAAGUAAUUGCUAGGCAAGGUUGCUGAGAGCAAAAUUGUCCUAAGCAUUAUAUGCAUACAUGGUGCGGUACAUAGAGCACGUUGAAUUCCCCACUAUAACACAAAUCCAGAAAGACAAGUAAUAACUCAACUGAUAUAAAGACAAAAAGAAGAUAAAAUGAUAUAGAACAAAGAAUUUCAAAGAGACAGCAACAUACGAUAGACUGAAGCCACUUGAUCUGCUCAUUGAUUGCAGCCUUAAACUUGCAAAUAGUUACUGUACGCUAGUGCUCUAAGAAGUGAAAAUGAUGCAAGCCCUGAUUCCCUUUUGACUUCCAUUUACUGUCAAACAUUCUAGUAAUACAAAAAAUUGUUUAGAUAUCUUGCUAUAAAUAUAGCCGUUUGACUGUCAUAAUAAAGUCACAAAUAACCAUUCAUAUUGAUCUACUAUCACACAGCAUGCUUUAUGCAUACAACAGCUGUAUGUAUACCAACUCCUAACCUUAUCAACACAUUUGGCAAAAACUUAGGAAGAAAACUAUUUCUCCAUCUCUUUUUUGAAAUUUCACAAUAACCAGCACAAUGUGAAAGCUAUGUUCUAACCUUAUGAUAAAUGCUCCAGACUCCAAAAGGAUUUUAUAUAUGAGAGUUUGUUGCAGCAGAUAUAUUGACUUAUCAAGUAUGAAUCAUUGUCUGGAUGAACUAUCUUUAGAUAAAAGAAUAUUAGAACCACUGUAGAAUAUCUUUACGCUGCUGGUUCUAACAGGAAUCUGCAUGUGGCAACAAUUGCUAGAUCCACAACUCCCCAACUUGAAAUACAUAGUUGCACACCAUGAGAUAGUGCUACAAUCUACUGAGAUCUAACUUAUAUGGUACUUUAAGCUACUAAUGUUUGCAUAUUUCUACAUGUUAAAUUAACACUAUUAUCUAUAAUCACUCCAAAACAACAAAUGAUAAGCAACUUUUGGCCACUUAUUACUAGCAUCCACAAUUAUAAAUAAGAGAUCAUGGGUUUACUUGUUGCACCUACUUAAUUAUCUGCAGUUGACAUCCUGACGCAAGGUUUAAAUAGUGACUGCUUAGAACCCUUGUAGUUGGAUCUUGACCUCUCCCAUUGUAGCCAAGAUUGGUUACUCUGGUAAUGAAUCAACACUCUCCUGCUCAGGGCCAUGAAGAUCUGAAAGCUCAGCACUAGUGGAGAACUUCAUCAAUCUCUUCUUCUCAGCAUACUUGAGACAAGGCUGCCUUACGAGACCAAUCACCAUAGCACCAACGCUUAAAACUGCAACUUUUAAAGAAGAAAGAGCCAACACAACACAACACAACACAAAUCAAUAUGGUUGGAGGAAUACACAUGAUAAUGGCUCCAACAGUGACAGUGGGUAUCUUGUAGGGACGAGAUGCAGCAGGAUAUUGCAUCCUUAACCAUACAAAUGCUAUGAACUCCAUAAUCAUUCCAAAACAGUACAGGAAGUUCUCUGCAGCUACAAUAUCUCAAAAGCUCAGCCAUGAUAGCAAAACCACACCGGAUGCUGAGAAUAUGAUUCCAAUCAAAGGAGUCCCAUAACAAGACCUCUUAGCAAAAAACUCAGGUAGCGUUCCACGCUCAGCCAUCCCCAAAAGUUGGAAAGAGUCGCUGCUCAUCUCAGCCACAAACAUGCCCAUAUUGGACAUUGCUGCAGCCCCCUGGAUGCACCAUCUCAACCAAACUCCUCCAAGCACUUUAGCGAUAUCUGAAAAGUAACCAUCGGUCCACAAGUCGCGAUCUAAUGGAAUAGCUCCAGUUCCAACUAGAAGGGGAAAGAAAUAUCCAAAAACGACCAAGAUCAAAGCAUAAAACAAAGCCUUUGGAAGAGUCUUCUUUGGGUUAUCCACCUCUCCAGCUAGUUUACUUAUUGAGUCCCAGUAGUUGGAGAUUCCAAAACAGGGUGUUCAAAUACAAAUUCCAGUCCACUUCACCUAAAUUUACUACAAGCCAUCUUGAAGGCUCUAACUUGGGAAGGGACACAAGUCCCAUAACCACAAAAGGAAGGAAUGAGAAAAUCUCUAAAAGAACAGCAGCCCAUCCCACAAUGGUUAGACCCCUAUAGUUCAUGAAAGUGAGAACAAAAGUCAAAGCUAACGCCGCAAAGGCUCUAGGUAACCCAUCGCCCAAAGCAGGGAUAUACCAGACUUCAAGUAGUCAAGAAACAGAACUGGGUAUAAAGCAUUAUCAAUAACCCCACUUAGCCAUUUCAUCCAAACUUGCUGAAAACCCCAAUAUGGGCCUAAGGCAGAUGAAACCCAAACCACAUAACCACAAUUUUCAGGAAACACGGUACCCAUCUCGGCAGUAAUUAAAGCUUCAGGGACACUCCAUAUAAUCGGAAACACCAAGAAACCAAGAAGUGCUAAAAGAGGACCAGCUGCCUUUACACUAUCCUCAACACCAAACGCCCCCCCAGAAACCUCAUAGAAUAUAAGGAAAAUAAGUGGCAAGAUUGAUACUUUUUUAGCGCCAUGGACUCUAGGAGAAGAUGGUUGGUCAUUGAUAUUAACAUAUUCAACAGCAUCAGACUGCCCCAUUUCUACUGAAAGUUGCCUAUUCACAGUGUUCCUCAAUUUCUGCAUCAAGUUUAAGCAUAACUAUCAAAAGGGUAUCGGCAUCUAAAUUAUGAAACAAAAUGAGCAUUUACUUAUUAAAAAAAUUCAAAAAAACAGAAAUGGAUUUCACAGAACACAUGAAUUUAAGUUCAACAUUAAACAGGCGCUUAAGAAAACAAAAGGGUCUGGUCGUAAAGCCAUCAGAUUGCAAGAUUGAACAACAUUAACGGAAUCAAUAGAAUCGAUGUAAAGAGAUCUGAAAAGAAAAUAAAAUAAAAGAUGAAGAGGGAUAAAACGACCCAUCAAAUAAGUGCAUGCAGAGCAGAGAGGCAGAUACUAGAGAAGCUCCGUCAUGUUAGAGAGAGCCUAAAUCAAUCAGAGCUCACUGAGUUUCUUUUCAACUGACCGGCAGAUUUGGAGUAGCAUAACAUAAUAUUUUUGCUUUUAAUUUUCGGAACACUUUUGAAUGGAAUUUUUUGUUUUUCAAAACUAACGAAAUCGUAAAAAUAAAUAAACACGUGUUUGGUUUUGGGCUUCUUCUUUUGUUCAUUUAAUAUCAUUUGGUUCCCUGAUUUUUGACUAAUUAUCAACGGUAUCCUGUUAGUUUCCAAAUUGAAAUAAUAUUAGGUCAUGAGAUUAUUUACUCCAUUUAGCAAUGUAGACUUAAUAGUGUAUUGAAAAAGCUUUGUCAAAUAGUAGUAAUAGGGGCAUAAGAAAUAAGUUCUUCAGAAUUUAGAUAAUAUACUUGGCUCUAGGAAGAUUCCCCUCUUAUCACUCAAGUUAGGCUUUUACCUUAGAGUUGAGUAAAUUAUUAAAAUAAAUUAUAGCUAUCACAAAUUCGUCAGGAGACUUUCAAUUUUUUUCCAUCAAAUGGCAAUGAGGCAAAAUUACCUCAACUUAUAUUUCAAAACUAAUACUUCAAAUUCUGACAAUAAAUUUGAUGACAGUCAAUUUUAUGUAUAGUAAUUUUGACUCUUUUGUUUGGUCUAAAAGUAAUUAUUUAAAAUGACAAUAUAACUUAUUUAGAAGAAAUGGUAAACUUAUAGUUCGUAAUAUUAUUUACACAAAUAAUAAAGACUAAUUUGAUAAUAAUCUUUCAAAUAAUAAUGAAGUGUUAAUUACUAUUUAACAUUUUUGAUUAAUUUCUAAAUUUAAAACAAAUAUGAAAGUUGAUUGCUUUGAAGGUUGGAUCGUGACAAAUUGACAAAUGAAAAGAGAAGUAGAGAAUAUAUAUUCUGAUGAAAGGGACAAGAUUCAGCAAGGGGACAAUAUUCUCUAUUGGACCGACAAAUGGGGGAAAAGAAUAUAUAUAUAUAUAUAAUUUCUUAUUUGUGGAUUGGCCAACACGUGUAACAAAUAUGAAAAGAUAAAAUUUGGCGUGGUUUUAACCGAUAUAAGACAAGAAGAACAAAGCAAAGCCCAUGAAAAUUCACCUUUCAUGUGGGUUGGAUCGGAUAAAAUCAAUAUCUUGAAUCAAACAAAAUGUUUGGUACAUAAAGUUUUUUUUUUUUACAUGAUAUUAGAUUUUUAUCCCUCGAAUUUUUACAUGAUAUUAGAUUUUUAACCCUCACUAAUAUUCGAGAGAUAUCUACUCCUCAUUUUUGGGUAAGGGAGAAGACUACCUUCACUCAAUUAUAAUUAAGGAAUGAAAUACCCCCACAUUACACUUGUAGGGGUUCAAACUGUUGCCCUCCAACUUGGAGUGCAGCAGCGCUGACCACUCGGCCAAAGUCCGAGUGGCUGGUACAUGAAGGUUUUGAGUGUGUGUAAUGAGCCAAAAUUUACAUAAGGAUAUUUUAGUAAAUAUAAGAAAAAAAGGCUCAGGGAAUGGCCUAUAGAUAGAAGCACGCAGCCCAUGAGUGAUGAGAAUACAAUUUAACUGUUCAAACUAAUUAGAAGCAAAUUCUUUCAUAUCUUUCUUUAAUUUUUCCGCUUAGUUCCUUAGCAUCCAAUCAAGUUCAAGUUAAAACACUGUUGAGACAACAAUAUGCAGGCAUCAAUAAGCAUAGUAGUUUUUUAUAUGUAUUCUAUACGACAAUUAUAGAACUUUUUGCAGCAACUUUUUUUCAUUAACUAAUGUUUGAAGAACUUGUUAAAAAAAAUGGUAAAUUUAUAAUUUUGAAAAAAAAGAAAGAAAGUGACGUUACCUCAUCGUCAUUAGAGACUUGUUGCAAUGAUAGCUCAAAAUUAAAAUUUUUGAAGAAUUAGUAGACGACGAUGAUGUAAUAUUUAUACAGUCACCAACAUGUUGAUUUUUGUUUAAUGUUUGAUCGAUAGAAACGCUUGUCGUCGUCGCUGUUGUUGAAUUCAUACAUAGAACACAGAAGAGAAGGAGGGAGGAAAGGGAAGAGAAGAAGAGAGAAGUGGCAUAUAGCAAAUAUGAUAUGCUAGCUGCAUACCAGCCUUAGAGAGAUUUUUUUUAAUAUUUAUUAUAUUUUUGUUUUUGUUAUUGGUUUGUCAUAUGCUUCCAGGGAAGCAAUACGUUACAUCAUAAAUUGCACCUUUUAGGGGAGGUGGUAAAAAACGUGAGAGCACUACGCUCCAGCGCAUACAUAUAGAAAGAGUUUUCGAAUUUUAAAAAGUUUCUUUAUUUCUUCCAUGUUUUUGUGCUUAAAAUAAAAUUUAAUUGUAUUUUGCAUUAACUUAGAAAAGAAAAGCCAGUUCUAUAUAUAAACUCAUGCAUUAAUUAGAAGAGUUGAACUAUUGGCACCCCUCUAUAAUCUUUAUAAAAUUCCUCUCCUAUUGUAAUUACAUUAAAGGACAAAAUAAAUCUAAUUAUAUCAUUAUAUUUCUCUUUUCAACUCUUUACACCCGUGCAACUACACCAAAGUCUUUUACAAUUUUUGUUUCCUCACAAACAACUUUUUCUUGAGAGAUUUACAAAACUUAUUUUUAAUUUUAAAAAAUAAAUAAUAGUUAUUUGAGUCCACUUUAAUUUACAAAACUUUCUAAUAAUAAGUUUUGUAGACUUAUUUUUCAUUUACAAAACUUUCUGAACUUAUUUUUAUUUUUAAAAAAUAAAUAAUAGCUAUUUGAGUCCACUUUAAUUCUACUUAAUUCAUACAUGUAUUUGAUUUUUUUGAGUAAAAUAUGUAUGAUUUAAUAAUUCAAAAAUUUAUAAAAACAAUAUUUGUAAUUGGAGUUAUUUGGAAGAAACUGAAUUGUUUUUCUUUUUGAAUAAAAAAAAGCUGAAAAAAGAAAAAGGAUAUUUUAGGAAUUAAAAUAGAUUUUGAUAGAAAAGGGGUUUGAACAGAAAAUUACAGGGUGCUAAUAGUCCCACUCUAAUUAAAAAAUGAGUUCAUGUGGAUGCAAAUGUACAAUAAAAGAGAUUCUCUUUUGUAUAUUGGAAGUAACAUAACUAGUGAGUAUAAUAUGUAAAUACAAGUUACCAAGAAUUUGCACUAGUGCUAAUUAAUGGCACAACUUUUGAGCUAUGAAUUUCUUCUUGAUAGUUUAAUUAUAUUUUUGAGUUUUCGGUAAACCUAUUUUAAUAAUUAUUAAAUUAUUUUCACUUCUUACGCCUUAAUAAAAAAAAAUCAAUAUUUUCUGGUCUAUUCUAUAUUUUGAAACUUAAUUUUUAAUUCUUUAUAUUGCAAACCAAACUAAGUCAAACAGAGUAUGCUCUUCAAAGAAUUUUUCCAUUGGCCAUUGCCUUCAAGAAGAUUUUAUUUUAUUUUUAUAUAUUAAUUUAACAUUUUUCCGUGCACUUGUAAACCGGGCCGUCGGAUUCCACAUAAAGCAAAUGAUCAAACCGUUACAAGACCGACCCGGACCCACUGACUCUCAUUUUCUUUCAUUUGACCAUUAAAAGCUUUUGACCACCCCCGCCAAAUAAAUAAAUAAGCUCUUGUUCUCUUUUGUUCCUUCUUAAAGGAAAAUAUAUCUGAUCACCAGAUAAUGAUUCCGGUGUCACAAAAUAUCAAGACAACCCCUAAAUUCCCUUAAAUUUACGAUAACACCCCACCAUGGAUGAUUCCGUUGAAAUGCCGCCUUACGAUGAAAGGCCUUAGAAGGGUUUUAACUUCACACCCAUGCGCUUGAUCUUAACCCUCAUUUUCCCAAUUUUAACUUUCUUUUCGUUGGCAUUUUUGAUCGAGAUCGUUACUGUUUUAUUCGGCGAAUCAUCAGUUUCGAGUUCCAUUUUUGUCCCUUCCCAGUGCAAGAUAGUGCCAGCAGUAAGCUUUUUUAAAAUUUUCAAUUUUUUUCCAUUUAUGAAGCUCAAAAAUUUUAUUAAUUUUUGAAUUUUUUUUGAAUGAUUUUGCAGGUGUUGAUAUAAGGUCAUCAAAGGUUUGUGAACUUGGAGUGUUGAAUUAUAAGGCGAAGCGUGUGUUUUAUCCAUUUGAAGCAAGUAAAUUUCGCCGUCGAUAUGAUUACUAUUGGGCUUCUAUCUUCAAGGUAUUCAUACAUUUUCUCAACUUUAAUUACUUACCUGUACUAUUAGCUUCUUAGUGGCGGUCUUGUUUUGUGUUUUUGAUGAAUGUGUUUAAGGGUCAGUUUGGGAAUGCUGGUAAUAGGAUGUUGUUAGUGUUUGGCAGUAAAUUUGCUAUGCAUAAUUCAGCAAUGUGCUUGAUUUUGGUUAUUGUCUUUAACAAUUUUUAGGUAGAGUACUUAGAUCAUUCACUGGGACAAACGCAGAGCUUGGUUGACCAAAGAUAAGUUCCAGGCUGGGGUCGGCAAUGCAGAGCUUCUGCGUGUAUUAAAAUUUGAAGCCUAGUAAAUGAAUUUCUAAUUUAUUUAUAGUGUUUGUUUUAUCUUGAUAGAAAUGAAUGCUAACUCAAGAUUUUCCCAACUUUGAUUACUUACCUGUACUAUAAGCUUCUUAGUGGCGGUCUUGUGAGCGGUGUGGCUGACAGCUUCUUGAAAAUUAUAAGUUUGAACAGAGCAUGCUAGACUUUUGUUGACCAAAUUCGAAAGCCAAAUGGCACAGCUCAGAACCUUUUGAAUUGAAUAACUUACUAGAAAGCUCCAAUUUUUUGUUGGCUACGGUAAAAGGAUGUUGUUUUAUUCUUCUUAUACUUUACGCUUGCAUCAGCUUAAAUCACUUCUUAAACGCUUUGCUUUAACUCCACCGCUUCAUACUGUUCUAUAUAUGUAUCGGGUAUGCGGUUGUAGUUCACUGCUGAGACUACGUGUUUGUUUGACGUGGUAAUUACGUUACGAGUCUGUUAAACAUUCGGUGAUUAAAGUAUUAUCAGUUAUUUCGAGGGGACAAAAAAGAUUAGUUACAACACACCCACUAGUUUUAUAAAAUUUGAAUAAGAUGGAAUAAAAUAAAAAAAUAAAUAAGUAAAUUGACUUUUAAUUUAGUGGUUGAAUAUAUUUUGUAUUCUCUCGGGGUACUGCUGUAAUUGUUCCUUAAAUGUCAGUCACACCCACAUGUUACAGACACAAGAAAUGGAAUCUAAGAUCACCUGUUUAAUUAAAGAAUCACUCAUGAAAAAAUUUUGCCAUUUUGAUUUGAGGAUCCACAUUUUGAACAACCAACUUAUCUUCAUCAAGAACAGAUCAUGGCCUGUGAGUAGAAAGAUUAUUUUUGGACAAAUUAUUUUUGUUAAUAGAAGAAUUUCUCAAGGGACUAUUAAAAUUACUAAUAAAAAUGUCAGACACACCCACGUACCAUCGACACAAUUGACUAUGAGGAUCCAUGUUUUGAACUGCCACUUAAUGUUCAUUAAGAACAGAGUAUGGCUUGUGAGAAGAAAAUUUUCUGAUUUUGGCCUGGAACAAAAAAAAAUUAAAUUGAAGGAGAAUCUGGUACUUUCUCAUUAAGAAAGGCAGACGGGGCAUACUAUGGUACCAUAAAAUACGAAAAGUCUCCAUUCUCUAGCUUUUUAAACUCUGAAGGGGGCAAUAUUCCCCAAUUACCCCGUGAAAAUUCUGAUUACGACAUUACUCAUCGGUUGAUACAUAAGUACAAGUACUGACAAAAUUAGGAAAAAUAUGACUCAUAAGUAAUUACUAGGCAGGGCUCUUGAGAGCAACAUUAUACUAGGCUUUAUAUGCAUACAUGGUGUGGUACAUAGAGCACGUUGAAUUCCACACUAUAACACAAACCCAGAAAGACAAGUAAUAUCUCAACUGAUAUAAAGACAAAAAGAAAAUAAAAUGAUAUAGAAAAAAGAAUUUCUAAGAGACAGCAACAUACAAUAGACUGAAGCCAGUUGAUCUGCUCAUUGAUUGCAGCCUUAAACUUGCAAAUGUUUACUGUAGCCUGGUGCUCUAAGAAGUGAAAAUGAUGCAAACCUUGAUUCCCUGUUUACUUCCAUUUACCAUCAAACAUUCUAUUCAUAAGAAAAAAAAUCUUUAGAUAUCUUGCCGUAAAUAUAGCCAUUUGAUUGUCUUAAUAAAGCCACACACAACCAUUCAUAUUGAUCCACAUUGCCACAUAGCCUGAUUUAAGCAUACAACAGCUGAAUGUAUACUGACUCCUAACCUUAUCAAUACAUUGGCGACAACUUAAGAAAAAAACUAUUUCUCCAUCUCUUUUUUGAAAUUUCACAAUAAAACAGCACAAUGUAAGAGCUGGAAUGAAAAUGGACCGUUUGGAACUAUGGCGGAAGCUUCAACUAGUGUAGUGAGUUGACCUUCUUAUUAACCUAGCGAGAUCAAACACUGCCCUUGAUCUUGAACAUAUCAAUACGAUACGCACAACUUAUGAUUGAAUCCAGAAACAAUCAAAUCUUUAGCAAGAAUAAUUAAUCAGAAUCAAGAAACAAGUUUAAUGAAUAUAAACCUAUAAUUGGAACAAACACAGCCAAAGAACCCAAGAAUGACACAACGAACACCAAGGGAGAAGCUUUCCAGUGAGAUUAUAUUAAUGAUCAAAGAAGAAUCUUUUUACAAAGAUAACAAAAGAGAUUUCAGAGAAUAAGCUAUGACCCUCUCUCUCUUCAAUCUCUGUCUAGUUUGUUAACAGUGAUGACCCCAAUCUGCUUCGUUAGCCAGCUUCAUAACUGCGUCAGUGACAAACUAGCAAACCCAGAUUGAGCAGACUAACGACACGUGCAUAACGGCUUUAACGAACUUGGUUAAAGAACUGCUCACAUGUUCGUCACGCGUGUUGCUUAAAUGAUAGCCAAAACGACUUCAACCAAAUGCCGUUUUGAAGCUUAUGAAUUAUAAGUGAAAACACGUGCUUGUCUCGUGACAUUUAAAUGCAACAACAAGCCCAAAACACUGCCGGUUCACUAUGUUGAGUUUGCCAUCUCUAAGCUUCACAACUAGCAGCGGACAAGAUGAUAAUUUAAUUGACAUGGAGAGCUUUUAUAUCACUUUUACAACAUUCUAUAUAAUUGUGAUAUUGGGAAUCGUCGGUGUUGUAUAUGUGAACCCUCGUUGGCGACACUGGUGGUUUUAUCUUUAUUGAAAUAUGGAUGACUUUUCGUUACUAUUUUGUUGUACAUAACAUUAUUCUCAGGAGAUUUAAUCAUUGAAAUUAACAUGUUAGUUUCAUUAGAAGGCUGAGUGGUUAGGGCUGCUACCCUCCAACUUGGAGGGCAAUAGUUUGAACCCACAAGCGCAGUGUGGGGGUAUUUCAUUCUUUAAUUACAUUGUAUAAUUGAAUAAAGAUAAUAUUCUCUCUUACCCAAGUGUGAGUGGAGUAGACAUCCUUCGAAUAUUAGCGAGGGUUAAAACUUGGGCAGAGCUCAAUAAGUAUUGAUGUAAGUUGGUCCUAAUAAUAGUCUGAUUUGUAAAUAUCAGUUAUAGUCUCAUGUUUCCUUCCUUAAUUAUAUUGUAUAAUUAAGUAAAUGUACUCUUUUCUCUUACCCAAGUGUGAGUGGAGUAAACAUCCCUCGAAUAUUAGUGAGGGUUAAAAUCUGGGUAGAGCUCCAUAAGUAUUGAUGUAAUUUGAUCCUAAUAAUAGUAUGAUUUGUAAAUAUCAGUUAUAUUAUCAUGUAAUAUGAGUUGUAAUUUGAGUAAUAAUUUCAUGUAAUUACAAAAAAAAUGUUACUUUCAUUACUUUUUUCUUCGUUAAAAUUCUCAAGUAUCAAUUAUGUUUGCUUAAGAAAUAAAAUUUCGUUAUGAAAAUUGUAGCAGUAUUUCCGAGCACCUCACAUUUUCAAUGAUUUUUCAUAAAUCAAUUAAUCUGCCAUACCAAUAUCAGGUUUAGUUUUUCAGACUAAAUGAUCAAGAAAGCAAACAUACAAAUUCACAUUUUAGAGGGGUAAACUAGCUUUUAGAUUUUAGAACUAGGCUAGCUACCUCACCAAAUUCCAAUCUGUACAGUGAACUACAAGAUUAAGAAAAUAAUGUAUUUAUAGUUUAAUUGAAUCAUGAGAAAACAAUGUAGUCAUAGCUCAAUCGGACAUGAUCACGGAGAGGCAUAUUCUUUUCAAGUUAAUUUGAUCCAUUUAUAAGAAAUGAAGUGGAUUGAAGUUAAAAGUUCAAAUAACAAAUCCUUGUUCUUGAGUUUUACGACGUCGUUACUCCUUCAAGAGGCUGAUUAUGCAAGUGAAUGCGGAAACAGAAUGCAUUAUCCACGGGGAUGAUAAAUCAAAAGGCGGGAUCAUAGUCUAUGCCCGCAGAUUAACAAUUUCACUCAUAUAGAAAAUUAAUUUUUUUAUAUAUACUAAUCAACACUAGAUUGAUUAUGUUUUGUAUGUUUAUAUGCUAAUCAACAAUAAAUUAUAUUAAAUGAAGAAAUGCUUCAAAUUUUUCUAAUUUAAUUUAGAAAAUCAAUUAUUAACAUUAAUAUUCCUAAUAAAAAUUAUUUUCCAUCGGUAUUCAAAAUUUUCACUUAUAGAAAAUGUGUUUUACGUGAAUACAAGUUAUUGUGUAAAUUUGAAUGAUAGCGAAAAAUAAUUUUUUUAAUUAUUGUAAAAAUAAUUAACCAUAACAAAUCCCUUGUGUAAAUAAUAAUCAUUAUUUAAAAGGUAGAAAGAUGGUUAGUGCACAAUCAAAUUUUAAGCCCCUACCUCCUCGGCCCAAGAUUCAAACUUAGAUGAUCAGCCAAAUAAAAUUAUUUGAAAAUCAUUCAAUCAGGUUCUCGGGGAAAAAAUACAAGAUCCGUAUUUGCAUGAUAUAUAUGAAUUAAUGUAAUUUAUUUGAAUUAUCCAAAUUCAUUAGAGAUAAAACUAUAAAAGAUACCAAAAAAGUUAGAAGGAAGGGUGUGCUGGGAUAUUUUACAAACUAUAGGAAUCUGGUGAGAUUUUGAGCCAAACUGUAGGGAGUUGAAGGCAUUUGCCCAAUAUGUUUAGACGUACACUAACCGUUAUUUGAUCUUGUUGUUGGUCAUGUGAACUAAGAUGUAAAUUAAAGAAAAAGUAUAAAAUUAAAAAAAGAUAAGAUUUCUAAAAUGUGUGGAAGGUGAUUCAUGAUUCACUAAAAUUACUUGCCCCACAUAUAAAGGUAAACAUGUCUAAUUUCAUUAAAAAUAGGUGGAAAAAAUUAACUAAUAGAAAGCUACGGAAAUUAACCCCCACAAAAAUGACUUUUUAUAGAAGAAUUUAUGUUUUUUAAAAUAUGUUAUCAAAGUGUAUUUGAUCAAAUCUCAAUUGCUUAGUAUGGUUAGGAUUUUGUGAACAUAACUAAAAAGUGAAAAAUAUGAAUGAUAGGGGUGAUGCUUGCAAUAUGAAUAAAUAAUGGACUGAUUCAAUUGAUGAUUAAAUUUAUAUAUUAUUGAUUAUUUAUGAAUUUUCAGACUUGUUAUGAUGUAUAACUAUGUGAUUUUGAAACUUGAAACCGUGGCAAACAUUGAAAGGAAUUAUAACUUGAAAUCAUGACUCACGGGGUAUGUCAUGAUUCACGUGCACAAAAAAGGUAGAAUUGUGGAAAUUUACAACCCAACGACAAGUACGGAAAGAAAGGAAGAAAAUUAAAAGACUUCGGGCCUAGCCUGCGUGUAUUAAUUAUUAGAUUACUUUUUUUUAUAAGGGUAAUCAUCAAUUUACUCCAUAACAAUCUUUAAUUCAUUUCUUAAAAAUAUCAAAACUUUAAUUUAUCUUUUAAACAUCGUUACCUCUCUAUUGGUUUUAACAGUUCAAAGGGUAAAAUUAUAUUUGCAUAUUUUCUUGACCGCCAACUAAAUGAUAAAACUCAAAAUUCAAUCUUGUUAUCUUGUUUCAAUCCUCUAUCAAUCAAAUAAGAUUUCUAAAAUAUGUGGAAGAUAUUGCAUGAUUUCCUCAACCUACCUGGCCCGAACAUCAAGGUAAAUAUCUCUAAAAUAGUUGAUUAAAUCUCAGUUGCUAAGUAUAGUUAGGAUUGUGUGAACAUCACUGAAAACUAUGAUUGAUAGAAGUGAUCUUUGCAAUAUGAAUAAAUAAUUAACUGAAUCAAUUGAUUUAUAUAUUAAAGUUUAUGAAUUUUCGGGCUUGUUGCGAUAUAAUAAUAGCAUAUGAUUUUGAAACUUGAAACAGUGGUAAAUAUUGAAAGGAAUUAAUUUGAAAGCAUGAUCCGUGGGGAAUGUGAUGAAUCGUGUUUACAAAAAAGGUAGAAUUGUGGAAAUUUAUAACAGAACGAUAAAUAUGGUAAAAAGGAAGAAAAUUGAAAGACUUGGGGCCUGGCCUGGGUGUAUUUUCUAACUAUCCAAUGGACAAAAUUAUAUUUCUAUACUUUCUCUUACCUAAGUUUCAUAGAAUAGCUCAUUUCAUUUUUAUUUUUUAAAUAAUAGCCCAAAAUAUCAUUAUGUUAACUCAUUAUUAGUUGAAUGGCGUUUGUUAGUAAUUCAUUAAGGGUAAAAAAUGAUUUUCUAUCAAAGAGAAAAUUAGAAAAAUAAAUAAAAAUUGAUAUAUAACUAAAAAUUAUUUUAUCUAAUCCCACUAAAUAAGAAAUGCCAAAAAAGAUGAAAAAAUUAUAUUUCAAGCAAUUCUUUUUUCACUUAUUUCUAUUUUGGCAACAUGAAAGCCCUAUAAACCCUAGAUCUAAGUACCAAAAAUAUCACAAUUUUCUUAUUCAUAUAAGUAUACUCUCUAAUUGCAUUGUAAAAUGGCUUGAAUUGAAUUGAAGAUAAAGAAGAUAUUCAGCACAUGCAAGCACAUAAAAAUUGGUGGCAUUUUUGAGUUUUUCUUCCAAUGAUUUAAAGAUAUUGUUUUAAUUACAGUUUGUUCCUUAUGACAAUUAUUCAAUGGCGAUAUCAAACUAUAUCAUCGUUGAUUUCAUUUAAGAAAAAAGUUAAUGAAUUUUGCAUACUUUGUAGUGUUAUUUAAUUGUGUAAAAAAAUUAUUUUAAUAUAGUUUGUAUCGCUUUAAUGAAAAAUCCUAUUUUGCCCUCAAUGAAUUACUGGUUAACGAUUUUACACUAAUGGUGAGUUAAUGGAAAGAUAUUUUAGGCUAUUGUUUGAAAAGUAGGGAUAAAAUGAGCUAUUGCAUUAAACUCUAAGGAUGAAAAAUGAUUUUUCCCUUUUAUUAUCAAUCAACUAUCUGAUAAAAGUCAAAACUCAUAUUUUUUUUUCCCUUGUUUCAAUCCCCUCUCAAUCAAAAAAGUUUCCUUGUCUAAGCAAUGAGGAAUAUGGCUAGAAAGAUUGUUAUUAGAAAGAUUUAUCAAUAGUAAUUAGUUCACAACUGAACAGUUUUAGAUUAUUGUGAGUCAAUAUAGGUCCUGUUUAGGAUUGAAGUGUUGCAGUUUUUAAGCUACAGCUGCUGUAGAAAAAAAAACUAUAAUUAUGAAAUAAGAGUUAAUAAUAUAUAAUAAAUAUAAAUUUUAAAUAAUAAUUUUGACAAAAUUAUUAAAAAUAUAAUAGAUUUUUCAUAAUACAAAUAAAAAAAUCAUAUCAACAUAGCUUGCAAGGUACAACAGUUAGUAUGAUGUUAGUUUAUUUUUGCGUCAAUAUAAGUAGUCAAAUUGAAUAAGUUAGUGAAAUGCUGCCUCACUGUCCCAUUGAAUAUGAUUCAGCUAACAGGGCUAGAGCUUGUGGAUGCCAAUGGCACUGAACAAAGUAUUGGGUGGUAAUUUUAAGACCACGCUAUGCCCAAAACCCAAGUUAGGCGAUUACAAAUACGGGAAUCAAUGUCACUUUGCUAGGAAUGGAGAGGAUAGAUUGCUUAGUGAAAUGCAACUUUGUAGAAUGCUGAGAGAUGUGCUGAGAGAUGAGGAUAGUUGUCGAUUUCUUCAUGUAAAUGCUGAGAGAUGUGCGGAAGUUUCUACUCAGUUUAGGCUUAGUUUAAGAAUAGCCUGGUGAUAAACAUUUUGAGUGGUGGAUCUUCUGUGGAUAACAAAAGUAGGUCUAUUCAAUGGGAACGCGACAAGGGGCUGGCUAACUCGCUCAGGUUGUGCAAAUGUUAAAAGCAGAAUGCCAGUUGUAUGAAGUUAUGUCAUUUUCUUUAUAGAACUAUGAAAGCUUGGAGUCCACGAUUCAAUGGAAUCUCGGGCUGUGCCAAUGAUUGUUUCAAGUACUUUUUCUACUUUCAAUGUCCAGACUAAGACUAUUUCUAAGCAGCAAGUGCAGGAUAUAAAGUGCAAAUCAAAAUAGACAGAAGUGAAGAGGAAGAUACGUGGUAUAUAUGUUGAUUGGAUUGAAGAUAUACCACUUUUGCCUAGUUCUUAGAACAAAGCAGAAAGCUGUAGUUAAAAAUAUACCUUCUGCUAAAGAUAAGUAGUCAAUAGUUCUAUUAGUGCAUAACUUUGCGAUUAAGGAUGAUCGCUGUCUAUUUUAAGAGCUUUUAAUAGAAUUUAGUAGCCCUGAUUUUCAAUCUCAGUGUUUUGCGGCUGUUAUCGACAUCCCUCUGUUACAUUUUUCAAGUUUCAUUGAUAAAUUAGUAGUUAGCCUUAUGAAGAAUGCACACACCAUAACCAUGUACGUUAAAUAGCAAACCUGCAUUUUAUUGAACUGUGAACUACUGAUUCAAUAAAGCUCAACAUAAGCUAACAAGUCUUUGUGAAAUUGCUUCAUGGUACAUUGUUUGAAGUAUUUAAGCUAAUAUAUGAUUAUUAAUGGGCUCGUGAGCCAACCCCAUUAAUUAUAUGUACAUAUAUAUAAUGUUACCAUCAAUAUGAUAUGUGACAUCCCAUAACAGCUAAUUAUAGAUCUUUAUCCAUUUUCAUAAUUUGCCUUCUGGCUUCCACUGCUCGUCACUAAAUUCAAAAUCCAUUGCACCUCAAAACAACAUGAGAAAUCUUAUAGGCAAAUCAUGACCAGUUCAAAGAUAAUAGCGAUUAUAGGGAAAGAAAAUUAAAAUCGAAGACGCAUAUAAAAUAAUCAAGCUACUGAUGAACAAAAUAACAUGAAAGUGUAAGUAUUUAUACUAACCUUCACUUAUUAGGAAGUUUGUUUCGCUAUUGGGUAAGAUCAAGCUCUCUGCAUAUCCUAUUGGCAAAAGGAAAUCACGCACGUGUGAUCUCUCUCUCUCUCUCUACACACGCACACAUAUACACACGCAUAUACAUAUACAUGCAUGGUCAUCAUCUUAGAAACCGAUUGAGAAAUUAUUGUCAGAGUUUGAAUUUGCGCAAUGACUAGUCAUGUUGCUAAAAAGAAAAAAGAUUGAGAUUGAAAGAAAUUCAUUAUCAUCAAAUUGGUCCAAUAUCCACUUCACUGUGUGGAUCAAAUACGUUUUCGAAUAGUGCACUGAUCUACAAUCUACUGCAAUAAUUUGUUAGGACCCUACAUCAACAAAUUAUGGGAUUAGUUGGUUUAUUAACCCUAAUACAUCCGGACAAGUCAAUCCUUUCAUGAGAAACAAAAUGAAUUUUGCAUCCCAUGAAACACAACAUACUCAGCUAGUUGAAAUUGUGGAUAUACGGGGGUAACGUAAGCAUGCUUUCACAAUUUGAAAGAUUUAUUUUUUAAGAUUUAGUAUUUCUGGGAUCCUAUUGAGAUAGAGGGGUGGUGAAGGUCUAUAGAUUUUAACUUGACAGCUUCCUAUAACCAAAGAUACAUAACUAUACUAAAUGAGCAUCAUUGAAUUUCAAAGUUAUUCAUUAUAAAUACUUAAAGAAAGAAAAAUAGAUAUUUUGGUAAUAGUAAUACAUUAUACCUUUUCUCUUUUCCAAAUUUGCUUAACCUUACUACAAGGCAAGCUGAGUCCAAUCAGGUUCUCCAAUUCAAAAUCUGAUGUCAGUAUUUUCAAAAGAUAUUUAUGCCAAUGGAGAUUUCUCAAUUCUAUAGGAAGGCAUUUUUUUUUUUUGAAACUGAUUAAGCAUCAGUUGGUUACUGUAUUACACAGAGAUAUAUACAACUGCUAUGACAGCAGGUCAUUACACUGAUAUUUACAAUCAGAUAUAUACAUGUGACUUAUAUUAUUACAUUUUUAUUCUAUGAAGUACAUGCCCAUCCAAAUACCCCUCACAGAGGAGGGAUGUCUCUACUCCACUCCCAUUGCGCAAGGGAGAAAGACGUUGUAAGAAGUCUCCAUACAAUUAUAUUUAAUUGAGGGAGGUUGAGUCCGUGGGGACUCGAACCAUUGCCCUCAUAGUCAUGCUUAACUUUGAGGGCAAUGAUUCACCACUGGGCUACAAGCCCAAGUGGCUAUAGGAAGGCAUUCUAAACCUCAGUGAAGUUACACCCUGGAGCUUAUAAUUAGAACACCAUCAUACUCGGAUAUAUAAAAUUUCAGCAAUCUAAAAUUUGACAUUGUUUUAAAUGCUCCAGAAUCUAAACGUAUGUCUCUUAUCCUGGAGAAUUCAAGAAUAUACUUUCGGUUGCAUGUGUCCCUUCAGAAAAGAAGCAAAUAAUGAGUUCGCAUAAAUUUUCUCAGGAAAAAAAUCCUAAAAUUUAUAAAGAGCUCCUUAAAUGAAGACAAAACCUGCACUCGCUCAACUCUUUUUUUUUUUUUUUAUGUUGUUCUAGUCUUCUUCAAUCCCCCCCUCUAAAACUUUAAUCCAAGCGUUAAGUGUAAGUAAACUAAAAUAUGAUUUUCGUAUGCAAGUACAACACAACAUACCCAUAAAAAUGAAGAGCGGAAGUUAGAAUCAAACCUCCAGCAAUUGAUAUUUUGCAAACUGAUAUUUGAUUCUUCUGAGACUUAUGUAAUCGUUUUGAUGGUGCAGUUUUUGAAUUAGAUUACAUAGCCUCAGGUACUAAUACCAUUUUCACCAUUUUGUUUUUAUUUCAUCUUUCCAUCAAAGAUGAAGGGGUGGGAAAUUAUCAAAGCAGCUGUUAGAUGACACCUGCUUCUAGACCUGCAAGUAAAACCAAAGAAUGAGCUCCAUUAGAUACAUUUGAGUUAAUAAAAUCCCUUGUUCCUCCUAAUGAUUAUAGACAUUAAUUAGGAGGGAGAAAUGAAGUAAAUUAAAUUAAAUGAAGGACCUUCAUUCUCCACGCAUGCAGCCGGCUAUUUUGUUACCAAGUUGUUGAAAGGAAGUAAAUAGAGAAGCAUUCAGAUACCACUCUCCCAGAUCGAUAUUCCUAGUAAGACCAAGGUGUAGUUGUACCACUCGGCCUGUGGAGUUGCUGCAGUCAACCCUUUCCCUUUGUUCAUCUACCCAGUUUUGAAGUCUAUAAGGGGAAUUGAAGAAAUGUUUAAGCCACAAAAGAUCAAAUUCCUCAUGCUCCAAACAUCCCUCACUCCACCCCCCCCACCCCCCGGCGCCCUCUUCUAAUAUUAUUAAUACGAGAACUAACAUUGUCACCAUUUUGAAUUUUGAACCACCCAUUCUAGCUAUAUCUCUAACUAUUAAAAAACACACAUUCUCUCUUUCUCUAUAACUAUAAAUAACAAAAGGGCUCUAUGUUAUUUAUAACAAACACAUCUAACAAUUUAUACACUCAGGCCCCAGCUAGCUUUCAGUUGUCUUCUUUGGUAGUCUUCAGCCUUCUCAAAGACUUUCGUCAUGCCUUACUUUCAGCCUUCCUUUCCAUAUUUGUCAUUUUGCUUUAAUUUUCCACAAUUCUACCUUGGAUGGUAAUAUUUAAUUCGCCACGAAUUGAGUGAAACGCUGGUCCGUUACCCAUCCCACUUCAAUAUUAACAAUAUUAAUAAUAAUAAAUAAAUUCUUCAAGCAAUUGAGAUUUGACACCCACCCCACUUCAAUAUUAAUAUUAAUGGGAAAUCAUAAAUUCUUCUACAAAUGAGUCAUUAUUUUAAAAUUGUUAUAAGCUUAUUUAUUUAAAAAAAAAAAAACGAGAAGGGGAACUUGUUAUCUUAAAAUUAAAAGAUUCUGGUGUGGCUACCCGAAUCCGCACGUUUUUUAAGAUUUUUUUUCCAAUCUUGUGUACCGUUCAACACCUAUAUAUGCUUUGCAAUUGAUUAGUUAACAAAAUAAAAUUCUUGAUCAGUUGUGCGGUAAAAAUAAUAUUAUUUUACAAAGCUUUACCUGGUGCAGUCAAUACGGCUAGAAAUUAAAGGAUCCCCAGCAUGAUAAUUAAGGAAUAAUUAUUAUUCUAGAUUUGUGCAGUGGCGAAGCUAAUAGCAUUUUUCGUUUUCGAGUGAGCUGAACUUUUUCCCCCCCCUAAUUCAAUACAUUUUUAUCGUACAAUAUAAUUUUGUAAAUAAGAAAUUAUAGAUGCACCUAAUAAUGCGCGACAAAAUAAGCUUUACCUCUCAAAAUAUUUGUUCUAAACAUUAUUUAAAAUAAUUUAGACACAUAUUUAUUCACAAAAUGAUGAACAGACAAGAAUUUGAUGAUAAUUGAAGAGGCAGCAUAACUAAUUAAUAUAAAAAUUUUUAUAUAGGUUUCAAUAAAGGAAAUUUUGUAACUAAAUAAUUUUUUUUCUGAGAAGCCCGGCCUUGCCCUCUCCAAAAUUCGCCACUGAAUUUGUGGGGUGGUUACUGGAGUUCACACGUUUUCAAAUUUUUUUUUCCCGAUCAUUCAAUAGUAAUUUUGCUUUUUAGUUUAUUAUUAUUGUUGUUAUUAUUAUUAACUCAGGCAUUUAUUAAAGCUCGAACACAUAAUCUAAACUUUGAUAUAUUUUUUGCUGAGAGGAGUCAAAAUUUGGGAAUUAUAUGCGCAUCAUAACAUAAUAAACAACCGCAAAGUAUCCUACGGAAACUUUCAGUGCACUCUGACAGCAGCUUUUGGUAGUCAAAUAGUCUUGGAAUCAUUUUUUAGCGCAUAUUCUUUUCGGUAAUGUGAUGAAUUCAUAUCUAAAGAAUCAAAACUAUGAUGUGAAUUUGCUGCAAAAACUGAUCCAAGACUAUUCAUUCAUUAUUAAACAUAUGAUAUCGUCCGUAAGACUGGAGAAAUAUGAAUGAAUUUGUUGAUGAUAACUCAGAAGACGGUUAACGGUUAAAUAUGCUAUGUUGAAAUGCACUGUACAGUCAAUUAAUUUAGUUAGGACUCUGUUUCUAGAAAACAGAGUAUAAAAGAUGACUAACUGUUUUGGGAGAUGCUUUUGGAGGGACUUCUAGAUGAAAUUGAGAGAGAGAGAGUGUGAGAGAAACUCUGUAAAGUCUUCUCCAAUUGGUAACCCCUUUUGUUGCGAAUAAUAAAGCUUCAAGGCUGUUCAUUUAUUUGUACAUAAGCAGGGGGAAAGCCUAUGUAUAGACAGCUUCAAAUGAGGAAACUGCACCUAACUACGCAGCAGCUGUAAUGAAGAAGACAUUGAUGCAUUAGCUUCCUGUUCCGUCUUCUUGGUCUUCGGGGAGGUUGGUAGCAGCAACUUUAAUUGUUCAAAGCAAACACUUAUCUUUCGUUUCUCAUAAAACCUCGUGAGGUAAUGCUUUAGAUGACUGGUAUGCAAUAUUGUCAAUGACAAAAUGUAAUGUUGUAUUCUGCUGAUCAACAUGUAAAAACUACAUAUUACUUGAAUUAGUUUUUUUUUUUUUUAAUUUACUAAAUUUCAGAAUUUGUUAACGAUGUUUGUACUUGGUUUUAACUCGAUUAAAGCUCAUGAAACUUAAUUGAUUAAUUAAUCAUUUAGUUAAAUUUAUUCGCUUUCAUGCUAUGGAUCUUUGCUAUAAUAACAAAUGCUUAAUUAUAUGCGUAUGUGUGAUAUAAUAGCUGCGUCUUACAUAGCAUAACACUACACCAAAUAUGCCCCCCUCAGAUACUAAUUAAUUACACAAAUGUACUUUUAUUCAAUUUAUUAUUUAAAAUAAUAUUUGAAAAAAAAUGGACUUGAGCAGAGCAAAGUAGAGAUAAUAAACAAGGGUAGAUUAUGCAUGCGUCAAAAGAUUUUAAAAAAGAAAAAGAGAAAAUAUACGGAAAACAAGAAAAUUGCGGGGAGCCACUCUUGUCUUUUACUUUGGACUUGAAGUCGUUCCAGGUGGAUAAUGUUUUCCUUUUAAAUAUUUAGAAUUAUAUUGUGGCGCUAUUUAAAAUAAGUUAUAAUUUUCUUAAAAUCAGACUAUGAUUACGGUACUCCAUGGUCAGAGUGUCGUUGAAUAAUGCUGAGUCUAUUGAGUCCUUUUCAAAUCGAAACCAGAACUAAAGAAAAAUCCAGAACUGAAACAAGGGCACGAACCAGCAAGAUUUGAAGGAAAAAUUUACUUCGUUAGUGAUCAACAACUAAUCAAACGUAAGUGGAUUUACAGAAGACUUUGUACAGAUCACAAUGAAACAGAUUCUAUGCAAAUUGACGAACAACUGAAGAAGAAAAAGGAUCGUACAACAGGCACUGCUCAUAAGCUUCUAUUUAUACUGAUGUUUCUGGAAACGUUGUAACAGAUUAUAACUAAUUCGUGCCACGUCAGCAUAAAAUAUCUACUAGACCCAUUUAACUGAAGUCAAUCUGCACAACGACUCUGAACCUCUUCAUAUUUUCCAUUUCAGUCCACAGACUCAACUACACACGUCUCCAAAAAUAAUAAGUUUUAUUUAUUUAUUUUUAUUAAUAAAAUAAAUUUUUAUUAACUUUCGUUGAUUUUGGUAGAUUUUGUUUUUGAGCUGUUACUACACUGUCGGCUGGUGUGUCAUCAUACGUAGUAGCGUCAUCAACCCUCUCAUGACUUUGACGGCCGAAACAUGUUUCAUGGCACAAAUAAUGACAGAUUUGUUUGAGGUACGGCGGAGAUGCCUAUUCAAAUAUUUGAAGCCAGCCCCUCCUUGUUUAACAUUUUUUUUUUUAAAAGGGGAACAACUGCUUUAGCUGUAUAUAUCAAGAAAAUUAGCUAACAGUUUAUGCACUUAAUUAUUUAUUUUGCCACACAUUUGUAAGUGGUCAAUGCUGCCGUAAAAUUAUUAGACCCAAAAUAAAGUGUGAUGAGGGACAGGAAUUAAUGUUCCCAUUAGCUGUAGCACCUAUCUUCCAUCUCUAAUUUUAACUUUCGAUUGAUGAAGUGUUUUCAAAUUUGUCAAAUGUCUGUAAACUGUUUAAUAAUUGAAGAAAGUUAAAAUUCAUUUUCUAAAAAUUAUUUUCAUUCAAAAUUGCGAUUGGAUGGUAAUCAGGGUUAAUAUCAGAGCUUAAGAUACUAUAACCGUGAGAACCUAUUGACUGCCAAUUAAAAUAUCCAUUAAAAUGUCUAGGGAGUUAUGAAGGUGGGGGUAACUUCCAAUUUCUAAGGCCACAGAGUAGACAUCAUCCAGGAUCCUAGGAAAGUCCAGUUAACCUCCUGCUCGAUGCAAUUAAUAAAUUUGGUCAAUGCCACUGAAACCUGCUAACUGACGUCACAAUGCGACAUGAGCACUUCAAAAUGGGACGGACAGUCAGUAGCACUGAAUUUUUCUUGCCUAAGAUUGAGCAAUUGGUCUAACUACUAAUCCCUAUUGUAGGUUGAUCAUUAUUUUUUCAAUUAUGUUCAGUUUGACCCAAAAAGUUGCAGAAUCUUGAGCUGAAUAUUGUCACGGAACACUGUCAAUGUCGCUUAGCAUAGCCAACAAACUUGAUGUUAAAACAAACACACAGUGUGUCUCAUGUCUCACAAAUCAAAUUAUCAUCUGUAAUGAUGGAGAAUUUUUCCAAUGUAUGAAGUAUGCUUUGAUACGUGGGUUACCUUGGAGAAGAUAUCUCAAAAUAAAGAAUAUGGGGAGAAAACAGUUCAGUAGUUUAUUAUUCUGUAGUCAAGUUUUGUCUCGAAAAUGGUCAAAAUUUAAAUGAUUAAGGACAGGGGAUCUUCAUUCUUUUUCCCCUUUUUUAUACCAAGAUAUCUCUCAACCUUUAUAUAAUCCCCACUGGAUAUCUGCUUCUCAUAAUUAAAAUAAAAAUUUCACCGCUCUAACAAUAAAAAGUAACAUCUUUAGUCAAAUAAUUUUGCGGUUCCUCAUCAUCUUAGUGUGAGACUAUCAGUACUUCCAAAAACAUAAUAAAACUGGUUUGAUCCUGUUUAUUAAUGUUUAAAUGUUGUUCAUUGUGACAUGUAGAAAUGAUGAGGCGAAGUUUAUUUGGGCAUCAAUUAGUAAGAUCUUGUUCGAAGUUGUUUUCUGAAAUGAACUGCCAAAUGGUAGUUUUUUGGGGGCAUUUGAUGGCUCUUUUUUUUUCCUCAUUUUCAACAUGUGCCUGCUUGGAACAGGAAGGAUUAGGCUUUAGAGUUGUUAUUUAUUUUGAGAUGCUCUGGUCAUUGCACAAUUUGUUCACACUGGAAAUUAGAAUGAGAAAUUUGUUGAUGCUGUUUUGAGAGAUCUGCAUUCUAUGCACAAUAACAUGAUUAAUGAAAAUGUAUUGUAGGACUGGAAAGAUCUGUGGCAGCCUGAGCUCGCAGGAAGAAUUUCAAUGGUUAAUUCUCCCCGAGAGGUUAUUGGUUCAGUUUUGAAGUAUAGGGGAGCAUCAUACAAUUCAAACGAUAUUGAUUCGCAAGUUGCUGGUGGGAAGAUUGCUGUUCAGCAGAAUCUGGCAUUACUGGCAAACCAGGUACUCUUACAGAAAUGAUAUCUGGUCAUUGCAUGUUAUUGCCUGACAACUGAUUUUGUUUGUAAAAGUCUACUUCUUCAUACAUAUGAAUGCAUAUGUUAGUGUUUUCUUCUCGUUUUCAUACAUAUAAAUGCAUAUGUUAGUGUUGUCUUUUCCUUUUCAUACAUAUUACUACAUAUGUUGGUGUUCUCUCCUGAGAUGGAUGCAAUAAAGGCUUUUGCUCCUAAAUUUAGCUGAAGAAAUGGCAAGGGAUGUGAGAUUCUGUCUCAUUAAAUUAACAAAAACCCAAAGCAAUGAAAAUCCAUAAUAAUGUGGUGUGGGUAAAUUGGCUCCAUUUGGUUCGUUUCCUUAAUGUGAAUGCGCGAGCAAUAGAGACUAACAAAAUGAAGUGACAACAAGAAGUCAGUGUCCUUUGAUGGAUGCAUUUUUAGGCAGAAAUAGGUUUGUAAUUGACCAAAUUUGUCUGGCAUGCCAAUUUCAAAAAAAUUAAAUUAUGUGGUUAUUAGCUGUAAUGAAGGGGGAUAGUAGGUGCAAUCAGGUGGAUCCUGGAAAGUUCAAUAAAGUUUUGGUAUGGCGUAGUGAAAUUGGUUUGUGCAACUCAGGAGUCUUUCAGGUGAACGAUGAUAGGUUUUGAUUUAUGAAUAUUAUAAAUCUACUGUGCAUAGUAUUCUAGUAGAAUCAUCUAUAAGUUCUAGUUAUUGAAAUUGUAUACUUUGCCCGGUUUGAGUUAAGGGCACAUGUAAUAUGAAAGAUAGUUGUCGCAUCUUUUAGGUUACCUAACAUUUGAUCAAUCCUAUUAUGGGGGCUUCAAGAUGUCUAACAAUAUGUAGAAUGCCCAUGCUCCUCCCCAUUGUUUAUCUUCUACAAUAAUUUGUUUUAGAUGCUAAUAUCUUUGUCGAUACCGGUAACAAUAUUACAAUAUCUGCGUUUAUUGGGUUUUACAUAGGUUCGACUGUUUGACAGUACACACUAUCUGAAGGCAUUUGCAAUUGGAGAUGUAUGGGUUGCUGUUGGGUGGAUUAGUGAUGUUCUUCCUGCUGUCAAACAUAUGUCUAAUGUUGCUGUUGUUGUUCCCAAGUCUGGUGCUAGCUGCCUGCCAUUCUACUUCGAUAUUCACAUUGUUAUCUCCUUCAUAUUAGCGAUCAGUAAACACGAUAAUGUGACUAAUAAGUUCGUAUUCUCUUUAUAGGCAAUCCCUGCUGCCUCAAGACUUGAAACAAAACAAAUUGGAGGGCGAGUCGGAGGUCCAUCUCCGUUAAUCCAUCAAUGGAUAGAAUUCUGCUUGCAAACAGCGAGAGCAUUACCUUUCAAGCAAGAGGUAAUCCCAGGUGCAUCUCCCUCUGCCCUUGAAAGUACUCUGGUUAAGUUGCCUGAAGAACUUCUGGAGGGUAAACCAAGUCUGGAUACUAACUUAAUUGCUGGAGUACUCCCGGCUGAAAUUCUGGCCAGAUGUGAGUUUUUGGAGCCAUUAUCUGAAGCUACUUUGUCAGAUUAUGAGUGGCUGGUUGUUAAUCUGCAAAAACCUGCUCCUGUCUUGAUGAAAAGGGUGCAACAUUACUUGUCAUCAUUAAUCCAAAGCUUUCUAGCAAGAGCUACAUUGAAAAGUUAAUGGCGCUGCAUGCCAGUCAUUAUAAUGCUGUCAGGACAAUUGGGUCAGGGCAAUUAGGUCAGAGCAUAACUUCAUUAGGAAAGGGGGCUUCAGCUACGUUAAAUAUUACAGGAUGUACUGAGAUGGCUGAAGUUCUUGAGGUUUUAUGAGAAACGAAAGAUGAGUGUUUGUUUGAACAAAGUUGUUGCCAAUCUUGCAGAGUUUGAAAACAAAGAUCACGGAGCGAAUGCCACCGAUUUCUUCAUCAUUUUAGCCUCCAUAAUUGAAGUUUCCUCAUUUGAAGCUGUUUAUGCAUACGAUUUUUCCCUGCUCUAGUACAGGAAAUUGAAGAAUUAACCAGAUGUGAUAUGCUGAAAGAGGGAAGUUUUCUUCCUUGAAUGUGGCCUUUGUGAUUUGUCUUGAAGGAAUAGGAUGAUCACUGGCAAGAACCCUAUCAAGGUAGAUUUUAUGGUGUUAACAUAUUAUUCAGCAUUUUGUUACAUUAGCAAUGAUGCUUUCAUAGCAUGAAAGUGUUUAAAUUUAACUGAAUGAUCUUGAUUGAUCAAUUAUGAGUUUUAAUCGAGUAAAAACUAAAUACAAUAAUCGUAACAAANNNNNNNNNNNNNNNNNNNNNNNNNNNNNNNNNNNNNNNNNNNNNNNNNNNNNNNNNNNNNNNNNNNNNNNNNNNNNNNNNNNNNNNNNNNNNNNNNNNNUGCUACCUUUUGAUUUUAGUGCUUAAUAUUUAUUGAACUAUGAUGCAGGGAAUUUGAAAUCAAACUCGUAAUACAGAUUAUCUAAUUGCGAGUUGCUGUCCAUAGCUGCUAAUUUGUAGUGAUUAUCUAAUUGACUGAGGUGACAAUAAUUCUUUUAUUUUCAAUAGCACAAUGUGGAAUUCAAUAAUUAAAUUCUCCUGUUUAAUUUGUUUCAAGUUAAAUUAUUAAUUACUUAAACUCGGUUUUAAGUCUUUAAUUUUAUGUGUUUAUGCAGAAUUGGAUUCUUGAGCGUGUUGGACACGACCAACAAUGAAAUUGACAGUAAACAAACAUUAGAACAUGUGGACUCCGGUAAGCACCAAUGAAUUUCUAGCCCCGUUGACUCCGCCAACUAAAGUUUUGUAAAAUAAAAAAAAAUACAUAGAAUUCCACCAAAUGCAAAACGCGUAAAAUUUAAUUUUCGGCCGUGUGGACCAAAACAUAAUUUAACAAAAAAGAAAAAAAUGAUAAGAUUUUUAAAAUGUGUGGAAGGUGAUCCAUAUUUUACUGAAACGACUUGUUAAAUUUUUCAAGGAUUUAGAAUAUUUGGUCAUAAAUUACGUGCAUGUUAAUUUUUCCGCCAUUGACUAUCAUAUUCUAGACUUAAUGGUACCUUUUUUGAUGAAGGGUACUUAGUCUCUCUUCUCCUCUUAUAAAAAUUAUAUUAAUUGAUUUCUUGUUAUAGUUAAUAGUCUUCAAGAACGGAUAGAUUUAUUGUUUUCAUGACCAAAUUAUGCAUGCCUAACGUUGCAACUAUUAAUAAAAUUAAUAUUUAAUAUUUAUGUUAAAAGAUAUAAGAUUUUAUGCAUUCAUUAAUUGUUAUUAGCUAAAGGAUGAAUUAUUUUUUCCCAAUCAGUUGAUGCAUCUGCAAGAGUUUUUUUUUCUUUUAUUGACCAUAAUUAUAUUCCGGGUACAAUAAAUUGUCUUUGGUGCUUGGAAGAUAUGACAUCUCUCUGUCAACUUACUGGAAAUAUCUCCUCAUCUACUCUCAUUUAUCUAAUAUCAAUUGAAGAUCUCAUAUUUCCAAACUAUGACUUCCAAAUCUCAUUAUCAUUUGAGCAUUCAAAACUAAUCAAGUGUGGAAAUAAUCAAAUAUAUGCAAAAAUCGAGUCACAAUCUUUGGCCCCUCAAAAUUCUAAUUAUAUAACUUCUAUAUAUCUCAUACAUUUUCCAAAUUCCUCUUCCAUCAACAUCAUUAGGAGUAUGUUCAUCUCUCACACAUUAACUUGAGUGGAGAGUUUCCAAAUUGAUUGUCAGAAAACAACAAAAGAACUAGACACGCUUGAUCUGUCUAAUAAUUCUCUUUCGGUAAAAUUAAUUAAUUUUAGGGGAAUUCAGCCAACCUCUGUAAUUUUAUAGUGAUCAUUAAUUAAUUAAACAAUACAAAUAUCUAAAGUGAUUAGAUGUUUACUGACAAUACAAGUUCAUGGCUUGAAAUUUGAUCUCUAUCGAUUGGUUUUGUAGUGCUUAAUAUUUACAGAACUCCGGGAAUUUGAAAUCAAACUCGUAACUACAGAUUAUCUAAUUGUAAGUUUUUGUCCAUAGCUGCUGAUUUGUAGUGAUUAUCUAAUUGACUGAGGUGACAACAAUUGUUCUUUUAAUUUUCAAUAGCAUAAUGUGGAAUUCAAUAAUUAAAUUCUCCUUUUUAAUUUGUUUCCAAUUAAAUUAUUAAUUACUUAAACUCUAUUUUAAGUCUUUAAUUUUAUGUGUUUAUGCAGAAUUGGAUUCUUGAGCGUGUUGGACACGACCAACAAUGAAAUUGACAGUAAACAAACAUUACAACGCGUUGAGUGUCGACUCCGGUAGCUGCCCUACAAGUCUACAACUUUACAAAAAAUAAUUGAGUACACACAUUCGAUUCUCGGGACCCUUCAAUGAAUUUCUAACCCCGUUGACUCCACCGACAAAAGUUUUGGAAAAUAAAAAAAAAAUUUAUAGAAUUCCACCAAAUGCAAAACGCGUGGAAUUUAAUUUUCGGCCGUGUGGACCAAAACAUAAUUUAAUGAAAAAAAAGAAGAUAAAAUUUCUAAAAUGUGUGGAAAUUGAUCCAUAUUUUACUGAAACAACUUGUUAAAUUUUUCAAGGAUUUAGAAUAUUUGGUCAUAAAUUAUGCUCAUGUUAAUUUUUCCGCUAUUGACUAUCAUAUUCUAGACACAAUGGUACCUUUCUUGAUGAAGGGUACUUAGUCUCUCUUCUCCUCUUAUAAAAAUUAUAUUAAUUGAUUUCUUAUUAUAAUAAAUAGUCUUUAAGAACGUAUAGAUUUAUUGUUUUCGUGACCAAAUUAUGCCUGCCUAAGGUUGUGACUAUUAAUAAAAUUAAUAUUUAAUGUUUAUGUUAAAAGAUAUAAGAUUUUAUGCAUUCAUUAAUUGUUAUUAGCUAAAGGAUUAAUUAUUUUUUCAACCCAAUCUGUUGAUGCAUCUGCAAGAGUUUUUUCUUUUAUUGACCAUAAUUAUAUUCCGGGUACAAUAAAUUGUCUUUGGUGCUUGGAAAAUAUGACUUCUUACUUCAAGUUUGAUAUGUCUCUCUCCAUAAGCUUACUGGAAAUAUAUCCUCAUUUACUGUCAUUUAUCUAAUAUCAAUUGAAGAGCUCACUUUUUCAAACUAUCACUUCCAAGUCUCAUUGUCACUUGCCAUUCUUGGACCAUUCAAAACCAAACAAGUGUUGNNNNNNNNNNNNNNNNNNNNNNNNNNNNNNNNNNNNNNNNNNNNNNNNNNNNNNNNNNNNNNNNNNNNNNNNNNNNNNNNNNNNNNNNNNNNNNNNNNNNNNNNNNNNNNNNNNNNNNNNNNNNNNNNNNNNNNNNNNNNNNNNNNNNNNNNNNNNNNNNNNNNNNNNNNNNNNNNNNNNNNNNNNNNNNNNNNNNNNNNNNNNNNNNNNNNNNNNNNNNNNNNNNNNNNNNNNNNNNNNNNNNNNNNNNNNNNNNNNNNNNNNNNNNNNNNNNNNNNNNNNNNNNNNNNNNNNNNNNNNNNNNNNNNNNNNNNNNNNNNNNNNNNNNNNNNNNNNNNNNNNNNNNNNNNNNNNNNNNNNNNNNNNNNNNNNNNNNNNNNNNNNNNNNNNNNNNNNNNNNNNNNNNNNNNNNNNNNNNNNNNNNNNNNNNNNNNNNNNNNNNNNNNNNNNNNNNNNNNNNNNNNNNNNNNNNNNNNNNNNNNNNNNNNNNNNNNNNNNNNNNNNNNNNNNNNNNNNNNNNNNNNNNNNNNNNNNNNNNNNNNNNNNNNNNNNNNNNNNNNNNNNNNNNNNNNNNNNNNNNNNNNNNNNNNNNNNNNNNNNNNNNNNNNNNNNNNNNNNNNNNNNNNNNNNNNNNNNNNNNNNNNNNNNNNNNNNNNNNNNNNNNNNNNNNNNNNNNNNNNNNNNNNNNNNNNNNNNNNNNNNNNNNNNNNNNNNNNNNNNNNNNNNNNNNNNNNNNNNNNNNNNNNNNNNNNNNNNNNNNNNNNNNNNNNNNNNNNNNNNNNNNNNNNNNNNNNGUAUUUUACUUGGAAGAUAUGACAUCUCUCUGUCAACUUACUGGAAAUAUCUCCUCAUCUACUCUCUUUUAUCUAAUAUCAAUUGAAGAUCUCAUAUUUCCAAACUAUGACUUCCAAAUCUCUCAUUAUCAUUGAGCAUUCAAAACUAAUCAAGUGUGGAAAUAAUCAAAUAUAUGCAAAAAUCGAGUCACAAUCUUUGGCCCCUCAAAAUUCUAAUUAUAUAACUUCUAUAUAUCUCAUACAUUUUCCAAAUUCCUCUUCCAUCAACAUCAUUAGGAGUAUGUUCAUCUCUCACACAUUAACUUGAGUGGAGAGUUUCCAAAUUGAUUGUCAGAAAACAACAAAAGAACUAGACACGCUUGAUCUGUCUAAUAAUUCUCUUUCGGUAAAAUUAAUUAAUUUUAGGGGAAUUCAGCCAACCUCUGUAAUUUUAUAGUGAUCAUUAAUUAAUUAAACAAUACAAAUAUCUAAAGUGAUUAGAUGUUUACUGACAAUACAAGUUCAUGGCUUGAAAUUUGAUCUCUAUCGAUUGGUUUUGUAGUGCUUAAUAUUUACAGAACUCCGGGAAUUUGAAAUCAAACUCGUAACUACAGAUUAUCUAAUUGUAAGUUUUUGUCCAUAGCUGCUGAUUUGUAGUGAUUAUCUAAUUGACUGAGGUGACAACAAUUGUUCUUUUAAUUUUCAAUAGCAUAAUGUGGAAUUCAAUAAUUAAAUUCUCCUUUUUAAUUUGUUUCCAAUUAAAUUAUUAAUUACUUAAACUCUAUUUUAAGUCUUUAAUUUUAUGUGUUUAUGCAGAAUUGGAUUCUUGAGCGUGUUGGACACGACCAACAAUGAAAUUGACAGUAAACAAACAUUACAACGCGUUGAGUGUCGACUCCGGUAGCUGCCCUACAAGUCUACAACUUUACAAAAAAUAAUUGAGUACACACAUUCGAUUCUCGGGACCCUUCAAUGAAUUUCUAGCCCCGUUGACUCCACUGACAAAAGUUUUGGAAAAUAAAAAAAAAAUUCAUAGAAUUCCACCAAAUGCAAAACGCAUGGAAUUUAAUUUUCGGCCGUGUGGACCAAAACAUAAUUUAAUGAAAAAAAAAAGAUAAAUUUUCUAAAAUGUGUGGAAGGUGAUCCAUAUUUUAUUGAAACAACUUGUUAAAUUUUUUAAGGAUUUAGAAUAUUUGGUCAUAAAUUACGCUCAUGUUAAUUUUUCCGCUAUUGACUAUCAUAUUCUAGACUCACUGGUACCUUUCUUGAUGAAGGGUACUUAGUCUCUCUUCUACUCUUAUAAAAAUUAUAUUAAUUGAUUUCUUAUUAUAAUAAAUUGUCUUUAAGAACGUAUAGAUUUAUUGUUUUCGUGACCAAAUUAUGCUAGAUUAAGGUUGCGACUAUUAAUAAAAUUAAUAUUUAAUGUUUAUGUUAAAAGAUAUAAGAUUUUAUGCAUUCAUUAAUUGUUAUUAGCUAAAGGAUUAAUUAUUUUUUCAACCCAAUCAGUUGAUGCAUCUGCAAGAAUGUUUUCUUUUAUUGACCAUAAUUAUAUUCCGGGUACAAUAAAUUAUCUUUGGUGCUUGGAAAAUAUGACUUCUUACUUCAAGUUUGAUAUGUCUCUCUCCAUAAACUUACUGGAAAUAUAUCCUCAUCUAUUAUCAUUUAUCUAAUAUCAAUUGGAAGAUCGCACUUUUUCAAACUAUCACUUCCAAGUCUCAUUGUCACUUGGCCAUUCUUGGACCAUUCAGAACCAAUCAAGUGUUGAAAUAAGUCGAGAGGGGGGGCAAAAUUAGAGUCACAAUUUUUGGUCCCCCAAAUUCUAAUUAUAUAACUUCUAUAUAUUUCAUUGCCAGGUCACGAACUUGUUGGCACAUUUUCCAAAUUCCUCUUCCAUCAACUCUCACACGUUAACUUAAGUGGAAAGUUUCCAAGUUGAUUGCUAGAAAGCAACGCAAAAUCAGACACGCUUGACCUGUCCCCUAAUUCUCUUUUCUACGUUGAAAAAGAAAAAAAAAAUAUAUAUAUAUAUCUAUGUAAAAAUAAAUAAUAAACUGAAUAAAAGUACAUUUGUUUAAUUAACAUCUGAUCGUGGCAUUUUUGGUGUAAUUUCGUGCUGUGUAAGCCACAACUAAAAUCAAACAGCCCCUUAGCAUACUUCUUCCAUUUUAUCUGGUACUUUUGUGGAUCUUAUAGGGUGGGCAUGUGGACAGAAUUUAAAAGUUUUAAUAGUCUCAAAGAAUAAGAUAUGUUAAAGCUAAAGUUGUUGCACCUUCUAAUUAAAUAAAGUUGUACAAUUUCACCAACUUGGAAGAAUUGACAUUAAUGGACUGGUCCCUUCUCCAUAUAUGAAGCCUUCUUAAAAGUUAAUUUUUAUUUCAGAAAAAAAAAGUUAAAGUUACAUAUAUUAUAGUAAGAUUUUUUGAGACCAAUUCCCUUCUUGAAAUAAUAAUGGAAAAGUAUUAAUUUAAUAAUAAAAUGAAUAUGUAUUGAUUAUAUCUUGAUUUUCAUCGAUUAUAGUGAGAGUUUCUCCAAAUCAAUUCCCUUAUUCAAAUAAUAUCGAAAAAAUAGUAAUUUAAUAGUAAAAUAAACAGGUGUUGAUUAUAUAUUCUAAGUUUCAUCGAUUAUGUGAUCAAAGUGGCAUUGUUGAUUUAUUUCUUGUUCAAUGUUAAUUUUUAGGUUAUCUAAAUUUCAAGGAUUUAAAAUCUUUGAUCAUGGAUUACACGCUUGUUAAUUUUUCUGCCAUUGACUAUCAUAUUCUAGACUUAAUGAUACCUUUCUUGAUCAAGGGUAAUUACUCUCUCUUCUCCUCUUAUAAAUUCCUCUUCCAUUAACAUCACUAGGAGUAUGUUGAUCUCUUACAAAACAACAAAAGAACUAGACACACUUGAUCUGUCUAAUAAUUCUCUUUCGGUAAAAUUAAUUAAUUUUAGGGGAAUAUUCGACCAACCUCUGUAAUUUUAGAGUGAUCAUUAAUUAAUUAAACGAUACAAAUAUCUAAAGUGAUUAGAUGUUUGCUGACAAUGCAAGUUCAUGACUUGAAAUUUGAUCUCUAUCGAUUGGUUUACAAAUGGACAUACUUGUGCCUUUGUGGCGAUAAUCGAACAAGUUCCAAUGAUUAUUAUUUUUUCCAAAAACUUUUUUACAACAAAUUCAUCUCGCCAAAAAUUCUAUGUUGCUAGCUAACAAUAAUUGAGCACUUGGCCGCAUUGACUCCACGUCUCCACCUCUUUCUAAAUUCUAAGUAAAAACAUGGAAAUGUAAUUUCCACAAAAUGCCAAACGUGUGGAAUUUAAUUUUUUGCCUUGUGGAUCAAAAUACAAAUGAAAGAAACAGGAAAAAAAAAAAAGGCCCAAAGACUUCUAAAAGAUGAAGAAGUCUUUGGGCCUUUUUAUAAUGGUGGAUUUUUUAAAAGAAAAAAAUAACAACACUUUUAUGGUUGGUUUUGAUAAUCAUAUGUGCGUAUAUACUCUCUAAUUUUCAAAAUGGACACAUAAAUCUUUUUUUUUCACAAAAUAUAUAUUAUUCAUAUUUUUUAUUUUUUAUUAUCAUAUUUUUAUUUAUUAUAAAUGUUUAGAGUAAAUUUUUAGGUUGAAAUAUAAUAAAAGGGUAUAAUCGUUCUCUUAUUAAACACACAUACUUUUAUUAGUUUCUAUGCAUUUGUCAUCUCAAUCUCUCUCAAUUAUUCUUUAUUGCUAGCUCAAAACACGUUGCUGUUGCAAAUUAUAGCAAAAUGACAAAUAUGGAAAAAAAGGGAAGAAAAUUAAUGCAUGAAAGACUUGGAGAAAACAACAAAAUAAGCCAACUAUGAGCUAGUUGGGUGUAUAAAUUGUUAGAUGUGUUAUAUACAAAUAGCAUAGAGCCCUCUAGUUGGUUCUAGAGACAGAAAGAGCGUGUGUGUUUUUUCACAGUUAGAGAUAUAGUUAGAAUGGGUGGCUCAAAAUCAAAAAUGAUGAUAAUGUUUAUUAUGUUAUUAAUAAUAUUUAAAAGUGGGUGGAGUGAGGGAUGUUUGGAUCACGAGAGAUUUGCUCUUUUGCGACUCAAACAUUUCUUCACUGGUCCUUGUAAUUAUCUUUACGACUGGGUAGAUGGUGAGGGAGCUACUGAUUGUUGUCAGUGGGAAAGGGUUGAGUGCAGCAACACCACAGGCCGAGUGAUAACGCUAGACCUUUUUGACACGUAUGGGGGAGAGCACAACUGGUAUCUGAAUGCUUCUUUGUUUACUCCCUUCCAACAACUUGAGUCACUUGAUUUAACUUACAACAAAAUAACCGGUUGUGUUGAGAAUGAAGGUGCUUCGUUUAAUUUAAUUAAUUUACUUUCUCCCCCCUAAUUUAAGUUGAAUAUCAAGACCGAGCAAUUAUAUGCAUAUUCAUUCAGUUGACAAUUUUGACUUUUUUUUUAAAGAUUAAUUUUGAAAUUACACUAGUAUCUAUGAUCCUUUUUUUUUUUAUUUUACUUGCAGGUAUAGAGAGGCUAUCAAGAUUGAACAACUUGAAGAUGCUUAAUUUAAGUGAUAACUCGUUCAACAAUAGCAUUUUAUCAUCACUAACUCAUCUUUCAUCAUUAAGAUCAUUAAAUUUAUAUGGGAAUAGAUUAGAAGGAAGUAUUGACGUUAAAGGUACAUAAUUAAAACUUCAUCCCUUCUCCAAGCUCUUUCAUUAACUUGCUAAAAUAAGAUUCAAGGCUUUGAAUUCAAUUUUUUUUAUGAUUAGUAUUAAAAAAAAACAGUUUUAAGCAAUUUAUAAAUACAAGUUUUAAUCUUUCUCAUAAUUUCAUCUUGUACUUUCAUGUGUCUUGAAUUUAAGAUUAAAAAGAAAUCUAAUAGCAAACCAAACACCUCCACAACUUAUUAUUAUUAUUAUUAUUAUUUGCGGUGAGGUUUGAAACAUUCAACUCAAUUUGUACUUAUUACAGAAUUUGAUUCUUUGAGAGAUUUAGAGGAGCUAGACAUUGGCGAGAACAAGAUUGACAAAUUUGUGGUCUCAAAAGGUACUACAAAUACCAUAAAAAAAAAUGCUAACUUAUACAAAUUAGUUGGAUUCUUGGCCAUUUGGUUUAUUAUUUUACAGGUUUGAGUAAGUUGAAGUCUCUCUGUUUAAGUGGUAUCAAACUCAAUCGUAGCAUCUUCGCUUCUCUUUCUUCGUUAAGAGAAUUAGAUAUAAGUUAUACGGGAUUCAAAGGAACAUUUGAUGUUCGAGGUAAGUCUAAGCCUUGCUUUCUCAUUUUAUAUAUGCGAACUAGAUUUGUGUAUCAUCGACAUAAUUUAAUAUUUAAUUUAAUAAGUCUGAAGGUAUUACAUGCUAAUUUAAACAUACUUUUAUUUACUUUGUCAAUUAAUUAAUUAAUUAAUUAAUUACUAUUUGGCUUGGUUUGGACGAAAUUCUCAUGAUGUUUUAAUUUCUUUAAAUUAAUUAAUUAAUUAACUCUGUUUUUAAGUCUUAAGUCUGGGCAUGUUUGCAGAAUUUGAUUCCUUCAAUAACUUAGAAGUGUUGGACAUGGGAUACAAUGAAAUCGACAAUCUUGUGGUUCCUCAAGGUAAACAAUUAAAAUAUUAUUCAAUUACAUUAUUUUAAUUCAUUUGAUUAGAGAAGGCCAAAAAGGUCCCAAAAAAAUUAAUAAUAAAGAAACAGAUAAUUUGUAUUAUUUAAAAAAAACAGAAUGUAAUAAAGAUUUGAUUCCAGUUCUUUAAUCUUUAAAGCGAUUGAAAAACAAUGUUGCUCUUUUCCCAAAGUAUAAAAUACGAAUUGAAUGCCAAUUAACUUAAUCAUUCAUUUCGUUUAGCUCUAAAUUUAGACAAUGAAUUUUUAUAUUAUUUCAAAAACAGGACGUAAUAGAAUUUUUUUAAAAACAGAUUGUAAUGAAGAUUUGAUUCCAAUUUUUUAAUCUUUGCAGCGAUUGAAAAACCAUACCGCUCUUUUCCCAAAGCAUAAAAUACGAAUUGACUCCCAAUUAAAUUAAUCAUUUAUUUUGUUCAUCUCUGAAUUUAAAUAAUGAAUUUUGAUCUUCAAUCAUAUUCUAACUACUAUUAAAAAACAAGUUACAAAGGUUUGAGGAAGCUGAAAAGCCUUGAUCUAUCGGAAGUUGAAAUUAGAGAUGGAAGCAAGUUGUUACAGUCGAUGGGAUCAUUCCCAUCCCUCAACACUCUUUACCUGAAGGAUAAUAAUUUUACCGAUAUAGCGACAACUACUACUCAAGGUAAGUAAAAGGUACAGAUGUGGCCAAAUUUAUAAAUAAAUUGUUAAUUAAUUAAUUUUUCCGUAUUAUUAAUUAAGCUAAAUUCGUUGCUCCUUCCUUCUAAAUCUAAACAGAGUUGCACAAUUUCACCAACUUGGAAUAUUUGACAUUGACCGGUUCCUCUCUCCAUAUAAGCCUUCUGCAAAGCAUUGCAUCAAUAUUCCCUUUGUUAAAAAUUUUGCCGAUGAUUGGUUGUGAAGUCAAUGGCAUCCUACGUGGUCAAGGUAAAAGAAAAGCGUUGAAUGUGCACUCACUGAGUGUUGUCCUACGUGUUCAAUAUUUUCAUUUAUUCAUUUUAUUGUUUAAUGUUUCUGCUAGGUUUUACUCAUUUCAAGAGUUUGGAACAUUUGGACAUGGAUUACGCGCUCAUUGCACUCAACACCAGCUUUCUUCAAAUCAUCAGUGAAUCGAUGCCUUCUCUUAAGUACUUAUCACUAUCAAAUUCUACUCUUGGCACUAACAGCAGCAGGAUUCUUGAUCAAGGUUAAUCAGAUGCUCCCACCCCCCUUCUUAAUCUAUAAUAUUAAUUUUCAAUUAAAUAUUUAAUUACACAAACGAAUCACUUAUUAUAAAAGAAUAAUACGCAUUCAUUAAUUUUUAUAUUGUAUUAAUUGAUGAAUUUAAUAAAUUUUCAGGCCUCUGUUCGUUGAUGCAUCUGCAAGAGUUGUACAUUGAUAAUAAUGAUUUAAGAGGUAGCUUGCCUUGGUGCAUGGCAAAUAUGACAUCCCUCCGAUUAUUAGAUGUUUCUUCCAAUCAACUUACGGGAAGCAUCUCCUCAUCUCCCCUCGUUCAUUUGACAUCCAUUGAAGAGUUGAUGCUUUCAAACAAUCACUUCCAGAUCCCAAUUUCACUUGAACCACUUUUCAAUCACUCAAGACUCAAGAUUUUCAAUGCUUAUAACAAUGAAAUAAAAGCUAAAAUAACUGAGUCACAUUCUUUGAUCGCCCCAAAAUUCCAAUUAAAUACACUCUUGUUGUCUUCCAGUUACGGAGACAGUUUCAUAUUCCCCAAAUUCAUUUACCAUCAACAUGACCUGGCGUAUGUUGAUCUCUCACACAUAAAGAUGAAUGGAGAAUUUCCAACUUGGUUGUUGGAAAACAACACAAAAUUGAGCCAACUUUCUGUCGUCAAUGAUUCUCUUGCAGGACCUUUUCGGUUGCCAAUUCAUUCACACAAGCAGUUAAGACUGUUGGAUAUAUCCACCAACAACAUCCGAGGCCACAUUCCAGUAGAAAUUGGAGAUGUUUUGCCACGUUUAUACGUUUUCAACAAUUCCAUGAAUGCUCUAGACGGUAGCAUUCCCUCUUCAUUUGGUAAUAUGAAAUUCCUCCAAAUUCUGGACUUAUCCAACAAUCACUUGACUGGUGAAAUCCCCGAGCACUUGGCCGUGGGUUGCGUCAACUUGCAGGCUCUUGCAUUAUCAAAUAACAACCUACAAGGUUACAUGUUCUCUAGAAAUUUUAACUUGACAAACUUGAGAUGGUUACAAUUGGAGGGCAAUCGAUUCGUAGGUGAGAUCCCACAAAGUUUGUCUAAAUGCUCCUCACUAGAAGGAUUGUAUAUUAACAAUAAUAGUCUUUCGGGUAAGAUUCCACGAUGGUUGGGUAAUCUCACAUGGUUACAAUAUAUUAUAAUGCCCAAUAAUCAUCUUGAAGGCCUUAUUCCAGUGGAGUUUUGUCAGCUUGAUUCGCUUCAGAUUUUGGACAUUUCAGACAACAACAUAUCUGGAAGUUUACCAUCUUGUUUCCAUCCUCUCUCUAUCAAACAAGUUCAUCUUUCAAAAAAUAUGUUACAUGGACAACUAAAAAGAGGUACAUUCUUUAAUUGCUCUUCCCUUGUGACAUUAGAUCUUAGCUAUAACCGCUUGAAUGGCAACAUUCUGGAUUGGGUUGAUGGGCUUUCUCGGUUAAGCCACCUGAUCUUAGGUCACAAUAAUCUUGAAGGUGAAGUGCCAGUUCAAUUGUGCGAAUUGAACCAACUACAAUUGUUAGAUCUUUCUAAUAAUAAUCUUCACGGUCCUAUUCCUCCUUGCUUUGAUAACACCACACUUCAUGAAAGUUACAGCAAUAGUUCUAGUCCUGAUGAGCAAUUUGAAAUAUUUUUUUCCAUCGAAAGCCCUGUGGGAGAUGUAAAAGAGCAAAUCCAUGAAAUUUUUGAGUUAACAACAAAGAACAUUGCGUACAUUUACCAAGGAAAAGUGUUUAGCCUCCUAUCAGGACUUGAUCUUUCUUGCAACAAGCUAAUCGGUCAUAUUCCUCCUCAAAUUGGAAAUUUGACAAGGAUUCAAACAUUGAAUCUAUCGCACCAUAACUUGACAGGAUCGAUCCCAUCAACAUUUUCAAACUUGAAGCAUGUCGAAAGUUUGGAUCUUUCCAACAACAAAUUGAAUGGAAAAAUCCCUUAUCAACUAGUGGAGUUAAAGACAUUGGAGGUUUUCAGUGUGGCAUACAAUAACUUAUCAGGCGAAAUUCCAGAAUGGAAAGCACAAUUUGCAACCUUCAACGAGAGUAGCUAUGAGGGAAAUACUUUUCUUUGUGGACUGCCAUUGCCCAUUUGCAGAUCACCAGCAACUACGCCGGAGGGUUCAAUCGGCAAUGAACGAGAUGAUAAUUUAAUUGACAUGGACAGUUUCUUUAUCACAUUUACAACAUCGUACGUAAUUGUGAUAUUCGGAAUUGUUAUUGUUUUAUAUGUAAAUUCUUAUUGGCGACGUAAAUGGUUUUACUUUGUUGAAAUGUGGAUAACUUCAUGUUAUUAUUUUAUUGUAGACAAUCUUAUUACAACAAGAUAUUGUCAUUGAAAUUAAUUAGCAGUUUAAUUACGAUUCUUUAAGUUCUAAUCAAGUUUGCACUUGAUCGCCUAUUUUACUUUAAAAAAUAAUGAUUAUGGUGCUAUCAUCAUCUUCUUCACUAGCAACAUUAACACCAAAUCCAGCGAUGGACCCAGACAUUUUAUCAAGAUAUCCACCAUAACUUAUACUUCCCUAUACUGUGCAGCCUACUUAAAUAAGAGAACCAUCUCCAAUGUUAAAACCAGCCACUCUAUAACAUUCAUUUAGAAACUAUAUUUAGAACUCUCCAAUCCACCCACCAGAAUUUCAUAUCUCCUCAACAAUUUUAAGAACUAAAGAUAAUUAGGAUAUAACAUUAGUUUUUUAUAUAUUAGUUUCAUAAUUUACAAAUCAAUGAAGAUGAAGAUUAUGUUAAUGAAUUCAAAUUAUACCAUACAUUCUCGAGAUGCUACCAAAAAUUUCUAAGUCAAUCCCACAUAUUUCAUAAUUUUAAGACUAGAAAAUUUCAUUAGGUAGAAGUUUCAUUACCUUCAAGUGGAAGAUGAAGAACAUUAUACAAUUGAUUCAGAUUAUAUCAUACAUACUCCAAAUGCAACUAGAAAUUAACAAGUUCAUGCGCACAGAUUUCAUAACAUUAUGAAUGGAAAGUUUCACAAAGAGAAAUUAUAAAUUCAAUCUCUUGCAUCAAGGUAGUUUGAUUGAUUUGAGUUACUUUCUGAUCAAGCUAUUAAUAUAACAUUCAAGUCAGGGAGAAAGUAAAUUAAAACUGGGAAGAAAUAACAGUAAAAAUUUGUUGCUAAACAUGAUGUGUAUUUUUUUUUUAAGGCAAUUUGGAAACACAGUUGUUACUACAGAUAUUCUCCUCAACUUAGAGAUAAUACAAAUAUUAAAAUGCAUAUGAUCGCACAUAUUACUUUGGAAGCUUAGUAAGAUUUCAUUAAGAGAAGCAAAUCAAACCACUUAUUUCAUUGUUGCAUCGUUCUAUAAGCUAAAAUAGCAAUAUAAUACAAGAAAAAGAACAUAUAGAUACUUGGCAAGAGUUCAUUAAGAAGUCGCAUCACAUUCGGGUGAGUUUGCUUCUGAUAUCUUGCUAGCUGGGGCUUUUUCUUGUCUUUCUAUGUAUGCCGAGGGAAACCAACCAGCUUGGCCCUUGCAUUCACCUUCCGACCAUCCAGUAGGAGCCACCUUGAGAAGUUAUAACUAAAACAGUGAAUUAAACAACAGUUGACCAUUCAAAGACCUAAGGGGAAAACUAAUUCUUUUACGUAGGAAGAGUGAAUUAAUUCUGAUCACUGAAAUAACAGCAUAACUAUGGAAGCCUAAAAAGAUAUAAAUUCACACGUCUAUAAGGGUAAACUGGGUGGUUUAGAACUGAGCUAGCAACCCUACCAUAUUCUGAUUUGCACUUCAAUGUAAAAGGGAAUAUAUGGUAUGAAGAAAGAAAACCAACCAUCAUUUGUUAACCCAUUGCUUUUCAAUCAAAAUUUUAAGAACAAAAUGCCAUGUGCUUUGAACAUCAAAUAAGUAUAAGCAUUAGUUCUAAAUUCCACAUAUCAUAAGUUAGAAGGAUAAGUUAAUAGCAUAGUAGAAAAAUCUGUGUUGUUAUUUAGAGGGGAAAGUACCUGGCGAACCACAACAUAAUCAUCAAUUGAAAGACUUAACUCUCCAUUUGCUUGAGCAUCAAAUGGAUGUAUAACCUGCAAGAUAAUGGGAUAAAUAGAACUUAAUCUCAAAAAAAGCAUAACAAAAGCAGCAACAGUAUCAGCAGCGUUCAUUGUAACCACUAUGAUCAUGGCCAACAAAGAUAUAUUAGAAACAAAAUUCCAUUUUUACUACGGCAUUAAUAUGCACUAUAUGAUAUCAUGACGAUUGGGUUACCAAGAGCUAUCAAAGUCCAAUAAAUUCUGUAUAACUUUAUGUAGUUAUUCAAAUUAUGGAUCAGAUUUUAAAUCUGAAAUUUUGACUGCUCUCCACAAAACAUGGCCUAUGCACAAGAAGGUCAUAGAUAAUGAGGAUUACAAGUGUUUGACAUCUUUAGAGUGAUGGAUUUAAGAUGACAGCUUAUGGUCAGUCAAUUUCCUCCGCCUAGCAAUAUAAGCUUUCUCGGCCGGAUUUAUCAUCAAAUAUAUAGAUUGCCCCCAAGUCACAUCCAUAUAAACAUAGUUUUUCUAGGUAAACCAAGUAAGGAGAAUCAUAAUUCAGACAUAAUCAUAAAAAGGCCCAUCUAACUUAAGAGAAAAUCUCAAAAAGAGGAAUGUUGAGCUAUCAUUCUUGUAUCUAUAAGCAAUAUCAAGACUUUACAUCACCUGCUACAUCGUGAGUGGCUACACAACUUUCAGUGGUUUGUCUUUCUUUGGCAUGCCUAACUCAGCUUUGAUGUUGCUGAGAUAUUGAUGGUAGAGACACAUGAUACUUCUAGCUCAUGCAUUCUAUCUAGCUCAUUCGACAGCUAUCUCUUUUUUAAUUCAUUAGUGUUUGCUAAACCUCAUGCUUAAAAAUCAUGCUGUUCUAAACAAAGUUUCCUAAGAAUGACUUCCUCAGCACCACACUUAGACACUUUUAGAGCAAUUUUAUUUGGGGGAAAAGAAUUUUCAAGGUGUUAACUAAUAAAUUUUAAAAAAUAAUUACAAUUUGUCCUACGAUUAUAUGACAAUUUAUCUAGGAUGAAAGGAUACAGACAGACAUCUUCCACUUUCAAGACUAAUCACUACUUCCGUAGAUGUUUUGCAAUAACACAAAUACUUGACCAGAUGGUAGUGAUGGUAGAAAAUAUUUUAUUGCUCCAAAAUUAAAAUAAGAAUGCAAUAUGUUAAGCAAAAGACUGUGCAACAUCAAAUUAAUUGAUAAGUUUGUAAUUCAGUAAAUUAACAACUUUCAUGGUAAAAUACAACAAAUUUCUUUUCAAAAAAUUUUUUUAAAAGACAGCAUUCAAUUUUGUGCGCAUCUUAUUUCUUAAGAUUUUCCAGGAGGGCAAUAGAGGGACUUUCACCUAUGCAAGAGAGCAGAAGCCUUACUUUCGCUAUAAAGUAGACGUCAUUCUGAUUAAUAUGCGUUUGCAAAUCAACUCCAUUUGAAUCAGUAUUCUGAUAGACACAUGAGGCAUUUACAUCCAUUUCCAAAGUCACAUGUUGCGAGGAGGACUCAUUUGAUUGCUCCUCUAGGAUCAUCUAAUUCAAGUAGCAAGGGUUGGAAGAGAAUAAAAAGUCACAAUUAUUCUUUUGCAUAAGUGAGACGAAAAUGAUAAAUGCACUAUUAUCAGCAGUAAACAAGAAGAGAACACUCCAAGGAAUAGAUAGAUGCGGACAAGCAAGUUAAAAUGCACAGUUCCAAACCUCCGCAUACAACUUCUCUGAAAUAGCAAUAACGUGUUGAUGAUAUGUUUUCUCAGCAUCUACCUUUAAAGGCCCGAGACCAGGAAAACAACAAUAAAACCACUAGCUAAAGGAGAAAGUAAAGAAAGAAAUACACUUGACAUAAAUCUUGACAAGAAGCACAAUUUAAGACAUAACAAACCCCAAUCAUAUUGUUUAGGACUACCAUUCGUUAUUUCGUUAUUGUAGCAUUUAGAACAAGUGUUGACUUAAUUCAACAUUGUUGGAAAGAUAGGCUUUUAGAAGCGGAAGAAAGCCACUCAAACCAAAGUGAUUGCCCUUGAAUUGAUCAAGGGAUGUAAACAUAUUACAUUUCCAGGAUGAGUUUUAAUCACUCCCCUGAUUUAUUUGGGUUGCAGUAAAACUAAGCGAGCAACUGUUUGACUUUCAAGCAACAUCUAAAUCAGCUAUUAAAAUUCAAAUAAAAUCAUAAUAGAAUAAUAACAGGCCAUCUUGCAUCAAAAAUUAAGUUUAAUUUGUGAAUUGUUUUCUAUAGACAUGUUAGUUCCUGCUAUUGAAAUGUUAAAAGCAUUGAAAAAUGAUUCAAUAAAUUAUGCAAACAUUAAAAUAGAGGACAUAUUAAAAAGUUUCUAAUUACAAUGUUAAGAUUUCCUAUAUUUUAGCAUUUGCAUAUUUUAAUUUAUGUAAAAGCUACGUCGAUCAACUUUGGGCGUGAAGAUUUUAGCUUCUACGAGACUUGAUUGGAAUAUGCAUAAGGAAGAGUGUUAAAAUAUGAUGCAUCCAACGAAAGACAAACCACGUGUAGUCUUUUAAUUAAGCCAAAGUAGCAGCUCAAACAAAUGACACUUGGACCAACAUGCAAUCAUGAAGGGGCCGGAAAAAGGACAAAUGCAACUUUGGCUUAAAUAAAAAAUAACAUGUGACUUGACUUUUGCUGGACAUGCAUCAUGUUAUUACAAGACAACAGAAAUCAGUAUGAUAGUACUAAAAGUUGACAAUAACAUGAAGAUAAGAGGCAGAAUAUCAACACAUGCAUAGGCACACACAAGGAAGUAUUAACUUAUAUACCAUAGCAAAAAGUCUUUGAAAUAUCAAUAAAAAAAAAACAAUUAAUUAAAGGUCGAAGAUGGGUCCUUUACAUAUGUUUUUGUUUUCGUAUUAGGUAGGAGGUUAUUAUAUUAUAUCAUGUAAUUAAUUUAUAUUAUAUCAUAUUAUAUCAUAUAUAUAUGAAAAAAAAAAAGAAUUUCAAAGAGAUAGCAACAUACAAUAGACUGAAGCCAUUUGAUCUACUCAUUGAUUUCAGCCUUAAACUUGUAAAUACUUACUGUACGCUAGUGCUCUAAGAAGUGAAAAUGAUGCAAACCCUGAUCCCCUUUUGACUUCCAUUUACUGUCAAAUAUUCUAUUCAUACGAAAAAAAUGUUUAGAUAUCUUACUAUAAAUAUAGCCGUUUGACUGUCUUAAUAAAGUCACACACAACCAUUCUUAUUAAAUUAGCAAGAUCAAACACUGCCCUGGAUCUUGAACAGAUCCACGCAAGUUGCACAACUUACGAUUGAAUCCGGCCAGAAAAAAUCAACUCUUUAGCAAGAAAAAUUAAUCAGAGUCAAGAAACAAGUUUAAUGAAUAUAAACCUAUAAUUGAAACAAACAUAGCCAAGAAACAAAUAGAGAUUUUACAUGUUUCAGUUGUACCAAGGAUGGCACAACCUACACCACGGGAGAAGCUUUCUGGUGACCCCAAUCUGCUUAGUUAAUAAUAGAGAUUUCAGAGAAUAAGCUAUAACCCUCUCUCCCUCUUCAGUCUCUCUCUAUUUUGUUCCCAUUGAUGACCCCAAUCUGCUUAGUUAUCCAGCUUUAUAGCUGCAUCAGUAACAAACCAGCAAACCCAGAUUGAGCAGAUUGACGACACGUGGAUAACGGCUUUAACGAACCUGGUUAAGAACUGCUCACAUGUUCGUCACGCGUGCUGCUUAAAUGAUGGCCAAAACGACUUCAAACAAAUGUCGUUUUGAGGCUUAUGAAUUACAAGUGAUAACACGAGCUUGUCUCAUGACUUUUAAAUGCAACAACGUGCCCACAACGCCGUCGUUUUACUCUGUUGAGUUUGAUUCAUUACUAAGCUUUACGACUGGCAAUGGAGAAGAUGAUAAUUUAAUUGAUACGGACAGUUUUUAUAUCACUUUUACAACAUCCUAUGCAAUUGUAAUAUUGAGAAUUAUUGAUGUUUUAUAUCCUCAUUGGCAAAAACUAGUGGUUUUAUCUUUGUUGAAAUAUAGAUGACCUCUCGUUACUGUUUUAUUAUAAACAUAUAGUUUCAUAAGUGAAACUAUAUGUUUAUAAUAAAAUUAACAUAUAGUUUCGUUACAUUUCUGCCUCAUUAAGAUUCUCAAAUACCAGUCAGGUUUGCUUAAGAAAUAAAAAUUUUCCAUUAAAAUUGCAGUAGUAUUUCCAAGCAUAUCGCAUUUUCUAUGAUUUUUCAUAAAUUAAUUAAUCUGCGGUGCCAAUAUCAGAUUUAGUUUUUCAAACUAAAUAAUCAAGAAAGCAAACAUACAAAUAUACAUACAAAUAUACUAAGCCAGCUACCUCACUAAAUUCCGAUUCGUACAGUGAACUGCAAGAAAUUGAGAAAACAAUGUAUUUAUAAUUUAAUAGAAUCAUAAGAAAACAAUGUAGUCAUUGCUUAAUAUAAGAUGAUUUCGGAGAGCCACAUUGUUUUCAAGUUAAUUUGAACCGUUUAUAAGAGAUGAAGUGGAAUCAAGUUGAAAGUUUAAAUAACAAAUCCCUGUUCUUGAGUUUUACGACGUCGUUACUCCUUCAAGUGGCAGAUUAUGCAAGUGAAUGCAGAAACAUGUGCAGAGCAUGUCAACAUGGCACAUUUAACCAUCAUUCAAGUGAUGAUGGGUUUUAUAAGACUGCUUAUGGGUUUUAUCAAGUUCCUCUGCCUCUAAGCAAAAAAUUAAAUUCGUAAUUUGUAAACGAAUUUUCCUGACAUGUAUAGUAAAUGAAGUUGUUGAUCCUUUCUUUGGAUUAUUGCAGCUCUGGUUGUGGGUCACCGAUGAGCCAAAGUCUUAUGGGUUUUAUCAAGUUCCUCUGCCUCUAAGCAGAAUUACUAUUGAAGGGCCAAAAAGAAAAUGAAAACGUGUGAACUCCAACAACCACCCCACAAAUUCAAUGACGAUGCUCAGAGACGGUUACGUUGGGCCUCUGAGAAAAAAAAUUUAUUUAGUUAAAAAAUUACCCAUAUUGAAACAUGUAUAAAAAUUUUAUAUUAAUUAGUUAUGUUUCCUCUUCAACUAUGAUCAAAUUCUUAUUCGAGCUCAUUAUUUAAUGAAUAAACGCGUAUUUUAAUUAUCUCAAUUAAUAUUUAGAACAAAUAUUUUAAGAAAUAAAGCUCAUUACAUCUCCCAUCAUUAGGUAUCUCUUUAAUUUCUUAUUUACAAAAUUAUAUUGUACAUUAAAAAUGUAUUGAAUUAGAAGAAAAUAAAUUCAACUCACUCCAAAAAUAAAUAAAAAAUGCUGGUAGCUUCGUAAUAAUUACUGUAUUGACUGCACCAGAUAAAGUUUUGUAAAAUAAUAAGUUCCCAUUAGAGGUUUUUAAAUUUUUUUUUCCGGCACACCUGAUCAAGAAUUCUAUUUUGUUAACUAAUCAAUUGCAAAGCAUAAGUGUUGAACGGUACAAAAAAUUUGAAAAAAACACUUAAAACGUGGGGUGGGUAACGGUUCACUCAAUUCGUUAGGUAGAAUUUUGGAAAACUAAAGCGAAAUGAGAAAUAUAGAAAGAAAGGAAGAAAGUUAAGAUAUGAAAGAUCAGCAGUGAAAUUGAUAGUCAUGUUUGAUUCAUCCUUCUAUGAAUUUCUAGCUGUAUUGACCCCAACUGCUAAAGUUUUGUAAAAUAAAAAAAAAAAAAAACUGGAAUUUCAACAAAAUUCAAAACGUGUGAAAUUUAAUUUUUGGCCAUGUGGAACAAAAUGUAAAUUAAGGAAAAAAAGUAUAAAUCUGAAUUGCUUAGUAUGGUUAGGAUUUUGUGAGCAUCACUAAAAAGUGAAAACUAUGAAUGAUAGAGGUGAUGUUUGCAACAUGAAUAAAUGAUGAACUGAAUCAAUUGAUGAUCGUAAUUAUAUAAAAUUUUACAAAAUCAACAAAAGUUAAUAAAAUUUUAUUUAAAUAAUAAAAAAUCAAUAAAAACUUAUUAUUUUACGACGCUCUAACCAUGGAGUACCAUAAUCAUAUUCUUCUUUUAAGAAAAUUAUUCUAGAUAUUUAAAAGAAAACAUUAUCCACCUGGAAUGACUUGAAGUCUAAAGAAAAAGAGAGAAUGGCUCCCCGCAAUUUUCUUGUCUUCAGUAUAUUUUCUUUUUUUUUUCUUUUUUAAAAUCUUUUGCCGCAUACUUAAUCUACCCUUGUUUAUUAUCUCUACUUUGCUCUGUUCAAGUCCUUUUUUUUUUCAAAUCUUAUUUUAAAUAAGAAAAUUGAAUAAAAGUACAUUUGUGUAAUUAAUUAGUAUCUGGGGGGGGGGGGGGGGGAUAUUUGGUGUAAUGUUUUGCUAUGUAAGACUCAGCUAUUAUUAAACAGUUCCUUAACCUGUUUCGCAGUUUAUUUGCUAUCUUUGUGGAUCUCAUAGGCGUUGCAGAAUUUAAUAAUUUUAUUCGUCAGAAGAAUAGGAUAUUGGCUUCAAUAAAUUUAAUUUAAACCAACUUUUAUUUACUCCAUCAAUUAAUUAAUAUUAUGCAUUUAUUAAUUGUUAUAAUCUAAAAAAAAUUAAUUAGUUCAGGUCAAUCUGAGUUGAUGCAUCUGCAGGAGAUUUUUUUUAAAUUUUUUUUUCCCCUUAUUGACCAUAAUGAUCUAAGGGGUAUAAUUCGACCUUGGUUCUUGGGAAAAAUGACAUCUCCUUCAACAUGACUAUUGACUAGGAGCAUGUAAAAACAUGGAAACAGAAUUUCCACAAAAUGCCAAACGUGUGGAACUUAAGUUUUGGCCAUGUGGACCAAAUGCAAAUGAAGGAAAAAUGAUUUCCCCUGCUUAUGUACAAAUAAAGGAACAACCUCGAAGAAAAAGGGGUUACCAAUUGGAGAAGACUUUACAGAGUUUCUCUCACACUCUCUCUGUCAAUUUCAUCUAGAAGUCCCUCUGAAAGCAUCUCCCAAAACAGUUAGUCAUCUUUUAUGCUCUGUUUUCUAGAAACAGAGUCCUAACUAAAUUGAUUGACUGUACAGUGCAUUUCAACAUAGCAUAUUUAACCGUUUUAACUGUUAUUUGAACCGUCUUCAGAGUUAACAUCAACAAACUCAUUCACAUUGGUCCAAUCUUACGGACGAUAUCAUAUGCUUAAUAAUGAACGAAUUGGAUCAGUGUUUUGCGGCAAGAGCAACUCGACACAAUCUGGAUUCAACCUCCUCCUAUCUAACAAGGGAUUUCGAUUUGAGUUACUUUGUGCUCAAGCAAAUUCACAUCAUAGUUUUGAUUCUUUAGAUAUGAAUUCAUCACUUUACAUAUAUCAGAUUAAUGUGUAACAAAAUUUUUAAUUUACUGCGAAAAGAAUAUGCACUAAAAAAUGAUUUCAAGACUAUUUGACUACCAAAAGCAGCUGUCAGAGUGCACUAAAAAUUUCUGUAGGAUAUUUUGUAGCUGUUUAAUAUGUUAUGAUGGGCAUAUAAUUCUCAAAUUUUGAUGCCUCUCAGCGAAAAUCUAUCAAAGUUACAGAUGAUAUCACGUAAAACAUGCAUGGCUCAGGCUCAGGCUCAGGUAAGAAGCCACGGAAAAGGAAAAUCUCACUGUCACGACUCACGUCACGCAUCAUUCAAGUGAUGGAUUUAACAAGACUGCUUAUGUUCUAUCAAAUUCCUCUGCCUCUCAGAAGAUAACUUUUCUGGGCCAAAUUUCUCAUCUAAAGCAUAUUAUGCCCCAAAGUCACAGAUAACAAAAUGGGGCACUACCGAUUAUGAAAGAGAACUAGUAGUUGUCAGAAGCCUAAGUCAAAUUCCGGUAGUAAGAAGAGGCCUUUCUUGAGUUUAGAUUAUGUGUUCGAGUUUUAAUAAAUGCCUGAGUUAAUAAUAAUAACAACAGUAAUAAUAAACUAAAAAGCAUAAUUACUAUUGAAUGGUAAAAAAAAAAAAAUUGUGUGAACUCCAAUAACACCCCAGUGGCGAAUUUUGGAGAGGGCUAGGCCGGGCUUCUUAGAAAAAAAAAAUAUUUAAUUACAAAAUUACCUUUAUUGAAACCUAUAUAAAAAAUUUAUAUUAAUUAGUUAUGAUGCCUCUUCAAUUAUCAUUAAAUUCUUGUCUGUUCAUCAUUUGAUGGAUAAAUGUGUAUUUAAAUAAUCUUAAAUAAUGUCUAGAACAAAUAUUUUGAAUGGUAAAACUCAUUAUGUCUUGCAUUACUAGAUGUAUCUAUAAUUUAUUAUUUACAAAUUAUAUUGUAUGAUAAAAAUGUAUUGAAUUUUUUUUUUAAAGUUCGGCUCACUCAGAAAAAAAAAUGUUAUUAGACUCGCCACUGCACAAACCUAGAAUAAUAAUUAUUCCUUAUUAUAUUGACUGCACCAGGCAAUAAACUAAUAAGUUCUCAUCAGUGGUUUUUAAUCUUUUUAAUUCUUUUUACCGCACACCUGAUCAAGAAUUCUAUUUUGUUAACUAAUCAAUUGCAAAGCAUAUAUUAGUGUUGAACGGUGCACAAAAUUGAAAAAACAAAAUCUUAAAAAACGUGCGGACUCGGAUAGCCAGACCAGAAAUCUAUGACAAUAAUUAGAUUUGAUGCUGGGAAUCUAUUAAUUUCUGGCCGUAUUGACUCCACCAGUGAAGUUUUUAAAAUAACAAGUUCCCAUUCUCGGCUUAUAAUAAUUUUAGAAUAAUGACUUAUUUGUAGAAGAAUUUAUGAUUUCCCAUUAAUAUCAAUAUUGAAGUGGCAUGGGUCAAAUCUCAAUUGCUUGAAGAAUCUAUUUAUUAUUAUUAUUAAUAUUGAAAUGGGGUGGGUAACGGUUCACUCAAUUAAUAUGUGGGGAAUUAAAUAUUACCACCCAAGGUAGAAUUGUGGAAAAUUAAAGCAAAAUGAGAAAUAUGGAAAGGAAGGCUGAAAGUAAGGCAUGAUGAAAGGCUUUGAGAAGGCUGAAGACCACCAAAUAAGUCAACUGAAAGCUAGUUGGGGCCUGGUAUAUAUGUUAGAUGUGUUUGUUAUAAAUAACAUAGAGCCCUUUUGUUAGCUAUAGCUAUGGAGACAGAGAGAGUUUGUGUUUUUUAGUAGUUAAAGAUAUAGCUAGAAUGGGUGGUUCAAAAUCCAAAAUGGUGACAACGUUAGUUUUGUUAUUAAUAAUAUUAGAAGGGGGUGAAGUGAGGAAUGUUUGGAGCUUGAGAGAUUUGCUCUUUUGCGGCUUAAGCAUUUCUUCAAUUCUCCUUAUAGACUUUAAAACUAGGUAGACGAGCAAAGAGAUUGUUGUCAGUGGGAAACCGUUGAGUGCAGGAAAGUGAUACGACUACAUCUUAGUCUUACCAGGAAUAUCGAUCUGGGAGAGUGGUCUCUGAAUGCUUCUCUAUUUACUCUCUUUCAACAACUUGGCAACAAAAUAGCCGGUUGGGUUAAGAACGAAGGUCCUUCAUUUAAUUUAAUUUACUUAAUUUCUCCCUCUUAAUUAAUGUCUAUAACCAUUAGGAGAAAUAAGGGAUUUUAUUAACUCAAAUAUGUCUAAUGGAGCUCAUUCUUUGGUUUUACUUGCAGGUCUAGAAGCAGGUGUGUCAUCUAACAGCUGCUUUGAUAAUUUCCCACACCUUCAUCUUUGAUGGAAAUAUGAAAUAAAAACAAAUUGGUGAAAAUGGUAUUGGUACCUGAGGCCAUGUAAUCUAUUUCAAAAACUACACCAUCAAAACGAUUACAUAAGUCUCAGAAGAAUCAAACAUCAGUUUUGCAAAAUACCAAUUGCUGGAGGCUAGAUUCUAACUUCCCCUCUUGAUUUUUAUGGGCAUGUUGUGUCGUACAUGCAGACAAAAAUCAUAUUUUACUUUACUUAUUUCUUACUUUCACUUGCAACCCAAAGUGGCAAGAAAUAAAUAACAUGCUCCGAUUAGCUGGACAAAAGGAUGAUGACAAUCGAGUCGAUAUUAUAUGCAGAGUUUUCGAGAUAAAAUUAUUCCAACUAAUGCAAGAUCUGAAAAAAGAUCAACCAUUUGGAAAAAUAAUUGCAUGUAAGUUCACUUCAAAUUCGUAUACAUAACAAAUUCAACUCAUUUGUUAUUGAAAAGUGCAGGGAAGAACAAUAAUUUCACAAUUGAAAUCAAUGUUUCUAACUUUUAAAUUUUACUCCAUUUUGUGGCAGGUCUAUAGACAAUUGAGUUUCAAAAAAGAGGCUUGCUGUUGUGCAAAUUUUAAUGUACUCGCAAGCGCACGAAUCUAUUGUAGUAUAGAUCAAUGGUGACGAGUGUCGAUCCCACGAGGAGGUGGAUUUUAAUUGUGUAGAAUUAAUUUUGUGAAUGGGUGAUUGGAUUUUGUGGUGAAGGUGACUUAGAUUAUCCUAAAAUUGGAAUUGAAAUGGCGAGAAUAACUUGAAGAGAAUUCUAUUGAAAUGACGUACUUGGGUAUCUGGAUCCGUAUCAACAUGCAUCAUGGGCUAAAUAAUCUGUAUUAAUGCCAAUUAAAUCAUGAGGGGGGAAUCCACACUUCAUGAACCACGCUCUAAUCAAUAUGGUGCUAAGGGCUUAUCGUGCCAAAUAAUAAUAACCUUGUACUAGAGGGCCGGUGAAACCAAGGCGGUACUAGACAAGAUUAGUAUUAUUUAUCGACGAGAAGUCAAAACAUCCACAAAAACUAGAGGGGAAGAGAAAAUAAAUUUACCAAAUUAAGCCCAUGACACAUGUUGAGACUUCACCUUCAACCCAAGCUUGAAAGAAAAUUAGCCACUCAUAAUUGAACUAGGGGUAAAAUGGGAAUUUAUUACAAUACGAAGAAAAUACAAGAUGGAGAGGGAAUUACAGAAAACAGAGUCCAAAAAUGGAUUCAGAGGUAUCAAAUUAGGGGGGGGGAGGCCCCCUUUUUAUAGAUACAUGGAGUAAAUCAUGGCCAUCGGAUUAAAAACAGUUUGGACGCUCAGGAUUGCGCCACGUCAUCAGUCAACAGUCCACGGUUUGACCACGCGGAUGAACAGUAAUACGGUUUGACUCGGAUGAACAGUAACGUGGUUUGACUCGGAUGAACAGUAACGCAGUUUGGUUGAAAAUAAUCCUGUGUGAUGCAUGUACCGUACGCGAGAUUUUUCAUCCACUGAUAUGCUGCCACGUCACCAUCAACAGUACAUAAGAAUUUUAGCCCAACAGGAUCGUGACACCUCAUCAGUCAAUGCCACAUCAUCGGUCAAUGCCAUGUCAUCGAUCCGUCUAUGUGAACAGUGUUGUGAACAGUAACGUAGAUAGUACCGUACACGUGAAUAGUACCGUACAUAUGAAUAGUGCCAUUUUUCCUUUUAUGCUUCUCCUAAGGUUUUCGACCGUCCUGAGUUCAAAAGUGAUGUUCGUUUUGCCGUCUGAUCUCUCCUUUAUUGUGAAAUGACUAUAAUGCCCCUAAAAUACAUAAAAUACUUAAUUAAAAUAAAACACAUGUAAUUAAAUCACAAGAAGGUUAAAUACAUAAAAGUAAGGGUUGUUAGUAAGACUUGAAAUGUAAAAUGACGGUUUUCUCCUUUAUAAAUAUGCAUUUUCUAACACUCAACACACCCCCCAACCAGCUUAUUGCUAGUCCCUAGCAAAUAAAGCGAAAACAAAAUUUAAUUCAAAAUAUUUUUUUUUUUUAAUAAAAACACUCGUAUUUAUUCCAUCAGAUUAAUGAUAGCAAUCAAAUAAAAGUAUAAGCAUUAUCUCCAGUCUAAAGCAACAUCACACCCACAUCAACCAUCCACAUGAAUCAGCCCAGUAGACUUUUUUAUAGCUACUUUCAAGAAUGACAUGUCAAACCCCAAAAUCUCACUGGAAGUAGUGACACUCUCACAAAGAAAUUAAAACCAAUAAAAAUAGUCACUCCAAUGAAUGGUAAUUGAGAGAGAAAAUAAUAAAGAAGUGAUAUCACAUGCUCUCACCAAGAUGAAAUAAAUAUGCCCUUAGCUUAUAAAUAAUACGAUCUCAAGUCAAACAAAAAUGGUAGUCAACCCAAUUUAUUUAUCUUUUAUUUAUUUAUUUUUAUUAUGCACCACUACAUCUUUUUAGCCCAUAUAACUAGCUUCUACUUCAAACUAUAGUUCCCUAAAAUCAAGAAGGACUUUUAUUAGGACGUAACGUAGGCUAGGGAUAUGGCUAACAAAGAAAGGAAAUAAGGAAAACAAAGUGUAUGUUUGAGAAAAAUGCAGAGAAUUUUUUUUUUUUUUUGGAAGUUGCAAGGUGGAUUUCACCUAUUUUUAUUCUUUUGAAACAACAACUUUUGUUUUUGUUUUUUUUUUUGCUUUUAUUUGGCAUAACUUCACUGAACAAAAUAAUUAUUUACAUUUUCUCAAACAUAAAUAGGUGAUGGAACUUAUAAGAUAUCGGGUAACACUCCAAAUCGGAGUGGGUCAAGAUGAUAAGUUGACAAAGAAAAUGAUUUUUUUUUUAAAGGCUCAAAAUGGUUAACUAUGGAUAUUUAAUAAAAGGGAUGGCUAGAAAGGCUCAAACGGAUCAAAGAUGGCCUUUCCAUCGUCUUUUAGGGCUCUAAAUAAUCAUCCAUAUCUACUAGUUAGAUGGGCCUCCCAAUGUAGCAACACACAUUUUUUUUUCUUUUUUUUUAUUUUACCAUUUUUUUUUAAGGGUUAACGCAAAAGAAAUCUAGAGAUCGUGUAUAAAAUAAUAAACUGUUAAGCUGUAUAAAGAAUGGGCAAAAGGGUUACUCUCCAAGAAAAAUGAUAGGCUCAAAAACUCACUUAGUACUUAUUAUGACAUGUUCAUUCCUUCAAGCAACUCAUAUAUGUCUCCGACAUCAACAUGUAGAGUAGCAAACAUAAUGUAACAUCACUUAAGACCAAAGAUAAUACAAAUACUAAAAUUUGAAAUUAAUCAUGUCAUCCAAUGUUAAAACAAAUCACACAAUUUUUAUUUUUUUAAACAACAUUCUACCCCCCAACCUAUUCUAAACAUGAAAGGAAAAAUAUGCAUGCAGGAAUGUGAAAAUGAUGCAUAAAAACUAAUUAAAAAAAGUUACACUUAAAAUGAUAGAAAACGAAAAUGGGUUUUUUUUUUUUAACUUAGAAGAUGCGUUUCUAGAGGCACUACUCUCCAUAUUCAGCCAUCUUCGACUCAAAAUUUUGAAAAUAUAUAUUUAUAAGGAGAAAUUAAAAAGAAGAAGAAAAAUAAACAUCAAAACAUAAUAAAGAAAAAAAAAAUGUCUGAAUUUUUUUUUUUAGUUUUUUUUUUAAUUUUUUUUUUAAAACGAUGAAGAUGCGUUUCUAGAGUCACUACACUCCAUAUUCAGCCAUCUUCAACACAAAAAGUUAGCAACAGUUAGUUUCUACAACAAAAAAUUAGUAAAAACCUAACCAAAAUUCCACAAUUGUCGACUAUUCCCUCCCCCCAACCAGAAUGAAACAUUGUCCUCAAUGUUUGAAAGGAAAGAAGUAGAGUUUAGAAGACAUCACCUGGGUGGUGCAACACAGAAGAAAAUAUUUACAGGCGGAGAGUUAAAUCUAAUUUGUACUUCUUACUGCUGCUACUGUUACCAUCAUUAUUUGGACGCUCCAACACAAAGGUCCAGGGGUCUGGCUCCGGUCUAUAAGCUUGUAACAGAUCAAGUAGCUCAUUAGCAGUGUGAGCACAAAUAAAGAGUUUUUUCACAUUAGCGGGAAUGAAAUAGUUUUUUAUUGCAUGGUUAAGAAAUGCGAUAAAGCCAUCAUAAAAGUUAUUGACAUUUAACAAACCGAUGGGUUUCUGGUGGAUGUGGAGAUGGGCCCAAGAUGCUAGUGUGAUAAGUGCCUCUAGUGUUGCAAGAUCUCCUGGAAGGAAAAUAAAAGCAUCAGCAUGAUUAAGCAUUUCAGUUAUUCUUUCUUGCAUACCUGAGACAACUAACUCUUCUCCAGUUGAUGAGUCAGACGAACUGCCCAACGGUUUUAGGACUCUUGGGAUGAUGCCUAACACUUGGCUGCCUCUGAUUAAAGCUGCUUCUGAGACCAUUUUUGAUAACCCUCGAUUACCUCCUCCAUACACCAAGUGUAAUUUUCUCUCUGCUAUACUUCGACCAAGAUCUAUGGCUGCCUCAACGAACUCUUUAUGUUUGCCAUAGGUAAAUCCGGAAAGCACACAAAUGUUCUUGAAUUGUCUAUUGGGAGUAGCUACCAUUGCGAUACUUCUCAAAAACAAUUUGUGAGUGCUUGACAAAAGAUAUCACAUUUAAGAGUCUUGGUGAUAGUGGGUCAUGGUUGUGUAUGAGGUAAUAUGUCAGUGUCAAAUAACGCUUAAAGCACGUGGCUCGCAAGUAAAAAAGGAAACAGUAAAAAUGAAAAAGUAAACAGUAAUAAGAAAAAAGCAAACAGUAAUAAAAUUAUUAAGGACAAUAAUACACACAAUAAACAAUAGUGAAAUAAAAUAACAGUAAAGUGAAAGGAUAUUUACAGGUAGUUGCGACUGUGGCUCACAUCUUCCUCUGGUUUUAUGUCCAGAAAUGGCUUGAACGCCCUCUAUGGGUCGAGGAUAGGCUUCCUAUCCAGUUUUCUUAUAAACUGGCAAACAAGGUCGUUUAUAGUCAGAUUCCCAAGACUAUAUCGUGCAUGCUCUUUCUGGAAUAAUGGCCAUAACUGGAGAAUCGCUCCUUGCACAUAUCCACUGGGAUGCGUUUCAAGAGACAAAAGGAUAUCAUCCAAUGACUCCUUAUUCAAGCCAUCCCUAAUGAAUUGAAUCUUAUCUUCCCUGUUAUCAGACAUCAUUCCUAAAGAACAUGGGUUUUUAUUGCAACUCAUUCUGGCACACUUAUGACAAGCAACAGAAAUUCUUCGAGCUCGUCGUUUUCUUGCAUAAUUUCCUUUACCACAACCAGGCAUGUAUGUAAUAAAUUUUGGAGGUAACUCACCUGCCGAUCGUACUUUAGCCUCAAUUAACCAACGGAUGUCAGCAGGUAUGUUAUUCCUCAUAAGUAAUCGCAUGCGUUCGGACCGAGCUUUAUAGACCGUAAGGAGGGCAUUCUGAGGAAGUGAAGGGAAUCGCUUGUGAAGCUUCGCUAGAGUCUCGUUUCUGUCCAUACUUUCGCCUCAGAAUAUCAGUUAUUAUGGGAAACUGAAGUAACCGACUUGAUUGUCACGGAGUACCGUUAUCCGCCACUUCACCGGGGUAACAAACUAAAGCACACAAAUAGAAAAAAAAAAUUAAAACACACAAAGAAAAUUAAAAUCGUCCUCUUAUUGAAUAUACCUCAAGCUCCAACUGGAUGUCGUAAACACUUCUCUCAAUGUCUCUGAGUUGGAGUUCUAAACCCUCAACAUAGGCUACUAACUCUGGUGGUUGUAGAGCCCAAAUGCGUUGUGUUUUACAAAAUUGAAUCUGCCUUUUGAGAUGAGUUUUGACACGUUGAAGUGGUUUAAGAAUGUUCAGGAGGAACGGUCUAAGUAAUGUACUCAUGAUUAAAAAUGAUAAAAGAAAACAUACUAGUUAAACAAAUACACUUAUACAAAAAUAAUUUCAAUUAGCAAAAGAAUAAUAUAAAGAAAGAAAGAAAAAUCAAAUCAACGAAAAGAAAAAUCAAUUCAAAUCUGGUGGGUCACUCAAAUUUAUUUCGGUGUCUUCUCCAUGUGAUUGGUAUUCUAGAUAUGGCUUUAAUCUUUGACCAUUAACUUUAAACGUGACACCGUUCUUUGGGUCCUUAAUUUCAAUUGCCCCAUGUGGAAAAACAGUAUGAACAAUAAAUGGGCCAGACCAACGAGAGCGUAACUUACCUGGGAAUAGGUGCAAGCGAGAAUUGAAUAAAAGCACUUUCUGACCUGGAGUGAAAGAUUUUCUCAUAAUUUGCUUGUCAUGGAAGACUUUCAUUCGUUGCUUGUAAAUCUUGGCAUUUUCGUAUGCAUCAUUGCGAAUUUCUUCAAGUUCUGCCAACUGUAAUCUUCUUUCUGAGCUGGCUUGCUGCAUGUCAAAAUUGAAUUUCUUGAUGGCCCAAUAUGCACGAUGCUCGAGUUCCACAGGUAGGUGGCAAGCUUUUCCAUACACUAGCCUGUAGGGUGACAUCCCAAUCGGGGUCUUGAAAGCCGUUCUAUAUGCCCAUAAGGCAUCAUCAAGUCUUAAUGACCAAUCUUUUCUGUCUGGCCUCACCGUCUUUUCUAAUAUGUGCUUUAUUUCUCGAUUGGAGAUCUCAACUUGGCCACUGGUUUGCGGAUGAUACGGAGUCGCCACUUUGUGUGUGAUUGAAUACUUUGUCAAAAGAGAUUUGAAUGCUUUGUUACAAAAGUGGGCACCACCAUCACUAAUUAUUGCUCGAGGGAAUCCAAAGCGCGAGACAAUGUUGCUUUUCAAAAAUCCUAUCACCACCUUGUGAUCAUUAGUACUGCAUGGAAUUGCUUCUACCCAUUUGGAUACAUAGUCAACAGCAACCAAUAUGUAUUGAUGGCCAAAAGAAGGGGGAAAGGGUCCCAUGAAGUCGAUACCCCAUACGUCAAAAAUUUCAACCACUAAAAUUGGAUUUAAUGGCAUCAUGUUCCUUCGUGUAAUGCUCCCCAUUCGUUGACACCUAUCACAUGAAGAACAAAAAGUGUAAGCAUCUCGAAAUAUAGUUGGCCAAUAGAAACCACAUUGCAAAACUUUAGUAGCUGUUUUCUUAGCACUGAAAUGGCCUCCACAAGCUUGUUCAUGGCAGAAUGAAAGGAUAUUCUGAAUUUCAUUUUCUGGGACACAUCGUCUAACAAUUUGAUCAACACAAUACUUGAACAAAUACGGGUCAUCCCAAAAGAAAUUCUUUAUCUCUGCAAAGAAUUUAGCCUUAUCUUGCUUGGUCCAAUGCUUUGGAAGUUGACCUGUAACAAGAUAAUUCACGAUGUCAGCAUACCACGGUAAUACUUCCACAUUCAUCAAUUGUUCAUCAGGGAAUGACUCAUUUAAUGGUAAUGGCUCUGUAGUUGUGUCAAAAUGGAGACGAGAGAGGUGGUCCGCCACAACAUUUUCUGUCCCUUUCUUAUCUUUGAAUUCCAAGUCAAAUUCCUGCAAAAGUAACACCCAACGAAUUAGUCUAGCUUUUGCAUCUUUCUUUGUGAGAAGAUAUUUAAGAGCAGCAUGAUCCGUGAAUAUAAUUAUUUUACAACCAAUGAGAUAAGAUCGAAAUUUUUCUAAUGCAAACACUACUGCUAGCAUUUCUUUUUCAGUAGUUGAAUAGUUCAACUGUGCAUCAUUCAAUGUCAUACUAGCAUAGUAAAUAACGUGGGGAAUUCGAUCAACUCUUUGUCCUAAUACUGCUCCUACUGCAUAAUCAGAUGCAUCACACAUGAGCUCAAAUGGUAAGUUCCAGUUCGGGGGCUGAAUGAUGGGUGAUGAUGUCAACAAAUGCUUUAAUUUUUCAAACGCAACAAGACAUGAAUCAUAAAAAACAAAAGGUACAUCUUUAGCAAGUAGAUUGCAUAAGGGUCUAGAAACUUUGCUAAAAUCUUUAAUGAAACGUCUAUAAAAACCAGCAUGCCCAAUGAAAGAUCUUACUUCUCUGACUGUUUUGGGUGAAGGAAGAUUAGAAAUGAGAUCCACCUUAGCUUUGUCAACCUCAAUACCUUUGCUCGAAAUGAUGUGACCGAGAACAAUACCUUGUUUUACCAUAAAAUGACACUUCUCCCAAUUUAAGACCAAGUUCUUCUCGAUACAUCUCUGCAGAACUAGUGUUAGAUGAUGUAAACAUUGAUCAAACGAAUCACCAAAGACAGAAAAGUCAUCCAUAAAGACUUCAAGGAAUCGUUCAACCAUAUCAGAAAAAAUGCUCAACAUGCAUCGUUGAAAUGUAGCAGGUGCAUUACAUAAUCCAAAUGGCAUCCUCCUAUAUGCAAAAGUGCUAAAGGGCAAGUGAAAGUAGUUUUCUCUUGAUCUUUUGGUGCUAUGGGAAUCUGAUUAUAUCCUGAGUAGCCAUCUAGAAAGCAAUAAAAUUCAUGGCCUGCCAAUCUAUCAAGCAUUUGAUCGAUAAAUGGUAAAGGAAAAUGGUCUUUACGUGUGACAGAAUUCAACUUUCUAUAAUCAAUGCAUACACGCCAUCCUGUAGUCACUCUAGUGGGUAUCAAUUCAUUAUCAGCAUUGGUAACUACUGUGACUCCUGACUUUUUGGGGAUGACUUGUACAGGACUGACCCAUGAACUAUCAGAAAUUGGGUAAAUGAUACCUGCAUCUAAUAGCUUAAGGACUUCUGUUCUAACAACUUCUUUCAUAUUAGGAUUUAACCGACGUUGCAUUUCCCUAGUAGAUUUAGCAUUUUCAUCGAGGUGAAUGUAAUGCAUGCAGUCUACUGGAUUUAUACCUUUUAUAUCUGCUAUGGUCCAUCCUUAUGCUCCUUUGUGCUCUUUUAAAACAUCCAACAACUUACCUUUUUGUUCGUCAUUUAGGGAUGAUGAGAUGAUUACCGGCAGAGUACUUUCUUCUCCCAAAAACGCAUAUUCCAAAGUGUUGGGCAAUGGUUUGAGCUCGAGUUUCGGUGGUGAUUCUGAUGAUGGGAUGAGUUUCUUCUCUGAUGGUGCUACUCUUGACUUCCAUUUAUUAGUGUCCAUGGAUGGUGCUGAGUCAAGUAGGGCGUUGACCUCAUCGACCGAUCUGUCAAUAUCAAUAUCAAAAUCCAAACCAAAGUGAGUUAAACAUGUUUGUAAAGGAUCACCACUAAGGUUUGAAAGAAAAGUGUCAUCAACUAAUGAUUCAAUUAAAUCCACAUCAACAAUUCCAUCAUCUACACUGUGAGGUUGUUUGGCAAUGUUGAAAAUGUUUAGCUCCAUAGUCAUGUUGCCGAAGGACAACUGCAUAUUUCCAGUCCUGCAUUGAAUGUGAGCAUCCGCAGUUGCCAAGAAAGGUCGGCCUAGGAUAAUGGGGAUGUGCUUCCUUGAAUCCUGUAUUGGUUGAGUGUCAAUUACAAUGAAAUCAACAGGAAAAUAAAACUUGUCUACCUGGAUAAGCACGUCCUCCACAAUACCACGAGGUAUUUUCGUGGACCGAUCUGCGAGUUGUAACACCACUAGAGUUGGGUGCAAUUCUCCAAGUCCAAGUUUCACAAACACAGAGUAAGGCAAUAAAUUUACACUAGCUCCUAAAUCCAACAAAACAUUCUCAAUUGUGUGGUUCCCUAUACUACAUGAGAUAGUGGGGGAGCCUGGGUCUUUGCAUUUUAAAGGAAUUUUAUGUUGGAGUAUAGAACUAACGUUUUCUGUUAAAAAUGCCUUCUUUUGAACAUGCAUAUUUCUCUUUUUAGUACAAAGGUCUUUAAGAAACUUGGCAUAAGAUGGAACUUGCUUAAUAGCAUCAAGCAAAGGGAUGUUAACACUUACCUGUUUGAAGAUUUCAAGAAUCUCACUUGUGGAUUUUCCCUUUUUUCCUUUAGCUAACCUCUGAGGAAAUGGAGCUUUGGGAACAUAUUCCCGUGGGUUGGUUUCUUCUUUCUCCUCCGGUGAUGAGUCUUCAACAUUCACAGGUACAAUUUGAUUUUCUUUUGUCACCGGCAUCUCCACUUUGUUGUCGACUUCUUUUCCUUUUCAUAAGGUCAUGACUGCUUUGACCUCUCCAUGCUGCUGUGAUGAACUGGUACUUGCUUCAUGUACUCCUUUAGGAUUAGGCACUGGUUGACUUGGAAAUUUGCCUUUCUCAACAGUCAUUGCCAAUGUCUGAACUGAAGAAGCAAGUUGUCCCACCAUCUUCUCGAGGCUUGAAACUGAUUGAGCUUGUGAGUUGAAGCCUUCUCUCAACUCAUUUCGUAGUCCAUCAAUGGUGCGGUUCUGUUGCUCAAUCGUGGAGUGAGUAACAUUCCUGAAAUUCUGGAAUUCAUCCUCCCAUGGUCUAGGUUGAGAGUGGUUCUGGUUCUGAUUGUAUGGUCUAAAUGGUGGCUGAGAGGCUUGAGGAACUUGAGGAAUUUGUUGCAUUGGUGGAGCUGGAGCUGCUGGUCCAUUCUGUUGGAAUCCUUGAGACCAUGAAAAAUUGGGGUGGUCUCUCCAUCCAGGAUUAUAUGUGUUGGAGUAUGGGUUGUAAUUUGAUGGUUUUUUCAUUAUACCUAUGGCAUUGGCUUGAUCUGAGUAUGAGUCAAGGUCAUGUGGUUCAGUUGAUUUAGCAGUCGAUAACGAUGCUAUUUGUCGAGCAAGACCUUCAACCAUCUCCUUGACUUCUUUGAUUCCUGAAGUUGAUUCGCCAAUUUAAACCUCAUUCACUCCUUUAAUUCUUCUAGUAGUCCUGAGUGAUCGACUCCGUUGUUGGGAAUUAUCUGCUUGUCGUUGGAAGAAUUCCCAAAUUUCUGAUGCACUUUUUGACAUUAGCUCUCCUCCACUUGUUGCCAUUAGCCAUUCUUGCACAUUUGGUAGUAAUCCCUCCAAAAAGUAUUGGCAUUGGUGCCAUUUCUCGUACCCAUGAUGUGGACACUUCAAGAGUAGCCCAUUAAAUCGCUCCCAUGUUUCGAAAAAUUGUUCGUCCUCUCUCUGGGUAAACUCCGAGAUUUCCCUGCGAAUAGCAUUGGUUUUAUGCACUGGGAAAUAUUUAUUCAAAAAUUUAGUUACCAUUUGUUCCCAUGAUGAAAUGCUAUUAGCAGGUAAAGUAUUUAACCAUGAACGAGCUCUAUCUUUUAAAGAAAAUGGGAAUAGUCUAAGUUUAACAUUAUCGUCUGAAAAAUUUUCAUAUUUAAAAGUUUGACAAAUGGCAUGAAAAUCAUUCAGAUGAUUAUAUGGAUCCUCAUUUUCUAGGCCAUAAAAUGUUGGGAGACAAUUUAGCACACUGGGUUUUAAUUCAAAACUCCUAGCAGCUACAUUUGGGUAUCUUAUGCAUGAUGUGCUCAAAUUAGCUAAGGGACUGAAGUAGUCCUUAAAUGGCCUCUCCUGUGGUUGCAAAUCCAUUUUAUUUUUAAUUUGUUUGUGUGUGCGAAGUGUUCUUUCUAGUUCAAGGUCCAUAGGUUCAAGAUUAGGUAAUAAUGACCUACGACCAUGCAUGCAAAACAAAUAAAAAAAAUAAAGAUGGGAACAAAAAAAUAAAAUAAAAAUAAAGAAGAGGGAGAAAUUACGAUACUAACCUUAUUGCGCUAUUACAAUCUUUCUAUAAAAAUACACAAAAAUAAAUACGUGAAAUAAAUUAACUAAAAAUAAAUUAAUAAGAUAAACAAAAAAAAAUUACAAAGAAAAAUAAGUUGAAAAUGAAAUAAUAGAAUUUUAAAGAAGAGAAAAAGAAAAAAAAAUACUAACCUUUAAAUGUAGGUUCACUUUUUUUUCUUUUUUUUUUAAGAAAAAAAUAUAUAAGAAAACAAAUAAAAGAUAUUAUUCACACAAAUUAAUUCUAUGAAUUAAAAUUACUUACCUCCCCGGCAACGGCGCCAAAAACUUGUUGUGCAAAUUUUAAUGUACUCGCAAGCGCACGAAUCUAUUGUAGUAUAGAUCAAUGGUGACGAGUGUCGAUCCCACGAGGAGGUGGAUUUUAAUUGUGUAGAAUUAAUUUUGUGAAUGGGUGAUUGGAUUUUGUGGUGAAGGUGACUUAGAUUAUCCUAAAAUUGGAAUUGAAAUGGCGAGAAUAAAUUGAAGAGAAUUCUAUUAAAAUGACGUACUUGGGUAUCUGGAUCCGUAUCAACAUGCAUCAUGGGCUAAAUAAUCCGUAUUAAUGCCAAUUAAAUCAUGAGGGGGGAAUCCACACUUCAUGAACCACACUCUAAUCAAUAUGGUGCUAAGGGCUUAUCGUGCCAAAUAAUAAUAACCUUGUACUAGAGGGCCGGUGAAACCAAGGCGGUACUAGACAAGAUUAGUAUUAUUUGUCGAUGAGAAGUCAAAACAUCCACAAAAACUAGAGGGGAAGAGAAAAUAAAUUUACCAAAUUAAGCCCAUGACACAUGUUGAGACUUCACCUUCAACCCAAGCUUGAAAGAAAAUUAGCCACUCAUAAUUGAACUAGGGGCAAAAUGGGAAUUUAUUACAAUACGAAGAAAAUACAAGAUGGAGAGGGAAUUACAGAAAACAGAGUCCAAAAAUGGAUUCAGAGGUAUCAAAUUAGGGGGGGAGGCCCCCUUUUUAUAGAUACAUGGAGUAAAUCAUGGCCAUCGGAUUAAAAACAGUUUGGACGCUCAGGAUUGCGCCACGUCAUCAGCCAACAGUCCACGGUUUGACCACGCGGAUGAACAGUAACACGAUUUGACUCGGAUGAACAGUAACGUGGUUUGACUCGGAUGAACAGUAACGCAGUUUGACUCGGAUGAACAGUAACGCGGUUUGGUUGAAAAUAAUCUUGUGUGAUGCAUGUACCGUACGCGAGAUUUUUCAUCCACUGAUAUGCUGCCACGUCACCAUCAACAGUACAUAAGAAUUUUAGCCCAACAGGAUCGUGACACCUCAUCAGUCAAUGCCACAUCAUCGGUCAAUGCCACGUCAUCGAUCCGUCUAUGUGAACAGUGUUGUGAACAGUAACGUAGAUAGUACCGCACACGUGAAUAGUAAUGUACAUAUGAAUAGUGCCAUUUUUCCUUUUAUGCUCCUCCUAAGGUUUUCGACCGUCCUGAGUUCAAAAGUGAUGUCCGUUUUGCCGUCUGAUCUCUCCUUUAUUGUGAAAUGACUAUAAUGCCCCUAAAAUACAUAAAAUACUUAAUUAAAAUAAAACACAUGUAAUUAAAUCACAAGAAGGUUAAAUACAUAAAAGUAAGGGUUGUUAGUAAGACUUGAAAUGUAAAAUGACGGUUUUCUCCUUUAUAAAUAUGCAUUUUCUAACACUCAACACUUGCCCCAUGCACACAUACUGCUUUUUUUGCAUCCAACAAUGAAAAAUCCUUCUGCAAACCAUAUUGAUAAAAUAAUAAUUGCAGAAAUCCCUAACUUAAAUGUUGAUCCUGAUGGUUAUAAUGCAGUUAACAAAUUUAUGAUUCAUGGACCGUGUGGAAAACACAAUUCUCACUCUCCAUGCAUGAUGCAAGACAAGUGCACAAAACAUUUUCCAAAAAAAUUCAAUGAUCAAACAAUAGUGGAUACAUAUGGCUUUCCAGUCUUUAAAAGGAGAAAUACAGGUAUUCAUGUCGAAAAGAAAGGUGUCUUCUUGGAUAAUCGAUAUGUGGUCCCUUAUCACAGGAAUUUAAUUGUCAAAUUUGAUGCACAUAUUAAUGUUGAGAUUUGUAAUUACUCGAGACCAGUUAAAUAUUUUUUCAAGUAUGUCCAUAAAGGGUCUGAGAGAACAACUGCAACAAUAGAAUCUAUUGACACUACCCAAGAAAUGGACGAGUGAUGGGUGUUGAAGCCAACAAAAAUAAAUUCCUACUCUAAAUAAAUUGUGUAUAGUGAUUGAGCAGGGUCGUGUCCACAGAGAUCGGUAAUUAUUUAAAUCCUUUUGAAACGUAAAACGUAAAAUGGGGGAAUUGUUGACAAUAAUAAAAAUCAAAUUAAAAAUAACAAGAAUGCAAAUUAAAGUUGUAAUUCAAAUUGGAGAAAGCUCUGGUUGAAGGAAUUAACUCAGCUUGAUUCGACUACUGAUCAUUGAUUCAAAUAUAGAUGAUUAUUACUCAUGAAUAGACUGGUUAUAGCUACUGAGACCCUCUAAUAGCCAAUCUCUCCUUAACUAGUCGAUAACCAAGGUACGACCAUUGGUUAUUUCCCUAAUCAAUAGACAACCCUAGAUACGAUCAUAGAAUUUAAUCAAUUGACAGCCUGAAAAACCAGAGAGACCCAAAUCCUAAUCAACACAUAUGAUGAUUCAUUUAAAUUAGAUUGUUUAUUCUCACAACACAACUCUCUGCUAUGUUAUUUGUCACAAGCAUUAAAUUCUUCAUACGAUGAAUCCUUUAAUUGACAAUAGAUUAAGUUGAUAAUUAAAUAGUGGCCAAUUACCUAAUUAACAAACAUAAUCAUGAAAAUAAUUUAGAGAAUAAACAAAUACCCAAAAAGCAAUAAAACAAUUAAAGCACAAGAAAGAUCUCACAGUAGUGAUGAAUCAAAGCUUCGUUAUCCUUCAACUAGAAAAAUAGGUUUAGUUCUUCAUAGAGAGAAGAGAAAAAUUAAAUCUAGGGUUUCUUUCUUUUUCUCCAAUCCAAAAAAUCCCCCCUUUUUCACAAUUGAUUCCUCCCUUAAAUACUCUCUCUCUCUUCUCUUUUAGAGUUCUAUUUAAAAUAAAAUACUAAUAUCUAAAAUAUUAAAUUCGUAAUUACAAAAAUAGCCAAAAAUAUAAAACACGUUAAACUAAAAACUGCAGGUCCGCAAUUGACAGCACGCGCCCACGCCUUAUCAACAAAGUUCUUCUGCCGCUCAUAAUUUCUCCAAGGGAACAAUCAUCCCUAAACAUCAUCUUGUAGCUCAAUUUUAUCACCAAUCAAUAGAAUUGCACCUACAAAAGUAAAUCACAGGUAAAUCACUAUUAUUAAAUGCAAAACAUCGAUAUUAAGGGAAGUAAACAAUGCAAAACUAGUGCAUAAAUUGCACUCUAACAAAUUCCCCCACACCAAGAUGAUGCUUGUCCUCAAGCAUAUAACUCAAGAUUAAUCUCAAAUUUCCACUCAAUUCUCAUCUCAACUCAUCCAAAAACAAUUUUAAGCAAGCAUACCUCAAGAAAUUAAGUCGUUCAACGUUCGAGAGACAAGGAUUUUAAAGCAUAGAAUUUCGUAAGAUAGAAUAAGAACAUUCAACCACCAAGAAGAUCCAUUCAAAACUCAAGUGCAGCAAGAUUUAAUAGCCCUCUCAAUAACUUCACUCCAUGCACUCAAAGUGUUUAGGGUGUCAUUUAUCCACUCAAAUCAAAUCAAAGAAUGCUAUUACCAUAAGCUUGCUCAUAUAUCACAUCUCAAUCCACAAAACAUGAAUAAAAUGCAAAAAUCUAAGGGUCUUAAAAGGGUUGUAAUGGGGUUAAAUUGGAGAAAUGAAAAAGAAAGGUUUAUGAAAGAAAAAGAGAUCAAAAUGAGAAGAAUGAACUCAUUGAAUGAACUUAUGAUAUCAAAAUGCUUAUUUCUACUCAAGUCACCAAGAAUGUAAAAUUUUUUUUUUCGAUUUUUCUUUUUCUUUUUUUUUCUUUUUUUUCUUUUUUUUUCUUCUUUUUUUUUCUUUUUUUUUUGUUUUUGAUUUUUUUUUUGAAUCAAACAAAAGAAACGAACCUUGCACAAUUUAAUUCAAGCAUAAUGCUUGUUGAUCUAAUUGAGAAACUUUAAUACAAGGUAGAAAAAGCAACAAAAUAUAUCCACACAAUGAGUCCAAAAAUCUCCUUAAAUUGAGGCUCAAAAAGAAGAAAAAUGGUUAAGUCGACGGAGAGAAUUAGAUGGGUAAUGGUUAAGGCUCAAACAAAGGUAGCAAAUAAAGGUCUUCGGGUAGAGAAGGAAAAAAAAAUGCGAGAAUAGAAAAAUGGAAUAUGGUUUGCCCUUAUCAUUUUAAUGCAUAAAAUCCCGUAAUGUGGCUUCAACAUGCAUAAUAAAGCAAGUUCUAGAAUAAACAAAGUAGGAUUGAUAUUCACAUAACAAAAAUAAUUAGAGCAAAGUGGUUGCUCAUAGGCUCAAAUCCUCACAAAGUUGGUAAAUUUGCCAUCAAAUCAUGUACACUCUUCAAAUGAAUCAACCAUCAAUAGUGGUGUAGAAUGAGAAGAAGGUAUGAGUGAGAUGUAAAAGGAAAGGUAAAAAUGAUAAGAAGUGAGAAAGAUGUAUGUAGUAAUAUGAAAAGUGAAAGAUAAAAUGUGAGUGAUGAAAGAGUAUGAUAGAAUAAAAAUAGAUGUAAAUAAUUUGAGAUAGAUGGGAAAAGAGUAGUGAGAGAGAGAGGAAAAGAAAAUUAAUAAUAUAUGAAGCAUACUGCAAAAAUCAUUUAAGGAUGAGUAGAGUGAAAACAAUAAUUUCAGACAUCAAUAAUGCAAAAAUCCCUCCCCCACACUAAGAACUGACAUUGUCCCCAAUGUAAGAUAAUCAAAGCUCACAUAAAAAUUAAAGCGUAAGGAUAAAAGAUUAAGGGCAAAAACUUCCUUGAAUUGUGAGCUUUGAUCCUCAUAACGUCUAUGGGCUUGGCGGGAAUGGUGGGAUAAAUCCCACACUCUUGAAGUAUGCGGCCAAAUUCUGCUCCAUCUUGUCACGGAUUUCGAUUCACGGACCUGGAAUGCAGGUCGUAGGCUGGUUGCGUUGCGAUUGCUGCUCGGCUGGAGCUUGCUUGAUGGACGCGGGAUGGCACUGAUUGUGUUGCGCGCGCGCGCUGGGGCUGCUGGAUCUGCGCGUUGCGUGGGCUGUGUUGUGCGCGAGAGCUGGGCUGACGCUGGUGCUGCGUUGCGUUGCGCGCGCGGGACUGAUGCGCUGCGUGAUGGUGAUGGCUGGAGCUUGCUGCGUUGCGCGUGGCUGGUUUCGCUGGUGGGACUUCGUUGCGCGCUGCUGGGCUGCGAGACACGGGAUGCUGGUGCUUGCGCUCACGGGAUGGUGCGUUUUCCGGCGGGUUGGUUUGCUGCUGGUGUGCUGCAAGCGGCUGGAGAAGAAAACAAGUUCUGGAAAAUUAGGGAUUUUGUGAACAGUGAAUAGUGAACAGUGAUUUUCGAUUUUUGGUUUUUUUUUUAAUAAAUAAAUAAAUAAAAAGAAAGAAAGGAACGAAAAAAGAAAAAGAAAAAAAAAUAAUAAAUAAUUUUUUUUUUUUUAUAGUGAUGAAUCACUUUGAGACACUAAAAAUUUCAGAAGUACUUUUCUAAUAAGUACAUGGGCACGCCUUAUAAAAAAUUUUCUUCUGACCAAAAUAAGCAAACACAUUAAAUUUCAGAAGUACUUUUCUAUUAAGUACGUGGGCACGCCUUAAAACUAUGUUACUUUAAAAAUUACAGAAGUACUUAUUAGCUAAGACGUGGGCACGCCUUAUCAAAAAUUUUCUUCUGACCAAAAUAAGCAAAAUUUUUCUUUUUUUUUUUUGAAUUAAAAUUAAAAGAAGAUAUAACAAAAACCAAAACAAACAAAUCAUUUGGGUUGCCUCCCAAAAAAGCGCCUUUGUUUUAUGUCUUUGGCUAGACACAUUUAUGCAUCAAUCUCCAUAAUUGGGACUCUCGAGAGCCACAUCCUCCACAAUAUUCACCGAAAAACCUUCAUAAAAAGGUUUUAAGCGAUGACCAUUAACCUUAAAAACUUUGUCAGAGGUCGGGCUCCGAAUCUCAACUGCACCAUAAGGAAAAACAUUAGUAACAAUAAAAGGUCCAACCCAACAAGAACGUAAUUUACCCGGAAAAAGUUUAAGCUUAGGAUGAAAAAGAAGAACUUUUUGACCAACAGAGAACUCCUUUCUCAAAAUCAUUCUAUCAUGAAAUGUCUUCGUCUUUUCCUUGUAAAAAAUUUCCUGCGCUAUAGGGUUAAUAACAUCCACAGAAAAUACCGAAUGUUCCUCACUAGGAUAUUUCAUGGCAUCAUUCAUAUUGAAUUCUAUAACCUCUCCAUCAAACUCCAUAGUGAGAGUCCCUUUAUGUAUAUCCAUUUUAGUCCUAGCAGUCUUAAGAAAAGGUCUUCCUAGCAAAAUUGGGAUAGAAUUAGAGGAGUUAUCAUCUUCCAUAUCAAGUACAUAAAAAUCAGCAGGAAAAACCAACUCAUUAACUUGUACUAAGACAUCUUCUAAUACCCCAUCAGGAUAUGCAUUAGACCUAUCAGCUAGUUGAAUUAUCACACAAGUUUCUUUUAAUGGACCAAUAUUCAAAGAUGAAUAAAUGGAACGAGGCAUGACAUUAAUAGAAGCUCCUAGAUCUAACAAAGCCUUUUCAACUCUAACACUACCAAUUUUACAAGGGAUAGUAAACAUACCUGGAUCCUUGCACUUAGGAGGUAGUUUCUUUUGAAGAACUGCUGAAACAUUCUCCCCCAUGUGAACUUUUUCAUCUCCUCUUAAUUUUCUCUUGGAGGUGCACAGUUCCUUAAGGACUUUAGCAUAUCGAGGUAUUUGUUUUAUAGCAUCUAAUAAAGGAAUAUUUACCUCAACCUUGCGAAAUGUCUCAAGGAUGUCUUUCUCUUGUUCCUCCUUCUUGGAUUUUACAAAUCGGCUUGGAAAAGGAGGAGGUAUCACAAUAGGUAGGGGUUUCGCUUUGGUGGGUUGCGCAUCUUGAGAUUUAGGUAUCAAUUCAUUCUUCUCAAGCUCAUCUUCUACAUGCUUUGUCACUUUCUUACUAGGCUCUUGCAACUCCUUCCCACUUCUAAGGAUGACAGCACUAACGUUUUGCUUUGGAUUCACCUCAGAUUGUGAAGGCAAUCUUCCUAAUACUUGAGACUCCAGACGGCUUACUGUAGUCGCCAAUUGACUCAUUUGGUUCUCCAAGUUCUGAAUGCUUGUUGUAGUUGCCUGCUGAAAUUGUUGAGUGUUAGUCGCAAGUGAUUUAACAAUUUCUUCAAGAGAUAUACCUGACUUGGAGUUUGACUGUGGAGGUGUUGGUUGUCUUGGUGGAUACUGUUGUGGGAAUCCUGACGGCCUAAUGCCAUAGCUGAAGUUUGGAUGAUCCUUCCAUCCCGGAUUGUAUGUUUGUGCAUAAGGAUCAUACCUCCUCUGAGGCAUGCCUGGAAAUCCUCCAACUGCAUUGGCUUGUUCAACGGGUUCUUCUUGAAGUGUAGGACACAUAUCAGUUGAAUGACCCAUAUUGUAACAAAUACCACAAGUCUUCACCUGUUGCACAUUACCUACAACAAACUUUUCCACAAGAGAAGUGAGUUUAUCUAAACGUUGUUCAACAGAAGAAAUAUUUACCUCAUUCACAUUCCUUAAGGUGGCAUCUUGUCUGCUGCCAAAUUGUUGUGCAUUGGCAGCCAUAUUUGAUAUCAACUCCCUUGCUUGAGUAGGAGUCUUGUUCACCAACACACCUCCACUAGCAGCAUCUAUCAUACUCCUAUCCAUCAAUGAUAGUCCUUCGUAAAAAUAUUGAAUAAGAAGUUGAUCAGAAAUCUGAUGCUGAGGACAACUGGCACACAAUUGUUUGAAUCGCUCCCAAUACUCAUACAAAGUCUCCCCAGGAAGUUGUCUGAUCCCACAAAUAUCUUUUCUGAUGUUGGCAGCUCUUGAAGCAGGAAAGUACUUCUCGAGGAACUGCUUCUUCAAACCAUUCCACGUUGUAAUCGAUUCAGGAGGCAAGUAGUACAACCAAUCUUUAGCUAGCCCAUCUACAGAGAACGGAAAAGCACGCAGCUUAAUCUGCUCUUCAGUCACGCCUUGUGGCCUCAUACUUGAGCACACAACAUGAAACUCCUUGAGAUGUUUAUGAGGAUCUUCACCUGCAAAACCAUGAAACUUGGGUAAUAAGUGAAUAAGACCAGACUUUAAUUCAAAAUUUACCUCCAAGUCUACAUAUUGAAUGCAGAGUGGUUGUUGAUUCAAGUCUGGGUCAGCUAACUCUCUAAGAGUUCUUUCUACAGGUGCAGGUCUAUCCAUCACUUGUUCUUCUGAAUCGCUAGAUGAUUCAACUAAAUCAGGCACCGUAUCUGUUUCAGAAAGCAAAGGCGACGAGGAUCGUUGCUUAGCUCGUUUUGUCUGCUGUCUCAGCUGGCGAGCUGUCUUCUCAAUUUCAGGAUCAAACGAAAGUGUACCUGUACGAGAAGAACGAACCAUACACCAAGUAAAACGUAAAAAGGAUUAAAUAAAUGACACCAAUCCCCGGCAACGGCGCCAAAAUUUGAUGGGUGUCGAAGCCAACAAAAAUAAAUUCCUACUCUAAAUAAAUUGUGUAUAGUGAUUGAGCAGGGUCGUGUCCACAGAGAUCGGUAAUUAUUUAAAUCCUUUUGAAACGUAAAACGUAAAAUGGGGGAAUUGUUGACAAUAAUAAAAAUCAAAUUAAAAAUAACAAGAAUGCAAAUUAAAGUUGUAAUUCAAAUUGGAGAAAGCUCUGGUUGAAGGAAUUAACUCAGCUUGAUUCGACUACUGAUCAUUGAUUCAAAUAUAGAUGAUUAUUACUCAUGAAUAGACUGGUUAUAGCUACUGAGACCCUCUAAUAGCCAAUCUCUCCUUAACUAGUCGAUAACCAAGGUACGACCAUUGGUUAUUUCCCUAAUCAAUAGACAACCCUAGAUACGAUCAUAGAAUUUAAUCAAUUGACAGCCUGAAAAACCAGAGAGACCCAAAUCCUAAUCAACACAUAUGAUGAUUCAUUUAAAUUAGAUUGUUUAUUCUCACAACACAACUCUCUGCUAUGUUAUUUGUCACAAGCAUUAAAUUCUUCAUACGAUGAAUCCUUUAAUUGACAAUAGAUUAAGUUGAUAAUUAAAUAGUGGCCAAUUACCUAAUUAACAAACAUAAUCAUGAAAAUAAUUUAGAGAAUAAACAAAUACCCAAAAAGCAAUAAAACAAUUAAAGCACAAGAAAGAUCUCACAGUAGUGAUGAAUCAAAGCUUCAUUAUCCUUCAACUAGAAAAAUAGGUUUAGUUCUUCAUAGAGAGAAGAGAAAAAUUAAAUCUAGGGUUUCUUUCUUUUUCUCCAAUCCAAAAAAUCCCCCCUUUUUCACAAUUGAUUCCUCCCUUAAAUACUCUCUCUCUCUUCUCUUUUAGAGUUCUAUUUAAAAUAAAAUACUAAUAUCUAAAAUAUUAAAUUCGUAAUUACAAAAAUAGCCAAAAAUAUAAAACACGUUAAACUAAAAACUGCAGGUCCGCAAUUGACAGCACGCGCCCACGCCUUAUCAACAAAGUUCUUCUGCCGCUCAUAAUUUCUCCAAGGGAACAAUCAUCCCUAAACAUCAUCUUGUAGCUCAAUUUUAUCACCAAUCAAUAGAAUUGCACCUACAAAAGUAAAUCACAGGUAAAUCACUAUUAUUAAAUGCAAAACAUCGAUAUUAAGGGAAGUAAACAAUGCAAAACUAGUGCAUAAAUUGCACUCUAACAACGAGAUCAAAACAUAUUUGGAGUGCAGAUAUAUAUCAGCAACCGAAGCUUGCUAACGAAUCUUCUAAUUUGACAUACAUUAAAGAAAGCCGGCAGUUGAAAGAUUGCCGUUCCAUUUACCGGGAGAGCAUACAGUAAUAUUCGAAGAAUCCAAGUGCUUAGAAAAUGUGCUUACCAUACCUGGAAUAGAAAAAACAAAGUUCACAGAAUGGUUGCAGGCAAACAAGAAUUAUGAUGAUGCACGAGAGCUAACUUAUUCUAAUUUCCCUACAUGUUGGGUAUGGAAUUCAAAAGACAAAACUUGGACUAGGAGAAAAAAUGGCUUAGCAAUUAGAAGAAUUUACUUUGCACAUCCUUCAAGUGGAGAACGAUUUUAUAUGAGAAUGUUGCUCAAUUUUGUAAAAGGAAGCACUUCAUUUGAAAGUACUAGAACAGUAAAUGGAGUGACAUAUCCAACUUUUAAAGCUGCGUGCUAUGCUUUGGGAUUAUUAGACGAUGAUAAAGAAUGGAUCGACUGCUUGACUGAAGCUGCAAUAUGGGCGACUGGAAAUGAAUUAAGACAUCUUUUUGUCACGAUACUCAUUCAUUGUCAGGUUUCUGAUGCAUCCCAACUUUGGAAAUCUAAUUAUACUAGUUUAUCAUAAGGCAUAACUUCAUUGCAAAGGAAAAGAUUCAGAUUGAAAGAUCUUCAGUUAACCGAGCAACAAGUUGAAGCAUACACAUUGUUGGAGAUUGAAACUAUCAUGUUGAAAAUGGGAAAAAGUUUAAGAGACAUAGAUGGAAUGCCACUUCCUAAUUCUUCUUUGAUAAGAGAUUCAGGUAACCGAUUGGUCAAUGAAGAGCUUGAUUAUGAUCGUGAUCAAUUAAAGAAGUUGCAUGAGAAAUCAUUUACUGCUCUAAAUGCUUGCAAAAAAUCAGCCUAUGAAGCAAUAAUGCAUUCUGUUGAGAAUGAAGAAGGGUGUUUAUUUUUUAUCAAUGGACAUGGUGGUACUGGUAAAAUAUUUUUGUGGAAUACAAUUAUUGCAAAGCUCAUAUCACAUUCUAAAAUAGUCUUGCCUGUUGCAACUUCAGGUAUAGCAGCUUUGUUAUUGCCUAAUGGUAGGACAGCUCAUUCGCGAUUUCAUAUUCCUUUGGAUGUGAUAGCAGAGUGCACUUGUGAAAUCCGACAAGGCACCUUAUUAGCUGGACUUCUUAUGAAAACUUCUUUGAUCAUUUGGGAUGAAGCGCCUAUGGCACAUAAGUUCUGCUUUGAAGCUUUGGAUAAGACCUUGAGAGAUAUUCUAAGAACAAGGUAUGAAAAUACUUCUAUCAAACCUUUUUGAGGACUUACAAUAGUAUGUGGUGGUGAUUUCCGUCAAAUAUUGCCAGUUGUGCCAAAGGGGACAAGAGCAGACAUUGUUGACGCUUCACUUAACUCAUCCUACUUAUGGCCAUUUUUCAAAAUUUAUGAGCUCAAACAAAAUAUGAGGCUCUAUAAUGGAAGCAUGAGUGGCUCUGAGGCUGCUAAAAUAGCUUCUUUUGACAAAUGGUUGUUACAGAUUGGAGAUGGUUCAUUAUAUGAUGACAUUGAUAGAGAGUUAGUUAAACUACCUUCUGAUAUCUGUAAGAAACCAUAAAAAAAUCUAAUGAAAUCAAUAGUCGACACUAUCUACCCAUCAAUUCUACAUAAUUACAGUGAUCCAACAUAUUUGAAAGAAAGAGCAAUAUUAACGCCAAAAAAUGAAAUGGUGCAUGAAUUGAACGAGAUGAUUAUGAAUAUAAUACCUGGUCAAGGGAGAACCUAUUUUAGCUCAGACAGUAUAUGCAAAGCAAGCGCAAACACAAAUGAUGAAGAUGUUCUGUAUCCAACUGAAUUUUUGAAUAGUUUGAAAUUCAAUGGCAUCCCUAAUCAUGACAUACGACUUAAGGAAGGUGCUCCCGUAAUGCUUCUCAGAAAUCUAAAUCAAAUAGAAGGCCUAUGUAACGGCACAAGAUUGAUUGUAACUCGUCUUAGUAAAUGGUCCAUUAGAGGUGACAUCAUUUCUGGAACAAAUAUUGGACAAAAUGUCACAAUUCCAAGAAUUGUUAUGUCUCCUAAUGAAUCAAGAUGGCCAUUCAAGCUUAACAGACGGCAACUUCCUUUGGCACCAUGUUUUGCCAUGACGAUCAACAAAAGCCAAGGACAAUCUCUUAAACAUGUUGGCUUGUAUCUCCCUAAGCAAGUAUUCACACAUGGUCAAUUAUAUGUCGCCGUAUCUCGAGUUACCACAAGAGAAUGAUUGACCAUACUAAAUGCUGAUCAAGAGGUAGAAGACCGAACCUUCAUAAAAAAACAUUGUCUACAAAGAAGUAUUUCAAAAUAUUCACACAUUAGCUCACAAAAUCAAGGUAUCACAUUUUUAGAUUAUAUUUUAAAAUUUAAUUUAUACAUUGCAAGCUCUUACUUCACCCUAUAAUAAUGAUUUUUAUUAUGUGUUUUAAUUAUUCAGUAGACAAAUGAAUAAAUCAAAGGAACUAUCGAGACAGCAAAAUGGUAGUUUGGUUGAGUUUUCCAAGCUAUUAUGGAGAAUUUAAUCGCCAAAGAACAUAGUACGUGAAGAAGCAUUCCUUUUUACAUCAACUAUUUCUCCUUUCAUUCUCUCUAAUCCAUGGAGACAUGGUUUAUAUACAGAUAAAGAACAUUUUGGCACUAGGUGUUGCUGAUCCCCAUUGGAACUUGCCAUAGCUGCAAGCUUGAUAUAAACAACUGCUCACCUACGCAGCUACAAACGAUGCAAAAUAACUUACAGAAGUCUUUACAUGUAUUUUACUUAUUUCUUUUAUAAUUCAACGCAUUGCUAAGGAUCCUCAAUUACAAAAUUUAAUUUGGAACUUAUCAACUACAAAAGGUAUAAGGUCUGUACACCUAGACUAUACACGUUAAUAUAUAUAUUUAAAGUUAACAAAAAAAUAGUUAACUUUCAUAAAUAACAUUAGUUUUAUAAGGCUACCUCAUUUUAAAAAAAAUCAAUUUAUAUUUUUUAUCAGUUUUAUUGAGUAUAAAGAAAGAAAAAUUGAUAAUACUAAAUUCAUUUUCUAAAGCCGCGCGAAGCGCGGUUUUAUUUCCUAGUAUAUAUAUAAAGCUGGGACUAUAAGAGGUGAUGUGACAUCACCAUUUCUCAUCUUUGUAUAUUUUCUAUUAUCUAAUAAAUAGAGAAUUUUUCUUUCAAAUUUGGCUUUUCAUCUUCUCAUAAUUAAUUUGAUUGUUAUUACAAUUAUGUAAAUGUUUUAAUGAGGCAUAUUCUUUAUAAUGAACAUCCAAUGGGGAGUGUUAUAAAUUUAUUAAAAUAAAUGUGGAUGUUCAUAACAUAUAUCUCUUAGUCUCUCCACUAUCUCUCAUUAGCAACCUUUAGCUUCUCUGUAACUCCCACAAUCUCACAAGGAAUUAUGAUCCAUAAUUUUUCAUUAAUUUCAUGGAGUGAUUAUGUAACUACAAAAGGAGAGCUCAUCUUUUUGUUUUGUAUACACAAUUGGAAUGAAUAAAAUCACUCUAAAAUAUAUUCUCUCAUUUUAUUCUUUAUCUUGCGUUGCUUCUUUAUUUGUGUUGUUGGCUAAUAGUUUUUUUUUUAUUUAAACCACCCGGUUUCCGACGACCGCAUUGGAUACUUCUACUGCAUUCAACAUUUCUAAUUUUUAUUGGUUGAUAUACGUGUGAAUGACAACACAAUCCUCUGAGGUAUUUUUUUAAUUAUUAAUGUUUGUUAAUCUUUAAGUGUAUAUUAGAAAUUAUUGAUCCUUAUGUUUUAACAUAUUUAUGUUAUUUUCCCAUAAUAUUACAGAUGUUGUCGGAAGUUUAUGUGGUGUGGGUGAUAUUGAGAUUGUUGGAGCUGGUUGGAAAAAAAGACAUAUAAAAGUUCUAAAAGAUUAGCAAGUUGAAUAUAAUUUGGAACUUAUCAACAACUACAAAAGGUAUAAGGUUUGUACACUUACUAUACACAUUAAUAUAUAUAUAUUUAAAGUUAACAAACAAAUAAUUAACUUUAAUAAAUAACAUUAAUUUUAUAAGGUUGCCUCAUCUUUAAAAAAAAUCAAUUCAUAUUUUUUAUCAGUUUCAUCAAGUGUAAAGUAAGAAAAAAUGAUAAUACUAAAUUAUUUUUUUAAAGCCGCGUGAAAUGCGGUUCUAUUUUCUAGUAAUUUAUAAACCGAGGCCGGGCCCCAAGUCUUUUAAUUUUCUUCCUUUCUUUCCAUAUUUGUCGUUGGGUUAUAAACUUCCCCAAUUCUACCUUUUAUGUGCACGUGAAUCAUGACAUACCCCUUGAGUCAUGCUUUCAAGUUAUAAUUCCUUUCAAUCUUUGCCACGGCUUCAAGUCUCAAAAUCACACAGCAAUACAUCAUAACCCGAAAAUUUAUAAAUAAUCAAUAAUAUAUAAAUGUAAUCAUCUAUUGAAUCAGUUCAUUAUUUAUUCGUAUUGCAAGCAUCACCCCUAUCAUUCAUAGUUUUCACUUUUUAGUGAUGUUCACAAAAUCCUAACCAUACUAUGCAAUUGAGAUAUGAUCAAUAACACUUUGAUAACAUAUUUUAAAAAACAUAAAUUCUUCUAUAAAAAGUCAUUAUUCUGGGGGUUAAUUUCCAUAGGUUUCUAUUAGUUAAUUUUUUCCAACUAUUUUUGAUGAAAUUAGAUAGAUUUGCCUUCAUAUUUGGGGCAAAUAGUUUCAGCGAAUCAUGAAUAAGCUUCCACACAUUUUAGAAAUCUUAUCUUUUUUAAUUUUAUACUUUUUCUUUAAUUUGCAUUUUGGUUCACAUGACCAAAAAUUAAGUUCCAUGCGUUUUUCAAUUUGUGGAAAUUCAGUUUUUUUUUUUUGUGGAAAUUUCGGUGGAGUCAAUAUGGCUAGAAAUUCGUAGAAGGAUGAAUCAAAAUACUCAAUUAUUGUUGUAGACUUGUAAGGCAGCUAACGGAGUCCACACGUUUCAAUGUUUGUUUACAGUUCAGCUUUCCCUUUGAUUAGUUAUCAAAAUAGAAACAUGAUUAUCAAUUUCAACUGUAUGUCUUUCAUGCCUUAACUUUCUUCCUUUCUUUCCAAAUUUCUCAUUUUGCUUUAAUUUUCCACAAUUUACCUCCACGAAUUGAUUGACCUGUUACCCACCACACUUCAAUACUAAUAAUAAUAAAUAAAUUCUUCAAGCAAUUGACAUUUGACCCACCCCACUUCAAUAAUAAUGCUAAUGGGACAUCAUAAAUUCUUCUAUUCAAAUAUAAUACUCAUGACUUUGACGGCCGAAACAUGUUUCAUGGCACAAAUAAUGACGGUUUUGUUUGAGGUACGGUGGAGGUGUCUAUUCAAAUAUUUGAAGCCAGCCCCUCGUUUUAUCUAAACCACAAGCAGGCUCAGCCGAAAUUGUUUAAUAUUUUUAUUUUUUCAAGAAACUCUCACUAUAAGGCUUAUGUGAAAAUUUGGUUGACAGUUUAUGUAUUUAAUUAUUUAUUUUACCACACAUGUCAUGUGUAGGUUUUAUUUACCUUGAGCAGUGGUCAAUGCAUUAGACCCAAGAUAAAGUGUGUUGAGGUAGGGGAAUUAAUGAUCGCAUUAGCUGUAGCACCUAUCUUCAAUCUCUAAUUUUAACUUUCUAUAGAUGAAGUGUUUUCAAAUUCCUCAAAUGUCUGUAAUCUGUUUAAUAAUUGAAGAAAGUUAAAAUUCAUUUUCUAAAUUUAAGGUUAAACUCCCAAUAAAAAAUUUUAUUUUCAUUCAAUAUUGUCAUUAGAUGGUAAUCACUUUGUACGAGAGAUUCCAAAAAAUUUGUCUCAUUGCUCCUCACUAGAAAGAUUGUAUCUUAGUGAUAAUAAUCUCUUGGUAGGAUUUCACAAUGGUUGGAUAAUCUUUCAACAUUACAACAUUUUAUAAUGCUCAAGAAACACAUUCUUGAAGGUCUUAUUUCAAUGGAGUUUUAUCAGCUUGAUUCUCUUCAAAUUUUGGACAUUUCAAACAAUAAUGUAUUUAAGAGUUUAUUAUCUUGUUUACAUAAAAAUAUAUGCCUAUAGGCAGGUAAAAGAAGGUACAUUUUUUAAUUACUCUUCCUUAGGGACAUCAUAUCUUAGCUAUAGCCACUUGAAUGAGAUCAUUUCAAGUUGGGUUGAUAGGCUUUCUCAAGCAAGCCACUUCAUACUGACCCACAAUAAUCUUAAAGAUGAAGUAUCUGCUCAGUUGUGCCGAUUGAACCAAUUGCUAUUGAUAAAUCAUGCUGAUAACAGUCUUUCCAGCCAUAUUCUUCAUUGCUUAAACAAGUGAACUUGUUUCAUUGAGAGAGUAGUGAAACAAGGAAAAAAAAAAGUUUUGACUUUUAUCAGUUAGUUGACUGUUAAGUAAAAAGUAUGCAAAUAUCAUUUUAUACUUUAGAUUGUUAAAAACUAAUGGAAAAAUAACGUCAUUUGAGGAUAAAUUGAAAUUUUCAUACUUUUAAAAAGUAAAGUGAAAAUUAUCAUUCUAAGUGUGGAUAAAUUAAAGUUACACUCAUAAAAAACACAUCUAAUAAUUUAUACACCAAGGCAGGCCCAAGUCUUUCAAUUUUCUUCCUUUCUUACCAUACUUAUCGUCCUGUAAUAAAUUUCCACAGUUCUACCUUUUUUGUACACAUGAUUCAUGACAUACUCCAUGAGUCAUGCUUUCAAGUUAUAAUUCCUUUCAAUAUUUGCCACGUUUGCAAGUUUCAAAAUCACAUAGUAAUAUGUCAUAACAAGUCCGAAAAUUCAUAAAUAAUCAAUAAUAUAUAAAAGGAAAUUAUCCACCGUCUAUCCGUUUUUUCAACUUUUUCAAAAAUACACAAUUUUUUUUUUUUUUGCUGGAAUCCACCUGAAGUUACAUUUCUUUUCACUUUUCCACUUCCGUUUGGAAUCCGUUAAGGAAAUUAAGGGAAUAUUGUUAAAUGACUUUUUUACCCUCAAAUGUAAAAGAUAAUUUAUCCAUCGACCACUUGUUUUUUCGUAUUUUUUCAGAAAUACACAAUUCUUAAUUUUUUUUUUGCUGACCUCCACUCGAAGUUGUAUUGUUUUACACCUAUCCACCACUGUGUCGUUGUAAAAUGAUGAUUUACCCUUAUAAUGUUAGCAAAGUUAUAACGGUCUCCAAACGGAAGUGGAAAAGUGAAAAGAAAUGUAAUUUCAGGUGGAUUCCAGCAAAAAAAAAAAAGAAUUGUGUAUUUUUGAAAAGCAGUGAAAAACGGGUGGAUGGUGGAUAAUUUCCCAUAUAUAAAUAUGAUCAUCAAUUGAAUUUGAAUCAGUUCGUUAUUUGUUCAUAUUGCAAACAUCACCUCUAUCAUUCAUAGUUUUCACUUUUUAGUGAUGUUCACAAAAUCCUAACCACACUAAGCAAUUGAUAUUCAAUCAAAGACACUUUGAUAACAUAUUUUAAAAAACAUAAAUUCUUCUAUAAAAAGUCAUUAUUCUAGGGGUUAAUUUCUGUAGGUUUCUAUUAUUUAAUUUUUUUCCAAUUAUGUUUUAUGAAAUUAGAAGAUUUGUCUUCAUAUCUAGGGUACUUAGUUUUAGUAAAUUAUGCAUCACCUUCCACACAUUUUAGAAAGAUGAUCUUUUUUUUAAUUUUAUACUUUUCUUUCAUUUACUUUUUGGUUCAUAGGGCCAAAAUUUAAGUUCCAUGCAUAUGCAUUUUGUGGAAAUUCAGUUUUUAUUUUUUUAUUUUGUGGAAAUUUCGGUGGACUCAAUACGGCUAGAAAUUCUUAGAAGGAUGAAUCUAGGGCAGCUAGCAGAGUCUACGAGUUUUAAUGUUUGUUUACAGUUCAAUUUUCCAUUUGAUUAGUUAACAAAAUAGAAACAUGAUUAUCAAUUUCAACUAUAGUUCUUUCAUGCCCUUAACUUUCUUCCUUCCUUUCCAUAAAUUCUCAUUUUGCUUUAAUUUUUCACAAUUCUACCUUGGAUGGUGUUGAUUCAAAUUUUUUCUCAAUGUACAAUGAUUGAUUUGUGUUUCGGACAUUCUUCUAAAUCGAGUUCUGUGGCAUAUUUUUUUCCUUGAGGCGAGUGUCUCAAAUCAUAUGUCUCCUUGUGGUUAAUUAUUUUGUAAAAAGAAACAAUUAUCAAAGGGUGCCGACAUGCCGGCAAUAACCCUCCGACACUCAAGUUAGUUCUUUUUACUCAAGUUUUAAAGAGAGAGAAUCUAGAGCAAGAUGGGCAGAGUUUUGCUCGCAUUUUAUGCCUUUUUUCCUCUUACUUUCAAAUGCCGGUCUUGGCCUUUAUAUAGACAACUUAGAGUCAAUUGGAGAGAUUAUGUGGCACUUUUCUUGUGACAAGUGUCAGCCAAAGUCCAUGCAUGGCGACAUAUAUUCAUAUGUGUCAAUACUUGCUCAUGACAAAUAAUCUUUGGACAUUUGUCAUGUUUUUGGGCUAUUAACCUUUAAUGGACUUUAGCUUAAAUUCGGCACUUAUAUUGGUUUCUUACAAAGAGGAUUGAUUUUGCAACAUUUUGCCCAUAAGCACAUUCCGCAAAAUGUUUGUUAGCCAGUAGGUGUUGAGUGUUAGAAAAUGUAUAUUUAUAAAGGAGAAAAUCAUCAUUUUACAUUUCAAGUUUUACUAACAAUCCUUACUUUUAUGUAUUUAAGCUUCUUGCAAUUUAAUUAUGUGUGUUUGAUUUUAAUUAAGUAUUUUAUGUAUUUUAGGGGCAUCAUGGUUAUUUCACAAUAAACGAGAGAUCAGACGGCAAAACGAAUAUCACUUUUGAACUUAGGACGGUCGAAAACCUUAGGAGGAGCAUAAAAGAAAAAAUGGCACUAUUCACAUGUACGGUAUUAUUCACGUGUACGGUACUGUUUACGUUACUGUUCAUAAUACUGUUCACAUAGACGGAUUGAUGACGUGGCAUUGACUGAUGAGGUGUCACGAUCCUGUUGGGCUAAAAUUCUUAUGUACUGUUGAUGGUGACGUGGCAGCAUAUCAGUAGACGAAAAAAUCUCGCGUACGGUACAUGCAUCACACAGGAUUAUUUUCAACCAAACCGCGUCACUGUUCAACCCAGGUCAAACCGUGUUACUGUUCAUCCACGUGGUCAAACCGCGUACUGUUGACUGAUGACGUGGCGCAAUCCUGAGCGUCCAAACUGUUUUUAAUCCGAUAGCCAUGAUUUACUUCAUGUAUCUAUAAAAAGGGGGCCUCUCCCCCCUAAUUGGAUAGCUCUGAAUCCAUUUUUGGGAUCCAUUUUUUGUAAUUCCUUCUCCAUUUUGUAUUUUCUACAUAUUUUAAUAAUUCCCAUUUUGCCCCUAGUUCAAUUAUGAGUGGCUAAUUUUCUUUCAAGCUUGGGUUGAAGGUGAAGUCUCAACAUGUGUCAUGGGCUUAAUUUGGUAGAUUUACUUUCUCUUCCCAUCUAAUUUUUGUGGAUGUUUUGACUUCUCGUCGACAAAUAAUACUAAUCUUGUCUAGUACCGCCUUGGUUUCACCGGCUCCGUAGUACAAGGUUAUUAUUAUUUGGCACGAUAAGCCCUUAGCACCAUAUUGAUUAGAGUGUGGUUUAUGAGGUGUGGAUUUCCCCCUUAUGAUUUAAUUGAUAUUAAUAAGGAAUAUUUAGCCCAUGGUACAUGUUGAUACGGAUUCAGAUACCCAAGUACGUCAUUUCAAUAGAAUUCUCUUCAAUUUAUUCUCGCCAUUUCAAUUCCAAUUUUAGAAUUUAUUCUCGCCAUUUUAAUUUAAAUUUUAGCAUAUUCCAAAUCAUUUCCACCACAAAUCCAAUCACCCAUUUACAAAAUUAAUUCUACACACAAUUAAAAUCCACCUCCUCGUGGGAUCGACACUCGUCACCAUUAGUCUAUACUACAAUAGAUUCGUGCGUUUGCGAGUACAUUAAAAUUUGCACAGCAGUAGGCUCGCUCCGUGGAAUGUUUGUUGGCCCGUUGGCACAUUCCAUAAAAUGCAUAUAUUUGCCCGUAUGCACAUAUUGUAGAAUGUAUAUUUCUUCGUAGGCGCAAUCUGCCCGUAGCCGCCAUCCGUAGAAUGUGUAUUUGUCCAUAGGCCUAUUGCAUAGAAUGUGUGUUUGCCUGUAGACCCAUUCCGUAGAAUGUGCAUUUGCCCGUACGCCCAUUUCGUAGAAUGUGUAUUUGCCCGUAGGCUCAUUCUAUAGAAUGUAUAUUUGCCCGUAGGUGCACUCCGAGUAGCUCAUGUGCUCUUAGAAAUAUUUUUGAAGUGUCUAGAUCAUGAACGGACCUAGGUCAUUUUUUGUGAGGAAUGGACCUAGGUCGUUCUUUGUAAAAAAUAGACCUAGGUCCUUCUUUGUUGAAUCAUGCCUUUGGCACUUUGUGAAGACUCGUAAGGAAUGGACUUAGGUCAUUCUUUGUAAGCAAUGAACGUAGAUCAUUCUUUAAGACUUAGGUUUUUCUAUGAUAAAUCACGCUUUUGGCUUUUUGUCGUGUCUUGCAUUUAGACACUUUAGUUAGAAUUGUAAAUACCUUGGCCAUUCUUAUAGAGAACACACAUGGGUUAUUUUAUAUAAAAUAAUUUUAUUGGGCCUAUAUUUUUUGUGGGUUUUGGACCUUUCAUAAUUUGGGCUAACAGAGGCCCCCGAAGUCUUACUUUUCAAUUUUGAGAAGUGAGACUUUUUUUGUACUUUUUUUUAGGCUUUUCUUUGGCUUUUCUUAUUACAAAUUAAAUUUUAAGGCUUGAAAUUUCUCUAAGGCACCUAUCCUAUUAAAAUUAGUCUACAACCAAUCUCACAUACUUCAUUUAAUGAUUUGUAGCUCUCUACAAUCUAUCUUAAUUUAACAAUUAUUGAAAAGUAUAAAAAUAAGGAGUUAGUAAAAGUAUCAUUUAAAAAGAGAUACUUGACUUUUUCUAAAUAGUAUGUGAGAAUUUUCUGACAAUUCUUUGGCGAGCUACUGUUGAAGCUCUUCGAGUGCUCAUCGAUCUAAGAAGCAAUGCCAAAUCUUUUCCUGAAAGGUCAUCUUUGAAACUGAAUUGCUUCAAUGGUAAACAUUUUUGUAGAUAGCGAUCCCAGUCAAUUCUCAUAUAUACUUACCCUUAGGCAUUUUGGUUGAGAUCAACCAAAGCUGUAGUCAACAUCCGCCCUUGGAAGAUUUAGUCAAUAGUUGCCCCUAAGCUUUUUGACAUUGGCUUUAAGGUGUUUCUCGUCAACACUAACUCUCGGACGUUUUUAUCUAAAACAUGUCAUUAGGUGUUUCAGACAAUCAUUUGCCUUUUAAUGUUUCACUUAGAAUAUUUUCCCUCAGGUCUAUUAUUAUAAUUCGCUUGUGGACGGUUUCCUUCAAAAAUUAAUUUGAAGUAAUUGGACCUAGGUCAUCCUUUAAAAGAAAGGACCUAGGCCCUUUUAUCAUAAUUUACUCGUGGGCAGUUUCGUAGAACUUAGCCCGUAAGCAUUCUCUUUAGAAUGAUUUUUCUAAGAAUUGGACCUAGGUCAUUUUUUACAAGAAUGGACCUAGGUCUUUUUAUUAUAAUUCGCAUGUGGGCACUUUUUAUAGAAUACUAAUUCUAAGUGAUUGGACCUAGAUCAUUCUUUGAAAGAAAGGACCUAUAUCUUUUUAUCAUAAUUCAGCCAUAUAUGGUUUCCUUAGAAGAUUAAUUCUAAGUAAUUUGACGUAGGUCUCUUUAUUAUAAUCCGCCCGUAGGCACUUUCCUUAGAAAAUUGAUUUUAAGUAAUUGGGCUUAAGUCUCUUUUUAAAGGAAAUGACGUAGGUCUCUUUUUAAAUUGAUUCUAACUUUGUCACUACUUUGAUUGCAUCAAGUGAUGAAUAAUGUCGUAAUCAGAAUUUUCAAGGGGGUAUUUGGGAAUAUUGCCCCCUUCAGAGUUUUAAAAGCCAGAGAAAGAAGACUUUUUGUAUUGUAUGGUACCAUGGUAUGCCCCGUAUGCCUUUCUUAAUGAUAAAGUAGCAGAUUCUCCUUCAAUUUAAUUUCUUUUUGUUCCAAGCCAAAAUAAAAAAAUUUCUGCUCACUAGCCGUACUCUGUUCUUGAUGAACAUUAGGAGGCAGUUCAAGACAUGGAUUCUCAAAGUCAAUUGUAUCGAUGAUACUUGGGUGUGUAUGACAUUUUUAUUAAUAAUUUUAAUCAUUCAUUGAUAAAUUCUUCUAUUAACAAAAAUAAUUUCUCCAAAAUUAAUUUUUCUACUCGCAGACCAUACUUUGUUCUUGAUGAACAUUAGUUGGUACUUCAAAACGUGGAUCCUCAAGUCAAAACGGUAAAUUUUUUUCAUCAGUGAAUCAUUAACUAAACAAGUGAUCUUAGAUUUCAUUCUUGUGUCUAUGAUAUGUGGGUGUGACUGACAUUUGAGGAACAAUUACAAGAGUGAAAAAGGAGAAUACAUAAUAUAUUCAACCACUAAAAAUAAAAGUCAUUUUUAUUUUAUUCCAUCUUACUCGAAUUUGAUACAACUAGUGGGUGUGUUGUAACUAAUCUUAUUUGUCCCUUUGAAAUAACCGAUAAUAAUCUUAUCACCGAAUGUUUAACAGACUCGUAACGUCAUAACGUAACUACCACGUCAAGCAAACACGUGGACUCAGCCGUGAACUACAACCGCAUAACCGUUACAUAUAUAGACUAGUAUGAAGCGGUGGAGUUAAAGCAAGCGUUUAAGAAGUGAUUUAAGCUGAUGCAAGCGUAAAGUAUGAGACGAAUAAAACAACAUACAAUUCAACAAAAGUCUAACAUGCCCUGUUCAAACUUAUAAUUUUCUACUAUUACCUUACCCGACAAUACAAUCCAAGUAGCUGGCAGCCACACCGCAAACUUCCACUAUCAUCUUCUCCUUUCAAACUUAUAAUUUUCUUUUUUCUUUUUUAUUUUCUGGAAAGAGCUGGCUUUCCUUGAUUUUUGCUUUUUGUCAACAAUUAUUCAUGCCUUUUUAUUUUUCUCCAUCACACUUUUUUUCUUUCCCAACUUCCACGAGCUGAGCCGUCGUCGCUUUUUGAAAGAAACAGUAUGGAAGCUAUCAAGAAACAGGCAAUCAAGCUCCGAGAACAAGUCGCCAAGCAGCAGCAAGUCCGUUUCUUUUCUUUUUUUGUUUUUAAAUUAUUUAGACUUUUAAUUAGUGAAAUUUCUCGAUUUUAUUUAUUUUUCAUUAGUUUUUUAUGGUUUGUACAGGCAGUAUUGAAGCAUCUGCUCCAUCUUGGCAUUGAAAAUGUUGCGGUUGAUAAAGCUGACAUUGAGUGUCACCAACAACUUCAAAAUCUAUACAAUUCCACCAGGGCAGCUAAGGCACCAUCCUCCUUUAGCUAAUAAUAAGACUCUGUUUGAUAUUGAUUUAUUGUGGCUUUUGGUAAUUAGAUAUGAUUUUUAAAUAAUAAUUUUGUCAAAUAUGGUACAAACAACUGUAUUUUCUAGACUGAAGUUGCAAGUAUUUACCAACGGAGCUUAAUGUAUGUUGAACAAUUAUGAUGGUUUGUAUGGUUUUAUCUGAACAAUAAUUUGGAAUAUAUGCUCUGUAGCGCAGCAUUUUCAGAGGAAUAUUGUCCGUGGCGUUGAAGGGUUUGUUGCAGUAAGCUUGAAACAAAUGGAAAUAUGUUGUUUGUUUGCUCUUGCUCUUGUUAUAAUAUUUGAUUUUUUUUUAUUUAUUUUCUUGACUAGUUCUUGUGUACAAUAUUUUUGUAUUCAAAUAUUGUAGCGAGAAAGUUGGCCGAAGAUUGUUGCAAGUAUGGAGCGGAGAAUCAAAGUGACAAUUCUUGCGUUGCAAGAGCUGCUCUUCAAUUUGGCACUUCACAUGAUUUGAUGGAAAAUGAGAGGGAAACUUUGCUUGGGAUUCUUCAUGAUCAGGUUAGUUCAUCCCUAACUAGAAAAUAAUUCAAAUAUAGAAAAUUAUAUGUAAAUUACUACGGAAACUAUUAUCUUCUCAUAAGGAAAUUUAGUUCUAAGAUAUUGAAUAAAAGAAUCCAUUUUAAAGUUACAACUCUGAAAUAUUUAAUGUUUUAUAUUAAAAUCAUUGCUAGUGACAUCCAUGACUUGAUAGUUUUAUUGGUUCAAAUGUUGAAGAGACCUUGUACUUCUUACAUCACUAGCGAAGACUGGCGUGGGACAAGUUAUUGGCCGUGAGUUCUCUCAAUUGACUCCAAGCAUUUUGGAUAAAGACAUUUGCAUCUGUAGUAAAAUCAAAUCCAUGAGACUGAAGGAUGCAUGGGGAAGUCUUACAACCUUUAUUUGCAUAGGUAGAUGCUGAGAAAACAUAUCAUCAACACGUUAUUGAUAUUUUAGAGAAGUUGUAUGCGGAGGUUUGGGACUAUGCAUUUUAACUUGCUUGUCCCCAUCUAUCUAUUCCUUGGAGCGUUCUCUUCUUGCUAUUUUCGUCUCACUUAUGCAAAAGAAUAAUUGUGACUUUUUAGUCCCUUCCAACCCUUGCUACUUGAAUUAGAUGAUCCUAUAGGAGCAAUCAAAUGAGUCCUCCUCGCAACAUGUGACUUUCGAAAUGGAUGUACAUGCCUCAUGUGUCUAUCAGAGUACUGAUUCAAAUGGAGCUGAUUUGCAAACGCAUAUUAAUCAGAAUGACGUCUACUUUAUAGCAAAAGUAAGGCUCCUGCUCUCUUGCAUAGGUGAAAGUCCCUCUAUUGCCCUCCUCCUGGAAAAUCUUAAGAAAUAAGAUGCGCACAAAAUUGAAUGCUGUCUUUUAAGAUUUUUUUUUUUAAAAAAAAAGAAUUUUGUUGUAUUUUACCAUGAAAGUUGUUAAUUUACUGAAUUACAAACUUAUCAAUUAAUUUGAUGUUGCACAGUCUUUUUCUUAACAUAUUGCAUUCAUAUUUUAAUUUUGGAGCAAUAAAAUUUUUUUUCUACUAUCACUACCAUCUGGGCAGGUAUUUGUAUUAUUGCACAACAUCUACGGAAGUAGUGAUUAGUCUUAAAAGUUGAAGAUGUCUGUCUGUAUCCUUUCAUCCUAGAUAAAUUGUCAUAUGAUCGUAGGACAAAUUGUAAUUAUUUUUUAAAAUUUAUUAGUUAACACCUUGAAAAUUCUUUUCCCCCAAAUAAAAUUACUCUAAAAGUGUCCAAAUGUGGUGCUGAGGAAGCCAUUCUUAGGAAACUUUAUUUAGGAGAACAGGACUUUUAAGCAUGAGGUUUAGCAAACACCAAUGAAUUAAAAAAGCGAUAGAUGUCGGAUGAGCUAGAUAGAAUGCAUGGGCUAGAAAUAUCAUGUGUCUCUACUAUCAAUAUCUUAGCAACAUCAAAGCUGAGUUAGGCAUGCCAAAGAAAGGCAAACCACUGAAAGUUGUGUAGCCACUCACGACGUAGCAGGUGAUGUAAAGUCUUGAUAUUGCUUAUAGAUACAAGACUGAUAGCUCAACAUCCCUCUUUUUGAGAUUUUCUCUUAAGUUAGAUGGGCCUUUUUAUGAUUAUGUCUGAAUUAUGAUUCUCCUUACUUGGUUUACCUAGAAAAACUAUGUUUAUAUGGAUGUGACUUGGGGGCAAUCUAUGUAUUUGAUGAUAAAUCUGGCCGAGAAAACUUAAAUUAUUAGGCAGAGGAAAUUGACUGACCAUAAGCUGUCAUGUUAAAUCCAUCACUUAAAAGAUGUCGGUCACUUGGAAUCCCCAUUAUCUAUGACUUUCUUGUGCAUAGGCCAUGUUUUGUGGAGAGCAGUCAAAAUUUCAGAUUUAAAAUCUUAUCCAUAAUUUAAAAAUGGAAUUUUGUUUCUAAUAUAUCUUUGUUGGCCAUAAUCAUUGUAGUUACAAUGAACGCUGCUGCUACUGCUGCUGCUUUUGUUAUGCUUUUUUAAAGAUUAAGUUCUAUUUAUCCUAGUAUCUUAUAGGUUAUACAUCCAUUUGACGCUCAAGCAAAUGGGGAGCUAAGUCUUUCAAUUGAUGAUUAUGUUGUGGUUCGCCAGGUACUUUCCCCUCUAAAUAACAACACAGAGAUUUUUCUACUAUGCUAUUAACUUAUCCUUCUAACAACUUAUGAUAUGUGGAAUUUAGAACUAAUGCUUAUACUAAUUUGAUGUUCAAAGCACAUGGCAUUUUGUUCUUAAAAUUUUGAUUGAAAAGCAAUGAGUUAACAUAUGAUGGUUGGUUUUCUUUCUUCCUACCAUAUAUUCCCUUUUAUAUUGAAGUGCAAAUCAGAAUAUAGUAGGGUUGCUAGCUCAGUUCUAAACCACCCAGUUUACCCUUAUAGAUAUGUGAAUUUAUAUCUUGUUAUGCUUCCAUGGUUAAUGUUGUUAUUUCAGUGAUCACAACUAAUUCACUCCUCCUACGUAAAAGAAUUAGUUUUCCCCUUAGGUCUUUGAACGGUCAACUUUUGUUUAAUUCACUGUUUUAGUUAUAACUUCUCAAGGUGGCUCUUAUGGAUGGUCGGAAGGUGAAUGCAAGGGCCAAGUUGGUUGGUUUCCCUCGGCAUACAUAGAAAGACAAGAAAAAGCCCCAGCUAGAAGGAUAUCAGAAACAAACUCCUCACCCAAAUGUGAUGCGACUUCUUAAUAAACUCUUGCCAAGUAUCUAUAUGUUCUUUUUCCUGUAUUAUAUUGCCAUUUUAGUUUAUAGAACGACUGCGACAAUUGAUAAGUGGUUUGAUUGCUUCUCUUAAUGAAAUCUUACUAAGCUCCAAGUAAUAUGUGCGAUCAUAUGCAUUUUAAUAUUUGUAUUUAUCUCCUAGUUGAGGAGAAUAUUUGUAGUAACAACUGUGUUUCCAAAUUGCCAAAAAAAAAAAAAUACACAUCAUGUUUAGCAACAAAUUUUUACUAUUAUUUCUUCCCAGUUUUAAUUUACUUUCUCCGUGAAUUGAAUGUUAUAUUAGUAGCUUGAUCAGAAAGUAACUCAUAUCAAUCAAACUACCUUGAUGCAAGAGAUUGAAUUUAGAAUUUCUCUAUCUUUGUGAAACUUUCCAAUCAUAAUGUUAUGAAAUAUGUGGGCAUGAACUUUUUAAUUUCUAGUUGCAUUUGGAGUAUGUAUGAUAUAAUCUGAAUCACUUGCAUAAUGUUCUUCAUCUUCCANNNNNNNNNNNNNNNNNNNNNNNNNNNNNNNNNNNNNNNNNNNNNNNNNNNNNNNNNNNNNNNNNNNNNNNNNNNNNNNNNNNNNNNNNNNNNNNNNNNNUUCUAACUAAUGAAAUUUUCUAGUCUAAAUUAUGAAAUAUGUGGGAUUGACUUAGAAAUUUUGGUAACAUGUCGAGAAUGUAUGGUAUAAUUUGAAUUCAUUAGCAUAAUCUUCAUCUUCAUUGAUUUGUAAAUUAUGAAACUAAUAUAUAAAAAACUAAUGUUAGAUCCUAAUUAUCUUUAGUUCUUAAAAUUGUUGAGGAGAUAUGAAAUUCUGGUGGGUGGAUUUGAGAGUUUUAGCUUUGAGAAUAUUGCUUCAUCUCUACUUUGAUGUUGUUGUGCCCCUUGUUGUGGCGAGGCAUUAAUCUUCCUAAAUUUUUUGUCAAGCUUCAACUUUAUUAUAUAUAUACCUUUCUUGAUAAAAUGUCUGGGUCCAUCGCUGGAUUUGGUGUUAAUGACACUAGUGAAGAAGAUGAUGAUAGCACCAUAAUCAUUAUUUUUUAAAGUAAAAUAGGCGAUCAAGUGCAUCUAGGUGUUUCAUUUCUUGUGUAUGAUUAUAAAACUAUUCUGAAUAUAGUUUCUAAAUGAAUGUUAUAGAGUGGCUGCUUUUAACAUUGGAGAUGGUUCUCUUAUUUAAGUAUGCUGCACAGUAUAGGGAAGUAUAAGUUAUGGUGGAUAGAUAUGAGUUUGGAAGUGUGGAGACAAAUGUGAAGUGCUUGGAAGUUGGAAGCUAUAUAACGCUAAAUACUUCUACAAUUUUAAUAAAAAAUAAAAAUAAAUUUAUUUCCUAAGCAAACUUGAUUAGUACUUAAAGAAUCAUAAUUAAGCUACUAAUUAAUUUCAAUGACAAAAUCUUGUUGGAAUAAGAUUGUCUACAACAAAAUAAUAACAUGAAGUUAUCCACAUUUCAACAAAGUAAAACAAUUUACGUCGCCAAUAAGAAUUUACAUAUAAAACAAUAACAAUUCCAAAUAUCACUAUUACGUACGAUGUUGUAAAUGUGAUAAAGAAACUGUCCGUGUCAAUUAAAAUGUCUGGGUCCAUCGCUGGAUUUGGUGUUAAUGUUUCUAGUGAAGAAGAUGAUGAUAGCACCAUAAUCAUUCUUUUUAAAAGUAAAAUAGGCGAUCAAGUGCAUCUAGGUGUUUCAUUUCCUGUGUAUGAUUAUAAAACUAUUCUGAAUAUAGUUGGCGAUCAAGUGCAUCUAGGUGUUUCAUUUCUUGUGUAUGAUUAUAAAACUAUUCUGAAUAUAGUUUCUAAAUGAAUGUUAUAGAGUGGCUGCUUUUAACAUUGGAGAUGGUUCUCUUAAAUAAAGUUUGCUGCACAGUAUAGCGAAGUAUAAGUUAUGGUGGAUAGAUAUGGGUUUGGAAGUGUAGAGACAAAUGUGAAGUGCUUGGAAGUUGGAAGCUAUAUAACACUAAAUACUACUACAAUUUUAAUAAAAAAUAAAAAUAAAUUUAUUUCCUAAGCAAACUUGAUUAGAACUUAAAGAAUCGUAAUUAAACUGCUAAUUAAUUUCAAUGACAAUAUCUUGUUGCAAUAAGAUUGUUUACAACAAAAUAGGAACAUGAAGUUAUCCACAUUUCAACAAAGUAAAACCAUCUACGUCGCCAAUAAGAAUUUACAUAUAAAACAAUAACAAUUCCGAAUAUCACAAUUAUGUACGAUGUUGUAAAUGUGAUAAAGAAACUGUCCAUGUCAAUUAAAUUAUCAUUUUUUGUUGGGGGGGGGAAAAAAGGGGCCCCCAAAAAAAAAAAAAAAAAAACUUUUUUUUUUUAAAAAAAAAAAAAUUUUUAAAAAUUUUUGGAAGGCGUUAAAUGUUGCAAAUUGUNNNNNNNNNNNNNNNNNNNNNNNNNNNNNNNNNNNNNNNNNNNNNNNNNNNNNNNNNNNNNNNNNNNNNNNNNNNNNNNNNNNNNNNNNNNNNNNNNNNNNNNNNNNNNNNNNNNNNNNNNNNNNNNNNNNNNNNNNNNNNNNNNNNNNNNNNNNNNNNNNNNNNNNNNNNNNNNNNNNNNNNNNNNNNNNNNNNNNNNNNNNNNNNNNNNNNNNNNNNNNNNNNNNNNNNNNNNNNNNNAUCAGCUUGUUGCAAGAAAGAUCAAGUCCUGAUAGGAGGCUAAGCACUUUUCCUUGGUAAAUGUACGCAAUGUUCUUUGUUGUGAACUCAAAAUUUUCACGGAUUUGCUUUUCUACAUCUCCGUCAGGGCCGUCGAUGGAAAAAGAUAUUUCAAAUUGCUCAUCAAGACUAGAACUAUUGCUGUAACUGUCAUGAAGUGUGGUGUUAUCAAAGCAAGGAGGAAUAGGACCGUGAAGAUUAUUAUUAGAAAGAUCUAACAAUUGUAGUUGGUUCAAUUCGCACAAUUGAACUGGCACUUUACCUUCAAGAUUAUUGUGACCUAAGAUAAGGUGACUUAACUGAGAAAGCCCAUCAACCCAAUCCGGAAUGCUGCCAUUCAAGCGGUUAUAGCUAAGAUCUAAUGUCACAAGGGAAGAGCAAUUAAAGAAUGUACCUCUUUUUAGUUGUCCAUGUAACAUAUUUUUUGAAAGAUGAACUUGUUUGAUAUUGAGAGGAUGGAAACAAGAUGGUAGACUUCCAGAUAUGUUGUUGUCUGAAAUGUCCAAAAUCUGAAGCAAAUCCAGUUGACAAAACUCCAUUGGAAUAGAACCUUUAAGAUGAUUCUUGUGCAUUGUAAUAUGUUGUAAACUUGUGAGACUGCCUAACCAUCGUGGAACCUUACCCGAAAGACUGUUAUUAUUAAGGUACAAUCCUUCUAGUGAGGAGCAUUUAUAUAAACUUUGUGGGAUCUCUCUUAUGAAGUGAUUGUCCUCCAAUUGUAACCAUAUUAAAUUUGCCAGGUUAAAAUUUCUACAGAACAUGUGACCUUUUAGGUUGUUGUUUGAUAACGCUAGAAACUCCAAGUUAACGCAACCGACGGCCAAGCGCUCAGGGAUUUCACCAGUCAAUUGAUUGCUGGAUAAGUCCAAAAUUCUGAGGAAGUUCAUUUUACCAAAUGAAGAGGGAAUGCUACCAUGCAAGGCAUUCGUGGAAAUGUUAAAAGAAAAUAAACUUGGUAAAAUAUCUCUAAUUUCUACUGGAAUAUGGCCUUGGAAGUUGUUGUUGGAGACACCCAAGAAUCUUAACCGCCUGUGUGGAUGAAUUGGCAAUUAAAAAGGUCCUCCAAUAGAAUCAUUGAUGAGAAAAAGAGUUUCUAAUUUUGUGUUGUUUUCCAACAACCAAUUUGGAAAUUCUCCAUUCAUCUUUAUAUGUGAGAGAUGAACAUCCUCCAGGUCAUGUUGAUGGUAAAGGAAUUUGGGGAAUGUGACACCAUCUCCACAACCGGAAGACAACAAGAGAGAUUGUAAUUGGAAGUUUGGGGCGGUCAAAGAAUGUGACUCAGUUAUUUCAGCUUUUAUUUCAUUGUUGUAAGCCCAUAAGCUCUUGAGUCUUGAGUGAUUGAAAAGUGGUUUAAGUGAAAUUGGGAUGCAGAAGUGAUUCUUUGAAAGUAUUAGCUCUUCAAUGGAUGUCAAAUGAACGAGGGGAGUGAUAACUCUAGGAAAUGAGAGUUAUUACAUCAAUUCUAAACUUGAAUCAGGAUCUUUUAGAGAACAAAUAAGGUGUUUUUAUUACAUUUUGCUUAAACAUUCAUUUUAGUUGAGUAUUAAUAAGUUUUGCUUGAAUUAUAGUAAUUUGUGCUAAAAACAUAUGCAUAAUUGUAGGUUCUUGGAAAGUCUUAAUUCAUGAGGGGAUGUUGAGGCAUUAGAUGAGCAAGAGGAGGAAAUAAGCCAGUCAUAAAAGAACAAAAGCACAAUCGGGAGUAAUGCAGUGCUGUUACGGAUGUUAGAGCAACCCGUUCUGUAGCAAUCUGGAAGUAAAUGCGAGAGAAAACUUGGGCGCGGGUCAGCACAUGUUUCUUAAUUUAACGCAUGCACACUCAUAGGCUUGUGUUUACCCUAAUUUGCAAUAUAAAAGGGAGGCAAUACCACAAAGAAAGGCGGCAAGGAAAUUAUCACUAGAAUAAUCACAAAGGAACGAAGAAGAAGAAGAUCAGAAUUAAAGAGUUUUGUUUUGGAAACAUUGGAGAAUCGUGCAGAAUUACUUGGCUUUGAUUUUCGCCGUGCUCAACUUAUAUUUAUCUUCUUCCUUUAAUUAUUUUGAUGUAUUCCGGGAUCAAUAUAUUUAUGAUUAUUUUUGUCAUCCAGAUUAUGAACUAAAUUUACUUGUAGUUGAGUGACAAAUAAUCCAAUGGGUUCUUGAUUGUUCUUAUAUGUUGUUAUGGUAAUGCUGUAGCAUUUUACUCUAGUAGUUUUUAUGAGUAUAACUGUUAUUUCGGUUGACCACCCAUUUAAUAGUUUCAGUUAAGAGCAGCAAAGGGGCAUGUCUUAGCGGACAUUAUUAGAGUAUUACUUGUUCUUAAAUUGAGUUUCCUGGAUUAGGUUAUCUUGAAUCCCAUAAGGGCAAUACUUGAAGUUAAGAUUUGUGACACUCUGGACAUAGGUGUUCACCUUGUAGGGUAGAGAGAUUAAAGGAUAUAAUGACGUACCAUAAAUAUAUGAGCAACUGGUCAUUGUUAGUAGAUUUAAAGGUAUGAGAUUUCUAACAUGCGAUAGCUGAGGAUGCAGAUUUAUUCUGCCCAGUGCUGCAGCACUUAUUGUAACAACUGGUGCUAAUUUGGUAAACACCAAUCACCCCAUUAGGAGAGUUUGAUUAUUCAACUACUAUAUUCUCAAUUGAAUCUUAGACACAGUUAACUUAGUUUAUUUCAUUACAGUAUUGUUUUAUUUCCAUCUCUCGCAAUUAUUAAUUACGAUAGAAUUAUUUAACAAUUGUUUGUUUCGGUUUUAGUUAAUUUGCACUAUUGUGAUUGCUUUAGCAUUUUGAGUAACAUCAAUCCCUGUGGAGACGAUCUUGAAUACUCAUCACUUUAUUACUUGUUGUGUAUAUGAUGAAGAGUAGGAAUCCAUAUUAUACUAGGAUUAGUUUCCUUAUUAACUAAAGUUUAAGACUUUUAAAUUCCUUUCUAAUUUAGAAUUUUGUUUCCCUUUCAAUUUAGGAUUUUGUUUUUACUUCAUGAAUUAGGAUAAUUACUACUACUAUAAAUAGCUUCCUCUUGUAACCUUUGAAUGCAUAAUUUUGAGUUCAAUAAUAUUUCAAUUUUCAAAUCUCUUUGUGAGUAUUUGAACAGUUAACUCUCGGUAUUCUGCGGAAUCAACGAGUCUUAAUCCCUAAAUUCACGGUAUUCUUUUGAAUCAACGUGAAUUUAAUUAUUAUUUUGUUCCGGUAUUCUCUAGAAUCAACGGAAUAUUUUGAACAUUAAACUUCCGCUGCAUCAGUAUAUUUGCACAUCGGCAUUGGUAGUAAUUGAUUAUAAAAAUAAAUCAAUAAGUGUUUGGGGUCGUUGCCGGGGAUUGAUUGUUUAUUUUUAAAGUGUAAAGUAAAUCUUGAUAGCGCCAAAUUUGAUUUGAUUUAUUCUAUUUAUUAGGAGAUCGGUACAUGCAUGCGCAAAGACAGGUCUGUGGUAUUCUAAUUCGAUCCUGAGAUUGAAAGGACUGUCAGGAGAUUGCGAAGAGAACAAAGGAAUUCAGAAAUUGAUUCAAGCAUGAAUAAUUUGCAGGAUGCGGGAAAUUUGAAUCCUCACGGGCCCUUACAACCAGUAAACAUUCAAGGAGAGCAGAAUGAACAUGUUAACGGGAGACAGCCAGGCAAUAACAAUAUUAUUUACAUGGCUGAUGACAGAGACAGAGCUAUAAGAGAUUAUGCUGUGCUAACUCCUCAAGUUGUACAUCCUGACAUCAUCAGACCUGAAGUAGACGUUGCAAAUUUUGAGUUAAAGCCAGUGAUGUUUCAAAUGUUGCAAACAGUUGGUCAAUUCAAUGGAUUGCCAGAUGAAGAUCCUCAUCUCCAUCUUAAAUUGUUCUUGGAAGUAAGUGAUACUUUCAAGAUUGCUGGAGCAAUACAAGAUGCUUUAAGGCUGAGACUCUUUCCUUAUUCCUUAAGAGAUCAAGCAAGAGUAUGGUUAAAUUCGUUACCAUCUGAUUCCAUCACUACAUGGAAUGAAUUGGCUGAUAAAUUCCUAAUGAAAUAUUUCCCACCAACAAAAAAUGCAAAGUUGCGGAAUGAGAUUACUUUCUUCCAUCAACUUGAAGAUGAAAUGCAAAAAAUGCAAAAAAUGCAAUGUUAGUUAAUGAGUGACCUCAUUAACUAACAUAGUAAAGGCCUUGACAUCUGCUCCAGCAACAGUAAAGCAAGUUACUGAACUUUCUUGUGUAUACUGUGGUGAAGAGCAUAACUUUGAUAAUUGUCCUGGAAACCCAGCUUCAGUAAACUAUGUGGGUAAUUUCAGUUGAUAACCUCAGAACAACCCAUAUUCAAAUACUUACAACCCUGGCUAGAAGCAACACCCAAAUUUUGCAUGGAGCAGUCAGAAUCGAAAUGCUCCAGCAUUAAAUAGACAAAAUAAAAACACACAACCACUUGGUUUUCAUCAGCAGAGUCAAGGGCAAAAGCAUAACAGUCAGGAUCCAAUCACUUCACUGGAAGCACUGAUUAAAGAGUACAUUGUAAAGAAUGAAGCAAUUGUGCAGAGUCAAGCUGUAUCCUUGAGAAACCUGGAAAACCAAAUGGGACAACUAGCCACAGUAAUAAGCAGCAGAACUCAAGGAAGCCUACCUACCAACACAAAAGACCCUAGGAGGGAGGGCAAAGAACACUGCAAAGUAAUUAAUUUGAGGUCUGGAAAGAAUGUUGAUAUCCCAGCUGAUGUAACAAAAAAUGGGAUGGAAUUCAAUUCAGCACAAAAAUUACCUCAAAAGGGAAGCAUGUUACAACAACCUCCUCUUCAAGACACUGGUUACAUGGGCCAAGUUACAGCAACUACAGAGGAAAUUCAACCAAAACAUGUUGAAAAAGAAAUUGCAACACCAGUAGUCACAACCUGCACCAAACCAAACAAACAGAGUUUGAUAUCUCCUGAAGCUACCUAGCAGUUUAGACAUCCACCACCUUUCCCACAAAGGAUCCAGAAGCAAUAACAAGACAAGCAGUUUAGCAAAUUCCUGGAAGGGCUGAAACAACUGCACAUAAAUAUACCUUUUGUGGAAGUUUUGGAGCAAAUGCCAAAUUAUGUGAAAUUUUUAAAAGAUAUCUUAGCAUGAAAAAGAAAGCUGAGAGAGUUUGAAACUGUUGCUUUAACACAGAAGAGCAGCCAUAUGCUCAAGAGUAAAAUUCUCACAAAAGUAAAAGAUCCAGGGAGUUUUACAAUACCCUGCGCUAUAGGAACUAGGUAUGCUGGCAAAGCACUUUGUGACUUGGGAGCUAAUAUUAAUUUGAUGCCAUUAUCUGUAUUUAAGCAGCUGGGAGUAGGGGAGUGCAGACCAACAACAGUCACUCUGCAAUUAGCUGAUAGAUCUCAUGCAUACCCUGAAGGAAAAAUAGAGGAUGUAUUGGUGAAGGUUGACAAAUUCAUUUUUCCAGUGGAUUUCAUUGUACUGGACUUUGAAGUUAAUAAAGAGGUACCCAUUGUAUUGGGAAGACCUUUUCUAGCAACUGGAAAGACUUUGAUAGAUGUGCAGAAAAGAGAGCUCACCAUGAGAGUGAAUGAUCAGCAAGUCACAUUUAAUGUCCUAGAGGCUAUGAGAAACCCCGAUGAAGUAGAAGAUUGCAAUUUCCUAAGUGCAGUGGAUUUUGUUGUAGCAAACAAAAUGGACAGAUGCUACAAUAAUGCACUUGACAAAGUCACCACCUUUGAAGAUGUUGCAGCAAUCCAAACAUAUUAGAUGGACAAACAGCAAUCUAAUAGGCACAACAUGUUUAUUGAACACCUGAAUGUUUCAGACAGGGAAGUAAAAACAACUUUACCAUCUAUUGAAUCACCUCCUAGUUUUGAAUUAAAACUGUUACCUUCACAUUUGAAGUAUGCAUAUCUUGGUCAAAACAACACACUCCCUGUAAUCAUUUCUUCUACUGUGGAUGCAGGUCAAGAACAGAGUCUAGUAGAUUUACUGGGAAAAUACAGAAGAGCAAUUGGAUGGACCAUGGCAGAUAUAAAGGGGAUAAGUCCAUCAAUAUGCAUGCAUAAAAUCCUGUUAGAAGAUUGUUCCAACAAUUCGGUGGAGCACUAGAGAAGGAUGAAUCCUAUUAUGAAAGAAGUGGUGAAGAAGGAAAUCAUCAAAUGGUUGGAUGCUGGAAUCAUAUACCCAAUAUCGGACAGUUCAUGGGUAAGCCCAGUUCAAUGUGUUCCAAAGAAAGGAGGGAUAACAGUAAUGGCUAAUGAAAAGAAUGAACUUAUUCCUACAAGGAUAGUGACUAGAUGGAGAGUGUGUAUGGAUUACAGGAAACUCAACAAAGCCACAAGGAAAGACCAUUUCCCACUUUCAUUCAUAAAUCAGAUGUUGGACAGACUUGCUGGAAAACAAUACUAUUGUUUCUUAGAUGGGUACUCAAGUUACAACCAUAUUGCUAUAGCUCUAGAAGAUCAAGAGAAUACUACAUUUACUUGUCCCUAUGGAACAUUUGCCUUCAGAAGAAUGUCAUUUGGGCUAUGCAAUGCUCUAGCAACUUUUCAGAGAUGCAUGAUGUCUAUAUUUUCUGAUAUGGUAGAGCAGACUUUGGAAGUUUUCAUGGAUGACUUCUCAGUUUUUGGAGAAACAUACAAUGAUUGUUUACACAACUUGGAAGAAGUUCUUAAAAGAUGUGAGAUGACCAACUUAGUACUCAAUUCGGAAAAGUGUCAUUUCAUGGUGCAAGAAGGAAUAGUGUUGGGUCACAAGAUAUCCAAGGAUGGUAUUGAGGUAGACAAAGCUAAGAUAGAGGUAAUAGAUAAACUGCCACCUCCAACUUCAGUAAAGGGAAUUAGGAGUUUUUUGGGCCGUGCUGGAUUCUACAGAAGAUUCAUUAAGCAUUUUUCCAAAGUAGCUAAACCACUGUGUUCAUUGCUGGAGCAUGACAAACCGUUUCACUUUGACAAAGAUUGCCUUCAAGCAUUUGGAGAAUUAAAGAAAGCUUUGAUCACUGCUCCAGUAGUUAUAUCUCCAGACUGGACUUUACCAUUUGAAUUGAUGUGUGAUACUAGUGAUCACUCUGUGGGGGCAGUAUUAGGGCAAAGAAAGGAUAAAGUUUUUCACUUCAUCUACUAUGCAAGAAAACUCUCACUCAAACUCAAAUCAAUUACACCACUACAGAGAAAGAGUUGCUAGUAGUAGUAUUUGCUUUUGACAAAUUCAGAGCCUACUUAGUAGGCACUAGAGUGACUGUAUAUACAGACCAUGCAGCAAUCAAAUACUUAAUUUCAAAGAAGGAUGCCAAGCCAAGAUUAAUUAGAUGGAUUUUAUUGCUUUAAGAAUUUGAUCUGGAAAUUAAAGAUAGAAAGGGGACUGAGAAUCAAGUAGCAGACCACCUGUCACGGCUGGAUGCAGACACAAGCACAUUGACCAGAAACGACAUCACUGAAACUUUUCCUGAUGAACAGCUGUUGGUAGUACAAUAAGCACAGAUGCUGCAGCAGUCAGAAUCUCCAUAGUAUGCAGAUUUUGCUAACUAUUUAGUAAGUGGGUUGCUACCACCUGAGCUAAAGUUUUAAGAGAAAAAGAAAUUUCUUCAUGAUGUUAGAAGUUAUCAGUGGGAUGACCCACAUUUAUAUAAGCUAUGCUCAGAUCAAGUAAUAAGAAGAUGUGUUGCAGCAGAAGAGAUACCCCAUAUACUGGAGUCAUGUCAUGCUGCAGCAUAUGGAGGACAUUUUGGUGGUCACAGAACAGCUGUCAAAGUUCUGCAAUUAGGUUAUUAUUGGCCCACUAUUUUUAAAGAUACUUAUGAAUUUGUUAAAUGUUGUGACAGGUGUCGAAGGACAGGGAACAUAAGUAGAAGACAUGAAAUGCCACUGACCAACAUCCUGGAAGUGGAAGUUUUUUAUGUCUGGAGAAUAGAUUUUAUGGGACCCUUCCCGCCAUCUUUUGGGAACUUAUAUAUCCUUGUUGCUGUGGAUUAUGUCUCCAAGUGGGUAGAAGCUGCAGCAUUACCUACCAAUGAUGCUAAAACAGUUGUGGCUUUUCUUCAGAAAAAUGUUUUCUCUAGGUUUGGCACUCCUAGAGCAAUUAUUAGUGAUGAGGGCACACAUUUUACAACAAAAUCUUUGCUGCAGCAAUGAUGAAAUAUGGAGUCAGGCUGAAGUGUCCAACAGAGAAAUUAAAAAGAUCUUAGAAAAAGUGGUGAAUCCAAUAAGGAAGGAUUGGUCUUUACACUUGCAUGACUCUCUAUGGGCCUACAGAACAGCAUACAAAACUCCACUCGGAAUGUCUCACUACCGAAUUGUUUAUGGCAAAGCUUGUCAUUUGCCACUAGAGCUAGAGCAUAAAGCACAUUGGGCACUGAAGAAAUUAAAUUGGGAUAUGCAUGCUGCAACAGAGCAAAGGAAACUUCAACUUUGUGAGCUUGAUUAAUUACAACUAUUUUCAUAUGAAAAUGCAAGAAUCUAUAAAGAGAGGACAAAACACUGGCACGACAAGCAUAUUCAGCACAGGAAAUUCAACCCUAGUCAAUUAGUGUUGCUCCACAAUACAAGACUAAGAUUAUUUUUGGGAAAGCUCAAGUUACGAUGGUCUAGCCCGUUUAAGUUGUUAAAAUCUUAUUCUCAUGGAGUUGUUGAUCUUCUAGAUGAACAAACAGGCCACGAAUUCAAAGUUAAUGGACACAGGGUUAAGCAUUACAUACAUCCAGCAGUAGAAUGUUCAAAGGAGAUGUUACUCCUUAAAGAACCCAGCUAUUGAACAAUGAAGGAAGGUCAGGCUGAAGGACCUUAAAUCAAGCGCUCCAUGGGAAGCAGCCCAUUUGGGAGACAACCACUUCAAACCAAUUUUGAUCUCCUUUGGUUUAGUUGACAGCUCUCCCUCCUUACCAUUUUAUUUAAUUUUGUUCUUUCAUUCUAGCUAUUUAAUUUUAUCUUUUCAAAUUAUUGCAUUCUUUAAUUUUGCUAUCAUUUAAUCUAUUUAUUUUUAAAUGUUAGAAUUAAUUUGAAUUUGUGGGAAGUAUGUGUAACAAUUGAAUUCCAUACUGACAAGUGAGGUUGUAUGGUGGCAGAGUAUAGAGGUGAGCCACGUGUCAGAGGCUUUAGUGUGGAGUAUGUACCGUUGCUAGAGUAAGCGAAUGGGUGCUGCAGCAACCAAUUUUACCGUUGCAAUAAAUUGAAAGAUGAAGCCUCUCACUUACCGUUGGAGAUAAAUCAUGACAGAUGGAGGCUUGGAUGUGGAUAGAAAUUGCAAAUAAAUCUCUGAAAUUAAUGCCUUAAAUUACCUAGCCGAUGUUUUUGGGAUACGCGCUUUAAAUUAAAAAAUAUUUUCUUCCCUCAUUUAUCUUUAGUUACCGUAUUUAUCUCCAAUUAAAAGUCCACUAUAAAAAAGUCAUUGUACUUAGUGCUCUACACCACUAUUCCCCAUCUCCUUCGCAAAUCCAACUCUCCUAAUUCUUAGCCUCUUCUUCUCUUUUUACUCUCAGGAACAGUAGACUAAAUUUGUUACUGCUACAGUAAUGCCGAGAUAUAAGAAAACAGCAAGCCGCCUCAAAGAUCCGUCACGAUUCUAAAGUUACCACGCCGAAAAAAAAUAUGAAGAAUUCAUAGAGCCGCGUAGGAUUCUGGAAGAAAAAAGGUUUCAAUUUCCAGACCAACUCACGGGAAUUGUGCAAACAAUUCAUAAUGCUGCAGCAAAGCGAGGAUGGCUAGAGUUUUACAAACACCCUCGGGAUCCUGUGCUGCCUGUAGUAAAAGAAUUUUACGCCAAUUUGGUAAGCCCUGAUCAGCACAACAUUUGGAUAAGAAAUACACUUGUCCCAUUAGACUCUCGUGUUAUCAAUGCUUUUUAUAACUUACCUGCUGAAAUUACUUGUGAGUAUGCUAAGUUGCGUGAUAAGUUAACCCCGAAAAAGUGGAACACCAUUUUUACAACUCUUACAAUCGAAAGAGCAUCAUGGGCUAACAAGGAAGGGCGUGUAGUUAAUAGGAUAGAUUUGAAACCUAUUGCUAAGAUGUGGGUGAAAUUUCUGAAAUCUAGGCUUAUGCCCACCACUCACACUACUACAGUUUUGCAAGAAAGGUUGGUCUUGUUAUAUGUCAUAGUUCGCGGGCUUCCCAUAGAUGUGGGUAGCAUCAUCGCAAAAGAAAUCCGAGAUUGUGCAGUCAAGACUCACCGAACUGCUGCUUUGCUAUUUCCAUCACUCGUUACUAGCAUUUGUGUAGUUUCAGGUGUUCAUCUUGACGCCAGAGAUGACCAUGUCAAUAAUGAUGGUGCCUUUACGGCAUGAACCAUUGAGAGAGUUGCUGGUGAGAGUGCUGGAACAACCACUGAACCAGCUGCUGAGACAGGAGCAAGAUGAGCUAUUGGCUUAGAAAAGACCAUCCAGGCACUCAGCACAAGUAUAACUCAAUGUACGGAACCACAGCAGUGGGAAAACGAUCGAUUUUGGAGCUAUCUCCAGCACCUGGACAACCAACUACACCAAUUUUCUCUGUACAUGAAACGCACUCACCGGAACUUCCUUGAUGCACUGCUCCAGCAGUACAAUUUUGACACCAACACCACAAAUGCAUCAACAGAGGCUAGUGCAGAAGCCACUGCCACAGAGGAACCAGCAGAAGAUGCUACAGCCGAACCUCAAGCAGAGGAAGAAUCAGAAGAUGCUGAACCAUCUGAUUAGCCUGAGGAAGAAGGUGACAAGUCUGAGAUUGAUAGCUCACCUACAGAGGAAGAAGACAACUCGGAGAAAGACCGUGAGGAACCAACCAUCCUAACCCAGCCCAAAACCAGAAAAAAAAAAAGCACGUUAUUCAAGAAAAUGAGGAGGAAGACCUUGAAGAGGAGCCGUAUAUUCCAGUCCUUGCAGGCAAGAGAAAGGACAAGGGUAAAGCAAAAAUGGCAACAACUCCAGCCUCUGAAGAUGAGAUGGAGCAAGUCGAUGCUAAGCUGGCUGCUGCAGCAGCCAGAGCUAUGCCUACACCUAAGCAAGCUAAGCAACUACUUGCGGUUAUUGCUGCCAUCACAACUGAGGGCCAGGCAGCUGAUGCAUUAACUCAACAACCUCCACAGCAAACUCCUAGCCAGCCUAUUCGCACAAGUCCAAGACAAUCCAGCAAACAAAAAGGCAGUACGUCUACAAGUACUUCUACAGCAACCCCAGCCACAACUCCUCUCACCAGCCGCGCAGUGAAAAAGACAAAGACAUUGCCAGCUACUUCCCCAAAAGCUUCACCAAAGGAUGAGCUGCGCAGUGCAUCCAAGAAGUGCUGAUAGCAUCCCGUCAUGCACUCCAGUCCCCACCACAGGGGAGUACUCUAUCCUUACUAGUUCAUAUUUAAAAAAAAAAAAUUAUGUUUGUCAAUUUGUAUGCCUUUGUUAUGUAUGCUUGUGAGGACACAGCAUCUCUCAAGUUUGGGGGGAUUGUGUCCGAAUGCAUGUGUUUAUGUAUGUGUUUAUGUUUGUGUUGUGUGAAGCUCUGUUAUCUGUUAUUUGUGUAUGGAUUUGAAAACCUAAUAAAGAUAAAUUGAGUGUUAUUCAGUAUUUAUGAGAAUGCCAAGUAGAGAUAGUUAUAGAUAGAAGUGAAAUUAUGUCCCAACACUUAGACUUUGGUUGAAUUGUAUGAGACUGUUAGAGCAAAGCCAAAAGAAUAGAAAAUAUCUUAAGUUUGAAGGGAGAAGCAAGUUGAUUGACUGUGAUAUUUAUGAGAUAAAACUCUACUCCAAUGGCUCAAGUUGCUGAGUAACCAAAUCUGAGUAUGUACCCCAUAUGCAGAAUUGUGUAAAAGGUAGCAAGAGUUAUGAGCAAUGCUGUAGCAAAUAAAAAAAAAAGUCCUAUGUCUAAGGCAUUGAGUAGUCAGGUCUGUUCAUGAACCCCAUGUUCAGCCUUGAGUAAAAGAUACCUUUAGAUGAGAUUAUACCGCAAAUAUUGCUGCAGCAACUCUGAUCUGGGCAUGGUUUAAGUAAUUGGGUGUCAUCAUUACAAGUGAUUGACAUUCACAUGAAAGAUAAAUGUUACAGUAAGGAGGUUGAUUACUCCCCAGUUUAUCAAUGUAAAACAAUCACAGUUUGAAUAUGUGAAAUUUAUGCUACCCCAUUUAUGAAUGAAGUAUAUCACUGCUGAAAUUUAUGCAGUCCUUUGGUGAUGUUACAGCAUAUCUGGAAUUCAAUCAAAGGAAGCACACACACACAAUGGACAGAAAGAAGCUUAAGUCUAGAACUGAUUUACUAUGGCAUUUUGUAUGAUUGGGAUUGUGAUCUGAAGGUGGAAGAAUCCUUGCAAAUUUGAUAAAAGAGCUAAAGUUGUGUGCAUGUUUGUUUGCGGAAAAUGUUAGUAUGUGUCAUUACUUGAAGGCAAGUAAUGGUUUAAGUUUGGGGGUGUGAUAACUCUAAGAAAUGAGAGUUAUUACAUCAAUUCUAGACUUGAAUCAGGAUCAUUUAGAGAACAAAUAAGGUGUUUUUAUUACAUUUUGCUUAAACAUUCAUUUUAGUUGAGUAUUAAUAAGUUUUGCUUGAAUUAUAGUAAUUUGUACUAAAAACAUAUGCAUAAUUGUAGGUUCUUGGAAAGUCUUAAUUCAUGAGGGGAUGUCGAGGCAUUAGAUGAGCAAGAGGAGGAAAGAAGACGGUCAUAAAAGAAGAAAAGCACAAUCGGGAGUAAUGCAGUGCUGUUGUGGAUGUUAGAGCAACCCGUGCUAUAGCAAUCUAGAAGUAAAUGUCGGAGAAAACUUAGGCUCAGGUCAGCACAUGUUUCCUAAUUUAACGCACGCACGCUCAUGGGCUUGUGUUUACCCUAAUUUGCAAUAUAAAAUGGAGGCAAUACCACAAAGAAAUGCGGCAAGGAAAUUAUCAUUAGAAUAAUCACAAAGGAACGAAGAAGGAGAAGAUCAGAAUUGAAGAGUGUUGUUUUGGUAACAUUGGAGAAUCGUGCAGAAUUACUUGGCUUUGAUUUUCACCGUGCUCAACUUAUAUUUAUCUUCUUCUUUUAAUUGUUUUGAUGUAUUCCGAGAUCAAUAUAUUUAUGAUUAUUUUUGUCAUCCAGAUUAUGAACUAAAUUUACUUGUAGUUGAGUGACAAAUAAUCCAAUGGGUUCUUGACUGUUCUUAUAUGUUGUUAUGUUAAUGCUGUAGCAUUUUACUCUAGUAGUUUUUAUGAGUAUAACUGUUAUUUAGGUUGACCACCCAUUUAAUAGUUUCAGUUAAGAUAGAGCAGCAAAAGGGCAUGUCUUAGCGGACAUUAUUAGAGUAUUACUUGUUCUUAAGUCGAGUUUCCUGGAUUAGGUUAUCUUGAAUCCCAUAAGGGCAGUACUUGAAGUUAAGAUUUGUGACACUCUAGACAUAGGUGUUCACCUUGUAGGGUAGAGAGAUUAAAGGAUAUAAUGACGUACCAUAAAUAUAUGAGCAACUGGUCAUUGUUAGUAGAUUUAAAGGUAUGAGAUUUCUAACAUGCGAUAGCUGAGGAUGCAGAUUUAUUCUGCCCAGUGCUGCAGCACUUAUUGUAACAACUGGUGCUAAUUUGGUAAACAACAAUCACCCCAUUAGGAGAGUUUGAUCAUUCAACUACUAUAUUCUCAAUUGAAUCUUAGACACAGUUAACUUAGUUUAUUUCAUUACAGUAUUGUUUUAUUUCUAUCUCUCGCAAUUAUUAACUACGAUAGAAUUAUUUGACAAUUGUUUGUUUCGGUUUUAGUUAAUUUGCACUAUUGUGAUUGCUUUAGCAUUUUGAGUAACAUCAAUCCCUGUGAAGACGAUCUUGAAUAUUCAUCACUUUAUUACUUAUUGUGUAUACUUGCACAUUGGCAUUGGUAGUAAUUGAUUAUAAAAAUAAAUCAACAGGGAGAUAAGGAGAUGCUUCCAGUAAGUUGAUUGUAAGAAACAUCUAAUAUUCGGAGGGAUGUCAUAUUUGCCAAGCACCAAGGCAAGCUACCUCUUAAAUCAUUGCUUGCAAUGUACAACUCUUGUAGAUGCACCAACGAACAGAGGCCUGAAAAUUUAUUAAUUCAACCAUUGGUACAAUAAAACAAUUAACAAAUGCAUAACAUUCUUUUAUAAGUGAUUGGUUUGUGUAAUUAUAUUUUUAAUUGAAAAUUAAAAUUAUAGAUCAAGAGGGGAGGGUGGGAGCAUCUGAUUAACCUUGAUCAAGAAUCAUGCUGCUGUUAAUGCCAAUAGUAGAACCUGACAGUGAUAAGUACUUGAGAGAAGACAUCGAUUCACCGAUGCUUUGAAGAAAGCUGGUGUUGAGUGCACUGCGCAUGAAUUCCAUGUCCAAAUGUUCCAAACUCUUGAAAUGAGGAAAGCCUAGCAAAAACAAUAAAAUAAAUAAAUAAAAAUGUUGAACACUUAAGACGACAUUGAGUUCACAAUCAACACUUUUCUUUUACCUUGACCACGUACGACACCAUUGACUUCACAACCAAUCACCGACAGAUUUUUUAACGAAGGGAAUAUUGAUGCAAUGCUUUACAGAAGGCUUAUAUGGAGAGGGGAAUCGUUCAAUUUCAAAUAUUCCAAGUUGGUGAAAUUGUGCAACUCUGUUUCGAAGCAAUAAUUUUAGCUUUAUUAACAAUACGGAAAAAUAAUUAAUUAUUUAACAGUUUAUUUAUAAAUUUGGCCACAUAUGUACCGUUUAUUAAUAAUAUGGAUAAUUAAUUAAUUAAUUAGCUGCUUAUUUAUAAAUUUGGCCACAUUUGUACCUUUUACUUACCUUGAGUAGUAAUUGUCACUGUUUCCGUAAAAUUAUUAGACGAAAGGUAAAGAUUGUUGAGGGAUGGGAAUGAUCCCAUUGACUGUAACAACUUGCUUCCAUCUCUAACUCCAACUCUCGAUAGAUCAAGGCUUUUCAACUUCCUCAAACCGCUGUAACCUAUUUAAUAACAAUAAUUAGGAUAGGAUUUAAGAAAAUCAAAAUUCAUUGUCUAAAUUUAGAGCUAAACGAAAUAACUGAUUAAUUUAAUUAGGAGUCAAUUUGUAUUUUAUGCUUUGGGCAAAGAUCAGUAUCAUUUUUCAAUCGCUGCAAAGAUUAAAAAAUUAAAAUGAAAUCUUUAUUACAUUUUGUUUUUGAAAUAAUAAUAUUACGUCCUAUUUUUGAAAUAAUAUAAAUUCUAUGUUUCUUUAUUUUUAUUUUUAUUUUUUUGUACCUUUUGGGCCUUCCCUAAUCAAAUGAAUAAAAUUUAUGUAAUUGAAUAAUAUUUUAAAUGUUUACCUUGAGGAACCACAAGAUUGUUGAUUUCAUUGAAGCUCAUGUCCAACAAUUCUAAGUUGUUGAAGGAAUUGAAUUCUGCAAACAUAAACAGACUUAAGACUUAAAACAGAGUAAAUUAAUUAAUAAAUUUAAAGAAAUUAAAACGUCAUUAGAAUUUCGUCUAAACCAAACCAAAUAGUAUUUAAUUAAUUGAUUGAAAAAGUAUGCUUACUUUGUAUGUAAUUCCUUCAGGCUAAUCAAAUUAAAUAUUAAAUUAUGUCGAUAAUACAGAAGUCUAGCUGGCAUAUAUAAAAUGAGAAAGCAGGGCUUAGACUUACCUCGAACAUUGAAUGUUCCUUUGAAUCUCGUACCACUUAAACUAAGAGACUUCAAUUUACUCAAACCUGUAAAAUAAUAAACCAAAUGGCAAAGAAUCCAGCUAAUUUGUAUAAGUUAGCAUUUUUUAUGGUAUUUGUAGUACCUUUUGAGACCACAAAUUUGUCAAUCUUGUUCCCGCCAAUGUCUAGCUCCUCUAAAUCUCUCAAAGAAUCUAAUUCUGUAAUAAGUACAAAUUGAGUUGAAUGUUUCAAACCUCACCAAAUAAUAAUAAUAAUAAUAAUAAUAAGUUGUGGAGGUGUUUGGUUCACUAUUGGAGUUUUUUUUUAAUCUUAAAUUCAAGACAUAUGAAAGUACAAGAUGAAAUUACGAGAAACAUAAAAACUUGUAUUUAUAAAUUGCUUAAAACUGUUUUUUUUAAUAUUAAUCAUAAAAAAAUUGAAUUCAAAGCCUUGAAUCUUAUUUUAGCAAGUUAAUGAAAGAACUUGAAGUUUUAAUUAUGUACCUUUAACGUCAAUACUUCCUUCCAAUCUAUUCCAAAAUAAAUUUAAUGAUCUUAAUGGUGAAAGAUGAGUUAGAGAUGAUAAAAUGCUAUUAUUGAAUGAGUUUCCACUUAAAUUAAGCAUCUUCAAGUUGUUCAAUCUUGAUAGCCUCUCUAUACCUGCAAGUAAAAUAAAAAAAAGAUCAUAGAUACUGGUGUAAUUUCAAAAUUAAUCAUUUAAAAAAAAAGUCAAAAUUGUCGACUAAAUGAAUAUGCAUAUAAUUGCUCGGUCUUGAUAUUCAACUUAAAUUAGGGGGGAGAAAGUAAAUUAAUUAAAUUAAACGAAGCACCUUCAUUCUCAACACAACUGGCUAUUUUGUUGUCAGUUAAAUCAAGUGACUCAAGUUGUUGGAAGGGAGUAAACAAAGAAGCAUUCAGAUACCAGUACUCUCCCCCAUACGUGUCAGAAAGGUCUAGCGCUAUCACUCGGCUCAUGGUGUUGCUGCACUCAACCCUUUCCCACUGACAACAAUCAGUAGCUCCCUCACCAUCUCCCCAGUCGUAAAGAAAAUUAUAAGGAUCAUUGAGGAAAUGUUUGAGUCGCAAAAGAGCAAAUCUCUCAUGAUCCAAACAUCCCUCACUUCACCCACCUUCAAAUAUUAUUAAUAACAAAACAAACAUUAUCACCAUUUUUUUAUUUUGAACCACCCAUUCUAACUAUAUCUUUAAGUUUUAAAAAACACACACACUCUUUCUAUCUUUGUAACCAACCAGAGGACUAUACGCCAUUUGCUUAUAACGCAUGUAACUAUUUAUACACCCAACUAGCUUAUAGUUGACUUUUUUAGUUGUUUCUCCAAGUCCUUCAUGCAUUAAUUUUCUUCCCUUUUUUUUUCAUCUUUGUCAUUUUGCUAUAAUUUGCAACAGCAACGCGUUUUGAGCUAGCAAUAAAUAAUAAUUGAGAGAGAUUGAGAUGACAAAUGGAUAGAAACUAAAAGUAUGGGUGUUUAAUACGAGAACGAUUAUACCCGUUUAUUAUAUUUCAACCUAAAAAUUUACUCUAAGCAUUUAUAAUAAAUAAAAAUAUGAUAAUAAAAAUAAUAAAAAAAUAUGAAUAAUAUAUAUUUGUAAAAAAAAAAGAUUUAUGUGUCCAUUUUGAAAAUUAGCGAGUAUAUGUAAAUAUAAUUAUCAAAACAAACCAUAGAAGUGUUGUUAUUUUUUCCUUUCAAAAAAUCCACCAUUAUAAAAAAAGCCCAAAGACUUUGACAUCUUUUAGGAGUCUUUGGGCCUUGUUUUUUUCCCUCUUUUUCUUUCAUUUGCAUUUUGAUCCACAAGGCCAAAAAUUAAAUUCCACACCUUUGGCAUUUUGUGGAGAUUACAUUUCCAUGUUUUUACUUAGAAAGUAGGUGGAGACGUGGAGUCAAUGCGGCCAAGUGCUCAAUUAUUGUUAGUUAGCAAAAUAGAAUUUUUGGCGAGAUGAAUUUGUUGUAAAAAAGUUUUUGGAAAAAAUAAUAAUCAUCGGAACUUGUCUUGUGUCUUUAUAACAAUUUACUACUGCGAAAUCUUUACAACUUCACAUCUUUGAUUCAAUUAUCGCCACAAAGGCACAAGUACGUCCAUUUGUAAACCAAUCGAUAGAGAUCAAAUUUCAAGCCAUGAACUUGUAUUGUCAGCAAACACCUAAUCACUUUAGAUAUUUGUAUCGUUUAAUUAAUUAAUGAUCACUCUGAAAUUACAGAGGUUGGCCGAAUAUUCCCCUAAAAUUAAUUAAUUUUACCGAAAGGGAAUUAUUAGACAGAUCAAGUGUGUCUAGUUUUUUUGUUGUUUUGUAACAAUCAAUUUGGAAACUCUUCACUCAAGUUAGCAUCUUAGAGAUCAAGAUAAACAAACUCCUAGUGAUGCUAAUGGAAGAGGAAUUUAUAAGAGGAGAAGAGAGAGUAAUUAUGCUUGAUCAAGAAAGGUACCAUUAAAUCUAGAAUAUGACAAUUAAUGGUAGAAAAAUUAACAAGCAUGUAAUCCACGAUCAAAGAUUUUAAAUCCUUGAAAUUUAGAUAACCUAAAAAUUAACAUUGAACAAGAAAUAAAUCAACACUGCCACUUUGAUCACAUAAUCGAUGAAACUUAGGAUAUAUAAUCAACACCUGUUUAUUUUACUAUUGAAUUACUAUUUUUUCUGUAUUAUUUGAAUAAGGGAAUUGAUUUGGAGAAACUCUCACUAUAAUUGAUGAAAAUCAAGAUAUAAUCAAUACAUAUUCAUUUUAUUUUUAAAUUAAUACUUUUCCAUUAUUAUUUGAAGAAGGGAAUUGGUCUCAAAAAAUCUUAUUGUAAUAUAUGUAACUUAAACUUUUUUUUUCUGAAAUAAAAAUUAACUUUUAAGAAGGCUUCAAAUAUGGAGAGGGGACCAGUCCAUUAAUGUCAAUUCUUCCAAGUUAGUGACAUUGUGCAGCUUUAUUUGAUUAGAAGGUGCAACAUCUUUAGCUUUAACAUAUCUUAUUCUUUAAGACUAUUAAAACUUUUAAAUUAUGUCCACAUGCCCACCCUAUAAGAUCCACAAAAGUAGCAGAUAAAAUGGAAGAAGUACGCUAAGGGGCUGUUUGAUUUUAGUUGUGGCUUACACAGCACGAAAUUACACCAAAAAUGCCCCGACCAGAUUUAAUAAAACAAAUGUACUCUUACUCAGUUUAUUAUUUAUUUUUACAUAGAUAUAUUUUCUUUUUUUUCUUUUUUUUUCUUUUUCAACUUAGAAAAGAGAAUUAGGGGACAGAUCAAGUGUGUCUGAUUUUGCGUUGCUUUCUAGCAAUCAACUUGGAAACUUUCCACUCAAGUUAACAUGUGAGAGCUGAUGGAAGAGGAAUUUGAAAAAUCGUGACUCUAAUUUUGCAUAUAUUUGAUUAUUUCAACACUUGAUUGGUUUUGAAUGGUCCAAGAAUGGGCAAGUGACAAUGAGACUUGGAAGUGAUAGUUUGAAAAAGUGAGAUCUUCAAUUGAUAUUAGAUAAAUGAGAGUAGACUAGGAUAUAUUUCCAGUAAGCUUAUGGAGAGAGACAUAUCAAACUUGAAGUAAGAAGUCAUAUUUUCCAAGCACCAAAGACAAUUUAUUGUACCCGGAAUAUAAUUAUGGUCAAUAAAACAAAAAACUCUUGCAGAUUCAUCAACUGAUUGGGUUGAAAACAUAAUUCAUCCUUUAGCUAAUAACAAUUAAUGAACGCAUAAAAUCUUAUAUCUUUUAACAUAAAUGUUAAAUAUUAAUUUUAUUAAUAGUCGCAACCUUAUGCAGGCAUAAUUUGGUCAUGAAAACAAUAAAUCUAUCCGUUCUUAAAGGCUAUUAACUAUAACAAAAAAUCAAUUAAUAUAAUUUUUAUAAGAGGAGAAGAGAGACUAAGUAUCCUUCAUCAAGAAAUGUACCAUUAAGUCUAGAAUAUGAUAGUCAAUGGCGGAAAAAUUAACAUGCGCAUAAUUUAUGAUCAAAUAUUAUAAAUCCUUGAAAUUUAACAAGUCAUUUCAUUAAAAUAUGGAUCACCUUCCACACAUUUUAGAAAUCUUAUCAUUUUUUUUCUUUUUUCAUUAAAUUAUGUUUUGGUCCACACAACCGAAAAUUAAAUUCCACGCAUUUUGCAUUUAGUGGAAUUCUAUGUAUUUUUUAAUUUUACAAAACUUUAGUCGGUGGAGUCAAUGGGGCUAGAAAUUCAUUGAAGGGUCCCGAGAAUCAAAGGUGCUUACUCAAUUAUUAUUUGUAAAGUUGUAGACUUGUAGGGCAGCUACCGGAGUCCACACGUUGUAAUGUUUUGUUCACUAUCAAUCUCAUUGUUGGUCGUUUCCAACACGCUCAAGAAUCCAAUUCUGCAUAAACACAUAAAAUUAAAGACUUAAAACAGAGUUUAAGUAAUUAAUAAUUUAACUGGAAACAAAUUAAAAAGGAGAAUUUAAUUAUUGAAUUCCACAUUGUGCUAUUGAAAAUUAAAAAAAAAAAUUGUUGUCACCUCAGUCAAUUAGAUAAUCACUACAAAUAGUUCUUUAUGUAGAUGAUAUUCUUCUAAUUGGAAAUGAUAUAGGAAUAUUGACUACAAUAAAGAGUUGGUUAGCAAAACAAUUUGAUAUGAAAGAAAGACAUGAGAGAAGCAAGUUAUAUUCUUGGUAUCAAAUUACUACGAGACCGGAAGAAUAAAACUUUAGCCUUGGCUCAAGUGGUCUAUAUCGACAAGAUAUUGGUUAGAUUUAGCAUAGAAAAUUCCAAGACUGGUUUAUUACCAUUUAGACAUGGAAUUGUAUUCUCUAAGGACCAAUCACCUAAAACAUCUAAAGAGAUGGAGAAAAUGAGACGAGUUCCCUAUGCAGAAGUUGUGGGAAGUCCCAUGUAUGUCAUGCUUUGCACUAGGCUAGACAUCUGUUUUGUGGUAGGAAUGGUUAGCAGAUAUCAAAUCCUGGACCUGAACACUAGACUGUAAUCAAGCAUAUAAUGAAGUAUCUUAAAAAAACUAAAACUUAUAUGCUUGUGUAUUCUAGUGAUGAACUCAUUCCAGUGGAUUCUAGAAAAUCAACUUUCGGCUAUAUGUUUACAUUAGGAAGUGGAGCUAUUAAUUGGAGGAGUGUGAAACAAUUUGUAUCACAGACUCCACAACUGAAGCUGAAUAUGUGGAUGCAUCUGAAGCUGCAAAAGAAGUUGUAUGGCUUUGCAAGUUCCUACAAAAUCUUAAGGUGGUACCUGUUGUAACUGCACCCCUUAAACUAUUUUGUGAUUAUGGUGGUGCAGUAGCUCAAUCUAAGGAACCACAAGAAACAAAAACAUAUUGAGAGGAAACAUCAUCUUAUAAGGGAAUAGUAUAGAAAGACUAUAUGACAGUACCCCAAAUGACAUUAGAUGCUUUAUGGUAGAUUUUAUUACAAUGGCCAUUAGUGGGAAACCUUUAUAACCUGCACUUAGAGCCCCUAGAGCAUGUGCAAUAUGCCAGAUAUGCUUUAAAGAGCUAGUGGGAGAUUGUUGGGAUUAUGUGCUCUUUUAAAAGUAUUAUUAAUUUAUUUUCUGAUUAAUAAAAUAUUUGAGAUAUUUCAAUUGCAUAAAUAUAUUGAAUAAGGUCCGUUUAAUCAUAUUAUAUUUUCUCUUGCUAGUUGCUUUUAGUAGUGAUAAAAGCACCCACACGUCAAGUGCAGAUCAAACUUGAGUCAUAACCCAGAAGAUUAUUUGGUGACAGAUCGUGAUCUAACAAGCGUGGUGGUGACAGAUCGUGAUCUAACAGGCGUGAUGGUGACGGAUCAUGAUCUGGGAAGCCUGGAUUAAUUUCAAUUGUUCAUCUUCUCAGUUGCACUCAAUGUGUAUUAGAAUCCACGAAGGUCCGAUCCNNNNNNNNNNNNNNNNNNNNNNNNNNNNNNNNNNNNNNNNNNNNNNNNNNNNNNNNNNNNNNNNNNNNNNNNNNNNNNNNNNNNNNNNNNNNNNNNNNNNAACGUAGAACCCUGUAGUUGGUUGCAGAGAUAGAAAGAGUGAGUGUGUUUUCCAUAGUUAAAGAUAUAGUUAGAAUGGAUAGUUCAAAAUCAAAAAUGGUGAUAAUGUUUGUUCUGUUAUUAAUUAAAUUUGAAGGUGGGUGGAGUGAGGGAUGUUUGGAUCAUGAGAUAUUUGCUCUUUUUCGACUCAAAUAUUUCUUCAAUGAUCUUCAUGAUUGGGUAGAUGAUGAGGGAGCUACUGAUUGUUGUCAAUGGGUAAGGGUUGAAUGCAACAACACCACAGAUCGAGUGAUAGCACUAGACCUUUCUGAUACUAGGAAUUGGGAUUUGGGAGAGUGGUAUCUGAAUGCUUCUUUGUUUACUCCCUUUCAACAACUUGAGUCACUUGAUUUAAGUUGGAACAAAAUAGCCGGUUGUGUUGAGAAUGAAGGUGAAUUUACUUCUCCCUCCUAAUUUAAGUGGAAUAUCAAGACUGAGCAACUAUAUGCAUAUCGAUUCAGUUGACAAUUCUGACAUUUUUUUUAAGUGAAUAAUUAAUUUUGAAAUCACACAAGUAUCUAUAAUCCUUUUUUAUUUUACUUGCAGGUCUAGAGAGGCUAUCAAAAUUGAACAAUUUGAAGAUGCUUGAUUUAAGUGAAAACUUGUUCGACAAUAGCAUCUUAUCAUUUGUAGGUCGUCUUUCAUCAUUACGAUCAUUAAAAUUAUCUUACAAUAGAUUGGAAGGAAGUAUUGAUGUUAAAGGUACAUAAUUAAAACUUUAUCUCUUCUCCAAGCUCUUUCAUUAACUUGCUAAAAUAAGAUUCAAGGUUUUGAAUUCAAUUUUUUAAUGAUUAAUAUUUUAAAAAAAUAGUUUUUAGCAAUUCAUAAAUACAAGUUCUAGUGUUUCUCAUAAUUUCAUCUUGUACUUUCAUAUGUAUUGUAUUUAAGAUGAAAAAAAAAUUCUAAUUGCGAACCGCACACCCCCACAACUUAUUUUUUUGUGAGGUUUGAAACAUUCAACUCAAUUUGUACUCUUUACAGAAUUAGAUUCUUUGAGAGAUUUAGAGGAGCUAGAUAUUGGCUGGAACAAGAUUGACAAAUUUGUGGUCUCAAAAGGUACUACAAAUACCAUAAAAAAUAUAAACUUUUACAAAUUAGCUGGAUUCUUUGCCAUUUGUUUUAUUAUUUCGUAGGUUUGAGGAAGUUGAAGUAUCUCGGUUUAAGUGGCAACAAACUCAAUCAUAGCAUCUUAUCUUCUCUGACUAUCUUUUCUUUGUUAAGAGAAUUAUAUCUACGUGAUACGGGAUUCAAAGGAACAUUUGAUGUUCGAGGUAAGCCUAAGCCUUGCUUUCUCAUUUUAUAUAUGUCAGCUAGACUUGUGUAUCAUCGACAUAAUUUAAUAUUUAAUUUGAUUAGUCUGAAGGAAUUACAUGCUAAUUUAAACAAACUUUUAUUUACCCUGUCAAUCAUUAAUUAAACACUAUUUGGUUUGGUUUAAACCUACUUUUUUAUUUUAUAUGCUAGCUAGACUUAGAUACUAACUAUUUUGAUGAGUCUGAAGGAAUUAGAUACUAACUAAACAUACUUUUAUGUACUCCCUCAAUUAAUUAAUUAAUUAUUUCACUUGGUUUGGACGAAAUUCUCAUGAUGCUUUAAUUUCUUUAAAGUUAUUAAUUAAUUAAUUCUGUUUUUAAGUCUUAAGUCUGGGUAUGUUUGUAGAAUUCAAUUCCUUCAAUAACUUAGAAGCGUUGGACAUGAGCAACAACGAAAUCGACAAUCUUGUGGUUCCUCAAGGUAAACAAUUAAAAUAUUAUUCAAUUACAUAAAUUUAAUUCAUUUGAUCAGGGAAGACGCAAAAGGUACAAAAAUAAUAAUAAUAAAAUAAAGAAACAGAGAAUUUAUAUUAUUUCAAAAACAGGACGUACUAGUUAUUUCAAAAACAGAAUGUAAUAAAGAUUUGAUUCCAGUACUUUAAUCUUUACAGUGAUUGAAAAACGAUACUAAUCCUUUCCCAAAGUAUAAAAUACGAAUUGACUCCCAAUUAAAUUAAUCAUUUAUUUAGUUCAUCUCUAAAUUUAAACAAUGAAUUUUGAUCUUCAAUCCUAUUCUAAUUACAAUUAAAAAACAGGUUAUAGAGGUUUAAGGAAUUUGAAAAGCCUUGAUCUAUCAGAAGUCGGAAUUAGAGAUGGAAGUAAUUUGUUACGGUCAAUGGGAUCAUUCCCAUCCCUCAACACUCUUUACUUGACUUCUAAUAAUUUUAUCGAUACAACGUCAGGUACAGAUGUGUCCAAAUUUAUAAAUAGGCUGUUAAUUAAUUAAUUAAUUUUCUGUAUUGUUGAAAAAGCUAAAUUUGUUGCUUCGAAACAGAGUUGCACAAUUUCACCAACUUGGAAUAUUUGGCAUUGGACUCUUCCUCUCUCCAUAUAAGCCUUUUACAAAGCAUUGCAUCAUUCACUUCGUUAAAAAUAUUGACGAUGACUAAUUGCGAAGUCAAUGGCGUCCUAAGUGGUCAAGGUAAAAGAAAAGUGUUGAUUAUAAAUAAACUAUUAAUUAAUUAAUUAAUUUUCCGUAUUAUUGAUAAAGCUAAAUUUGUUGAUCCUUCCUUUUAAUUCUAAACAGAGUUGCACAAUUUCGCCAACUUGGAAUAUCUGGCAUUGGACUUUUCCUCCCUCCAUACAAGCCUUCUGCAAAGCAUUGCAUCAUUCACUUCGUUAAAAAAAUUGUCGAUGACUAAUUGUGAAGUCAAUGGUGUUCUAAGUGGUCAAGGUAAAAGAAAAGUGUUGAUUAUGAAUAAGCUGUUAAUUAAUUAAUGUUGUUGCUCCUUGCUUCUAAAAUGAGUUGCGCAAUUUCACCAACUUGGAAUAUUUGAAUUGGACUCUUCCUCGCUCCAUAUAAGCCUUCUGCAUCUGCAAUUGCUUGAAGAAUUUAUUUAUUUAUUUAUUAUUGUUGUUGUUGUUGUUGAAAUGGGGUGGGCAAGCGUUCACUCAGUUAAUAUGUGGUGAAUUAAAUAUUACAAUCCAAGUUAGAAUUGUGGAAAAUUAAAGCAAAAUGAGAAAUAUGGACAGAAAGGAAGAAAGUUAAGGGCAUGAAAGACUAGGAGAAGACUGAAGACCACCAAAUAAGUCAAUUGAAAACUAGCUGGGGCUUGGGUGUACAAAUUGUUAGAAGUGUUUGUUAUAAAUCACAUAGAGCCCUCUUGUUGGUUGCAGAGCCAAAGAGACAAAGAGUGUGCAUUUUAUUAAUUAAAAAAAUAUAUAGAAUGGGUGGUUUAAAAUCCAAAUGGUGAUAAUGUUAGUUUUGUUAGUAUUAAUAAUAUUAGAAGGGGGUAGCGUGAGGGAUGUUUGGUGCAUGAGAGAUUUGCUCUUUCGAGACUUAAAAAAUUUCUUCAAUUCUCCUUAUAAUUUUUGUCACGACUGACCAUUGUCAAUGGGAUGGGGCUGGGUGCAGCAACACCACAGGGCGAGUGGUAUCUGAAUGUUUCUUAGUUUACUCUUUUUCAACAAAUUGAGUGGGUUAAUUUAAGUUGGAACAAUAUAGUUGGUAGUGUUGAGAAUGAAGGUGUUUCGUUUAAUUUAAUACUUUCUCCCUCCUAAUUUAAGUCGAAUAUCAGGAUUGAGCAACUAUAUGUAUCUUUAUUCAGUUGACAAUUUUGACAUAUUUUUUUAAAUGAUUAAUUUUGAAAUUACAUCAAACUGAUGUGAUCUCUGUUUUGAUUUUACUUGCAGCACUAGAGACGCUCUCAAGAUUAACCAACUUGAAGAUGCUUGAUUUAAGAGGAAACUUGUUCAAUAAUAGCAUUUUAUCAUCUCUAGCUCAUCUUUCAUCAUUAACAUCAUUAGAUUUAUCUGAGAAUAAAUUGGAAGGAAGUAUUAAUGUUAAAGGUACGUAAUUAAAAUGUCAUCGCUUCUCCCAACUCUUUCAUUAACAUGCUAAAAUAAGAUUCAAGGCUUUGAAUUCAAUUUUUUUUAAUGAGUAAUAUUAGAAAAAUAGUUUUAAGCAAUUCAUAAAUACAAGUUUCAAUGUUUCUCAUAAUUUCAUCUUGUACUUUUGUAUGUCUUGACUUUAAGAUUAAAAAAAAAAAUUAUUCUAACUGUGAAGCAAAUACCCCACGACUAAUUUAUUAUUUUGUCUAGUUAAAAAUGAUAAAAUUUAUUAUUUGCUUAUAUUGAUUAAUUAACUCUAUUUUUAAGUCUUAAGUCUUGGCGUCUUGGCAUGUUUGCAGAAUUUGAUUCCUUGAGCAACUUAGAGGAGUUGGACAUGAGCGGCAAUGAAAUAGACAAUUUUCAGGUUCCUCAAGGUAAACUAUUAAAAUAUUAUUCAAUUACAUUAAUUUAAUUCGUUUGAUUAGGGAAGGCCAAAAGGUACAAAAACAUAAUAAAAAACUAAAGAAACAAAGAAUUUAUAUUAUUUCAAAAAAUAAAAUGUAAUACUAUUAUUUCAAAAAUAGAAUGUAAUAAAGAUUUGAUUCCGGUUCUUUAAUCUUUACAGCAAUUGAAAAACAAUGUUGCUCUUUUUCUAAAGCAUAAAAUAUGAAAUGAGUCAUAAUUGAAUUAGUCAUUUAUUUUGUUUAGCUCUAAAUUUAGAUAAUAAAUUUUGAUUUUUUUCAAUCCCAUCCUUAUUAUUAUUAUUAUUAUUAUUAUUAUUAUUAUUAUUAUUAUUAUUAAACAGGUUACGGAGGUUUGAGGAAGCUGAAAAGCCUGCAUCUAUCGAGAGUUGGAAUUAGAGAUGGAAGCAAGUUGUUACGGUCAAUGGGAUCAUUCCCAUCCCUCAACACUCUUUACCUUUGGGGUAAUAAUUUUACGGAAACAAUGACAACUACAACUCAAGGUAAGUAAAAGGUAUAGGUUUGGCCAAAUUUAUAAAUAAAUUGUUAAUUAAUUAAUUUUCCACAUUAUUAAUGAAGCUAAAUUCCUUGCUCCUUCUUUGUAAUUCUAAACAGAGUUGCACAAUUUCACCAACUUGGAAUAUUUGACAUUGGACCAUUCCUCUCUCCAUAUAAGCCUUCUGCAAAGCAUUGCAUCAAUAUCCCCUUCAUUAAAAAAUUUGUCGAUGUGUGGUUGUGAAAUCAAUGGUGUCGUACGUGGUCAAGGUGAAAGAAAAGGGUUGAAUAUGAACUCACUCAAUGGUGUCCUAUGUGUUCAACUUAUUUAUUUUUUUAUUAAUUUUAUUUUUUAAUGUUUCUACUAGGUUUUCCUCAUUUCAAGAGUUUGGAACAUUUGGAGAUGGAUGACGCGCGCAUUGCACUCAACACCAGCUUUCUUCAAAUCAUCGGUGAAUUGAUGCCCUCUCUUAAGUACUUAUCACUAUCAUAUUCUACUCCUGGCACUAACAGCAUCGAGAUUCUUGAUCAAGGUUAAUGAGAUGCUCCACUCUCCCCGCUUAAUCUAUAAUAUUAAUUUUUGAUUAAAUGUUUAAUUACACAAACGAAUCACUUAUUUUAAAAGAAUAAUACGUAUUCAUUAAUUUUUAUAUUGUAUUAAUUGAUGAAUUUAAUAAAUUUUCAGGCCUCUGUUCGUUGAUGCAUAUGCAAGAGUUACACAUUGCUCAUAACGAUUUAAGAGGUAGCUUGCCUUGGUGCUUGGCAAAUAUGACAUCCCUCAGGAUAUUAGAUGUUUCUUCCAAUCAACUUACUGGAAGCAUCUCUUCAUCUCCCCUCAUUCAUUUGACAUCCAUUGAAGAGCUGAGGCUUUCAGACAAUCAUUUUCGGAUUCCAAUUUCACUUGAACCACUUUUUAAUCACUCAAGACUCCAGAUUUUCGAUGCUUACAACAACGAAAUAAAUGCAGAAAUAACUCAAUCACCUUCUUUGACCCCAAACUUCCAAUUAUCACAUCUCUCAUUGUCUUUCGGUUAUGGAGAUGGUGUCACAUUCCCCAAAUUCCUUUACCAUCAACAUGACCUUGUGAAUGUUGAUCUCUCACACAUAAAGAUGAAUGGAGGAUUUCCAAAUUGGUUGUUGGAAAACAACACAAGAUUAGAAACUCUUUCUUUGGUCAAUGAUUCUCUUGCAGGACCUUUCCGAUUGCCAAUUCAUUCACACAAGCAGUUAAGACUGUUGGAUGUCUCCAACAACAACUUCCAAGGCCACAUUCCAGUAGAAAUUGGAGAUAUUUUACCAAGUUUAAUAUCCUUUAACAUUUCAAUGAAUGCUUUAAACGGUAGCAUUCCCUCUUCAUUUGGUAAUAUAAACUCCCUUCAAAUUCUGGACUUAUCCAACAAUCAAUUGAUUGGUGAAAUACCCGAGCACUUGGCUGUGGGUUGCGUCAACUUGGAGUAUCUUACAUUAUCAAACAACAACCUAGAAGGUCAUAUGUUCACUAGAAAUUUUAACCUGACAAACUUGAGAUGGUUACAAUUGGAAAGCAAUCACUUCGUAGGAGAGAUCCCACAAAGCUUGUCUAAAUGCUCUUCACUAGAAGGAUUGUAUCUUAAUAAUAACAGUCUCUCGGGUAAGAUUCCACGAUGGUUAGGUAAUCUCAAAGGGUUAAAACAUAUUAUAAUGCCCGAGAAUCAUCUUGAAGGUCCUAUUCCAAUGGAGUUUUGUCAACUUUAUUCGCUUCAGCUUUUGGACAUUUCAGACAACAACAUAUCUGGAAGUUUACCAUCUUGUUUCCAUCUUCUCUCUAUCGAACAAGUUCAUCUUUCAAAAAAUAUGUUACGUGGACAGCUAAAAAGAGGUACAUUCUUUAAUUGCUCUUCCCUUGUGACAUUAGAUCUUAGCUAUAAUCGUUUGAAUGGCAGCAUUCCGAAUUGGGUUGAUGGGCUUUCUCAACUAAGGCACCUUAUCUUAGGUCACAAUAAUCUUGAAGGUGAAGUGCCAGUUCAAUUGUGCGGAUUAAACCAACUGCAAUUGUUAGAUCUUUCUAAUAAUAAUCUUCAUGGCCAUAUUCCUCCUUGCUUUGAUAACACCACACUUCAUGAAAGUUAUAGCAAUAGUUCUAGUCUUAAGCCAUUUGAAAUAUCUCUUGUCAUGGAAAGCGGGAUGAUCUAUGCAGAAAAGCAAAUCCAUGAAAUUUUUGAGUUCACAACAAAGAACAUUGCGCACAUUUACCAAGGAAAAGUGCUUAGCCUCCUAUCAGGACUUGAUCUUUCUUGCAACAAGCUAAUCGGUCAUAUUCCUCCUCAAAUUGGAAAUUUGACAAGGAUUCAAACAUUGAAUCUAUCACACAACAACUUGAUAGGAUCGAUCCCAUCAACAUUUUCAAACUUGAAGCAAAUCGAAAGUUUGGAUCUUUCUUACAACAAAUUGAAUGGGAAAAUCCCUCAUCAACUUAUGGAGUUAAACGCAUUGGCUGUUUUCAGUGUGGCAUACAAUAACUUAUCAGGCGAAAUUCCAGAAUGUAAAGCACAAUUUGCAACCUUCAACGAGAGGAGCUAUGAGGGAAAUACUUUUCUUUGUGGACUGCCAUUGCCCAUUUGCAGAUCACCAGCAACUAUGCCAGAGGCUUCAAUUGGCAAUGAACGAGAUGAUAAUUUAAUUGACAUUGACAGUUUCUUUAUCACAUUUACAACAUCAUACAUAAUUGUGAUAUUUGGAAUUGUUAUUGUUUUAUAUGUAAAUUCUUAUUGGCGACAUAGAUGGUUUUACUUUGUUGAAAUGUGGAUAACUUCAUGUUACUAUUUUGUUGUAGACAAUCUUAUUCCAACAAGAUUUUGUCAUUGAAAUUAAUUAGUAGUUUAAUUACGAUUCUUUAAGUACUAAUCAGGUUUUCUUGGGAAAUAAAUUUUUUUAUUUUUUAUUAAAAUUGUAGUAGUAUUUAGCAUUAUAUAGCUUCCAACUUCCAAGCACUUCACAUUUGUCUCUACACUUAAAAAGCGAGUGAUCAUGUUUUGUAGAUCUGGAUUUGGAGCAGGAUGGAUCCAAACCCAUAUCUAUCCAUCAUAGCUUAUAGCUUCCCUAUACUGUGCAGCAUACUUAAAUAAGAGAACCAUCUCCAAUGUUAAAAGUAGCCACUCUAUAACAAUCAUUUAGAAACUAUAUUCAGAAUAGUUUUAUAAUCAUACACAAGAAAUGAAACACCUAGAUGCACUUGAUCGCCUAUUUUACUUUGAAAAAGAACAGUUAUGGUGCUUUCAUCAUCUUCUUCACUAGCAACAUUAACACUAAAUCCACCGAUGGACCCAGACAUUUCAUCAAGAAAGGUAUAUAUCUAAUAAAGUUAAAGCUUGACAAAAAAUUCAGGAAGAUUAAUGCCUCGCCACAACAAGGGCCACAACAACAUCAAAGUAGAGAUGAAGCAGUAUUCUCAAAGCUAAAACUCUCAAAUCCACCUAGGGGUGUUUAGAAUCCAAUUUGAUCCGCUCAAUCCGUCUAAUCCAUAGAAAUCCAAUUUGUAAAAAUCUGAUCCGUGGAUUGGUGGAUUAGAUUAGAUUGAAAAUUUGAUAAUCCGCAAUCGGUGGAUUAGAUACGGAUCUACUUCUGUAAAUCUAUAAAAAUCUGUGAAUCCGCAAAAAAAUAAAAAGUAUUUAUUUAAUUAAAAAAUAAAACUUGUAAAUAUGGUAUUAGUACUUACUAGUACAUAAAUAAGUUAAAAUAUAGUUAUAUUAACAGUAUGUUAUAUCUUAUCCGAUAAUAAUAAAAAAUAAAAAAAUAAUUAAAUAAACAAAUAUAGCUUUCUAAAUAGUUAAUUUCUAUGUACUGAUCUAAACGAAUGAGAUUUUUUUCGUUUUGAUGUGUUAUAUUUCGAAACUUUAAAUGAAUUUUUUAAGCUUUAUUUAAACAAUUAAUUUAUUUAAAUCUUAUUUAAUUUUAAAUUUGAAGUCCGUAAACCAAUCCGCAAAAUAUUAGAUUUGGUCAAAUCUGCAUCCGAUCCGUAGAUGUAUGGAUUGGAUUUGGAUUGAAUUUUACCAAUCCGUGGAUUGAAUUGAAUUGAAGAUUUAUAAUCCGCAAAAUCGUAGAUCGGAUAUGGAUUGAGGUCUAAUCCAUAAAAUCCGAUCCACGAACACCCUUAGUUGGAUUCUUGAGUGAGAACAAUUCCUAGGCCAAAUCCAAAUUGUCUACAAGAAAUCCAACGUCCUCAAGAGAUCAUAUAUAGUUUUCAAAUUGCGGGAAAGCUCUAAAACUUGUGAAUUGAGAAAUUGUACAUGCAUGUCAAGCUUUAACCAAUGAAUUUGCUUUAAUUUAUCAACAAUAAGAAUAUAAGAUGAGAUUUGACCUAGUUGUUACUCUUGUGAAUAAAAAAAUUGUGUGCCUGAACAUGAUUUAACUAAUGAAAUGAAUUUUCUUUAAUUUUUUUUAAUAAUAGGAUGAGACUUUCCUGAAACGAAAAGUACGGAUAUAUAAUUUGUUGGCUUUAGUUACCUUACAUAAUAAUGUAUGGUACAUAACCGUUUGAUGAAAAUCCAACAGUCGUGGAAAUAAUAAAAUUUUAUUAUCUUAUAUUUUCACAACUGUUGGAUUUUCAUCAAACGGUUGUGGAAAAUCAAAUGGUUGUGGAAGAGUCAUUUACCUUACAUUAUUAUGUAAGGUAACAAGCUCCUAAUUUAUUUAGUAUGAUUGAAAAUUAUGAAUGAAAAUAGUUUUGCCAAAAUUGACAAAAUCAAAAUCUUUAAAUUAGUGAAAAGUCUUCAAGUCCUAUGUGAUAUAAACACGUAUUUGGCCUACUUCUUAGAACUCUUAUGGCUAUAGUCAAGCUAGAUGAAAAAGAGAUUUACUAAUUCUGAGUUAGAGAUCAUGAUGGUAACAUCUACACCUUACUCAAUAAAAUUCUUUGCUUAUUUUUUUAUUACUUAUGGUUGAAUUAGAAAUUCAAUUAUUCUUUUAUAACGUGGUUUAAAAUAUUUAAUAAAAGGAAAUUCUUAAAUACUUUGGAGAUUUCAGAGCUUUUUUUUUAAUUUUUAAAAAAGAUAGAGAUGUGACAAAACUAAAAAAAAAAAAUUAAACUCAGAUGACCAACUAAAAGUUAUCUGAUCACUUUAUUUGAACGAAAACUUUAAUGCUGUUAUGAAAAUGUGUAGAUCAAGCAAUGAAAAAUUCCAAAAUAUUGGUAAUAACUUCAAAUUACAACGACGGAGGUAGGUUGACGGCGACCUUAUGUAGCGGAGGCAGCCAUAAAUUUUAAAUUUUGUUUGCGUUGAAGUCAAAAUUCAACUGUCGCCGACCCAUUUGGUUUGAACUCUAUGUCAAUCGGGUCUGCCCAAAACCAAACACAACCCAAACCAUAGCCAGCAUAGGUGCUAAGAAGAUUCUUUUACUUUGUCACUUGUCGCCUACAAUGAAAUUGACAUUAAACAAACAUUAAAACGUGUGGACUCCGAUAGCUGCCCCACAACUGUACAAUAAUAAUUGAGUAUGCACUUUUGAUUCUCGGGACCUUUCAAUGAGUUUCUGCCCCGCUGAUUCUAUCAACUAAAGUUUUGUAAAAUGAAAAAAAAAAAGUACAUAGAAUUCCACAAAAUGCAAAACGUGUGGAAUUUAAUUUUUGGCCGUGUGGACCAAAAUAUAAUUUAACGAAAAAGGGCAAAAAUGGUAAGAUAUUUAAAAUGUAUGGAAGAUGAUCCAUAUUUUACUGAAACGACUUAUCUCGAACAUUAAGAUGAUUGAUUUUUUCUUUUUGAAUAAUAUCAACUUCCAUAUCUUUCUACCGGAGAACAUGCUCACAUUAAAGUCUAUCUUACUAAUUUGAAAAAGAAAAUCAAAUCAACACCAAAGCAAUGAAAAGUAAAGCUUUUGAAUUUUAACUCCGGCUGGCAAACGUAUUCAGGAAUUCUUCCCAUUGCAUAUCUUAUUCCUCCAUCAAUGCAAUAUUAAGUAAUUUUUCUUUAUCAUAUUCUUUUCUUUGCAUUUCUUCUUCCUCUAUCAAUGCAAUAUUUGAACAAUUAAGAAAGAGUUUAAGAACAUAAAAGAUCUCCUAGAUUUAUACGGUAUAACAAAUUUAAAUUCUCAAUUAUAAUGGAUAAUAAUUAAACUAAUAAUUAUUUAUUUACUUAUUUUAAUAGUUUCACCUAAGAAUAAUAUUGUAAUUAGAAAAAAUCUAAAAAGCGGGGUGGUUUUAUACAAAAUCAAUUGCAUACACAUAUCCAGAAGCAUAUGCGGAUGCAAAUAAUAUUUUUUAUUCUUUUUUUAUAAGAAAAUUGUGUAUUGAGAUGAAUAAAAUGUUUAAUUUAAUUAAUUUCCUUACUUUCAUAUACAUUGUCUUUCUAUCUAAAGAAAGCUCAUGUUUGUUAGUAUUCAUUCUUAGAGAGGUGAAAAAAUUACAAAUCUUGAACAACAAGGAGUAGUUUAAUUGCCACUAACUUUACUUGGCCUUCUUUAGUUGGAGCUGUGUUUUCUGAUAAGCCAAAGAAUUAGUAGCUGUUAGAAAGCUGAAAUGAGAUUGUAAACUUUGUUUGGAAGCUAAGAAAAUGAAAAGAAAAUGUUCUGGAAAUUUCUUGAUUUUAUUCAAUUUUUCUCAUUACAUAACAAAUACAAUCACGAUAGUAUUUAUACUAAAUCAAGUCUCUAAAACAAAAAUAAUAGUUUGCUUAACAGCUGACGAACAGGACGUAAUGCAUGCUUAACGGAAUUGCUGAGCUGGCUUCUUUUCUUAACUAACUGCUGACGUGUCAUUGGCACACACGUGUUGAAUAUGCAGCUCCCUUUUGUACAAUGUGUGCUUCCUUAACAGCCCCCCUCAAACUCAAGGGGCAGGGAUGCACAUUGAGUUUGCUUCUAAAGUAGUUAAAGUGAAUGAAUGUGAGAGGCUUGGUCAAGAUGUCUGCAAUCUGCUCUUCACUGGGAAUGUAAUUGAUCUCCAGCUCUCUUGCCAACACUUUAUCUCUUAUGAAGUGCAUGUCUAGUUCAAUAUGUUUAGUUCUCGAGUGGUAGACAUGAUUUUUGGCUAGCUCAGUUGCACUUAUAUUAUAGCACUAUUUUGUAGGCACUGAAACACAUUCUAUCUUGAUCGUCUUGAAUAAUGACUGCAACCAUGUAAUUUCUGCACUUGCAAAAGCAAGAGCUCUGCACUCACUCUCUGCACUUGAUCUUGUGACUAUUGAUUGCUUCUUGGAUGACCAAGAUAUCAAAUUAUGCCCCAAGUAAAUGCAGUAUGCCCCUAUUGAUUUUUCUAUCAUCAACAUCAUAUGCCCAAUCUGCAUCUGCAUAUUCUAUUAGCUUUAUUUCUCCACCAGCUGUACACUUUAAUCCAUAGUCUUCUGUUUCUUUCAAAUAUCUAAGUAUCCUCUUACAAGCCAUGAUAUGUUGAAGUGUUAGUGUAGACACAUAUUGACUUAAUUUGUGCACUGCAAAAGCAAUUUCUAGCCUAGUCAGGACUAAAUACUGUAACUCUCCAAUCAAGCUUCUAUAACUAGUUGCAUCUUCAACAUACUGACCCAAAGAUCCCUUAACUUCUUUAUGAAGUUUUGUUCUUGUAACCAUUGGAGUAUCACACCCUUUGCAGUCAAGCAUAUCAACUUUUCUCAGCAAGUCUUUAAUAUAUUUUUUUUUGGGACAGAUAUAUAUCAUUCUCAGUAUAAGAGACUUCUAUACCAAGAAAAUAUGAAAGCUUUCCUAAAUCUUUUAAUGCAAACAUUUUGCUCAAACCUGAGAUAAAUUUUUCAAGUUCAUCACUAUUAGGUCAUGUUAUCAAUAUGUCAUCAACGUAAAUCAGGAUUAGUAUCAUUGAAUUCUGUUCUCCCUUGAAAAAUAGUGAAGUGUCGGCUCUGGAAUUUUGAAAACCCCAAUUUGUAACCAAACAACUCUUCAGUUUGUCAAACCAUACUCUAGGAGAUUGUUUCAACCCAUAUAAGGCCUUCUUCAACUUGCAUACAUAAUCAGGUCUUAUCUCAUCAACAAAUCCUUCAGGUUGGCACAUGUAAACAUCCUCUGUCAAGUCUCCAUUUAGGAAAGCAUUACUAACAUCUACUUGUCUGAUCAUCCACCUAUGCAUUACAGCCAAGCUCAAUAUAACUCUCACUGUAGAAGCCUUUAUAACAGGGCUAAAUCUUUCAAAAUAAUUGAUUCCUUUAGUUUGUUGGAACCCUUUUGCAACCAACCUAGCUUUAUAUUUGGCAAUACUGCCAUCACUAUUUUGUUUGACUCUAAACACCCAUUUGUUUCCAACAAUUUUGUAUUCAGCUGGAGGUGGUAUAAGAGACCAAGUCUCAUUUCUGAUCAAGGCUUCAUAUUCCUCUUUCACGGCCUUAUACCAGUGUUUAUCAUUAAGAGCUUCUCGAACUGUGUUAGGUUCUUUGUUGAUCAAGGUGGUUGUGUACAACUUAGGCUUGAAUAUUCCAGACUUCGAUCUAAUGGUCAUUUUGUGUGUGGGUUGUGAAGUCAGAAUUCUGUUUGGACUGAGUUCAGUUUGUUGUUGACUGGUUACAUGUGGUUCAAAUUGUGUUUGAGUUGGUUCAGGAAUAUGACGGAUAGUUUGUGAUGUUGAUGAUUUUGAUAUGAAUGACUAGAUGAUUCUUGUUGAUGCUGAUUAUUUGUAUGCUCAGGUAAUACAGGUGUUUGUUCAUUACUCGGUACUCUUGCUGAGUAAGUAUCUUCAAAGCUGCUGUUGAGUAAGGGUAAUGUUGAGAGAUGAUAGAUUUGUUGUUUAGAGAAAUUUGACACUGGAGUUUCUGAUUGGAUGACAUUUUCAGAAGAAGAAGUGGCAAAGAUUGUUGCAUAUGGAAAUACAGUCUCAUCAAAGACAUCAUGCCUAAGAAUAUGAACUUGACCUGAGCUUGUAAGACAUUUGCAUCCUUUAUGAGAUGAGCUAUAUCCAAUAAAGAUGCAUUUGCUAGUAUGAAAAUCAAACUCAUGUCUGUUAAAGUCUCUCAUGUAUGGAUAACAAAGACAACCAAAUCAUUUAAGGAAAUUGUAAUCAGGUUUAUGCUUGAAAAGUUUCUGAUGUGGGGAUAAGAGUCUCAAUACAGGUGUUGGCAACCUGUUUAUGUGAUAUACUGCUAUAUGAACAGUUUCCCACCAGAAUUUGAAAGGAAGAUCAGCUUGAGUUAAAAGAGUCAAGGCCAAUUCAAUUAUAUGCCUAUGUUUUCUUUCUACCAGUCCAUUCUGGUGAUGAGUGUAAGGGCAUGAGUGUUUGAAAAUGAUCCCAUUUUGGUUCAAAAAAUCAGUGAAUACUCAAUAUUCUCCCCCUAGUCAGAUUACAUCAUCUUAAUUGUUGUAUUGAACUGAUUCUAUAAUUCUGUCUUUAGAAAUGCAACUAAAUUUUUAAUCUCUUACUCUACAUAAAAUUGAAAUUCGAGUGGCUUAUCAAAUAAAAUUAAAACUAUUAAUUAACCAAAUAAAAUUAUUUAAAACCAUUGGGUAUGGUAGCAGGAGUUCUUGAAACUAUCGAUGCCAUGAAAUUUACUGGCGAAAAGGGUUUUAGAUGUCUAUUUUAUAAAUCUUUUAAUAAUUUUUUUAUUUACCAUUUUACUAUCCAUGGUAAAAGUGUCGCAUCGACAUUGAACAGUUCAACAUAUCAGUCAUUUCUCAUUCAGUCAUUAAGAAUUUACGUUUGGGGUAUUUUUGUAAUUAUGAGAAGGUAAACUAAUCGCAAAAUUCAUUUGGCUUGCACUUGCUCGCCUUUGCUGUGUGUUUGGUUAUGGCGUUAUCAUUAUCAUCUUCUCCACUCCUGCUGACACCAGACCUUAACCGUUCAGAUUCCCUUUCUCGACUGUCAUACCCUACGCCCCGUCUCCGUGUCUCCGAUAAACAGUGCUCAAUUAAGACCAUCAGAUUAUCCCGGACCCACAUUAAUCCAACGGCUCACAAUGACCGACAACCUCUCCAUCUCCAUUACAAGCUCCCUCUUCAGCUGGCUUCUUCUUCCGUCCUACUCUUUCUCGGAUUCGGAGCCCGUAUAUGCUCGGCUGGUCCCACGCAGCUCCCUCUCACUCCAGCUGUCAACCAACAAGACCAAUUGCUUGAUCAAGACACAGAACAAAAAGAGGAUGAGAAAUUGAAUCAAGAAUUUGAGAAUUGGAAAUGGAAGACGUACGCAUUGACCGUGCCUUUGAGAGUCGUUUCUCUUCAGAAUUCAGUGCCUCAAUCUUGGGUUAAGGAUUUUAUGCGAAGUCAAGGAAAGAGAUUGAAGUUUCAGAUGAAUUUGUGUGCUAGCAUUGAUGGGAUCGUUAACAAUUUAUCUACGCCCUUUAACAAAGUUAAGGCUAAGUCAGCUUCGUAUAUGGCUGCUGAUUUGGUUAGUGUUGGUGAUUCAUGGCUCAGUUUUGCGAUUAAAAAGAGAUUGAUCGAGCUAAUAGCUGAAGCUGAAGAUCAAGAUUGGUUCAAAUGCUUAAGUCACAAAUGGAAGGUAACAUCUUUAUCUUUUACCCGAUAAUUUUUAUUGUCUUACCUUGAAAUUUGGUAAUGUAAUUUGUUCUCUAUCUGUGUUACCCUUUAUAGUCAUUUUAUUUAUUUGUUUAUUGCUUUUAUUUGCACUAACGAAAUCUCAGGUAUAUCUACGCAGCAAUGAUGCAGGAGAAAUUGAUCCUCGAGGUCAAAUAUGGGCGGCACCAUACAGGUGGGGCACAAUGGCGAUAGGCUACAAGAAAAGUAAAUUUCAAAACCAUAAUUUGGCUCCGAUUGAGGUAAUAAUUGUACUUAAACUCAUUUAGUUUAAUAUCAAGCAAAAUCAAGACUGCCUUUCUCUUCAAUAUUUUCAAUGAUAAUAUCUUUAGAAGCAUCUCAUUGACGGGUAACAAUGGUAUCCCUGAAAGAGUCUAUAAACUCAAUGAUAUUAUCUUCUACAAUGGCUCAUUAAACUUUGUCGUUGCAGUCAAAUGUACACUCAGAGCAAUGAAAAGCUAUGCCACUGUAGCAUGUAGUGAUGGCACUUAAUAAGUGAAUUGCUAGGAUGUGAACUAGAAAAAUUAAAUAUUGUCUCCUUGGGUAUGCUAGCUCGUAAGUCAGGGUUACUAUUAGAGCUUAAGAUACUAUAACCAUGAGAAGCUAUUGACUGCCAAUUAAAAUAUCCAUUAAAAUGUCUAGGGAGUUAUGAAGGUGGAGGUAGCUUCCAAUAACUAACUUGAGUUUGGUAAAACAAACAGACAGUGUGUCUCAUGUCUCACAAUUCAAAUUAUCAUCUGUAAUGAUGGAGAAUUUUUCUAAUGUAUGAAGUAUGCUUUCAUACGUGGAUUAGCUUGGAGAAGAUAUCUCAAAAUAAAGAAUAUGGGGAGCGAAUGGGAAAAAAACAGUUCAGUAGUUUAUUAUUCUGUAGUCAAGUUUUGUCUUGAAAAUGGUCAAAAUUUAAAUGAAUAAGGACAGGGGAUCUUCAUUCUUUUUUCCCUUUUUUAUACCAAGAUAUCUUUCAACCUUUAUAUAAUCCCCACUGGAUAUCUGCUUCUAAUAAUUAAAAUAAAAAUUUCACCCACACAAAUAAAUACUGACCAAGCUCUAACAAUAAAAACUAACAUCUUUAGUCAAGUAACAUCUUUAGUCACGUAAUUUACAGUUCCUCAUCAUCUUAGUGUGAGCUAUCAGUACGAUCUAAAAACAUAAUAAAACUGGUUUGAUCCUGUUUAUUGAUGUUUAAAUGUUGUUUAUUGUGACAAGUAAAUUAGUAAGAUCUUGUUUGAAGUUGUUUUCCGAAAUGAACUGCCAAAUGGUAGUUUUUUUGGGGCAUCUGAUGGCUCUUUUUUCCUCAUUUUAAACAUGUGCCUGCUUGGAAUGGGAAGGAUUAGGCUGCAGAGUUGUUAUAUAUUUUGACAUGCUCUGGUAAUUACACAAUUUGUUCACACUGGAAAUUAGAAUGAGAAAUUUGUUGAUGCUGUUUUGAUAGAUCUGCAUUCUAUGCACAAUAACAUGAUUAAUGAAAAUGGAUUGUAGGACUGGAAAGAUCCGUGGUGGCCUGAGCUCGCAGGAAGAAUUUCAAUGGUUAAUUCUCCCCGAGAGGUUAUUGGUUCAGUUUUGAAGUAUAUGGGAGCAUCAUAAAAUUCAAACAAUAUUGAUUUGCAAGUUGCUGGUGGGAAGAUUGCUGUUCAGCAGAAUCUGGCAUUACUGGCAAACCAGGUACUCUUAAAGAAAUGAUAUCUGAUCAUUGCAUGUUAUUGCCUGACAACUGAUUUUGUUUGUAGAAGUCUGCUUCUUCAUACAUAUGAAUGCAUAUGCUAGUGUUUUCUUCUCCUUUUCAUACAUAUGAAUGCGUAUGUUGGUGUUGUCUUUUCCUUUUCAUACGUAUUAAUAAUACAUAUGUUGGUGUUCUCUCCUGAGAUGGAUGCAAUAAAGGCUUUUGCUCCUAAAUUUAGCUGAAGAAAUGGCAAGGGAUGUGAGAUUCUGUCUCAUUAAAUUAACAAAAACCCAAAACAAUGAAAAACCAUAAUAAUGUGGUGUGGGUAAACUGGCUCCAUUUGGUUCGUUUCCUUAAUGUGAAUACGCAAACAAUGGAGACUAACAAAAUGAAGUGACAACAACAAGUCAGUGUCCUUUGAUGGAUGCAUUUUUAAGCAGAAAUAGGUUUGUAAUUGACCAAAUUUGUCUGGCAUGCCAAUUUCGAAAAAAUUAAAUUAUGUGAUUAUUACCUGUAAUGAAGGGGGAUAGUAGGUGCAAUCAGGUGGAUCCCGGAAAGUUCAACAAAGUUCUGGUAUGGUGUAUUGAAAUUGGUUUGUGCAACUCAAGAGUCUUUCAGGUGAACGAUGAUGGGUUUUGAUUUAUGAAUGUUAUAAAUCUACUGUGCAUAGUAUUCUAGUAGAAUCAUUUAUAAGUUCUAGUUAUUGAAAUUGUCUACUUUGUCCGGUUUGAGUUAAGGGCACAUGUAAUAUGAAAAAUAGUUGUCGCAUCUUUUAGGUUACCUAACAUUUGAUCAAUCCUAUUAUGAGGGCUUCAAGAUGUCUAACAAUAUGUAGAAUGCCCAUGCUCCUCCCCAUUGUUUAUCUUAUACAAUAAUUUGUUUUAGAUGCUAAUAUCUUUGUCGAUACUGGUAACAUUAUUACAAUCUCUGCUUUUAUUGGGUUCUACAUAGGUUCGACUGUUUGACAGUACACACUAUCUGAAGGCAUUUGGAAUUGGAGAUGUAUGGGUUGCUGUUGGGUGGAGUAGUGAUGUUCUUCCUGCUGUCAAACGUAUGUCUAAUGUUGCUGUUGUUGUUCCCAAGUCUGGUGCAAGCUUAUGGGCCGAUCUUUGGGUAUUCCCAUGCCUGCCAUUCUACUUCGAUAUUCACUUUGUUAUCACCUUCAUAUUAGUGAUCAGUAAACACGAUAAUGUGACUAAUAAGUUUGUAUUCUCUUUAUAGGCGAUCCCUGCUGCCUCAAGACUUGAAACAAAACAAAUUGGAGGGCAAGUCAGAGGUCCGUCUCCAUUAAUCCAUCAAUGGAUAGAGUUCUGCUUGCAAACAGCAAGAGCAUUGCCUUUCAAGCAAGAGGUUAUCCCAGGCGCAUCUCCCUCUGCCCUUGAAAGUACUCUGGUUAAGUUGCCUGAAGAACUUCUGAAGGGUAAACCAAGUGUGGAUACUAACUUAAUUGCUGGAGUACCCCCCCGCUGAAAUUCUGGCCAGAUGUGAGUUUUUGGAGCCAUUAUCUGAAGCUACAUUGUCAGAUUAUGAGUGGCUGGUUGCUAAUCUGCAAAACCUGCUCCUGUCUUGAUGAAAAGGGUGCAGCAUUACUUGUCAUCAUUAAUCCAAAGCUUUCUAGCAAAGCUACAUUGAAAAGUUAAUGGCACUGCAUACAAUCAUGAGUUUUAAUGGAGCAAGAACUAAAUACAAUUAUCGCUAACAAAUACUGAAAACACAACCCACACAGGAAAUCACCCUUCGCGUGGGGAUGGAGAUGUUUACUGGAGCGAUAUUGAAUAUGUGCAAGGUGUUGUCCACUGCUCUUUGGGUUAUGGUGUGACUUGCGAUUUCAAGAUUGCCCAGAAACAAUGGAAAAGAUUAACAUAUCCUCCCAUGAGUGAAAACGGCUUGACUAAUUCUAAUUACCGAAUUGACUCAGGAUCAGGUAGCAAUAAUAACAGUUAACUAACAUUGCACAGUCCCGAGUACUUUUCCAGGAUCAGAUACAACGUGGUCUAAUGUUGAUAAUAAUACCUUAUUAAAGGACAAAUCAUUGUUCUUGGGUGUUGAUAGUAAUAGCUUAUUAAAGUAGAAGAUGAAGGUUGUGCAGGUGAUUUCAGAAAUAAAAUACAUUCUGAGAGAUGAUGGUCUACUAUUGCAAGCCCCCAGAUUUCAGAAUCUUUUGAUUGCGGCAUUUGGCAACGAUUCCACAAAUUCUAGAUUCCAACUGAGUUAUCAAUUGAAAAUGAAGUUGAAUUGAAAAAGAACAACAAAUACACAGUGAAGUUGAAUUGAAAAUGAAGUUGCAAGUUGCGCCCAUAGCUGCUGACUAAUAAUAAAACGAGACAAAUUAAUUAAACUCAGAUCUCUAUGUACAUGUCAACCUAACUUUACUUUUCCUUGUUUGUUAUAUUCACUUAACACUUGAUGCCUAAACCAUUAAAACCAAAUGACCAUAGAGGUAUUUGUAAUAUGUAAAAACAAACAAAAACACGUAAAAAAUUUUAAAAACAAUUAAUAAUCACACUCUAAAUUUACCACUCAACUCUAAAUAAUAACCAUACUCAAACAAUUUACAACUUUUGACGGGAGUAGCUAUGAGGAAAAUCCUUUCUCAAUGGAUUGCCAUUGCCCAAGAGUUGCAAUGAAAACGUACCACCUGCAGCUGUGCCGGAAGAUUCAACUAGGUCUGAAAAAGAUGAUAAUUUAAUUGAUAUGGACAGUAAUUGUGAUAUCGGAAAGCAUUAGUAUUCUAUAUGUGAACCAUUAUUGGCGACAUCGAUAGUUUUAUAUUAUUAAAAUGUGGAUGACUUCCAUUUACUAUUUUGUUAUAGACAAUCUUAUUCAAUUAACAUAUAGUUUUAAACUAUUAUGUAAAUCAAUCUAUUAAUUUUCAUGAUAUUUAACUGAGUUAAAACUAAGUGCAAUCAAUAAAUCUCUUUUCCUUUAAAAAACCGCUACGUUUUAAUUUUAGUGCUUAAUAUUUAUUGAACUCUGAUACAGGAAAUUUGAAAUCAAACUCGUAACUACAAAUUAUUUAAUUGCGAGUUGCUGUCCAUAGCUGCUGAUCUGUAGUAAUUAUCUAAUUGACUGAGGUGACAACAAUUUUUUUUUUUUUCGGAAAAAUGUCAAUAGCACAAAUUCAAUAAUUAAAUUCUCAUGUUUAAUUUGUUUCAAGUUAAAUUAUUAAUUACUAAAACUCUGUUUUAAGUCUUUAAUUUUAUAUCUUGGCGUAUAUGCAGAGUUGGAUUCUUGAGUGAGUUGGGCAUUAAAAUGUGUGGACUCCGGUAGCUGUCCCACAAGUGUACAACUCUACAAUAAUAAUUGAGUACACACUUUUAAUUCUGGGGACCCUUCAAUGAAUUUCUAGCCCCGUUGACUCCACUGACUAGAGUUUUGUAAAAUAAUAAAAAAAAAGUACAUAGAAUUCCACCAAAUGCAAAAGCAAAAUGUGUGGAAUUUAAUUUUUGGCCGUGUGGACCAAAAUACAAUUUAACGAAAAAAGAAAAAAAAAAUUGUAAGAUUUCUAAAAUAUGUGGAAAGUGAUUCAUGUUUUACUGAAAUGACUUGUCUCAUGAUUGAUUUUUUUUUUUUUUUGAAAAAUAUCAACGUCCAUAUCUUUCUACCCUAGAACAUGCUCACAUUCAAGUCUAUCUUUGCUAAUUUGAGAAAGAAAAUCAAAUCAAAUCAAUACCAAAGCAAUGAAAAGUUAAGCUUUUGAAUUUUAACUUCAGCUAGCAAACGUAUUCAGCGUUUUCAAAUUCUUCCCAUUGCAUAUCUUCUUCCUCCAUCAAUGCAAUAUUAAGUACUUUUUCUUCAUUAUAUUCUUUUCUUUGCAUUUCUUCUUCCUCCAUCAAUGCAAUAUUUGAACAAUUAAGAAAGAGUUUAAGAACAUAAAAAAUCUUCUAGGUUUAUACGGUACAACAAAUUUAAAUUCUCAAUUAUAAUAGAUAAUAAUUAAACUAAUAAUUAUUUAUUUACUUAUUUUGGUAAUUUCACCUAAGAAUAAUAUUGCAUUAGAAAAAAUCUAAUAAGUGGGGUGGUUUUAUACAAAAUCAACUACAUACAGUAAUAAGUGAGUACGCACCUUUGAUUCUCGGGACCCUUCAAUGAAUUUCUAGCCCCGUUGACUCCACGGGCUACGGCUAAAGAUCUGUAAAACAAGUAAAUAGAAUUUCCACAAAAUGCAAAACUUGUCGAAUUUAAUUUUUGACCAUGUGGAUCAAAAUGUAAAUUAAAGAAAAAGACAAAACAAAAAGAGGUAAAAUUUCCAAAACGUGUGAAAGAUGACUCAUGAUUUAUUAAAACGACCUGCCUCGAAUAUCAAGACGAUUAAUCUUUUUAAAUUUUUUUUUUUGAAAUAAUAUCAACUCUCAUAUUUUUCCACUCGCAGAACAAGUUCACAUUCAAGUCUAACUUGCUAAUUUGGAAAACGAAAUCAAAUCAAAUCAAUAUCAAAGCAAUGAAAAGUAAAACUUUUGGAUUCUAACUCCAGCUAGCAAACGUUGGAAUGCAAUAAUUAAAUUCUUCUGUUUAAUUUGUUUUAAGUUAAAUUACUAAUUACUUAAACUCUGUUUUAAGUAUUUAAUUUUAUGUGUUGGUGGGUAUGCAGAAUUGGAUUCUUGAGUGACUUGGACAUGACCACAAUGAAAUUGAUGGCAAACAAACAUUAAAAUGUGUGGACUCCGGUACCUGCCGCACAAUUCUACAAUAAUAAGUGAGUACGCACCUUUGAUUCUCGGGACCCCUUCAAAAAAUUUCCAGCCUUGUUGACUCCACUGGCUAAGGCUAAAAUUUUGUAAUAGAAAAAAGGUCAAUUCUUGUGGAAUUUAAUUUUUGGCCUUGUAGACCAAAAUGUAAAUUAAAGAAAAAGACAAAAAAGAAAAGGGGCAAGAUUUAUAAAACGUGUAGAAGGUGGUCCAUGAUUUAUUCGAAUAACCUGCCUCGACUCGAAUAUUGUAAUGAUUGAUUUUUUUUAUUUUUUUAAAAUAAUAUCAAUUCUCAUAUCUUCCCACUCCUUGAAAAUGCUCACAUUCAAGUCAAAUUAAAUGGACACCAAAACAAUGAAAAUUGAAAAGUAAAACUUUUGAAUUCUAACUCUAGCUGGCAAACGUAUUCAGUAUUUUUAAAUUCUUCGAAUCGCUUAUCUUCUUCCUCCAUCAAUGCAAUAUCAAGUAUUUUUUUCUUUUUCGUAAUCUUUUCUUUGCAUUUCUUUUUGCUCCAUUAAUGUAAUUUAACUUCUUUUUUUAUUUGAACGGCUCGGAAAGAGUUGAAGAACAUAAAAAAGCUCUUGGUUUUAUACGGUAAAACAAAUUUAACUUAUAAUUAUUCAACUAACAAUUAUUUAUUUACCUAUUUUAGUAAUUUCACCGAAGAAUAAUAAUCUAAUUACAAAAAAUCUAGUCAGUUGGGUGGUUUUAUACAAAGAGUAAUGAUAUAGCCACAAACUCUUGUACAAACUUAUUUUGUACAAACUGAUGUGGCGUUAAUUCAUUGGUUGAAUUAAAUAUCUCUUGGCCCACAUGAUUUGUUUAUAUUAUUUUAUAUUUCUAUUCAACCAAUGAAUUAAUGCCACAUCAGUUUGUAUAAUAUAAAUUUAUACAAGAGUUUGUGGCUGUAUCAUUACUCUUAUACAAAAUCAACUACAUACCCAUAUACAGAUGCAAAUGCAAAUAAUAUUUUUAAAUAAGAAAAUUGUAUAUUGAGAUGAAUAAGAUGUUUCUAUGAUUCUAUCUUAGGAAAGCUCGGUGGUGGUAACGACAUGAAGUUGCGAGUUGCCGCACACAGUUGCUAGUAAUAUAAUAAAACAAGACAAAUUAAUUAAACUCAGGCCUUUACGUAUAUGUUAUCUUAACUUUACUUGCCCUUGUUUGAUGAUAUUCAUUCUUGGAGCUAAGGGCGCAUGUAAUAUUUGUAAUUGUAUUAAGUAUAUAUUAAUGUGAUUUUCAAAAUCAGGUUUUAAAAUCUGUAGGAUAGGCUGAUUUUGGUAGUUUUGGGUCGGCCGUUGCAGUCAUUGGGACUGACUUAUUAUUAUUAUUAUUAUUAUUAUUAUUAUUAUUAUUAUUAUUAUUAUUAUUAUCAUCAUUAUUAUUAUUAUUAUAAUUAUAAUAUCAACUUCCAUAUCUUUCUAAACCCGGAAUAUGCUCACGUCACGUUCAAGUCUAUCUUGCUAACCUGAAAAAGAAAAUCAAAUCCAAUCAACACCAAAACAAUGAAAAUUAAAGCUUUUGAAUUUCAACUCCAGCUAGCAAACAUAUUCAGCGUUCCCAAUUUCUUCCCAUUGCAUAUCUUCUUCCUCCAUCAAUGCAAUAUUAAGUACUUUUUCUUGAUCAUAUUCUUUUCUUUGCAUUUCUUCUUCCUCCAUCAAUGCAAUAUUUGAUCGAUUAGGAAAGAGUUUAAGAACAUAAAAAAUCUCCUAGGUUUAUACGGUAUAGCAAAUUUAAAUUCUCAAUUAUAAUAGAUAAUAAUUAAACUAAUAAUUAUUUAUUUACUUAUUUUAGUAAUUUCACCUAAGGAUAAUAUUGUAAUUAGAAAAAACUAAUUAGAACAAUUUAAUUUUUGGCCGUGUAGACCAAAAUAUAAUUUAACGAAAAAGGAAAAAAAAAAGGGUAAAGAUUUUUAAAAUGUGUGGAAAGUGAUCCAUAUUUUGUUCGACUUGUCCCGAACAUCACGACGAUUGAUUUUUUUAUUUUUUUUUUAAUAACAUCAACUUCCAUAUCUUUCUACCCUCAGAACAUGCUCACAUCCAUAUUUUUUAUGUACUUAUUUUAGUAAUUUCACCUAAGAAUAAUAUUGUAAUUAGAAAAAAAUCAAAUAAGUAGGGUGGUCUUAUACAAAAUCAACUGCAUACAUAUAUGCAGAUGCAGAUAAUAAUUUUUAAUUCCUUUUUUUAAUAAGAAAAUUGUGUAUUGAGAUGAAUAAGAUGUUUAAUUUAAUUAAUUUCCUUACUUUCAUAUACAUUGUCUUUCUAUCUAGAGAAAGCUUGGUGCUCAGAACGACAUGAAGUUGCGAGUUGUCGCCCAUGGCUGCUGAUUAAUAAUAAAACGACACAAAUUAAUUGAACUCUGGCCUCCAAGUAUAUGUUAUCCUAACUUUACUUGCUCUUGUUUGUUAAUAUUCAUUCUUAGAGAGGUGAAAAAAAUUACAAGUCUUGAAUAACGAGGAGUUUAAUUGCCUCUAACUUUACUUGGCCUUCUAUAAUCUCAUUAAUAAUACAGAGAAUUAAUUAUCUUUUUAUUAUUAAACCAAAGAAUUAGUAGCAGUUAAUAUUAAUAUUGCCCACCCAAGAAAUAUGAGUGAAUUAAAGUAUUGGCAAGAGUUCGCUCAGAGGAGCAUUUAAACCACUUCCUUAUCAAUUGCGGCAGCCGUCUAUUAACUAAAACGCCAAUCUAAUACACGAAGAAAGAACAUUUACAGACUUGGCAAUUGAGUUCAUUAAGAAGUAGCAUCGCAUUCGGGUGAUGAGUUUCCUUUUGUUAAUAAUUUUAGUCUAAUUUCCAUUGUACUGAGAUCGCUUCUCGAGGUAAGUGAAAGUUACAGAUGUGGCAAAAUAAAUAAUUAAAUUAACAAAAUGCUAACUAAUUUUCCUAAAUACCUAGGGUUGUACAAUUUCAUCAACCUGGAAGAAUUGACAUUAAUGGACUGGUCUCCUCCCCAUAUAAUUAUAAUCCUUCUAGAAAGCUAAUUUUUAUUAAAUAUUUUCUUUUAAGUUAAUUUCAAUUAAAAUUUUUUUUAAGUUAUAUAUACUCUAAUGAGAUUCUGAAUUCCUUUCUUCCAAUAAUAAUGAAAACGUAUUAAAUUAGAAAUGAAAAAAUUGGUGUUGAUGAUUCAACCUGUUUGGAUAGAUUACGCGAAUAAAAUUGAAAUUUUGAUUUAAUUUUUGUUUAUUGUUAAUUCUCAGGCUAUCUUAAUUUCAAGAAUUUAGAAUGUUAAUUUGGUCAUGGAUUUCAACCCAUGAGUGUCAUAUUCUAGACUUAAUGGUACCAUUCUUUGAUUGAGGGCAAUGACUCUCACUCCUCUUGUAAAAAACUAUUUUCAACUAUUUUGAUGACUUAAAAAUUGAUAGAUUUAUUGUUGUCAUGACCAAAUUAUUCAUUUUAAUUAAACAUAAUUAAUGCAUCAAAGUUACCAGGUUUAUGUUCUAUCUUAAUGCGCUUUUUUUUUUUUUUCAGUUAUCAGCUAUGCCCCUGAGGCAUUUUGUAGAGUAUAGCUUCUGCUUACCUCUGUUUCAUUUUUUUUAAUAAAAAAAACAAGGGAAGGUUUUUCCGAGUCGUCCAUUAUUUGAUUACCGUCAAUCAAGAAAACGACCAAAUUAAUUUCUCUCCAAAAUUUCCAAAAGCUAGAAAAUUUUGUUAUUUGAAAAUAACAUCAUUAAUUAUAGAGUGGAUCAAACCGCGUUAUUGUCUUUUAUAAAAUUGAUGUCUUUUUAAGAGUCAAUGCAUUUUAUUUACACAAACCAGUCGACAUCAACUUGAACUUCCAUAUUUUUAUUAUUAUGUUAUUUAUUUUAAUCCCCGAUUAUUUGAUUAGCCACUAUAUAUAUCAAGAAAGCGACAAAAUUUAUUUCUCAUGACUUCCAAAAACUAGAAAACAACAUCAUUUAUUAUUUUUUUGCAACCCUAAUUGACAUCAACUUUAACUUUAUUAUGUUAUUAUUUCAAUCCCCCAUUAUGACCUUUCUAAUCCUCCAUUAUGCAUCUUUUAUAGUGCAAAUUUAAUUGCACAUCUAAAUAAAUUGAUUAUUGUCACUCCACCACCAAUAUUUCAAAUAGUCACUAGACCAUUUCUGCCUUUAAUUUUCCCUUAACUAUUGACUGUUUUUAGCAUCUUAAAAUAUACAUUUAUUCCUUGAUUAUGUGAUAAAAUUAUGAAAAUAUCCAUUUUAGCUUAAAUUAAUUGAAAUAACCAUAAGCGUAACUUAAAUUAAUAGAACAAAAUUAUCAAGUGUAUGUUCUAUGUUACAUUUUGAAGAAUUUAACAUAUACAAUGCUAUACUAUUAAUUCAUUUAUCAUUUAAUAUAUAUGUUCAAAUAUUUUAUAUAUUUAUUAAUUGUUAUAUAGUCAAAGGAUGAAUGAUUUUUCAGGUCUACAUGAGUUGGUGCAUCUGCAAGACUCAAUUUUGACAACAAUGAUCUAAGGGGUAAUUUACCUUGGCGUUUGACAAAUUUAACCUCUCUUCAAGAUUUACUUCCAAUCUACUUACUGUAAAUAUCUCCUCAUCUCCUCUCAUUUAUAUGAUAACCCUUGAAGAUCUCACAUUUUCAAACAAUCAUAUUAGGGUUUUUAUUAUUAGCAUCAUCGUGUCAAUAAUAUAUGUUGCAGUAAGAUUUUUUCAGACCAAUUCCCUUCUUCAAAUAAUAAUGGAAAAGUAUUAAUUUAAAAAUAAAAUGAAUAUUGUAAAAUAAAGAACAGAGUUUAUGAAUAAAACUCUUGUAUUCCUUGCAUUAACGUUGCUACAUAUAUAUAUAGAUGUACAACCCUAAAGAAUAGAAUCCCAGGUAGAAAAGCAUUACAGAUUCAUAAUAUAUAUACAAAUCUAAUUGCUUUAAAUAUGAAACCGAAUUCUAUACGACUUCUAUAUACAAAACCGAAUGCUAUACGAAUUCUAUACGUUAAUAAAUAUGCAUUGAUUAUAUCCUAAUUUUCAUCAAUUAUAGCGAGAGUUUCUCCAAAUCAACUCCCUUAUUCAAAUAAUACAGAAAAAAUAGUAAUUUAAUAGUAAAAUUAACAAGUGUUGAUUAUAUAUCCUAAGUUUCAUCGAUUAUGUGAUCAAAGUGGCAUUGUUGAUUUAUUUCUUGUUCAAUGUAAAUUUUUAGGUUAUCUAAAUUUCAAGGAUUUAAAAUCUUUGUUCAUGGAUUACACGCUUAUUAAUUUUUCUGCCAUUGACUGUCAUAUUCUAGACUUAAUGGUACCUUCCUUGAUCGAGGAUAAUUACUCUAUGUUCUCCUCUUAUAAAUUCUUCUUCCAUUAACAUCACUAGGAGUAUGUUGAUCUCUCAGACGUUAACUUCAGUGGAGAGUUUCCAAAUUGAUUGUCACAAAACAACACAAAAACUAGACACACUUGAUCUGUCUAAUAAUUCUCUUUCGGUAAAAUUAAUUAAUUUUAGGGGAAUAUUCGACCAACCUAUAUAAUUUUAGAUUGAUCAUUAAUUAAUUGGACGAAAAAAGUACUUGUGCUUUUGUGGCGACAAUUGAACCAGAGAAGUGAAGCUGUAAAGAUUUGGCAGUAGUAAAUUGUUAGAAAGACAUAAAGACAAGUUCCCAUUAUUAUAAUUUUUUCAAAAAACUUUUUUACAACACAUGCACCUGGCCAAAAAUUUUAUUUUGCUAACUAACAAUAAUUGAUUAGCUGACCGAAUUGACUCCACCUACUUGCUAAAGUAAAAAAAUAGAAAUAGAAUUUCCACAAAAUGGCAAACAUGUAAAAUCUAAUAUUUGGCCGUGUGGAACAAAAUACAAAUGAAAAAAAAAAUAGAAAAAAGGCCUAAAGACUUUUAAAAUGUGUGGAAGUCUUUCUGCCCUUUUAUAAUGGUGUGUUUUUCAAAGGAACAAAUAAUAAUAAUGACACUUCAACGGUUUGUUUUGAUAAUCACACCUAUACUCUUUAAUUUGAUAAAUGGUUACACAAAUUUUGUUUACAAAAAUAUAUUAUUCAUGUUCUGUAUUAUUUUUUAACAUCAUAUUUUUAUUUAUUAUAAUUGUUUAAAGUUAAUUGUUGGGUUGAUAUAUAAUAAAAAUGUAUAAUCGUUCUCUUACUAAACACACAUACUCAUAGUUUCUGUUCAUUUGUCAUCUCAAUCUAUCUCAUUUAUCCUUUGUUGAUAGCUCAAAACGCGUCACUGUAGAAAAUUAUAGCAAAACGACAAAUAUGGAAAAAAUGGGAAGAAAAUUAAUGCAUGAAAGAGUUGCAGAAGACAACCAAAUAAGUCAACUAUACGCUAGUUGGGUGUAUAAAUUGUUAGAUGUGUUAUAAACAAAUAGCAUAGAGCCUUGGUUGGUUACAGAGAUAGAAAAAGUGUGUGUUUUUUAGAACUUAAAGAUAUAGUUAGAAUGGGUGGUUCAAAAUCAAAAAUGGUGAUAAUGUUUGUUCUGUUAUUAAUAAUAUUAGAAGGUGGGUGGAGUGAAGGAUGUUUGGAUCACGAGAGAUUUGCUCUUUUGCGACUGCAACAUUUCUUCAAUGAUCCUUAUAAUUAUCUUCCCAACCGGGUAGAUGAUGAGGGAGCUACUGAUUGUUGUCAGUGGGAAAGGGUUGAGUGCAGCAACACCACAGGCCGACUGAUAGCGCUAGACCUUUUUGGCACGUAUUGGCGAGAGUACAGCUGGUAUCUGAAUGCUUCUUUGUUUACUCCCUUCCAACAACUUGAGUCACUUGAUUUACAUGGCAACAACAUAGCCGGUUUUGUUGAGAAUGAAGGUGCUUCGUCUAAUUCAAUUAAAUUACAUUUCGCUCUCCUAAUUUAAGUCGAAUAUCAAGACUGAGCAGCUAUAUGCAUAUUCAUUCAAUUGACAAUUUUUACAUAUUUUUUAAAAUGUUUAAUUUUGAAAUUACACCAAACAUCAUAUGUGAUCUUUGUUUUGAUUUUACUUGCAGGUCUAGAAAGAUUGAGCAACUUGAAGAGGCUUGAUUUAAGUUAUAACUUGUUCAACAAUAGCAUCUUAUCAUCUGUGGCUCGUCUUUCAUCAUUAGCAUUAUUAUAUUUAAGUGGUAAUAGGUUGGAGGGAAGUAUUGAUGUUAAAGGUACAUAAUAAAAACGUCAUCUCUUCUCCCAACUCUUUCAUUAACAUGCUAAAAUAAGAUUCAAGGCUUUGAAUUCAAUUUUUUUUAUGAGUAAAUAUUAGAAAAAUAGUUUUAAGCAAUUCAUAAAUACAAUUUUCAAUGUUUCUCAUAAUUUCAUCUUGUACUUUUGUAUGUCUUGACUUUAAGAUUAAAAAAAAAAUUACUCUAACUGUGAAGCAAAUACCCCAUGACUAAUUUACAAUUUUGUCCAGUUAAAAAUGAUAAAAUUUAUCAUUUGUUCAUAUUGAUUUAUUAACUCUAUUUUAAGUCUUAAGUCUUGGCGUCUUGGCAUGUUUGCAGAAUUUGAUUCCUUGAGCAACUUAGAGGAGUUGGACAUGAGCUACAAUGAAAUAGACAAUUUCGAGGUUCCUCAAGGUACACAAUUAAAAUAUUAUUUAAUUACAUUAAUUUAUUUCGUUUGAUUAGGGAAGGCCCAAAAUGUACAAAAACAUAAUUAAAAAAAAUAAAGAAACAGAGAAUUCAUAUUAUUUCAAAAAACAAAACGUAAUACUAUUAUUUCAAAAAAAGAAUGUAAUAAAGAUUUGAUUUCGGUUCUUUAAUCUUUACAGCAAUUGAAAAACGAUGUUGCUCUUUUCCUAAAGCAUAAAAUAUGAAAUGAGUCAUAAUUGAAUUAGUCAUUUAUUUUGUUUAGAUCUAAAUUUAGACAAUAAAUUUUGAUUUUUUUUUCAAUCAUUUCCUAAUUAUUAUUAUUAAACAGGUUACAGAGGUUUGAGGAAGCUGAAAAGCCUGCAUCUAUCGGGAGUUGGAAUUAGAGAUGGAAGCAAGUUGUUACAGUCAAUGGGAUCAUUCCCAUCCCUCAACACUCUUCACCUUUCGUUUACUAGUUUUACGAAAACAGUGACAACUACUCGAGGUAAGUAAAAGGUACGGAUGUAGCCAAAUUUAUAAAUUAAUUGUUAAUUAAUUAAUUUUUCCGUAUUAUUAAUUAAGCUAAAUUUGUUGCUCCUUCCUUCUAAAUCUAAACAGAGUUGCACAGUUUCACCAACUUGGAAUAUUUGAGAUUGGACGACUCCUCUCUCCAUAUAAGCCUUCUGCAAAGCAUUGCAUCAAUAUUCCCUUCAUUAAAAAAUCUGUCGAUGUUGGGUGGUAAAGUCAACGGUCUCCUACGCGGUCAAGGUAAAAGAAAAGCUUUGAUUGUGAACUCACUCAAUGGUGUCCUACGUGUUCAACAUUUUUAUUUAUUUAUUUUAUUGUUUAAUGUUUCUGCUAGGUUUUCCUCAUUUCAAGAGUUUGGAAUAUUUGAAUAUGGAUUUCACGCGCAUUGCACUCAACACCAACUUUCUUCAAAUCAUCAGUGAAUCGAUGCCUUCUCUUAAGUACUUAUCACUGUCAGAUUCAUAACAGUAAAAAUUUGUUGCUCAACAUGAUGUGUAUUUUUUUUCAAGGCACUUUGGAAACACAAUUGUUACUACAGAUAUUCUUCUCAACUUGGAGAUAAAUACAAAUAUUAAAAUGCAUAUGAUCACACAUAUUACUUCGAGUUUAGUAAGAUUUCAUUAAAAGAAGCAAUCAAACCACUUAUCAAUUGUCGCAGUCGUUCUAUAAACUAAAAUAGCAAUAUAAUACAAGAAAAAGAACAUAUAGAUACUUGGCAAGAGUUCAUUAAGAAGUCGCAUCACAUUCGGGUGAGGAGUUUGCUUCUGAUAUCUUGCUAGCUGGGGCUUUUUCUUGUCUUUCUACGUAUGCCGAGGGAAACCAACCAGCUUGGCCCUUGCAUUCACCUUCCGACCAUCCAAUAGGAGCAACCUUGAGAAGUUAUAACUAAAACGGUGAAUUAAACAAAAGUUGACCGUUCAAAGACCUAAGGGGAAAACUAAUUCUUUUACGUAGAAUGAGUGAACUAGUUGUGAUCACUGAAAUAACAACAUAACUAUGGAAGCAUAACUAGAUAUAAAUUCACAUGGCUAUAAGGGUAAACUGAGUGGUUUAGAACUGAGCUAGCAACCCUACUAUAUUCUGAUUUGCACUUCAAUGUAAAAGGGAAUAUAUGGUAGGAAGAAAGAAAACCAACCAUCAUUUGUUAACUCAUUGCUUUUCAAUCAAAAUUUUAAGAACAAAAUGCCAUGUGCUUUGAACAUCAAAUAAGUAUAAGCAUUAGUUCUAAAUUCCACAUAUCAUAAGUUGUUAGAAGGAUAAGUUAAUAGCAGAGUAGAAAAAUCUAUGUGUUGGUAUUUAGAGGGGAAAGUACCUGGCGAACCACAAUAUAAUCAUCAAUUGAAAGACUUAGCUUUCCAUUUGCUUGAGCAUCAAAUGGAUGUAUAACCUGCAAGAUAAUGGGAUAAAUAGAACUUUAAAAAAGCAUAACAAAAGCAGCAACAGUAGCAGCAACGUUCAUUGUAACCACUAUGAUCAUGGCCAACAAAGAUAUAUUAGAAACAAAAUUCCAUUUUUACUACGACAUUAAUAUGUACUAUACGAUAUCAUGACGAUUGGGUUACUAAGAGCUAUCAAAGUCUAAUAAGUUCUGUAUAACUUUAUGUAGUUAUUUAAAUUAUGGAUCAGAUUUUAAAUUUGAAAUUUUGACUGCUCUCCACAAAACAUGGCCUAUGCACAAGAAAGUCAUAGAUAAUGAGGAUUACAAGUGUCCGACAUCUUUUGAGUGAUGGAUUUAACAUGAGAGCUUAUGGUCAGUCAAUUUCCUCUGCCUAGCAAUAUAAGCUUUCUCGGCCAGAUUUAUCAUCAAAUACAUAGAUUGCCCCCAAGUCACAUCCAUAUAAACAUAGUUUUUCUAGGUAAACCAAGUAAGGAGUAUCAUAAUUCAGACAUAAUCAUAAAAAGGCCCAUCUAACUUAAGAGAAAAUCUCAAAAAUGGCUACAUCGUCUUGUAUCUAUAAGCAAUAUCAAGACUUUACAUCACCUGCUACAUCGUGAGUGGCUACACAACUUUCAAUGGUUUGUCUUUCUUUGGCAUGCCUAACUCAGCUUUGAUGUUGCUGAGAUAUUGAUAGUAGAGACACAUGAUACUUCUAGCUCAUGCAUUCUAUCUAACUCAUCCAACAACUAUCUCUUUUUUAAUUCAUUAGUGUUUGCUAAACCUCAUGCUUAAAAGUCCUGUUCUCCUAAACAAAGUUUCCUAAGAAUGACUUCCUUAGCACCACAUUUGGACACUUUUAGAGCAAUUUUAUUUUGGGGAAAAGAAUUUUCAAGGUGUUAACUAAUAAAUUUUAAAAAAUAAUUACAAUUUUUCCUACGAUCAUAUGACAAUUUAUCUGGGAUGAAAGGAUACAGAUAGACAUCUUCCACUUUCAAGACUAAUCACUACUUCCGUAGAUGUUGUGCAAUAAUACAAAUACUUGAUCAGAUGGUAGUGAUGGUAGAAAAAAAUUUUAUUGCUCCAAAAUUAAAAUAAGAAUGCAAUAUGUUAAGCAAAAGGCUGUGCAACAUCAAAUUAAUUGAUAAGUUUGUAAUUCAGUAAAUUAACAACUUUCAUGGUAAAAUACAACAAAUUUCUUUUGAAAAAAAUAAAUCUUAAAAGACAGCAUUCAAUUUUGUGCGCAUCUUAUUUCUUAAGAUUUUUCAGGAGGAGGGCAAUAGAGGGACUUUCACCUAUGCAAGAGAGCAGAAGCCUUACUUUCCCUAUAAAGUAGACGUCAUUCUGAUUAAUAUGCGUUUGCAAAUCAGCUCCGUUUGAAUCAGUAUUCUGAUAGACACACGAGGCAUUGACAUCCAUUUCCAAAGUCACAUGUUGCGAGGAGGACUCAUUUGAUUGCUCCUAUACGAUCAUCUAAUUCAAGUAGCAAGGGUUGGAAGAGAAUAAAAAGUCACAAUUAUUCUUUUGCAUAAGUGAGACGAAAAUGAUAAAUGCAAUAUUAUCAACAGUAAACAAGAAGAAGAUGAUAGUGGAAGUAUGCGGUGUGGCUGCCAGGUACUUGGAUUGUAUUGUCGGGUAAGGUAAUAGUAGAGAAUUAUAAGUUUGAACAGAGCAUGUUGGACUUUUGUUGACCAAAUUCAAAAGCCCAAUGGCACGGCCCGGAAGCUUUUGAAUAGAAAAACUUGCUAGAAAGCAUCAGUUUAAAUCACUACUUAAACGCUUGCUUUAACUGCACCACUUUGUACUGUUUUAUGUGUGUAGCGGUUGUGCGGUUGUAAUUCACGGCUGACGCUACGUGUUUGUUAGGUCAAAACUAUGAUACAAUAGUGGUACGGUACCAUUGUUACUUUCAAUCAUUGGAUCUAUAGUUGUACAGUUGCAUUAAUAAGAUCUAAUGGCUGAAAACAACAGUGGUACCAUACCACUGUUGCAACAUAACAGGACCCUAUUAGUUAUUUCAAAGGGAUAAAUAAGAUUGCUUACAACAAACCUACUAAUUUUAUAAAAUUCAAGUAAUAUAGAAUAAAAUAAAAAAAUAAAUACAAAAUUGACUUUUAUUUUUUAUGGUUGACUAUAUUUUGUGUUCUCUUCGGGCACUACUACAAUUCUUCCCUAUAUAUCAAUUACACCACAUACUAUCGACACAAGAAAUGAAAUCUAAUAUCACCCGUUUAGUUAAAAAAUCACUCAUGAAAAAAUUUUACCAUUUUGAUUUGAGGAUCCAUAUUUUAAACUGCAAGCUAAUGUUCAUCAAGAAUUACUGAUGGCCGUUGAGUAGAAAAAUUAUUUUUGGACAAAUUAUUUUUGUUGAUAGAAGAAUUUCUUUAGGGACUACUAAAUUAUUAAUAAAAAUGUCGAACACACCCACAUAUCAUCGACACAAUUGAUUUUGAGGAUCCAUGCUUUGAACUGCAGCCUAAUGUUCAUCAAGAAUAGAGUAUGGCUUGUGAGUAGAAAAUUUUCUUAUUUUGGCCCGAAAUAAAAAGAAAUUAAAUUGGAUGAGAAUCUGCCACUUUCUCAUGAAGAAAGGCAUACGGAGCAUACCAUGGUACCAUACAAAAUAAGGAGCCUCUAUUCUUUGGUUUUUCAAACUCUAAAGGGGCCAAUAUUGCCAAAUUCCCCCUUGAAAAUUCUGAUUACGACAUUAUUCAUCGCUUGAUGCAAUCAAAGUAGUGACAAAGUUAGGAAAAAUAUGAGUCCUAAGUAAUUGCUAGGCAGGGUUCCUGAGAGCAAAAUUGUCCUAAGCAUUAUAUGCAUACAUGGUGCGGUACAUAGAGCACGUUGAAUUCCCCACUAUAACACAAACCCAGAAAGACAAGUAAUAACUCAACUGAUAUAAAGACAAAAAGAAGAUAAAAUGAUAUAGAAAAAAGAAUUCAAAGAGACAGCAACAUACGAUAGACUGAAGCCACUUGAUCUGCUCAUUGAUUGCAGCCUUAAACUUGCAAAUAGUUACUGUACGCUAGUGCUCUAAGAAGUGAAAAUGAUGCCAGCCCUGAUUCCCUUUUGACUUCCAUUUACUGUCAAACAUUCUAGUAAUACAAAAAAUUGUUUAGAUAUCUUGCUAUAAAUAUAGCCGUUUGACUGUCAUAAUAAAGUCACAAAUAACCAUUCAUAUUGAUCUACUGUCACACAGCAUGCUUUAUGCAUACAACAGCUGUAUGUAUACCAACUCCUAACCUUAUCAAUACAUUUGGCAAAAACUUAAGAAGAAAGCUAUUUCUCCAUCUCUUUUUUGAAAUUUCACAAUAACCAGCACAAUGUGAAAGCUAUGUUCUAACCUUAUGAUAAAUGCUCCAGACUCCAAAAGGAUUUUAUAUAUGAGAGUUUGUUGCAGCAGAUAUAUUGACUUAUCAAGUAUGAAUCAUUGUCUGGAUGAACUAUCUUUAGAUAAAAGAAUAUUAGAACCACUGUAGAAUAUCUUUACGCUGCUGGUUCUAACAGGAAUCUGCAUGUGGCAACAAUUGCUAGAUCCACAAUUCCCCAACUUGAAAUACAUAGUUGCACACCAUGAGAUAGUGCUACAAUCUACUGAGAUCUAACUUAUAUGGUACUUUAAGCUACUAAUGUUUGCAUAUUUCUACAUGUUAAAUUAACACUAUCAUCUAUAAUCACUCCAAAACAACAAAUGAUAAGCAGCUUUUGGCCACUUAUUACUAGCAUCCACAAUUAUAAAUAAGAGAUCAUGGGUUUACUUGUUGCACCUACUUAAUUAUCUGCAGUUGACAUCCUGAAGCAAGGUUUAAAUAGUGACUGCUUAGAACCCUUGUAGUUGGAUCUUGACCUCUCCCAUUGUAGCCAAGAUUGGUUACUCUGGUAAUGAAUCAACACUCUCCUGCUCAGGGCCAUGAAGAUCUGAAAGCUCAGCACUAGUGGAGAACUUCAUCAAUCUCUUCUUCUCAGCACACUUGAGACAAGGCUGCAUUACGAGACCAAUCACCACAGCACCAACGCUUAAAACUGCAACUUUUAAAGAAGAAAGAGCCAACACAACACAACACAACACAACACAAAUCAAUAUGGUUGGAGGAAUACACAUGAUAAUGGCUCCAACAGUGCCAGUGGGUAUCUUGUAGGGACGAGAUGCAGCAGGAUAUUGUAUCCUUAACCAUACAAAUGCUAUGAACUCCAUAACCAUUCCAAAACAGUACAGGAAGUUCUCUGCAGCUACAAUAUCUCGAAAGCUCAGCCAUGAUAGCAAAACCACACCAGAUGCUGAGAAUAUGAUUCCAAUCAAAGGAGUCCCAUAACAAGACCUCUUAGCAAAAAACUCAGGUAGCAUUCCACACUCAGCCAUCCCCAAAAGUUGGAAAGAGUUGCUGCUCAUCUCAGCCACAAACAUGCCCAUAUUGGACAUUGCUGCAGCCCCCUGGAUGCAUUAUCUCAACCAAACUCCUCCAAGCACUUUAGCGAUAUCUGAAAAGUAACCAUCGGUCCACAAGUCGCGAUCUAAUGGAAUAGCUCCAGUUCCAACUAGAAGGGGAAAGAAAUACCCAAAAAUGACCAAGAUCAAAGCAUAAAACAAAGCCUUUGGAAGAGUCUUCUUGGGGUUAUCCACCUCUCCAGCUAGUGUACUUAUUGAGUCCCAGUAGUUGAGAUUCCAAAACAGGGUGUUCAAAUACAAAUUCCAAUCCACUUCACCUAAAUUUACUACAAGCCAUCUUGAAGGCUCUAACUUGGGAAGGGACACAAGUCCCAUAACCACAAAAGGAAGGAGUGAGAAAAUCCCUAAAAGAACAGCAGCCCAUCCCACAAUGGUUAGACCCCUAUAGUUCAUGAAAGUGAGAACAAAAGUCAAAGCUAACGCCGCAAAGGCUCUAGGUAACCCAUUGCCCAACGCAGGGAUACCAGACUUCAAGUAGUCAAGAAACAGAACUGGGUAUAAAGCAUUAUCAAUAACCCCACUUAGCCAUUUCAUCCAACCUUGCUGAAAACCCCAAUAUGGGCCUAAGGCAGAUGAAACCCAAACCACAUAACCACAAUUUUCAGAAAACACGGUACCCAUCUCGGCAGUAAUUAAAGCUUCAGGGACACUCCAUAUAAUCGGAAACACCAAGAAACCAAGAAGUGCUAAAAGAGGACCAGCUGCCUUUACACUAUCCUCAACACCAAACGGCCCCCCAGAAACCUCAUAGAAUAUAAGGAAAAUAAGUGGCAAGAUUGAUACUUUUUUAGUGCCAUGGACUCUAGGAGAAGAUGGUUGGUCAUUGAUAUUAACAUAUUCAACAGCAUCAGACUGCCCCAUUUCUACUGAAACUUGCCUAUUUACAGUGUUCCUCAAUUUCUGCAUCAAGUUUUAGCAUAACUAUCAAAAGGGUAUCCGCAUGUAAAUUAUGAAACAAAAUGAGCAUUUACUUUUUAAAAAAAAAUCAAAAAACAGAAAUGGAUUUCGCAGAGCACAUGAAUUUAAGUUCAACAUUAAACAGGCGCUUAAGAAAACAAAAGGGUCUGUUCGUAAAGCCAUCAGAUUGCAAGAUUGAACAACAUUAACGGAAUCAAUAGAAUAGAUGUAAAGAGAUCUGAAAAGAAAAUAAAAUAAAAGAUGAAGAGAGAUAAAACGAACCAUCAAAUAAGUGCAUGCAGAGCAGAGAGGCAGAUACUAGAGAAGCUCCGUCAUGUUAGAGAGAGCCUAAAUCAAUCAGAGCUCACUGAGUUUCUUUUCAACCGACCGGCAAAUUUGGAGUGGCACAAAAUAAUAUUUUUGCUUUUAAUUUUUGGAACACUUUUGAAUGGAAUUUUUUGUUUUUAAAAAAGGUAAGGGAGAUUAGGGCAUCAUAAAAAGAUUUUUUAAAUAAAAUUUUAUUAAUUAUUUAAAAAAUUAUUUUAAUAUUUAAUAUUUUAAAAAAUAUUUUAAUUAAAAUUUUUUAAAUAAAAAAUAAUUUUUUUUAAAUUUAGAGAAUUAAUUUUUUUUAUAAUUUUUUUUAUUAUUUUUUAUUGAAAAAAAAGAGAUAAAUACUUUAAUUGUUAUUAUUUUUUUUAAAUAAUUAUUUGAUUAAAAUAAUAUUAAAUUAUUUUUAUUUGAAGAGUUUUUUAAAAAAUAUCAUAUUUUUUUAUCCUUCUAUUUGCCACAUGAGUAAACAAAUAGAUAUUUAAAGAAUAAAAUUUAUAUAAUCUUUUGGAAAUGCUCUUAAUAUUUAUUUAGUCUUAUAUUUUUUAAAAUAUUUUUAAAAUAUUUUUGUCGUUAAAAUAUUGAUAUUAUUAUUAUUUUUUUAUAUUUUUUAAUUUAUUUUUAUAAUAUUAUUUUUAUAAUAAUUUUUUAUUUAGAUAUUAAUAAAAAAAUAAUUUAAUUAAUAAUUUAAUCCUAAAAUAAAUAAACACGUGUUUGGUUUUGGGCCUUUUCUUUUGUUCGUUUAAUAUCAUCUGGCUCGCUGAUUUGUGACUAAUUAUCAACGGAAUCCCGUUGGUUUCUAAAUUGAAAUAAUAGAAGGUCAUGAGACUAUUUACUCCAUUUAGCACUGCAGACUUAGAGUAUAUUGAAAAAGCUUUGUCAAAUAGUAGUAAUAGGGGCAUAAGAAAUAAAUUAUAGCUAUCACAAAUUCGUUAGGAGAAUUUCAAUUUUUUCCGUCAAUAAUGGCUAUGAAGCAAAAUUACCUUAGGUUAUAUUGCAACACUAAUACUUCAAAUCCUGAUAAGGGGUGAUAAAAUUAAGGUUGUUCAAAUCCCUUAAAAUGCUCCUUUGUUUAGUUUAAAAGUUGUUCUUAAAAUGGAAACGAUGACUUAUUUAGAAGAAAUGGUAAAUUUAUAAUUUGUAAUAUUAUUUGCACAAACAAUAAUAAUGAAGUGUUAAUUACCACUUAACAUUUUUAAUUAAUUUCUAAAUUUAAAACAAAUAUGAAAGUUGAUUGCUUCGAAGGUUGGAUCGACAAAUUGACAUUUGAAAAGAGAAGUAGGGAAUGUAUAUUCUGAUGAAAGGGACAAGAUUAAGUAAGGGGACAAUAUUCUCUAUUGGACCUACAAAUGGGGGGAAAGAUAUAUAUAUAUAUAUAUAUAUUCUUAUUUGUGGAUUGGGCAUCACGUGUAACUAAUAUAAAAGGAGAAAAUUUAGCAUGGUUUUAACAUAUAUAAGAAGAGAAAAUUAAUUGUUCAAACAAAUUAGAAGCAAAUUCUUUCAUAUCUUUCUUUAUUUUUCCGCUUACUUUCUUAGCAUCCAAACAAGUUAAAGUUAAAACGCUGUUGAGCCAACAAUAUGCAGGCAUCAAUAAGCAUAGUAGUUUUGUAUAUGUAUUCUAUACGAUAUUCUGGGGAUGUCAAUUGUAGAACAUUUUGUGGUAACUUUUUUACAUUAAUUAAUGUUUGAAGAACUUGUUAAAAAGAAAAUGGUAAUUUUAUUAUUUUGAAAGACAAAAAAAAAUAAAAAUAAAAGAGUGAAAGUGGCGUUACCUCAUGGUCAUUAGAGACUUGUUGCAAUGAUAGCUCAAAAUUAAAAAUUUGUGAAGAAUUAGUAGACAACGACGAUACUAUAUUUAUAUAGUCACCAACAUGUUGAUUUUUGUUUAAUGUUUGAUCGAUAGAAACUUUUGUCGUCGUCGUCGCCGUUGUUGAAUUCAUGCUUAGAAUACCACAAGAGAAGAAGAAGGGAUGAAAGGGAAGAGAAGAAGAGAGAAGUAGUGGAUAGCAAAUAUGAUAUGCUAGCUACACACAGGCCUUAGAGAGUUUUUUUUUUAAUAUUUAUUGUAUUUUUGUUUUUGUUAUUGGUUUGUCAUAUGCUUCCAAGGCAGCAAUGUGUUACAUCAUAAAUUGCACCUUUUAGGGGAGGUGGUAAAAAACAUGAGAGGAAUGCAUUCUAGCGCAUACAUGCAGAAAGAGUUUCCAAAUUUUCAAAAGUUUGUUAUUUCUUCCACCUUUUUUUUGCUUAAAAUAAAUUUUAAUUGUAUUUUGCAUUAACUUAGAGAAAAAAAAAAUCAAGUUCUAUGCAUAAACGCAUACAUUGAUUAGAAAAUGAGUUUUAUGGACACAAAGGGACAAUAUAAGAGAUUCUUUUUGUUUAUUAGAAGUAACAUAACUAGUUAGUGUAACAUGUAAUUAUAAGCUACCAAGAAUUUGCACUGAUGAUAAUUAACGGUAUAGAUUUUGAGCUAUGAAUGUCUUGUGGCUAGUUUAAUUGGAUUUUCGAGUUUUCAGCAGAUCUAUUUUAAUGAUUAUUAAAUUAUUUUCACUUCUUAUGCUUUAAUAAAAAAAAUUCAAUAUUUUUUGCUGUAUUCUAUAUUUUAAAACUUAAUUUUUAAUUCUUUAUAUUGCAAACCAAACUGAGUCAAAUAGAGUAUGCUCGAAUUUUUCCAAUGCCUUCAAGAAGAAUUCAUUUUAUUUUUAUAUAUUAAUUUAACACAUGUAAACCGGGCCGUUGGAUUGCACAUAAAGCAAAUGAUCAAACCGUUACAAGACCGGCCCAGGCCCACCGACUCUAUUUUCUUUCAUUUGACCAUUAAAAAGCUUUUGGCCACCCCCACCAAAUAAAUAAGCUCUUGUUCUCUUUUGUUUCCCUCUCAAAGGAAAAUAUCUGAUCACCGGAUAAUGAUUCCGGUGACACAAAAGAUCGAAACACCCCCCUAAAUUCCCUAAAUUUACAAUAAUACCCCACCAUGGAUGAUUCCGUUGAAAUGCCGCCUUACGAUGAAAGGCCUAAAAAGGGUUUUAACUUCACCUCCAUGCGCUUGAUCUUAACCCUCGUUUUCCCAAUUUUAACUUGCUUUUUGUUGGCAUUUUUUAUUGGAAUCGUAGCUGUUUUAUUCGGCGAAUCAUCAGUUUCCAGUUCCAUUUUUGUCCCUUCCUAGUGCAAAAUAGUGUCCAGCAGUAAGCUUUUUUUAACAUUUUCAAUUUUUUUUCCAUUUAUGAAGUCCAAAAAUUUUAUUAAUUUUGAUUUUUUUGAAUGAUUUUGCAGGUGUUGAUAUAAGGUCAUCAAAAGUUCGUGAACUUGGGGUGUUGAAUUAUAAGGCGAAGCGUGCGUUUUAUCCAUUUGAAGCAAUUAAAUUUCGCUGUCGGUAUGAUUACUAUUGGGCUUCUAUCUUCAAGGUAUUCAUACAUUUUCCCCUGUACUAUAAGCUUCUUAGUGGCGGUCUUGUGAGCGGAAGUGAGCGGUGUGGCUGACAGCUUCUUGAAAAUUAUGAACAGAGCAUGUUAGACUUUUGUUGACCAAAUUCAAAAGCCAAAUGGCACAACUCAGAAGCUUUUGAAUUGAAUAACUUACUAGAAAGCUCCAAUUUUUUGUUGGCUACAGUAAAAGGAUGUUGUUUUAUUCUUCUUAUACUUUACGCUUGCAUCAGCUUAAAUCACUUCUUAAACGCUUUGCUUUAACUCUACCGCUUCAUACUGUUCUAUAUAUGUAUCGGGUAUGCGGUUGUAGUUCAUUGCUGAGACUACGUGUUUGUUUGACGUGGUAGUUACGUUCCGAGUCUGUUAAACAUUCGGUGAUUAAAGUAUUAUCAGUUAUUUCAAAGGGGCAAAUAAGAUUAGCUACAACACACCCACUAGUUUUAUAAAAUUCGAAUAAGAUGGAAUAAAAUAAAAAAAUAAAUAAGUAAAUUGACUUUUAAUUUUUGUGGUUGAAUAUAUUUUGUAUUCUCUCAGGGCACUGCUGUAAUUGUUCCUUAAAUGUCAGUCACACCCACAUGUUACAGACACAAGAAAUGAAAUCUAAGAUCACCUGUUUAAUUAAAGAAUCACUCAUAAAAAAAUUUUGCCAUUUUGAUUUGAGGAUCCACAUUUUGAACAACCAACUUAUCUUCAUCAAGAACAGAUCAUGGCCUUUGAGUAGAAAAAUUAUUUUUGGACAAACUAUUUUUAUUAAUAGAAGAAUUUCUCAAGGGACUAUUAAAAUUACUAAUGAAAAUGUCAGACACACCCACGUACCAUCGACACAAUUGACUAUGAGGAUCCAUGUUUUGAACUGCCACUUAAUGUUAAUCAAGAACAGAGUAUGGCUUGUGAGAAGAAAAAUUUCUGAUUUUGGCCUGGAACAAAAAGAAAUUAAAUUGAAGGAGAAUCUGGUACUUUCUCAUUAAGAAAGGCAGACGGGGCAUACUAUGGUACCAUACAAUACGAAAAGUCUCCGUUCUCUGGCUUUUAAACUCUAAAGGGGGCAAUAUUCCCCAAUUACCCCGUGAAAAUUCUGAUUACGACAUUAUUUAUUGCUUGAUACAUAAGUAAAAGUAGUGACAAAAUUAGGAAAAAUAUGACUCAUAAGUAAUUACUAGGCAGGGCUCUUGAGAGCAACAUUGUACUAGGCUUUAUAUGCAUACAUGGUGUGGUACAUAGAGCACGUUGAAUUCCACACUAUAACAUAAACCCAGAAAGACAAGUAAUAUCUCAACAUAUAUAAAGACAAAAAGAAGAUAAAAUGAUACAGAACAAAGAAUUUCUAAGAGACAGCAACAUACAAUAGACUGAAGCCAGUUGAUCUGCUCAUUGAUUGCAGCCUUAAACUUGCAAAUGUUUACUGUAGCCUGGUGCUCAAAGAAGUGAAAAUGAUGCAAACCUUGAUUCCCUAUUUACUUCCAUUUACCAUCAAACAUUCUAUUCAUAAGAAAAAAAAUGUUUAGAUAUCUUGCCGUAAAUAUAGCCAUUUGAUUGUUUUAAUAAAGCCACACACAACCAUUCAUAUUGAUCCACAUUGCCACAUAGCCUGAUUUAAGCAUACAACAGCUGAAUGUAUACCUGACUCCUAACCUUAUCAAUACAUUGGCGACAACUUAAGAAGAAAACUAUUUCUCCAUCUCUUUUUUGAAAUUUCACAAUAAAACAGCACAAUGUAAGAGCUGCAAUGAAAAUGGACCGUCUGGAACUAUGGCGGAAGCUUCAACUAGUGUAGUGAUUUGACCUUCUUAUUAACCUGGCAAGAUCAAACACUGCCCUUGAUCUUGAACAGAUCAAUACGAUACGCACAACUUAUGAUUGAAUCCAGAAACCAUCAAAUCUUUAGCAAGAAUAAUUAAUCAGAAUCAAGAAACAAGUUUAAUGAAUAUAAACCUAUAAUUGGAACAAACACAGCCAAAGAACCCAAGAAUGACACAACGUACACCAAGGGAGAAGCUUUCCAGUGAGAUUAUAUUGAUGAUCAAAGAAGAAUCUUUUUACAAAGGUAACAAAAGUGAUUUCAGAGAAUAAGCUAUGACCCUCUCUCUUUUCAAUCUCUGUCUAGUUUGUUAACAGUGAUGACCCCAAUCUGCUUCGUUAGCCAGGUUCAUAACUGCGUCAGUGACAAACUAGCAAACCUAGAUUGAGCAGACUAACGACACGUGCAUAACGGCUUUAACGAACUUGGUUAAAGAACUGCUCACAUGUUCGUCACGCGUGUUGCUUAAAUGAUAGCCAAAACGACUUCAACCAGAUGCCGUUUUGAAGCUUAUGAAUUAUAAGUGAAAACACGUGCUUGUCUCGUGACAUUUAAAUGCAACAACAAGCCCAAAACACUGUCGUUUCACUAUGUUGAGUUUGCCAUCUCCAAGCUUCACAACUAGCAGCGAACAAGAUGAUAAUUUAAUUGACAUGGAGAGCUUUUAUAUCACUUUUACAACAUUCUAUAUAAUUGUGAUAUUGGGAAUCGUCGGUGCUGUAUAUGUGAACCCUCAUUGGCGACACUGGUGGUUUUAUCUUUGUUAAAAUAUGGAUGACUUUUCGUUACUAUUUUGUUGUACAUAACCUUAUUCCUACGAGAUUUAAUCAUUGAAAUUAUGUUAGUUUCAUUAGAAGGCUGAGUGGUUAGUGCUGCUACCCUCCAAUUUGGAGGGCAGUAGUUUGAACCCCCACAAGCGCAAUGUGGGGGUAUUUCCUUCUUUAAUUACAUUGUAUAAUUGAGUAAAGGUAAUUUUCUCUCUUACCCAAGUGUGAGUGGAGUAGACAUCCCUCGAUGGUUAAAACCUGGGCAGAGCUUCAUAAGUAUUGAUGUAAGUUGGUCCCAGUAAUAGUCUGAUUUGUAAAUAUCAGUUAUAGUCUCAUGUUUCCUUCCUUAAUUAUAUUGUAUAAUUAAGUAAAGGUACUCUUUUCCCCUACCCAAGUGUGAGUGGAGUAAAUAUCCAUCGAAUAUUAGUGAGGGUUAAAAUCUGGGCAAAGCUCCAUAAGUAUUGAUGUAAGUUGAUCCCAGUAAUAGUAUGAUUUGUAAAUAUCAGUUAUAGUCUCAUGUAAUAUGAGUUGUAAUUUGAGCAAUAGUUUCAUGUAAUUAAAAAAAAUGUUACUUUCAUUACAUUUUUCUUCGUUAAAAUUCUCAAGUAUCAAUUAUGUUUGCUUAAGAAAUAAAAUUUUGUCAUUAAAGUUGUAGUAGUAUUUCUAAGCAUCUCACAUUUUCAAUGAUUUUUCAUAAAUCAAUUAAUAUGUCGUACCAAUAUCAUGUUUAGUUUUUCAGACUAAAUAAUCAAGAAAGCAAACAAAUUCACAGUUUAGAGGGGUAAACUAGCUUUUAGAUUUUAGAACUAGGCUAGCUACCUCACCAAAUUCCAGUUUGUACAGUGAACUACAAGAUUGAGAAAAUAAUGUAUUUAUAGUUUAAUUGAAUCAUGACAAACAAUGUAGUCAUAGCUCAAUCGGACAUGAUCACGGAGAGGCAUAUUCUUUUCAAGUUAAUUUGAUCCAUUUAUAAGAAAUGAAGUGGAUCGAAGUUAAAAGUUCAAAUAAAAAAUCCUUGUUCUUGAGUUUUACGACGUCGUUACUCCUUCAAGAGGCUGAUUAUGCAAGUGAAUGGAGAAACAUAAUGCAUUUAUAAUUUUUUUAAUAAUUAUAAAAAUAAUUAACCAUAACAAAUCCCUUGCGUAAAUAAUAAUCAUUAUUUAAAAGGUCCAAAGAUGGUUAGUGCACAAUCAAAUUUUAAGCCCCUACCUCCUCGGCCCAAGAUUCAAACUUAGAUGAUAAGCCAAAUAAAAUUAUUUGAAAAUCAUUCAAUCAAGUUCCGGGGCAAAAAUACAAGAUCCUUAUUUACAUGAUAUAUAUGAAUUAAUGUAAUUUAUUUGAAUUGUCCAAAUUCAUUAGAGAUAAAACUAUAAAAUAUACCAAAAAAGUUAGAAGGAAGGCUGUGUUGGGAUAUUUUACAAACUAUAGGGAUCUGGUGAGAUUUUGAGCCAAACUGUAGGGAGUUGAAGGCAUUUGCCCAAUAUGUUUAGACGUACACUAACCGUUAUUUGAUCUUGUUGUUGGUCCCGGAUGAGCUGUAGUCUUAUUUUAAUUUUAUUUAAACUCACCAUAAGAUUCGCGGAGCUCCUAACUAACUUAAAUGACUCUGCAGAGCAUGUCAACACAUACCAUGUUUAACCGUUUUAUUUGUAGAAGAAUUUAUGAUUUCCCAUUAGCAUUAUUAUUGAAGUGGGGCAGGUCAAAUCUCAAUUGCUUGAAAAUUUUAUUUAUUAUUAUUAGUCUUGAAGUGGGGUGGGUAACGGUUCGCUCAAUUCGAGGGGAAUCAAAUAUAUCAUCCAAGGUAGAAUUGUGGAAAAUUAAAGCAAAAUAAGAAAUAUGGAAAGACAAGAAGAAAGUUAAGGCAUGAAAGACAUAUACAGUUGAAAUUGAUAAUCAUGUUUCUAUUUUGUUAACUAAUCAAAUGGAAAGCUGAACUGUAAACAAACAUUAAAACGUGUGGACCAAGCUCGCUGUCCUACAAGUCUACAAUAAUAAUUGAGUACUUUGAUUCAUCCUUCUAUGAAUUUCUACCCAUAUUGACUCCACCGAAAUUUCCACAAAAUAAAAUUAAAAAAAAAAACUGAAUUUCCACAAAAUACAAAACCCGUUGAACUUAAUUUUUGGUCAUGUGAACUAAGAUGUAAAUUAUAAAAAAAAGUAUAAAAUUAAAAAAGAUGAGAUUUCUAAAAUGUGUGGAAAGUGAUUCAUGAUUCACUGAAAUUACUUACCCCAGAUAUAAAGGUAAACCUAUCUAAUUUCAUUAAAAAUAGUUGAAAAACAUUAACUAAUAGAAAGCUACGGAAAUUAACCCCCCACAAAAAUGACUUUUUAUAGAAGAAUUUAUGUUUUUUAAAAUAUGUUAUCAAAGUGUAUUUGAUCAAAUCUGAAUUGCUUAGUAUGGUUAGGAUUUUGUGAACAUCACUAAAAAGUGAAAACUAUGAAUGAUAGGGGUGAUGCUUGCAAUAUGAAUAAAUAAUGGACUGAUUCAAUUUCUGAUUACAUUUAUAUAUUAUUGAUUAUUUAUGAAUUUUCAGACUUGUUAUGAUGUAUAACUAUGUGAUUUUGAAACUUGAAACCGUGGCAAACAUUGAAAGGAAUUAUAACUUGAAAGCAUGACUCACGGGGUAUGUCAUGAUUCACGUGCACAAAAAAGGUAGAAUUGUGGAAAUUUACAACCCAACGACAAGUACGGAAAGAAAGGAAGAAAAUUAAAAGACUUUGGGCCUAGCUGCGUGUAUAAAUUAUUAGAUUACUUUUUUUUUUAUAAGGGUAAUCAUCAAUUUACUCCAUAAAAAUCUUUAAUUCAAUUAAAAUUUAUGGUAUUUUAUAUAUUAAAAAUUCUAAAAUAAUUAUGUAUUCACUUGAAUAUAGUUUUAGUUAUAAAUGUUAAAAUAUUGUGGUAUUUAAUAUAUUAUUUAUUUGACAUUCAAAUUUAAUAAGGAUACAAAUGUAAAAGUAUAUAUUUUUCAGCUUUUUAAGUUGAAAAAAACAAACAACUUAAUACUUAUUUUUUGAGAUUCAGACAAAAAAAUAAACAUAUUAUUCAGAUUCAGACAUUCAGAUCUAUUCAGAAUUCUCACUAAUUCAGAUCUAUUCAGAUUUCAGAUAAAAAAAAAAAAAACAAAACGCCACCUAAGUAUAGUUAGGAUUGUGUGAACAUCACUGAAAACUAUGAUUGAUAGAAGUGAUCUUGGCAAUAUGAAUAAAUAAUUAACUGAAUCAAUUGAUUUAUAUAUUAAUGAUUGUUUAUGAAUUUGCGGACUUGUUGCGAUAUAAUAAUAGCAUAUGAUUUUGAAACUUGAAACAGUGGUAAAUAUUGAAAGGAAUUAAUUUGAAAGCAUGAUCCGUGGGGAAUGUGAUGAAUCGUGUUUACAAAAAAGGUAGAAUUGUGGAAAUUUAUAAUAGAACGAUAAAUAUGGUAAAAAGGAAGAAAAUUGAAAGACUUGGGGCUUGGCCUGGGUGUAUUUUCUAACAGUCCAAUGGACAAAAUUAUAUUUGUAUACUUUCUUUUCAGGAAAAAGUUAUUCUCAUCCCUAGGUUUCAUGCAAUAGCUCAUUCCAUCCUUAUUUUUUAAAUAAUAGACCAAAACAUUCUUCCGUUAACUCACUGUUAGUUGAAUGUCGUUUGUUAGUUAUUCAUUAAGAGUAAAAAAUGAUUUUCUAUCAAAGAGAAAAUUAGAAAAAUAAAUAAAAGUUGACAUAUAACUAAAAAUGAUUUUAUCUAAUCCCACUAAAUAAGAAAUACCAAAAAAGAUGAAAAUUUUAUAUUUCAAGCAGUUCUUUUUUCACUUAUUUCUAUUUUGGCGGUAUGAAAGCCCUAUAAACCCUAGAUCUAAGUACCAAAAAUAUUGCAAUUUUCUUAUUCAUAUAAGUAUACUCUCUAAUUGCACUAUAAAAUGACUUGAAUUGAAUUGAAGAUAAAGAAUAUAUUCAGCACAUACAAAGCACAUAAAAAUUGGUGGCAUUUUUGAGUUUUUCUUCCAAUGAUUUAAAUAUAUUAUUUUAAUUACAGUUUGUUCCUUAUGACAAUUAUUAAAUGGCUAUAUCAAACUAUAUCAUCGUUGAUUUCAUUUAAAAAAAAAAGUUAAUGAAUUUUGCAUACUUUGUAGUGUUAUUUAAUUGUGUAAAAAAAUUAUUUUAAUAUAGUUUGUAUCACUUUAAUGAAAAAUUCUAUUUUGCCCUCAAUGAAUUACUAGUUAACAGUUUUACACUAACGGUGAAUUAACAUAAGGAUAUUUUAGGCUAUUGUUUGAAAAGGAGGGAUAAAAUGGGCUAUUACAUUAAACUCUAAGGAUGAAAAAUGCUUUUUCCCCUUUCUUAUCAAUCAACUAACUGAUAAAAGUCAAAACUCAUAUUUUUUUUUCCUUGUUUCAAUCCCCUCUCAAUCAAAAAAGUUUCAUUGUCUAAGCAAUGAGGAAUAUGGCUAGAAAGAUUGUUAUUAGAAAGAUUUAUCAAUAGUAAUUGGUUCACAAUUGAACCGUUUUAGAUUAUUGUGAGUCAAUAUAGGUCCUGUUUGGAAUUGAAGUGUUGCAGCUCUUAAGUUAUAGAUGCUUUGGAAAAAAAACUAAAAUUAUGAAAUAAGAGUUAAUAAUAUAUAAUAAAUAUAAAUUUUAAAUAAUAAUUGUGACAAAAUUAUUAAAAAUAUAAUAGAUUUUUGAUAAUACAAGUAAAAAAAUCAUAACAACAUAGCUUGCAAGCUACAACAGUUAGUGUUUAACAAAUACUUUAAUACUGUGGCUUUUAAGUUACAGCUGUUCAAUACCUCAAUUCCAAACGCACCUAUAAAAUGGCUUGCUUCAAAAGUCUAUCAACCCAACUUGGAAUGCUCUCAUUCAAGUGGCUAUAACUAAGAUAAAACUUCGCUAAGGAAGAGUAAUUAAAAAAUGUAACUUUAACAUGUCCAUAUAGCAUUUUUGUUUACAAGUGAAUUUGUGUGAUAGAGAGAGGAUGUAAGCAAGAUAGUAAAGUCCUAAAUAUAUUAUUGUGUAUAAUGUCUAAAAUUUAAAGAGAAUCAAGCUGAUAAAACUCCAUUGAAAUUAGACCUUCAAGAAUACGGUUCUUGGGCAUUAUAAAAUGUUGUAAUGUUGAGAGAUUACCCAACCAUUAUGGAAUCCUACCAAGAUGAUUGUUACCACUAAGAUACAAUCCUUCUAGUGAACAACAAUCAGAUAAAUUUUUUGGGGAUCUCUCUUACAAAGUGAUUACCAUCCAAUCGCAAUUUUGAAUGAAAAUAAAUUUUUUUUAUUGGGAGUUUAACCUUAACAUUAAAUUUAGACAAUGAAUUUUAACUUUCUACAGUUAUUAAGCAGAUUACGGACAUUUGAGGAAUUUGAAAACAUUUCAUCCAUCGAAAGUUAAAAUUAGAGAUGGAAGAUAGGUGCUACAGCUAAUGGGAACAUUACUUCCUGUCCCUCAUCACACUUUAUUUUGGGUCUAAUAAUUUUACGGUAGCAUUGACCACUGCUCAAGGUAAGUAAAACUUACAAAUGUGUGGCAAAAUAAAUAAUUAAGUACAUAAACUGUUAACCAAUUUUCUUGAUAUAUACAGCUAAAGUAGUUGUAUAUUAGUGUCCUGAAACAUGUUUAUUAUGAUAGACACCUCCACCGUACCUCAAACAAAUCUGUCAUUAUUAGUGUCCUGAAACAUGUUUCGGCCGUCAAAGUCAUGAGAGGGUUGAUGACGCUACUACGUAUGAUGACACACCAGCCGACAGUGUAGUAACAGCUCAAAAACAAAAUCUACCAAAAUCAACGGAAGUUAAUAAAAAAAUAUUUUAUUAAUAAAAAAACUUAUUAUUUGUGGAGAUAUGUGUAUUUGAGUCUGUGGACUGAAAUGGAAAAUAUGAAGAAGUUCAGAGUCGUUGUGCAGAUUGACUUCAGUUGAGCGGGUCUAAUAGAUAUUUUAUGCUGACGUGGCACGAAUUAGUUAUAAUCUGUUAUAACGAUUCCAGAAAUAUCGGUAUAAAUAGAAGUUGAUGAGCAGUGCCUGUUGUACGAUCCUUUUCUUCUUCAGCAGUUCGUCAAUUUGCAUAGAAUCUGUUUCACUUAUGUUUGAUUAGUUGUUGAUCGAUAACGAGAGUAAAUUUUUCCUUCAAAUCUUGCUGGUUCGUGCCCCUGUUUCAGUUUUGGGUUUUUUUUUUUUUUUAGUUCUGGUUUCUUAAUUCAAUUGAAUUUCUUGGUGCUUAAUUCAUCAAGAUUCAGUGGAAUUGACUUGAAAAGGACUCAAUAGACUCAACAUUAUUUAACGACACUCGGACCGUGGGGUACCGUAAUCAUAAUAUUAAAAGAUUUAAAAUUUUAUGCAUUUAUUAAUUGUUAUAAUCUAAAAAAAAAUUAAUUAAUUCAGGUCAAUCUGAGUUGGUGCAUCUGCAGAGCCUUUUUUUUUUUUCCCCUUAUUGACCAUAACUUUCGACUUAUUAAUAGUUAUAUCAAAGGGUGUGGGUGUUUUACCUCAUCAUGUCUUCAAGCGGAAGAUGAAGACUAUGCAAGUGAAUACAGUGCAUUUCAACAUAGCAUAUUUAACCGUUUUAACAGUUAUUUGGACCGUCUUCAGAGCUAACAUCAACAUACUCAUUCAUAUGCUUAAUAAUGAACGAAUAGUCAUGGAUCGAUGUUUUGCAGCAAGAGCAACUCGACACAAUCUGGAUUCAACCUCCUCCUUUCUAACAGGGUGAUACGCCGCGGAGGUCGUCAAGGAUUCCAAAGCCUAGCAACAAGUAUGCUGGGUACAUUUGAAUUAUGCAUGGAUGCUUGGAAGUCGAACGGUCACAUGGCUCAAGACUUAUGCAUACGUUACAUGCAACAUGCAGCACGUUGGAAGAAUGGUCAUUGGAGCAGUCUACAUGGAUCAUGGGGGGGAUUCGGUCAACAUGGGAUCACUUGCUGAUUUAAUGGAGAUUUAUCAUUUGGUUUAAUUCAUUUUCGGUUGUUUAGUUAAGCUAAAAGAAUAAGUUAAGUUGUUAGCUUAGGACCUGCCUACAAUCUCGAGUGAUAGUUAGAUUGUUUGGCUAAGUUGUUUUAAGUAUAAAUAAGCUCCAACGGACUUGAAUAAAGGGCAUUGACUAUUAUCCAAAAAUCAAAUAUCUUGUGGUCUUAUUUCUCACCCUAAGUAGAAAUAUAUUCAACCACUUACGCUUUGACUGGGACCCCUAUCAGUGGUAUCAGAGCGAGGUUACUAUGUCAACCAACAAGGAACGCAUAGAGCGUGUGGAAGCCGAGAUCGGAAGCUUGCAAGAUGGAAUGAAGCGUAUGGAACUAGGGCUUACUGACAGAUUGCACCGCCUAGAAGAAACAAUGAGCAAACUGGUAGAUUCACUUCCAACUUCAAAAGGGAUGCCAAGUCACAACAAUUCUGAUCACGUUGGAUCCUCACAGCCUAGCCGUGGAGAUAGUGAAGGGAGCCGCCAUCAGCUAGCAUCAAGACUUACCAAACUGGAGUGUCCACGAUAUUCCGGCGACGACCCAACGGAGUGGUAUAAUAGGAUCAUGCAAUUUUUCGAGUACCAGAAAGCAACCAAUGAACAGAAAGUCUCCUUAGCUUCUUUUCACCUCGAAGGAGAGGCCAACCAAUGGUGGCAGUAGAUGCGACGAACUUAUCAAGAAGACGAAAAAAUAGUAACGUGGGAAAUUUUUGUGGAGGAGCUUUGGGCACGGUUUGGCCCUACUGAGUGCGAAGAUUAUGAUGAGGCGUUGUCCAGGGUUAAGCAGACAGGGUCACUACGUGAUUAUCAGAGGGAAUUCGAAAGGCUUGGGAACUGGGUACGAGGCUGGACGCAAAAGGCCUUGGUCGGGACCUUUAUGGGAGGAUUGAAGCCGGCAAUCUCAGAGGAAAUUCGGAUGUUUCGGCCCAAAACUUUAAAAGAAGCUAUAAGCCUCGCACGUAUGAAGGAUGAUCAAUUAACGCGACAAAGGAAGUUGCUACGACCACAGUACCUCAACCGUACACCACCAACACCAACAAACAAUACCCGUGCCCAACCAACGAGACCCAUCAAACGGCUGACUUGGGACGAAAUGCAGCGGCAUCGAGUAAUGGGACUUUGCUUCAAUUGCAACGAUCGGUUUACAGCAGGUCAUAAGUGCACCCAACCUCAGCUAUUGCUCCUUGAAAGUGAGACAAUGAAUGAUGAAACUACAUAUGAGGGAAUUCCUGAAGUCUUAUGAACAAAACCUGACACUAAAGAGCCUACCGAUCCAAAAAUCACUUUCUAUGCCCUCACUGGAUGGGCAGCCCCAAGAACCAUGCGGGUCACGGCAACGGUAGGACCAUAUGAGAUUAUGGUUCUGAUCGAUAGCGGUUCAACUCACAAUUUCAUCAGCUCCCGAAUGGCCAACAUGUUACGGCUGCCAAUCAUUCCCACAGCAGGAUUUUUGGUGCGAGUGGCAAACGGAGAAACGCUAUCGUGCAAGGGAAAAUUCGAACGGGUUCAGGUAUUAUUACAAGAAGUUCCAUUCACUUUGACUCUUUAUUCACUUCCAAUUACAGGGUUGGAUAUGGUGCUUGGAGUCUAGUGGCUUGAGAUGCUAGGCUCAGUGGUUUGCAAUUGGAAACAACUUACCAUGGAUUUCACUUGGGAGAACAAAAGUUGCCGGUUACAAGUCAUCGGGCCUCAAUCAAUCCAAACAGCAUCCUUGACCGAAAUUACCAAAGAGCUGAGACAAGGGCAGUCCGGUUUUGCUAUUUGUUUCCAUGUGAAUGUAGAAGACUCUCUCAACACAACAACUCCAGAUAUGCAAGACUUGUUAAAGGAAUACAACACUUUAUUUCAAAAGCCAACAAAACUGCCACCUAGACGAGAAAUCGACCAUAACAUCACAUUGAAAGAGGGAACUGAGCCAGUCAACGUACGGCCAUACCGUUAUGCCUAUUUCCAGAAAGCCGAAAUUAAAAAACAAGUCCAGGAGAUGCUGAAUUCGGGACUCAUUCGGCCUAGUACCAGCCCUUUUUCAUCACCAGUACUACUUGUCAAAAAAAAAGAUGGAAGUUGGCGAUUUUGCACCGACUAUCGGUCUCUCAAUAACGCCACUGUUAAAGACCGAUUUCCAAUCCCUACAGUCGAUGACAUGCUGGACGAGUUACAUGGAGCAGCAUACUUCACUAAAUUGGACCUAAGGGCCGGAUACCAUCAGGUACGUGUAAACCCAGCCGAUAUCCACAAAACGGCUUUUCGUACAUACAAUGGACAUUACGAAUACUUAGUAAUGCCGUUUGGCUUAUGCAAUGCACCAUCGACAUUCCAGGCCAUCAUGAACUCUAUCUUCCGUCCCUAUCUCAGGAAAUUUAUCCUUGUUUUCUUUGACGAUAUAUUGAUAUACAGUCCCUCUUGGUGUAGCCACCUUACUCAUGUUAAGCAGGCAAUGGAGGUUCUUAAACAACAUCAAUUUUUUCUUAAAGCAAGCAAGUGCACUUUUGGCCAACAAGAACUCGAGUACCUUGGCCACAUAAUUACCAGCCAAGGGGUAAAAGUAGAUGAGACAAAAAUUGCGGCCAUGGUCUCCUGGCCUCAACCGAAGAACAUCUCAGAGUUACGGGGAUUCCUUGGCCUUACAGGUUACUAUAGAAAGUUCGUCCAAGGAUAUGGAGUUUUAGCUCGGCCACUCACGAAUCUUCUAAAAAAAGGACAGUUUGAAUGGAAUGCAGAAGCGGACAAAGCUUUUAUCAAUUUAAAAAAGGCAAUGACAAGUACACCCACAUUAGCCAUGCCUAAUUUUAAUGAAACUUUUAUUAUUGUGACAGAUGCAUCCGGUGACGGCAUCGGCGCAAUACUCCAGCAACAAGGGCAUCCCAUCGCAUUUAUGAGUCGUGCCUUGGGAGUCACAAAAAAAUCUUAGUCCACAUACGCAAAAGAGAUGUUGGCGAUUAUAGAAGCUAUCCGUGUGUGGCGACCUUAUCUGGUGGGACGAAAGUUUAUCAUCCAAACCGAUCAACGCAGCCUUAAGUACCUUUUGGAACAAAAAAUAACGACACCCGAAUAGCAACAGUGGCUGGCCAAAUUGAUGGGGAUUGAAUAUGAAAUCCAAUAUAGGCCCGGCCGUGAGAAUGUUGCCGCCGACGCCCUUUCACGACGACCUGACAGUUCUGCUCUUAACAGUUUAUUUGUGGCGCAGGUAUCUAUUUGGAAUGAAAUAAAAACGGCUGCCCAAGAUGAUGAUUACAUGCAGCAAAUUACACAUCAGGCUCUGACUCAACCUACUGGCCCUUAUUUCAUGCGUAACGGGCUAAUUUUCUUCAAGGGCCGAGUUGUAGUUCCUCUUCGACUCCGUCAAUCUUUAAUUUUUUAAGCCCAUGACACUAAGAUGGGAGGUCAUUCAUGAGUUCUACGUACUUACAAACGUUUGAAACAACAAUUCUAUUGGCCUUCAAUGUUUCAAACGGUUCAUGACUAUGUAGGUAAAUGCGAGAUUUGUCAAAAAACGAAAGCAUCAACCCUUAAGCCUGCGGGUCUCCUCCAGCCCUUGCCAAUUCCUUGCCAAGUGUGGGAUGAUAUCACGCUCGACUUCAUUGAAGGGCUGCCAAACUCACACGGUAAAAAUUCUAUUCUAGUGGUGGUGGAUCGGCUCAGCAAGAGUGCACACUUUAUGGCCUUGACUCACCCAUUCACAGCAAAAACAGUGGCUGAGAAGUUUAUUGAUGGAGUGGUAAAAUUACAUGGCAUGCCGAAAUCAAUAAUCAGUGACCGAGACCCUAUUUUUAUUAGCAAGUUUUGGCAGGAGUUUUUUCAUAUGUCCGGUACACAACUCAAUAUGAGUUCUGCGUACCAUCCGCAAACCGACGGUCAAACGGAAGUUAUUAAUAGAUGUCUUGAACAAUACCUGCGAAGCUUUGUUCACCAAUGGCAGAAGCAAUGGAACUCUUACCUACCUUGGGCAGAAUACUGGUACAACACAACGUACCAUGAGUCCACAAGCAUGACUCCUUUUUUGGCUUUGUAUGGGCGACAUCCACUGGUAGUACCAAUGUAUCAUGUGGAAUCUUCUCCAGUGCACAAGGUAGAUCAAGCUUUGUUGUCUAGGGAUGAGCUGCUGCGACAAUUAAAACAGAAUUUGAAAAUGGCAACCAAUCGCAUGAAACAAUUUGCGGAUACAAAAACGCGCGACGUGGAGUUUAAGGAGGGUGACAUGGUAUUCCUAAGACUUCCACCGUAUAGGCAGACUACUGUAUUCCGUCGUGCUCAUCAGAAGUUGACCAGCAAAUACUCUGGGCCAUAUCCAAUUCUGCGAAGAGUGGGACAAGUGGCUUAUGAGCUUAAACUACCGACGGGAUCUCGAGUGCAUCCGGUAUUUCAUGUGUCCUUACUCAAAAAAUACGUUGGUGAGAUGCCUCAAUUCAGUGCAGAUCUUCCAUAUGUCAAUGACGACGGAGUACUCGUUUUAGAACCGGACAAAAUUAUUGAUGUUCGUUGGCUUAAAAGAGGUGGCAAGUUGGUGGAACAAAGUCUUGUCCGUUGGAAACGCCUUCCACAUGAGGACGCAACAUGGGAAGAUUCAGAGUUCCUGGCAAAGCAAUUCCCUCACCUGACCCUUGAGGACAAGGGUCCUCUUCGUGGAGGCGGUAUUGAUACACCGCGGAGGUCGUCAAGGAUUCCAAAGCCUAGCAACAAGUAUGCUGGGUACAUUUGAAUUAUGCAUGGAUGCUUGGAAGUCGAACGGUCACAUGGCUCAAGACUUAUACGUUACAUGCAACAUGCAGCACCUUGGAAGAAUGGUCGUUGGAGCAGUCUACAUGGAUCAUGGGGGGGAUUCGGUCAACAUGGGAUCACUUGCUGAUUUAAUGGAGAUUUAUCAUUUGGUUUAAUUCAUUUUCGGUUGUUUAGUUAAGCUAAAAGAAUAAGUCAAGUUGUUAGCUUAGGACCUGCCUACAAUCUCGAGUGAUAGUUAGAUUGUUUGGCUAAGUUGUUUUAAGUAUAAAUAAGCUCCAACGGACUUGAAUAAAGGGUAUUGACUAUUAUCCAAAAAUCAAAUAUCUUGUGGUCUUAUUUCUCACCCUAAGUAGAAAUAUAUUCAAUCACUUACGCUUUGACUGGGACCCCUAUCACAGGGGAUUUCGAUUUGAGUUACUUUGUGCUCAAGCAAAUUCACAUCAUAGUUUUGAUUCUUUAGAUAUGAAUUCAUCACAUUACAUAUAUCAGAUUAAGUGUAACAAAAUUUUUAAUUUACUGCGAAAAGAAUAUGCACUAAACAAUGAUUUCAAGACGAUUUGACUACCAAAAGCAGCUGUCAGAGUGCACUAAAAAUUUCUGUAGGAUAUUUUGUAGCUGUUUAAUAUGUUAUGAUGGGCAUAUAAUUCUCAAAUUUUGAUGCCUCUCAGCGAAAAAUAUAUCAAAGUUUAGAUUAUGUGUUCGAGCUUUAAUAAAUGGUCGGAAAAAAAGCUGCUGUCAGAGUGCACUGAGUGAAUAAUAAUAACGACAAUAAUAAUAAACUAAAAAACAGAAUUAAUUACUAUUGAAUGGUCGGAAAAAAAUUUGAAAACGUGUGAACUCCAAUAAUCACCCCACAAAUUCAGUGGCGAAUUUUGGAGAGGGCAAGGCCGGGCUUCUCAGAAAAAAAUUUAUUUAGUUACAAAAUUAUCUUUAUUGAAACCUAUAUAAAUUUUUUUUUAUAUUAAUUAGUUAUGUUACCUCUUCAAUUAUCAUCAAAUUUUUGUCUGUUCAUCAUUUGGUGAAUAAAUGUGUGUCUAAAUAAUUUCAAAUAACAUUUAGAACAAAUAUUUUGAGAGGUAAAGUUUAUUUUGUCUCCCAUUAUUAGGUGCAUCUAUAAUUUCUUAUUUACAAAAUUAUAUUGUACGAUAAAAAUUUAUUGAAUUAGGGGGAAAAAAAAAGUUCAGCUCACUCAAAAACAAAAAAUGGUAUUAACUUCGCCACCGCACAAAUCUAGAAUAAUAAUUAUUCCUUAUCAUGCUGGGGAUCCUUUACUUUCUAGCCGUAUUGACAGCACCAGGUAAAGCUUUGUAAAAUAAUAAGUUACUCAUUAGUGGUUUUUAAUCUUUUUAAUUCUUUUUACCGCACACCUGAUCAAGAAUUUUAUUUUGUUAACUAAUCAAUUGCAAAGCAUAUAUAAGUGUUGAACGGUACGCAAGAUUGGAAAAAAAAAUCUUAAAAAACGUGUGGAUUCGGGUGGCCACACCAGAAAUCUAUUACAAUAAUUAGCUUUGAUGCUGGGAAUCUUUUAAUUUCUGGCCGUAUUGAAAUUUUUAAAAUAACAAGUUCCCCUUCUCGUUUUUUUUUUUAUAAAUAUAUAAGCUUAUAACAAUUUUAGAAUAAUGACUCAUUUGUAGAAGAAUUUAUGAUUUCCCAUUAAUAUUAAUAUUGAAGUGGGGUGGGUCAAAUCUCAAUUGCUUGAAGAAUUUAUUUAUUAUUAUUAAUAUUAUUAGUAUUGAAGUGGGGUAGGGAACGGACCAGCAGUUCACUCAAUUCGUGGCGAAUUAAAUAUUACCAUCCAAGGUAGGAUUGUGGAAAAUUAAAGCAAAAUGACAAGUAUGGAAAGGAAGGCUGAAAGUAAGGCAUGACGAAAGGCUUUGAGAAGGCUGAAGACUUACCAAAGAAGUCAACUGAAAACUAGCUGGGGCCUGAGUGUAUAAAUUGUUAGAUGCGUUUGUUAUAAAUAACAUAGAGCCCUUUUGUUAUUUAUAGUUAUAGAGAAAGAGAGAAUGUGUGUCUUUUAAGAGUUAGAGAUAUAGCUAGAAUGGGCGGCUCAAAAUCCAAAAUGGUGACAAUGUUAGUUCUCGUAUUGGUAAUAUUUUGGGUGGGGGGGGGGGGGGGGGGGGGGGGGGGUUGUGAGGGAAGGAAGGUCCACAGGCCGAGUGGUACAACUACACCUUGGCCUUACUAGGAAUAUCGAUCUGGGAGAGUGGUAUCUGAAUGCUUCUCUAUUUACUUCCUUUCAACAACUUGGUAACAAAAUAGCCGGCUGCAUGCGUUGAGAAUGAAGGUCCUUCAUUUAAUUUAAUUUACUUAAUUUCUCCCUCCCAAUUAAUGUCUAAUGGAGCUCAUUCUUUGGUUUUACUUGCAGGUCUAGAAGCAGGUGUCAUCUAACAGCUGCUUUGAUAAUUUCCCACCCCUUCAUCUUUGAUGGAAAGAUGAAAUAAAAACAAAAUGGUGAAAAUGGUAUUGGUACCUGAGGCUAUGUAAUCUAAUUCAACAACUGCACCAUCAAAACGAUUACAUAAGUCCCAGAAGAAUCAAACAUUAGUUUGCAAAAUAUCAAUUGCUGGAGGUUAGAUUCUAACUUCCGCUCUUGAUUUUUAUGGGCAUGUUGUAUUGUACUUGCAUACGAAAAUCAUAUUUUAGUUUACUUACACUCAAUGCUUGGAUUAAAGUUUCAGGUGGGGAAAAUUGAAGGAGACUAAAAUGACUCAAAAAAAUAGUUGAAUGAGUGAGGGUUUUGUCUUCAUUUGAGGAGCUCUUUAUAAAUUUUAGGAUUUUUUUUCCCGAGAAAAUUUAUGCCAACUUAUUCUUUGCUUCUUUUCUGAAGGGACAAAUGCAACUGAAAGUGUAUUCUUGAAUUCUCCAGGAUAAGAGACAUAUGUUUAAUUAGAUUCUCGAGCCUUCAAAACAAUAUAAAAUUUUAUAUAUCUGAGCAUGAUGGUGUUUGACAUGACUUAAAAUUGUUUAAUUUACUCUCACGUACAAGAAUGCCUAGUUAUAUUGUCGCUCAGAGUCCGAGGUUAAUCCAUAAAGAAAUGAUUUAAUUUGUUUAUUUAAGAUUAUCCCAAAAAAUAAAAAUAAAAUUUAAAUAUAUGUAAUUUAAUUUGAAAAAAGUUAUGAAAUUAAAUUAUUUAGAGUCAUGGAUCCACUCUUAGUAAUAAAUACAAUUUAAUAAAUUCUUUUUAUUUUUAUUUUAUUGCCCAAAAGAUUAAUUAUAUAAAUUAUAAUUAUUUUUCCAUUAAUUUUAUUAUGGAUUAAGUACUUAAUGUGCCAAAACUUAACUUGUCUACAAUAUGUCAAAAUACCAUUUUACCAUACUUUAUGCUAAGAUAUUAAGAAUUCAUGUGCCAAACUCCCAUGUUUGUCUACAAUAAAUCCAAAUUUCAAAACAUAAAAUAUGGAUCAAAUUAAAUAAAAAAUAAUUUAAUUUAUAUAAUUAAAAAUAGAAUUUGAUUAAAUCAUAUUUUUCUACUUAGAGUUUUACCUCACCCUAACUAUUAGUAUUUAGCUAAACAUAUUUGAAAUAAAUGAAAUUAUUAAAAUUGAAAAAUACAUAAUUAAAAAAAUGGUAUUUGAAAAUUAGAAAUAAAACUAAUUUUAUUUAUUGAAAAUGUAUUACAAAGAGAGAUGAGAAGAAGAAUUUGAGGGAAAAGAAGAGAAGAAAAUGUGUGGAGAGGUGUGUGAAAUUAUAUUGUAAAGAUGUUACACAAACAAAUGAAUAAAAAAAAACUAAAUGAAAAUUACACAAAUUAAAAAGAAAAUGAAAAUUAAAUAAAAAAGAUAAAUGUGUAAGAAAAAAAUGCGCAAUAAAAAUAAAUAAACUGAAAAGUAAUUAACUAAAAUUAAAAUAACUAAAUAGGCGGUAAACAAAGUAAAUGCCAAAAAUAAAAUAAGUGCGAAAAUUAAAUUACAGAAAUUAAAAGAAGAAAGAAAGAAAAAAAUAAUUAUCUCAAAGUGUAAACUCUUUUUCUUUUUCUUUUCAAAUUUUAAAUAUUACCAGCCAAUUAAGUGAUUAAUUCAAAUUAUUAGGCUUUAAUAGUAAUUUUUAAAAUCAAUAUUCAGUUUAUUGAGUCCAAAUAAGGUCCAAAGAAGUUCAAGUUGUUGGUCUAAAAUUGAGAAUUUUGGGAAAUAUUGGCAACGGACCUAUUCAAAAAGCUCUAUAAUUUUGUGGUCAAACUGCAAUUAUGAGAAGAAUGAUCCAAAAAUUAGAAUUUUUGGGGUGAGUGAGAUUUAGAAAGAUUUUGUGGAUAUAACAUAAUUUAAGAAAGAAAAAGGAGGUAAAUGAAAAUUUACACAAAAAGUAUAAAAAGAAAGAAAAAAGAAAACAAAAUAAAUACCUCUCCCAGCAAUGGCGGUAAAAACUUAACACGACUUAAAAGCAUUUAAUUUACUCUAAAGUAUAAGAGUACCUAGUUAUAUUAUAUCGCGAGAAGUCCGAGAUCGAUCUACAGAAAAAUGAUUUAAUUUAUUUAUUUAAGUUUAUCUAAAAAAUAAAAAUAAAAUUAAAUACAUGCAAUUUAAUUUGAGAAAAACUAUGAAAUUGAAGUAGUUAGGAUUAUGGAUCUACUCCUAGUAAUAAAUGUAAUUUAAUAAAUUCUUUUUAUUUUUAUUUUAUUGACCAAAAGAUUACUUGUAUAAAUUACAAUUAUUUUCCCAUUAAUUUUAUUAUGGAUUAAGUACUUAAUGUGCCAAAGCUUAACUUGUCUACAAUAAGUCAAAAUACUAUUUUACCAUACUUUAUACUAAGAUAUUAACAAUUCAUUGUGCCAAACUCCCAUGUUUGUCUACAAUAAAUCAAAAUUUCAAAAUAUAAAAUAUAGAUAAAAUUAAAUAAAAAAUAAUUUAAUUUAUAUAAUUAAAAAUAGAAUUUGAUUAAAUCAUAUUUUUCUACUCAGAGUUUUACCUCACCCUAACUAUUAGUAUUUAGCUAAACCUAUUUGAAGUAAAUGAAAUUAUUAAAAUUGAAAAAUACAUAAUUAAAAAAAUAGUAUUUGAAAAUUAGAAAUAAAACUAAUUUUAUUUAUUGAAAAUAUACUACAAAAAGAGAUGAGAAGAAAAAGUUGAGGGGAAUGAAGAGAAAAUAAGGUGUGGAGAGGUGUGUUCCUCCCCCCACUUCUCUAUUUAUACUAAUACAUGAUUAAUCUAUACCACACAAAUAAAUAAAACUAAUUACAUCUUAGGCAUACAUUUGUCCCACUAACAAAAUAUAAACCUAAGUUAAUCCACUUAAGCACAUCCAACACAUUUCACUAACAAUUACCACACCUAACAUGAUAAAAACUUAUAAUUUCACAAUUACCACAUUUACUUUUACAACAAAAACCACGAAUCUUCUCGACAAUAACCUAAUUUCUCGGACUUUCGGAAUCUAAAAAUUUAAAUAAUAUUAAAUUUAUCUAAUAUAAUUAAAUGUAUUAAAUAAAAUAAUGUUUCAUUUUAUAUUUACCCUCCUUUUAUUAAAUUUACUAUAAUUAUAUUUAAUAAAAUAAAUAAUAUUAUAUAUUUAAAUAAUAUUAGUUAUAUUUAACUAAAUUAAAGCAAAAUGACAAGUAUGGAAAGGAAGGCUGAAAGGAAGGCAUGACAAAAGGCUUUGAGAAGGCUGAAGACUACCAAAGAAGUCAACUGAAAGCUAGCGGGGGCGUGAGUGUAUAAAUUGUUAGAUGUGUUUGUUAUAAAUAACAUAGAGCCCUUUUGUUAUUUAUAAUUAUAGAGAAAGAGAAUGUGUGUUUUUUAAUAGUUAGAGAUAUAGCUAGAAUGGGUGGCACAAAAUCCAAAAUGGUGACAAUGUUAGUUCUCGUAUUGAUAGGGGGGGGGGGAGAGGUCGAGUGAGGGAUGUUUGGAGCAUGAGAAAUUUGAUCUUUUGCGGCUGGAUGUUUGGAGCAUGAGAAAUUUGAUCUUUUGCGGCUUAAACAUUUCUUCAAUUCCCCUUAUACACUUCAAAACUGGGUAGGUGAACAAAGGGAAAGGGUUGAGUGCAGCAACUCCACAGGCCAAGUGGUACAACUACACCAUGGCCUUACUAGGAAUAUUGAUCUGGGAGAGUGGUAUCUGAAUGCUUCUCUAUUUACUUCCUUUCAACAAUUUGGUAACAAAAUAGCCGGCUGCAUGCGUUGAGAAUGAAGGUCCUUCAUUUAAUUUAAUUUACUUAAUUUCUCCCUCCCAAUUAAUGUCUAAUGGAGCUCAUUCUUUUGUUUUAUUUGCAGGUCUAGAAGCAGGUGUCAUCUAACAGUUGAUUUGAUAAUUUCCCACCCCUUCAUCUUUGAUGAAAAGAUGAAAUAAAAACAAAAUGGUGAAAAUGGUAUUGGUACCUGAGGCUAUGUAAUCUAAUUCAAAAACUGCACCAUCAAAACGAUUACAUAAGUCCCAGAAGAAUCAAACAUUAGUUUGCAAAAUAUCAAUUGCUGGAGGUUUGAUUCUAACUUCUGCUCUUCAUUUUUAUGGGCAUAUUGUGUUGUACUUGCAUCCGAAAAUCAUAUUUUAGUUUACUUACACUCAACGCUUGGAUUAAAGUUUUAGGGGGGGCAUUGAAGAAGACUAAAAUGACACAAAAAAAGAGUUGAGCGAGUGCGGGUUUUGUCUUCAUUUAAGGAGCUCUUUGUAAAUUUUAGGAUUUUUUUCCUAAGAAAAUUUAUGCCAACUCAUUCUUUGCUUCUUUUCUGAACGGACAGAUGCAACCGAAAGUAUAUUCUUGAAUUCUUUAGGAUGAGAGACAUACGUUUAGAUUCAUCGAGCCUUUAAAACAAUAUCAAAUUUUAGAUUGCUGAAAUUUUAUAUAUCUGAGUAUGAUGGUGUUCCAAUUAUAAGCUCCAGGGUGCAACUUCACUAAGGUUUAGAAUACCUUCCUAUAGAAUUGAGAAAUCUCCAUUGGCAUAAAUAUCCUUUGAAAAUAUUGCCAUCAGAUGUUGAAUUGGAGAACCUGAUUGAACUCAGCUUGCCUUGUAGUAAGGUUAAGCAAAUUUGGAAAAGAGAAAAGGUAUAAUGUAUUACUAUUACCAAAGUAUCUAUUUUUCUUUCUUUAAGUAUUUAUAAUGAAUAACUUUGAAAUUGAAUGAUGCUCAUUUAGUAUAGUUGUGUAUCUUUGGUUAUAGGAAGCUGUCAAGUUAAAAUCUAUAGAUCUUCACCACCCUCUGUAUCUCAAUAGGAUCCCAAAAAUACUAAAUCUUAAAAAAAUAAAUCUUUCAAAAUGUGAAAGCAUGCUUACGUUACCCGCGUAUAUCCACAAUUUCAACUAGCUCAGUAUGUUGUGUUUCAUGGGAUGCAAAAUUCAUUUUGUUUCUCAUGAAAGGAUUGACUUGUUCGGAUGUAUUAGGGUUAAUAAACCAACUAAUCCCAUAAUUUGUUGAUGUCGGGUCCUAACAAAUUACUGCAGUAUAUUGUAGAUCAAUACACUAUUUGAAAACGUAUUUGAUCCACACAGUGAAUGUUUGAGGGUGCAUUUCUCGCGAACCAGCCAUACCCUAAACGAGGAGCCGGUCUCCUUGUAAUUGAGCAGGCAGGUGAAGUCUGGUAGCAAAUAUCCAAGAGCAGGAAUUCUAUGCUCAAUCACAAGGACAUCCUCUUUUGGACUAUAAUUCGAACAAGGUUCCUGCUAGGAGCCGAGAGCCUUUCCUGCUGGAGAGCGGGGUCGGCAGGCCUAGUCUAUAACGGUUAGCGAGACGUGCACUCCUAUUCGAGAAUCUAGGCACGAAACCAACUCAGCUGCAACUACGACAUUCAGGCAUCCACUUCCGUAAGCUGAGGGAGGUGAUGGACGUGGAUCGUAGGGCGUCGGAUUUGUAAGACGGCUAUAAAACGGUAAUCAACGAAGGUAAAGGGGUUAGACACUUUUACACUAGAACUUAAGAAAUAAGACCAUUUACUAAAAAAGGAGAGAAACACUCAUAGGUGUUCCACUGCCUAAGAGAUCAUGAGAGAGCCACGAGAUCAGUGGCCGAGUUUCCCAAAAAGUAAACCUAAAUUUCUGACUUGAGCGUAGGAGGAUUUUUCCGGCGUGCUCUGACAAGUUUUUGUGUGCGCAUGAGUCUGCUAAGUCAUACAAGGCAUAGCUUUGCUCGGUUAGAAGAGUUACGUGAAGUAUCCUAGGUUGGUCGUGAGUUCGGGAGUUAAGGAGAGAUCCUGGUUGCAGACGAGCAGACACCAGAAUCUCGCAUCAACAGUGAAGAUGAUUCAAUAUUAAGCAUGUCAUAUAAUCUAGAAGUGGAUAUUGGACCAAUUUGAUGAUAAUGAAUUUCUUUCAAUCUCAAUCUUUUUCUUUUUAGCAACAUGACUAGUAAUUGUGCAAAUUUAAACUCUGAGAAUGAUUUCUCAAUCGGUUUCUAAAAUGAUGACCAUGCAUGUAUACGUGUGUGUGUGUAGAGAGAGAGAGAGAGAGAUCACACGUGUGUGAUUUCCUUUUGCCAAUAGGAUAUGCAGAGAGCUUGAUCUUACCCAAUAGCGAAACAAACUUCCUAAUAAGUGAAGGUAUAGUAUAAAUACUUAUACUUUCAUGUUAUUUUGUUCAUCGGUAGCUUGAUUAUUUUAUAUGCGUCUUCGAUUUUAAUUUUCUUUCCCUAUAAUCGCUAUUAUCUUUGAACUGGUCAUGAUUUGCCUAUUAGAUUUCUCAUGUUGUUUUGAGGUGCAAUGGAUUUUGAAUUUAGUGACGAGCAGUGGAAGCCAGAAGGCAAAUUAUGAAAAUGGAUAAAGAUCUAUAAUUAGCUGUUAUGGGAUGUCACAUAUCAUAUUGAUGGUAACAUUAUAUAUAUGUACAUAUAAUUAAUGGGGUUGGCUCACGAGCCCAUUAAUAAUCGUAUAUUAGCUUAUAUACUUCAAACAAUGUACUAUGAAGUAAUUUCACAAAUACUUGUUAGCUUAUGUGGAGCUUUAUUGAAUCAGUAGUUCACAGUUCAAUAAAAUGCAGGUUUGCUAUUUGAAGUACAUGGUCAUGGUGCGUACAUUCUUCAUAAGGCUAACUACUAAUUUAUCAUUGAAACUUGAAAAAUGUGAUAGAGAGAUGUAGAUAACAGCCGCAAAACACUGAGAUUGAAAAUCAGGGCUACUAAAUUCUAUUAAAAGCCCUUAAAAUAGACAGCGAUCAUCCUAAAAUAUUAAUUGCAAAGUUAUGCACUAAUAGAACUAUUGACUACUUAUCUUUAGCAGAAGGUAUAUUUUUAACUACAGCUUUCUGCUUUGUUCUAAGAACUAGGCAAAAGUGGUAUAUCUUCAAUCCAAUCAACAUAUAUACCACUUAUUUUCCCCUUCACUUCUGUCCAUUUUGAUUUGCACUUCAUAUCCUGCACUUGCUGCUUAGAAAUAGUCUUAGUCUGGACAUUGAAAGUAGAAAAAGUACUUGAAACAAUCAUUGGCACAGCCCGAGAUUCCAUUGAAUCGUGGACUCCAAGCUUUCAUAGUUCUAUAAAGAAAAUGACAAAACAUCAUACAACUGGCAUUCGGCUUUUAACAUUUGCACAACCUGAGCGCGUUAGCAAGCCCCUUAUUGCGUUCCCAUUGAAUAGACCUACUUCUGUUAUCCACAGAAGAUCCACCUCUCAAAAUGUUUAUCACCAGGCUAUUCUUAAACUGAGCCUAAACUGAGUAGAAACUUCCGCACAUCUCUCAGCAUUUACAUGAAGAAAGCGACAACUAUCCUCAUCUCUCAGCACAUCUCUCAGCAUUCUACAAAGUUGCAUUUCACUAAGCAAUCUAUCCUCUCCAUUCCUAGCAAAGUGACAUUGAUUCCCGUAUUUGUAAUCGCCUAACUUGGGUUUUGGGCAUAGCGUGGUCUUAAAAUUACCACCCAAUACUUUGUUCAGUGCCACUGGCAUCCACAAGCUCUAGCCUUGUUAGCUGAAUCAUAUUCAAUAGGACAGUGAGACAGCAUUUCACUGACAUAUUCAAUUUGACUACUUAUAUUGACGCAAAUAUUAGAAUUUGAAAUCACUUCUUUUAUUGGAAUAUUAUAUUAAAAUGACCCCAAAUGAAAGUUCUUGAAUGGAAAUGAUUUUUAUUUAAUUUUCCAACAGAUUCAAGAAAACCCAGAGAACAUUAAUUUACACAGUAAUAUGAUUAAGAGCUGAGAACGUACAUGUAGUAAAUGUCUAUCAAAAAACACCCAAGGGUUUCUUUAAAAUUAGAAACUAGUAAACAAAAAGAAAGAAUCAUUUUACAUUUUUAUCAACUUUGGGGUGAGUGAGGAGUGAGAAAUUGAAACCCUAAAGUAAUGACAACAGUAAGAUUCAGUAUGAAGUGAAACCCCAAUUUGAAAUGUAGGCAUGAGUUGCUGAGUCAGUAGAUGAAGCUGUAAAUAGGCAUUCGGUUUCCUUCUUUUCGGUUUGGAGGGCCAUGGAAUAGUGUAUUGGAGUGGGCUCCAAGUAAUAGCCUCUAUCACUGGAAUGACACAUCUAUAAAAUGUGAUACAUGGGGAAGGAUUGGACAUUAUAUUCUUAGAUUAGCGCCUUAUUUAGGGUGUAUAUUAAGCAGAUUAUAUAUUACAUGGAGAUGGAGUUUAUGAAAUAGAUUAAAAAGAAAAGGAAAUUUUGGUGCCUAAAGUUUGCCACUUGGAAUAUUUCGGUGUCUAAAAAUUCACUCACCACUUAUUUCAUGUUUGAUUAUAUGUUGAAAAGAUAUUAAAAUAGUAUAAUGCUAUUAAGGCUUAACGUAUAUUUUUUAUUAGUAGAGUGUAGAAUUUUUAAGAAAUAAAUUAUUAAAUUAUUAUAACUAACAUAUUAUUUUAAAGUUGUGUUAUGAAAAAAAUGAAAUAAAAAUGUACAGUAAAUAAGAAUAUUUUAAAACUUUUAUCUUUUUAAAAUUAUUUUUUAACAUAAGGUGAACUAUUUUUUUUUUAAAUCACAUAUUCUAGUUAAAAUCAAAUAUGUAUUUAUAUGAAGCUUGUAAAUUUUUUUUUUAGUACUGAUAUUUGGAUAUUACCAAUAAAAAAAAAGGUAAUGUGCAUGCUGAAUUAUUUUUGUAGCACACAAAAGGACAACACCGUUUAUGUUAUCAUACUAUCACUUCUGUUAUGAUAAUAUUUUUUUGUGGCCAAAUAUCUUCUUUUUUUUUUUAAGUAAAAGUGUGGACAAAAUGCAAAUCAGUUUUUAAUCCUCAAUCUCUCCCAAAAUAUAAAUUCGUAGGUACAUGGGUUGUUAAAACUAUAGCUGACAAAAAGUUACUAACAAAAACAGAAUGUCCAUUUUAUAACUUUCUUAAAAAACUUUCCUUAACUUUUUUAAAAAGUUACCAAUAAAAAGUUAUUUCUAAUUUUUAUUUUGUUAUAAUUUUUAUAACAAAAUUCGUAGUUCGUAGUUAACUAAACUCUUCUUAUUCCCUUUCUCAACUGCCAUACCCUAACCUUGUUCCCCACACUAAACCACGCUCAAUUAAGGCCAUCAGAUUCUCCCGGGCCCACAUUAAUCCAACUGCUCACAGAGACCGACAGCCUCUCUAUCUCCAUUUCAAGCUCCCUCUUCAACUGGCUUCUGCUACCGUCCUACUCUUUCUCGGCUUCGGAGUCCGUAUUUGCUCGGCCUGUCCCACGAAGCUCCCUCUCACUCCAAUUGUCGCCCCACAAGACCAAUUGCUUAAUCAAGACACCGAACAAGAAAAGGAUGAGAAGUUGAAACAAGAAUUUGAGAAUUGGAAAUAAAAAACGUACGCAUUGACCGUGCCUUUGAGAGUCGUUUCUCUUCAGAACUCAGUGCCUCAAUCUUGGGUUAAGGAUUUUAUGCGAAGUCAGGGAAAGAGAUUGAAGUUUCAGAUGAAUUUGUGUGCUAGCAUUGAUGGGAUCUUUAACAAUUUAUCUGUGCCCUUUAACAAAGUUAAGGCUAAGUCAGCUUCUUAUAUGGCUGCUGAUUUGGUUAGUGUUGGUGAUUCAUGGCUUAGUUUUGCCAUUAAAAAGAGAUUGAUUGAGCCAAUGGCUGGAGCUGAAGACCAAGAUUGGUUCAAAUGCUUAAGUCACAAAUGGAAGGUAACAUCUUUGUCUUUGAUCCUCGAGGUAAAAUAUGGGCGGCACCGUACAGGUGGGGCACAACGGUGAUAGCCUACAAGAAAAGUAAAUUUCGAAAGCAUAAUUUGGCUCCGAUUGAGGUAAUAAUUUUCUUUAAACUCAUUUAGUUUUAUAUCAAACAAAAUCAAGACUGCCUUUCUUUUCAAUAUUUUUUAUGAUAAUAUCUUUAGAAGCAUCUCAUUGACGGGUAACAAUGGCAUCCCUGAAAGAGUCUAUAAACUCAAUGAUAUUAUCUUCUACAAAUGGUUCAUUAAACUUUGUCGUUGUACUCAAAUGUACACUCAGAUCAAUGAGAAGCUAUGCUACGUUAGCAUGUAGUGAUGGCACUUAAUAAGUGAGUUGCUAGGAUGUGAACUAGAAAAAUUAAAUAUUGUCUCCUUGGGUAUGCUAGCUGGUAAGUCAGGGUUAAUAUCAGAGCUUAAGAUAGUAUAACCGUGAGAACCUAUUGACUGCCAAUUAAAAUAUCCAUUGAAAUGUCUAGGGAGUUAUGAAGGUGGAGGUAACUUCCAAUUUCUAAGGCCACAGAGUAGACAUCAUCCAGGAUCCUAAAAUAUCCAGUUAACCUCCUGCUCGAUGCGAUUAAUAAAUUUGGUCAAUGCCACUGAAACCUGCUAACUGACGUCACAAUGCGACAUGAGCACUUCAAAAUGGGACAGAUGGUCAGUAGCACUAAAUUUUUCUUGCCUAAGAUUGAGCAAUUGGUCUAACUACUAAUCCCUAUUGUAGGUUGAUCAUUAUUUUUUCAAUUAUGUUCAGUUUGACCCAAAAAGUUGCAGAAUCUUGAGCUGAAUAUUGUCACUGAACACUGUCAAUGUUGUUUAGCAUAGCCAACUAACUUGAUGUUAAAACAAACACACAGUGUGUCUCAUGUCUCACAAUUCAAAUUAUCAUCUGUAAUGAUGGAGAAUUUUUCCAAUGUAUGAAGUAUGCUUUGAUACGUGGGUUACCUUGGAGAAGAUAUCUCAAAAUAAAGAAUAUGGGGAGAAAACAGUUCAGUAGUUUAUUAUUCUGUAGUCAAGUUUUGUCUCGAAAAUGGUCAAAAUUUAAAUGAAUAAGGACAGGGAAUCUUCAUUCUUUUUUCCCUUUUUUAUACCAAGAUAUCUCUCAACCUUUAUAUAAUCCCCACUGGAUAUCUGCUUCUAAUAAUUAAAAUAAAAAUUUCACCGCUCUAACAAUAAAAAGUAACAUCUUUAAUCAAAUAAUUUACAGUUCCUCAUCACCUUAGUGUGAGACUAUCAGUACAUUCCAAAAACUUAAUAAAACUGGUUUGAUCCUGUUUAUUGAUGUUUAAAUGUUGUUCAUUGUGACAUGUAGAAAUGAUGAGGCGAAGUUUAUUUGGACAUCAAUUAGUAAGAUCUUGUUUGAAGUUGUUUUCUGAAAUGAACUGCCCAAUGGUAGUUUUUUGGGGGCAUUUGAUGGCUCUUUUUUUCCUCAUUUUCAACAUGUGCCUGCUUGGAACAGGAAGGAUUAGGCUGCAGAGUUGUUAUAUAUUUUUAGAUGCUCUGGUCAUUGCACAAUUUGUUCACACUGGAAAUUAGAAUGAGAAAUUUGUUGAUGCUGUUUUGAGAGAUCUGCAUUCUAUGCACAAUAACGUGAUUAAUGAAAAUGCAUUGUAGGACUGGAAAGAUCUGUGGCAGCCUGAGCUCGCAGGAAGAAUUUCAAUGGUUAAUUCUCCCCGAGAGGUUAUUGGUUCAGCUUUGAAGAAUAGGGGAGCAUCAUACAAUUCAAACGAUAUUGAUUUGCAAGUUGCUGGUGGGAAGAUUGCUGUUCAGCAGAAUCUGGCAUUACUGGCAAACCAAGUACUCUUACAGAAAUGAUAUCUGGUCAUUGCAUGUUAUUGCCUGACAACUGAUUUUGUUUGUACAAGUCUGCUUCUUCAUACAUAUGAAUGCAUAUGUUAGUGUUUUCUUCUCCUUUUCAUACAUAUAAAUGCAUAUGUUAGUGUUGUCUUUUCCUUUUCAUACAUAUUAAUACAUAUGUUGGUGUUCUCUCAUGAGAUGGAUGCAAUAGAGGCUUUUGCUCCUAAAUUUAGCUGAAGAAAUGGGAAGGGAUGUGAGAUUCUGUCUCAUUAAAUUAACAAAAACCCAAAACAAUGAAAAUCCAUAAUAAUGUGGUGUGGGUAAAUUGGCUCCAUUUGGUUCGUUUCCUUAAUGUGACUGCGCGAGCAAUAGAGACUAACAAAAUGAAGUGACAACAAGAAGUCAGUGUCCUUUGAUGGAUGCAUUUUUAGGCAGAAAUAGGUUUGUAAUUGACCAAAUUUGCCUGGCAUGCCAAUUUCAAAAAAAUUAAAUUAUGUGGUUAUUGGCUGUAAUGAAGGGGGAUAGUCGGUGCAAUCAGGUGGAUCCUGGAAAGUUCAACAAAGUUUGGUAUGGCGUAGUGAAAUUGGUUUGUGCAACUCAGGAGUCUUUCAGGUGAACGAUGAUAGGUUUUGAUUUAUGAAUAUUAUAAAUCUACUGUGCAUAUUAUUCUAGCAGAAUCAUCUAUAAGUUCUAGUUAUUGAAAUUGUAUACUUUGCCCGGUUUGAGUUAAGGGCACAUGUAAUAUGAAAGAUAGUUGUCGCAUCUUUUAGGUUACCUAACAUUUGAUCAAUCCUAUUAUGGGGGCUUCAAGAUGUCUAACAAUAUGUAGAAUGCCCAUGCUCCUCCCCAUUGUUUAUCUUAUACAAUAAUUUGUUUUAGAUGCUAAUAUCUUUGUCGAUACUGGUAACAAUAUUACAAUAUCUGCCUUUAUUGGGUUUUACAUAGGUUCGACUGUUUGACAGUACACACUAUCUGAAGGCAUUUGCAAUUGGAGAUGUAUGGGUUGCUGUUGGGUGGAGUAGUGAUGUUCUUCCUGCUGUCAAACGUAUGUCUAAGGUUUUAUGAGAAACGAAAGAUGAGUGUUUGUUUGAACAAAGUUGUUGCCAAUCUUGCAGAGUUCGAAAAGAAAGAUCACGGAGCGAAUGCCACCGAUUUCUUCAUCAUUUUAGCCUCCAUAGUUGAAGUUUCCUCAUUUGAAGCUGUUUAUGCAUACGCUUUUUCCCUGCUCUAGUACAGGAAAUUGAAGAAUUAACCAGAUGUGAUAUGCUGAAAGAGGGAAGUUUUCUUCCUUGAAUGUGGCCUUUGUGAUUUGUCUUGAAGGAAUAGGAUGAUCACUGGCAAAAACCCUAUCAAGGUAGAUUUUAUGAUGUUAACAUAUUAUUAAGCAUUUUGUUACAUCAGCAAUGAUGCUUUCAUAGCAUGAAAGUGUCUAAAUUUAACUGAAUGAUCUUGAUUAAUCAAUUAUGAGUUUUAAUCGAGUAAAAACUAAAUACAAUAAUCGUUGACAAAUACUGAAAUUGGGUAAAUAUGAUCUUGAUAUUGAGAAUCUGAAAACACAACCCACACAGGGAAUCACCCUUCGCGUGGGGAUGGAGAUGUUUACUGCAGCGAUAUUGCAUAUGUCCACUGCUCUUUGGGUUAUGGUGCGACUUGCGAUUUCAAGGUUUCCCUGAAACAAUGAAAAGAUUGACGUACCCUGCAAUGAAUGAAAGCGGCUGGACUAAUUCUGAUUACCUAAUUGACUCAGGAUCGGCUGGCAAUAAUGACAGUUUAUUAACAAUGCACAGUCCCGAGUACUUUCCAGGAUCAGAUAUUACGUGGUCUAAUGUUGAUAAUAAUAGAUUAUCAAAUGACAAAUCGUUGUUCUUGGGUGUUGAUUUCAGAAAUAAAAUACGUUCUGAGAGAUGCUGGUCUACUAUUGCAAGCCCCCAGAUUUAAGAAUCUUUUGAUGAUAAUUUACCACCUGUAACUGUGCCGGAAGAUUCACCUAGCACUGAAAAAGAUGAUAAUUUAAUUGAUAUGGACAGUUUCCAUAUCACUUUUAAAUCAUCUUAUGUAAUUGUGAUGUUAGGAAGCAUUAGUGAUCUACAUGUGAACUAUUAUUGGCGCCAUUUGUGGUUUUAUUUUAUUAAAAUAUGGAUGACUUCCCGUUACUAUUUCGUUGUAGACAAUCUUAUCAAUUAACAUAUAGUUUAAAAUCAUUAUGAUCUAUUAAUUUUCAUGAUAUUUAACUGAGUUAAAACUAAGUGCAUUCAAUAAAUCUUUCUUCCUUUAAAAAACUGUUGCGCUUUAAUUUUAGUGCUUAAUAUUUACAGAACUCUGGUACAGGGAAUUCGAAAUCAAACUAGUAACUACAGAUUAUCUAAUUGCAAGUUUUUGUCCAUAGUUGCAGAUUUGUAGUGAUUAUCUAAUUGACUGAGGUGACAACAAUUUUUUUUUUAAUUUUCAAUAGCAUAAUGUGGAAUUCAAUAAUUAAAUUCUCCUUUUUAAUUUGUUUCCAGUUAAAUUAUUAAUUACUUAAACUUUGUUUUAAGUCUUUAAUUUUAUGUCUUGGCCUAUAUGCAGGGUUGGAUUCUUGAGCGUGUUGGACACGACCAACAAUGAAAUUGACAGUAAACAAACAUUACAACACGUUGAGUGUCGACUCCAGUAGCUGCCCUACAAGUCUACAACUUUACAAACAAUAAUUGAGUACACACAUUUGAUUCUCGGGACCCUCCAAUGAAUUUCUAGCCCCGUUGACUCCGCCGACAAAAGUUUUGGAAAAUAAAAAAAAUUCAUAGAAUUCCACCAAAUACAAAACGCGUGGAAUUUAAUUUUCGGCCAUGUGGACCAAAACACAAUUUAAUGAAAAAAAAGAUAAGAUUUCUAAAAUGUGUAGAAAGUGAUCCAUAUUUUACUGAAACAACUUGUUAAAUUUUUCAAGGAUUUAGAAUAUUUGAUCAUAAAUUACGCCCAUGUUAAUUUUUCCGCUAUUGACUAUCAUUUUCUAGACUCACUGUCACCUUUCUUGAUGAACGGUACUUAGUCUCUCUUCUCCUCUUAUAAAAAUUAUAUUAAUUGAUUUCUUAUUAUAAUAAAUAGUCUUUAAGAACGUAUAGAUUUAUUGUUUUCGUGACCAAAUUAUGCCUGCUUAAGGUUGAGACUAUUAAUAAAAUUAAUAUUUAAUGUUUAUGUUAAAAGAUAUAAGAUUUUAUGCAUUCAUUAAUUGUUAUUAGCUAAAGGAUUAAUUAUUUUUUCAACCCAAUCAGUUGAUGCAUCUGCAAGAGUUUUUUCUUUUAUUUACCAUAAUUAUAUUCCGGGUACAAUAAAUUAUCUUUGGUGCUUGGAAAAUAUGACUUCUUACUUCAAGUUUGAUGUGUCUCUCUCCGUAAGCUUACUGGAAAUAUAUCCUCAUUUACUGUCAUUUAUCUAAUAUCAAAUGAAAGAUCUCACUUUUUCAAACUAUCACUUCCAAGUCUCAUUGUCACUUAGCCAUUCUUGGACCAUUCAAAACCAAUCUGUUGAAAUAAUCAAAUAUAUGCAAAAUUAGAGUCACGAUUGUUGGUCCCCCAAAUUCUAAUUAUAUAACUUCUAUAUAUCUCAUUGUCAGGUCACGAACUUGUUGGCACAUUUCCAAAUUCCUCUUCCAUCAGCUCUCACACGUUAAUUUUUAGGUUAUCUAAAUUUCAAGGAUUUAAAAUCUUUGAUCAUGGAUUACAUGUUUAAUUUUUCUGCCAUUGACUGUCAUAUUCUAGAUUUAAUGGUACCUUUCUUGAUCAAGCGUAAUUACUCUCUCGUCUCCUCUUAUAAAUUCCUCUUCCAUUAGCUGUUAGCCUAUAUGGCUAUAGAUAUUGAUUUUGAUGAUAACAAACCACAUGUGUUGAUUAAACAAAGAUUUAUGAAUUGUGCAUUUAUAAUAAGAAAAUGAUGUUAUGGAAUUAAAGUGUUUUUGGACUAAAGUGAAAGUAUUUUAAAACCUUUGAUAUUAUUUUAAAAUUUCAGAUUUGGACCUAUUUGAAAAUAUUUAAAUAUUUUGGGUCAUUCUAUAUUUUUACAUGGUUUGGGUGAAAUCAUAAUUUCAAUUUGAGUGUGUGAGACACUUGAGUGAAGAGGUUGGGAGAUAAUCUCUUUGUUGUAAGGGUUCAUUGACACAUUGAAGUCAAUUGUAAACGUUUGAAGCCUUAAAAAAACUUGGAUAGUGAAAUCCUCAAGUUUGAAUCGCUUGGAGGCGUGGACGUAAGCGGGGAUUGCCGAACUACGUAAAAAUUCGUGUGUUUGUUUCUCUUCUCUCUUGCUCAAUUGUUAUUGUGCUUUUAUUGAACUUAUUACUUUUGAAUUUAUUAAUGCAUUAAAUUGGAUUGUUAUGUGGCUUUGUUAGGAUAUUUUUUAAAAUACCAAUUCACCCCCCUCUUAGGUUGCACACUUGUAUUUCAUUAGCAUUACUAGGAAUUUGUUGAUCUCUAAGAUGCUAACUUGAGUGAAGAGUUUCCAAAUUGAUUGUUACAAAACAACAAAAAAACUAGACACACUUGAUCUGUCUAAUAAUUCUCUUUCGGUAAAAUUAAUUAAUUUUAGGGGAAUUUUCGGCCAACCUCUGUAAUUUCAAAGUGAUCAUUAAUUAAUUAAACGAUACAAAUAUCUAAAGUGAUUAGAUGUUUGCUGACAAUACAAGUUCAUGGCUUGAAAUUUGAUCUCUAUCGAUUGGUUUACAAAUGGACGCACUUGUGCCUUUGUGGCGAUAAUUAAACAGAGAUGUGAAGUUGUAAAGAUUUGACAAGUUCCCAUGAUUAGUAUUUUUUUUCAAAAACUUUUUUACAACAAAUUCAUCUCGCCCAAAAAUUAUAUUUUGCUAUCUAACAAUAAUUGAGCACUUGGCCGCAUUGACUCCACGUCUCCACCUACUUUCUAAGUAAAAACAUGGAAAUGUAAUCUCCACAAAAUGUCAAACGUGUGGAAUUUAAUUUUUGGCCUUGUGAACCAAAAUGCAAAUGAAAGAAAAAGAGAGAAAAAAACAAGGCCCAAAGACUACGAAAAGAUAUAAAAGUCUUUGGGCCUUUUUAUAACGGUGGAUUUUUUAAAAGGAAAAAAUAACAACACUUCUAUGGUUUGUUUUGAUAAUCACAUUUACAUAUACUCUCUAAUUUUUAAAAUGGACACAUAAAUCUUUUUUUUUUUUUUCUACAAACGUAUAUUAUUCGUAUUUUUUAUUAUUUUUAAUAUCAUAUUGUUAUUUUUUUUAGAAGAUAUUGUUAUUUAUUAUAAAUGUUUAAAGUAAAUUUUUAGGUUGAAAUAUAAUAAAAAGGUAUAAUCGUUCUCUUAUUAAACACCCAUACUUUUAAUUUCUAUCCAUUUGUCAUCUCAAUCUCUCUCAAUUAUUCUUUAUUGCUAGCUCAAAACGCGUUGCUGUUGCAAAUUAUAGCAAAAAGACAAAUAUGGAAAAGAAAAAAGGGAAGAAAAUUAAUGCAUGAAAGAUUUGGAGAAAACAACGAAGUAAGUCAACUAUAAUCUAGUUGGGUGUGUAAAUUGUUUGAUGCUUUAUAAGCAAAUAACAUAUAGAGACAGACAAUGUGUGUUCGUUUUUUCAUAGUUAAAGAUAUAGUUAGAAUGGGUGGUUCAAAAUCAAAAAUGGUGAUAAUGUUUGUUAUGUUAUUAAUAAUAUUUAAAAGUGGGUGGAGUGAGGGAUGUUUGGAUCACGAGAGAUUUGCUCUUUUGCGACUUAAACAUUUCUUCGAUGAUACUAGUAGUUAUCUUUACGAUUGGGGAGAUGGUGAGGGAGCUACUGAUUGUUGUCAGUGGAAAAGGGUUGAGUGCAGCAACACCACAGGUCGAGUGAUAGUGCUAGACCUUUCUAGCAUGUAUUGGGGAGAGUACAGCUGGUAUCUGAAUGCUUCUUUGUUUACUCCCUUCCAACAACUUGAGUCACUUGAUUUAACUGACAACAAAAUAGCCGGUUGUGUUGAGAAUGAAGGUGCUUCGUUUAAUUUAAUUAAUUUACUUUCUCCACCCUAAUUUAAGUUGAAUAUCAAGACCGAGCAAUUAUACACAUAUUCAUUUAGUCGACAAUUUUGACUUUUUUUUAAAUGAUUAAUUUUGAAAUUACACCAAUAUCUAUGAUCCUUUUUUUUUAUUUUACUUGCAGGUAUAGAGAGGCUAUCAAGAUUGAACAACUUGAAGAUGCUUAAUUUAAGUGAUAACUCGUUCAACAAUAGCAUUUUAUCAUCUCUAACUCAUCUUUCAUCAUUAAGAUCAUUAAAUUUAUUUUGGAAUAGAUUGGAAGGAAGUAUUGACGUUAAAGGUACAUAAUUAAAACUUCAUCCCUUCUCCAAGCUCUUUCAUUAACUUGCUAAAAUAAGAUUCAAGGCUUUGAAUUCAAAUUUUUUUAUGAUUAGUAUUAAAAAAAAACAGUUUUAAGCAAUUUAUAAAUACAAGUUUUAAUGUUUCUCAUAAUUUCAUCUUGUACUUUCAUAUGUCUUGAAUUUAAGAUUAAAAAAAAAAAACUCUAAUAGCGAACCAAACACCUCCACAACUAAUUAUUAUUAUUAUUAUCAUUUUUUUUUUAUUUGUGGUGAGGUUUGAAACAUUCAACUCAAUUUGUACUUAUUACAGAAUUUGAUUCUUUGAGAGAUUUAGAGGAGCUAGACAUUGGCGAGAACAAGAUUGACAAAUUUGUGGUCUCAAAAGGUACUAGAACGACUGCAAAAAAUGUAAACUUCUACAAAUUAGCUAGAUUCUUUGCCAUUUGGUUUAUUAUUUUGCAGGUUUGAGGAAGUUGAGGUAUCUCAGUUUAAGUGGUAUCAAACUCAAUCAUAGCAUAUUAUCUUCUCUGACUGUCUUUUCUUCGUUAAGAGAAUUAUAUCUAGAUGAUACGGGAUUCAAAGGAACAUUAGAUAUUCGAGGUAAGUCUAAGCCCUGCUUUCUCAUUUUAUAUAUGCCAGCUAGACUUGUGUAUCAUCGACAUAAUUUAAUAUUUAAUUUGAUUAGUCUGAAGGAAUUACAUGCUAAUUUAAACAUACUUUUAUUUACUCUGUCAAUCAAUUAAUUAAUUAAUUACUAUUUGGCUUGGUUUGGAUGAAUUCUCAUGAUGUUUUAAUUUCUUUAAAUUAAUUAAUUAAUUAACUCUGUUUUUAAGUCUUAAGUCUGGGCAUGUUUGCAGAAUUUGAUUCCUUCAACAACUUAGAAGUGUUGGACAUGAGUUACAACAAAAUCGACAAUCUUGUGGUUCCUCAAGGUAAACAAUUAAAAUAUUAUUCAAUUACAUUAAUAUAAUUCAUUUGGUUAGGGAAGGCCCAAAAGGUACAAAAAAAAUUAAAUAAAGAAACAGAGAAUUUGUAUUAUUUAAAAAACAGAAUGUAAUAAAGAUUUGAUUCUAGUUCUUUAAUCUUUAAAGCGAUUGAAAAAUAAUGUUGCUCUUUUCCCAAAGCAUAAAAUACGAAUUGAAUGCCAAUUAACUUAAUCAUUCAUUUCGUUUAGCUCUAAAUUUAGACAAUGAAUUUUUAUAUUAUUUCAAAAACAGGACGUAAUAGAAUUUAAAAAAAAAACAGAUUGUAAUAAAGAUUUGAUUCUAAUUUUUUAAUCUUUACUGCGAUUGAAAAAUGAUACAGCUCUUUUCCCAAAGCAUAAAAUACGAAUUGACUCCCAAUUAAAUUAAUCAUUUAUUCCAUUCAUCUCUUAAUUUAAAUAAUGAAUUUUGUUUUCUUAAAUCGUAUUCUAAUUACUAUUAAAAAACAGGUUACAGAGGUUUGAGGAAGUUGAAAAGCCUUUAUCUAUUGAGAGUUAGAAUUAGAGAUGGAAGCAAGUUGUUACAGUCAAUUGGAUCAUUCCCAUCCCUCAACACUCUUUACCUUUCGUCUAAUAAUUUGACGGAAACAGUGACAACUACUACUCAAGGUAAUUAAAAGGUACAAAUGUCGCCAAAUUUAUAAAUAAAUUGUUAAUUAAUUAAUUUUUCCGUAUUAUUAAUAAAGCUAAAUUCGUUGCUCCUUCCUUCUAAAUCUAAACAGAGUUGCACAAUUUCACCAACUUGGAAUAUUUGACAUUGGACGAUUCCUCUCUCCAUAUAAGCCUUCUGCAAAGCAUUGCAUCAAUAUUCCCUUCGUUAAAAAAUUUGUCGAUGAUUGGUUGUGAAGUCAAUGGCGUCCUACGUGGUCAAGGUAAAAGAAAAGUGUUAAUUGUGAACUCGCACAAUGGUGUCCUACGUGUUCAACAUUUUUAUUUAUUUAUUUUAUUGUUUAAUGUUUCUGCUAGGUUUUCCUCAUUUCAAGAGUUUGGAAUAUUUGAAUAUGGAUUUCACGCGCAUUGCACUCAACACCAACUUUCUUCAAAUCAUCAGUGAAUCGAUGCCUUCUCUUAAGUACUUAUCACUGUCAGAUUCUACUCUUGGCACUAACAGCAGCAGGAUUCUUGAUCGAGGUUAAUCAGAUGCUCCCACCCUCCCUUCUUAAUCUAUAAUAUUAAUUUUCAAUUCAAUAUUUAAUUACACAAACGAAUCACUUAUUAUAAAAGAAUAAUACGCAUUCAUUAAUUUUUAUGCUGUAUUAAUUGAUGAAUUUAAUAAAUUUUCAGGCCUCUGUUCGUUGGUGCAUCUGCAAGAGUUGCGCAUGGCUGAUAAUGAUUUAAGAGGUAGCUUGCCUUGGUGCUUGGCAAAUAUGACAUCCCUCCGAAUAUUAGAUGUUUCUUUCAAUCAACUUACUGGAAGCAUCUCCUCAUCUCCCCUCGUUCAUUUGACAUCCAUUGAAGAGCUGAGGCUUUCAGACAAUCAUUUUCGGAUCCCAAUUUCACUUGAACCACUUUUCAAUCACUCAAGACUCAAGAUUUUCCAUGCUAAAAAUAACCAAAUGAAUGCAGAAAUAACUGAGUCACAUUCUUUGACCGCCCCAAACUUCCAAUUACAAUCUCUCUCAUUGUCUUCCAGUUAUGGAGAUGGUGUCACAUUCCCCAAAUUCCUUUACCAUCAACAUGACCUGGAGUAUGUUCGUCUCUCACAUAUAAAGAUGAAUGGAGAAUUUCCAAAUUGGUUGUUGGAAAACAACACAAAAUUAGCAACUCUUUUUUUGGUUAAUGAUUCUCUUGCAGGACCUUUUUGGUUGCCAAUUCAUUCACACAAGCGGUUAGGAAUAUUGGAUAUAUCCAACAACAACAUCCGAGGCCACAUUCCAGUAGAAAUUGGAGAUGUUUUACCAAGUUUAUACGUUUUCAACAUUUCCAUGAAUGCUUUAGAUGGUAGCAUUCCCUCUUCAUUUGGUAAUAUGAAAUUCCUCCAAUUGCUGGACUUAUCCAACAAUCAAUUGACUGGUGAAAUCCCCGAGCACUUGGCCGUCGGUUGCGUCAACUUGCAGUUUCUCAUGUUAUCAAACAACAGCCUAAAAGGUCACAUGUUCUCUUGAAAUUUUAACCUGGCCAAUUUGAUGUGGUUACAAUUGGAGGGCAAUCACUUCGUAGGAGAGAUCCCACAAAGUUUGUCUAAAUGCUCCUCCUUAGAAGGAUUGUAUCUUACCAAUAAUAGUCUCUCGGGUAACAUUCCAGGAUGGUUGGGUAAUCUCACAUGGUUAAUACAUAUUAUAAUGCCCGAGAAUCAUCUUGAAGGUCCUAUUCCAGUGGAGUUUUGUCAACUUUAUUCGCUUCAGAUUUUGGACAUUUCAGACAACAACAUAUCUGGAAGUUUGCCAUCCUGUUUCCAUCCUCUCUCUAUCGAACAAGUUCAUCUUUCAAAAAAUAUGUUACAUAGACAGCUAAAAAGAGGUACAUUCUUUAAUUGCUCUUCCCUUGUGACAUUAGAUCUUAGUUAUAACCUCUUGAAUGGCAGCAUUCCGGAUUGGAUUGGUGAGCUUUCUCAGUUAAGCCACCUUAUCUUAGGUCACAAUAAUCUUGAAGGUGAAGUGCCAGUUCAAUUGUGCGAAUUGAACCAACUACAAUUGUUAGAUCUUUCUAAUAAUAGUCUUCACGGUUCUAUUCCUCCAUGCUUUGAUAACACAACACUUUAUGAAAGUUACAACAACAGUUCUAGUCUUGAUGAGAAAUUUGAAAUAUCUUUUUUCAUCGAAGGCCCUCAGGGAGAUGUAGAAAAGUGAAUCCGUGAAAAAUUUGAGUUCACAACAAAGAAUAUUGCGUACAUUUACCAAGGAAAAGUGCUUAGCCUCCUAUCAGGACUUUAUCUUUCUUGCAAUAAGCUAAUCGGUCAUAUUCCUCCUCAAAUUGGAAAUUUGACAAGGAUUCAAACAUUGAAUCUAUCAUAUAACAACUUGACAGGAUUGAUCCCAUCAACAUUUUCAAACUUGAAGCAUAUCGAAAGUUUGGAUCUUUCCUACAAUAAAUUAAAUGGGAAAAUCCCUCAUCAACUUGUGGAGUUAAAGACAUUGGAGGUUUUUAGUGUGGCAUACAAUAACUUAUCGGGCGAAAUUCUAGAAUGGACUGCACAAUUUGCAACAUUUAACAAGAGUAGCUAUGAGGGAAAUACUUUUCUUUGUGGAUUGCCAUUGCCCAUUUGCAGAUCACCAGCAACUAUGUCGGAGGCUUCAAUUGGCAAUGAACGAGAUGAUAAUUUAAUUGACAUGGAUAGUUUCUUUAUCACAUUUACAACAUCGUACGUAAUUGUGAUAUUCGCAAUUGUUAUUAUUUUAUAUGUAAAUUCUUAUUGGCGACGUAGAUGGUUUUACUUUGUUGAAAUGUGGAUAACUACAUGUUACUAUUUUGUUGUAGACAAUCUUAUUCCAACAAGAUUUUGUCAUUGAAAUUAUUUAGUAGUUUAAUUACGAUUCUUUAAGUACUAAUCAAGUUUGUAUAGGAAAUAAUUUUUUAUUAAAAUUGUAGUAGUAUUUAGCAUUAUAUAGCUUCCAACUUCCAAGCACUUCACAUUUGUCUCUACACUUACAAAACUGAGUGAUCAUGUUUUGCAGAUCUGGAUUUGGAGCAGGAUGGAUCCAAACCCAUAUCUGUCCACCAUAACUUAUAGCUUCCCUAUACUGUGCAGCAUACUUAAAUAAGAGAACCAUCUCCAAUGUUAAAAGCAUUCACUCUAUAACAUUCAUUUAGAAACUAUAUUCAGAAUAAUUUUAUAAUUAAACACAAGAAAUGAAACACCUAGAUACACUUGAUCGCCUAUUUUACUCUAAAAAAUAACGAUUAUGGUGCUAUCAUCAUCUUCUUCACUAGCAACAUUAACACCAAAUCGAUGGACCCAUACAUUUCAUCAAGAAAGGUAUAUAUCCAAUAAAGUUGAAGCCUAACAAAAAAAUCAGGAAGAUUAAUGCCUCACCACAACAAGGGGCAUAACAACAUCAAAGUAGAGAUUAAACAGUAUUCUCAAAGCUAAAACUCUCAAAUCCACCCACCAGAAUUUCAUAUCUCCUCAACAAUUUUAAGAACUAAAGAUAAUUAGGAUUUAACAUUAGUUUUUUAUAUAUUAGUUUCAUAAUUUACAAAUCAAUGAAGAUGAAGAUUAUGCGAAUAAAUUCAAAUUAUACCAUACAUUCUCUAGAUGUUACCAAAAAUUUCUAAGUCAAUCCCACAUAUUUCAUAAUUUUAAGACUAGAAAAUUCACUAGUUAGAAGUUUCAUUACCUUCAAGUGGAAGAUGAAGAACAUUAUGCAAGUGAUUCAGAUUAUAUCAUACAUACUCCAAAUGCAACUAGAAAUUAACAAGUUCAUGUGCACAUAUUUCAUAACAUUAUGAUUGAAAAGUUUCACAAAGAGAAAUUCUAAAUUCAAUCUCUUGCAUGAAGGCAGUUUGAUUGAUUUGAGUUACUUUAUGAUCAAGCUACUAAUAUAACAUUCAAGUCAGGGAGAAAGUAAAUUAAAAAUGGGAAGAAAUAACAGUAAAAAUUUGUUGCUAAACAUGAUGUGUAUUUUUUUCAAGGCAAUUUGGAAACACAAUUGUUACUACAGAUAUUCUCCUCAACUUAGAGAUAAAUACAAAUAUUAAAAUGCACAUGAUCGCACAUAUUACUUGGAGCUUAGUAAGAUUUCAUUAAAAGAAGCAAUCAAACCACUUAUCAAUUGUCGCAGUCAUUCUAUAAACUAAAAUAGCAAAUAUAAUAUAAGAAAAAGAACAUAUAGAUACUUGGCAAGAGUUCAUUAAGAAGUCACAUCACAUUCGGGUGAGGAGUUUGCUUCUGAUAUCUUGCUAGCUGGGGCUUUUUCUCGUCUUUCUAUGUAUGCCGAGGGAAACCAACCAGCUUGGCCCUUGCAUUCACCUUCCAACCAUCCAGUACGAGCCACCUUGAGAAGUUAUAACUAAAACGGUGAAUUAAACAAAAGUUGACCGUUCAAAGACCUAAGGGGAAAACUAAUUCUUUUAUGUAGAAUGAGUGAACUAGUUGUGAUCACUGGAAUAACAACAUAACUAUGGAAGCAUAACAAGAUAUAAAUUCACAUGUCUAUAAGGGUAAACUGGGUGGUUUAGAACUGAGCUAGCAACCCUACUAGAUUAUGAUUUGCAUUUCAAUGUAAAAGGGAAUAUAUGGUAGGAAGAAAGAAAACCAACCAUCAUUUGUUAACUCAUUGCUUUUCAAUCAAAAUUUUAAGAACAAAAUGCCAUGUGCUUUGAAUAUCAAAUAAGUAUAAGCAUUAUUUCUAAAUUCCACAUAUCAUAAGUUGUUAGAAGGAUAAGUUAAUAGCAUAGUAGAAAAAUCUAUGUGUCAGUAUUUAGAGGGGAAAGUACCUGGCGAACCACAACAUAAUCAUCAAUUAAAAGACUUAGCUCUCCAUUUGCUUGAGCAUCAAAUGGAUGUAUAACCUGCAAGAUAAUGGGAUAAAUAGAACUUAAAAAAAGCAUAACAAAAGCAGCAACAGUAGCAGCAGCGUUCAUUGUAACCACUAUGAUCAUGGCCAACAAAGAUAUAUUAGAAACAAAAUUCCAUUUUUACUACGACAUUAAUAUGUACUAUACGAUAUCAUGACGAUUGGGUUACUAAGAGCUAUCAAAGUCUAAUAAGUUAUGUAUAACUUUUGUAGUUAUUUAAAUUAUGGAUCAGAUUUUAAAUUUGAAAUUUUGACUGCUCUCCACAAAACAUGGCCUGUGCACAAAAAAGUCAUAGAUAAUGAGGAUUACAAGUGUCCGACAUCUUUUGAGUGAUGGAUUUAACAUGAGAGCUUAUGGUCAGUCAAUUUCCUCUGCCUAGCAAUAUAAGCUUUCUCGGCCAGAUUUAUCAUCAAAUACAUAGAUUGCCCCCAAGUCACAUCCAUAUAAACAUAAUUUUUCUAGGUAAACCAAGUAAGGAGAAUCAUAAUUCGGACAUAAUCAUAAAAAGGCCCAUCUAACUUAAGAGAAAAUCUUAAAAAGAGGGAUGCUGAGCUAUCAGUCUUGUAUCUAUAAGCAAUAUCAAGACUUUACAUCACCUGCUACAUCGUGAGUGGUUACACAACUUUUAGUGGUUUGUCUUUCUUUGGCAUGCCUAACUCAGCUUUGAUGUUGCUGAGAUAUUGAUAGUAGAGAGCAGAAGCCUUACUUUCGCUAUAAAUUAGACGUCAUUCUGAUUAAUAUGCGUUUGCAAAUCAGCUCUGUUUGAAUCAGUAUUCUGAUAGACACAUGAGGCAUUUACAUCCAUUUCCAAAGUCACAUGUUGCGGGGAGGACUCAUUUGAUUGCUCCUAUACGAUCAUCUAAUUCAAGUAGCAAGGGUUGGAAGAGAAUAAAAAGUCACAAUUAUUCUUUUGCAUAAGUGAGACGAAAAUGGUAAAUGCAAUAUUAUUAGCAGUAAAUAAGAAGAGAACGCUCCAAGGAAUAGAUAGAUGCAGACAAGCAAGUUAAAAUGCAUAGUCCCAAACCUCCGCAUACAACUUCUCUAAAAUAGCAAUAACGUGUUGAUGAUAUAUUUUCUCAGCAUCUACCUGCAAAGGCCCGAGACCGGGAAAACAACAAUAAAACCACUAGCUGAAGGAGAAAGCAAAGAAAAAAAUACACUUGACAUAAAUCUUGACAAGAAGCACAAUUUAAGACAUAACAAACCCCAAUCAUAUUAUUUUUGCUAGUCACACGCUAGUCUGUGCUAGUGAUGUAAGAAGUCACAAGGUCUCUUCAACAUUUGAACCAAUAAAAUUAUUAAGUCAUGGAUGUCACUAGCAAUGAUUUUAAUAUAAAACAUUAAAUAUUUCAGAGUUGUAACUUUAAAAUGGAUUCUUUUAUUCAAUACCAUAGAACUAAGUUUCCUUAUGAGAAGAUAGUAGUUUCGAUAAUAUUUUACAUAUAAUUUUUGCGAUACCUUCGUCUCGCACUACCAGUGAUACCCUCACUCUUNNNNNNNNNNNNNNNNNNNNNNNNNNNNNNNNNNNNNNNNNNNNNNNNNNNNNNNNNNNNNNNNNNNNNNNNNNNNNNNNNNNNNNNNNNNNNNNNNNNNUGUUGAAAUUUAUCUAAGUUCAAAAGUAAUGCAGAGUGGGUUUCUAAACUCCAUUCCACUAGCUACUUCCUUUAAGAAAAAUUCCACAUCAUUGGUUUGAAUUUUAACUGGUGGCAUAGGAUCAUAUGUCUUAAGCUUGAACUUCAUUGUGAUUUCGAAUUCCGAAGUAUUUAUAUCAAUAACUUGAGCUAUCUUCUCCACCAAUUCGGCAUAUGUUGUCGAUCGUGGUAUCAUUAUCCCUUUAGCCUUGGAACCUUUGAAUUUAUACUCGUCAUUUUGCUCAAUCCAUUCACCAUUGAAGAGAAUAAGCACACGUACCAAAACCAUAUAUGAUGAUACAAUAAAAACAAUAAUAUCAAAUUUCAUAUACAAGUAACUACACGACCUACACAACUACAUUACUUACAUGACCUACAUGACCUACAUGACUAUAUUACUUACAUGACCUACACGAAUUAUACGACUUACACGACUAUAUUACUUACACGACUUACAUGACUAACUAUAUGACAUACACAGUAUCAAAAGGAAUGCACGACGCGAAACAUUUUCGCCAUAAAUAAGUUAUAAACAACCUAUAUUGCAUAUAUUUCUAUAUAUAAGAAAAAAUGGUGAAAAUAAAACAUUAUAAUGUGAAGAAAAUUUCUAAAUUUUCCUAAAAAUAAAAAAACUUAAAACCCAACAACAUUAACAUACCUUAUUGGGUUGUUUAAUAAGUAAUGCACAUUAUUUCAGUUAAAAAAAAGUGGGUGUUAAAGAAAUGAAUACAUAAUCAUAUUUGUGUAAGAAGUUAUGAGAGAUUUUGAGAGAUUCUAGGAGAUUUUGAGAGAAUUUCGGCAGCAAGAAGAGAUUUGGGUGUUAAAGAAAUAUGAAGACAAGGAAGUUGAGUGAAUUUGAUUCAUUCAUUAAGGGCAUUUUAGACUUUACUCACAUUUGUUAGGGUAUCCAUGAAAACAAAAAAGGAAAGGGGUAUUUAAAUAAUUUUAAAACUAUUAAAGGGUAUUUAAUUAAAAACCCUAGGAGAAGAUGAUAGUGGAAGUAUGCAGUGUGGCUGCCAGGUACUUGGAUUGUAUUAUCGGGUAAGGUAAUAGUAGAGAAUUAUAAGUUUGAACAGAGCAUGUUGGACUUUUGUUGACCAAAUUCAAAAGCCCAAUGGCACGACCCAGAAGCUUUUGAAUAGAAAAACUUGCUAGAAAGCAUCAGUUUAAAUCACUACUUAAACGCUGCACCGCUUUGUACUGUUUUAGGUAUGUAGCGGUUGUGCAGUUGUAAUUCACGGCUGACGCUACGUGUUUGUUUGUACUGUUCUAUUCAGUGAUAGAGUAUUAUUAGUUAGGCCAAAACUAUGUUGCAACAGUGGUACAGUACCACUGUUGCUUUCAUAGCUGGACCCUAUUAGUUAUUUCAAAGGGAUAAAUAAGAUUGGUUACAACAAAUCUACUAUUUUUAUAAAAUUCAAGUAAUAUAGAAUAAAAUAAAAAAAUAAAUACAAAAUUGACUUUUAUUUUUUAUGGUUGACUAUAUUUUGUGUUCUCUUCGGGCACUGCUACAAUUGUUCCCCAUAUAUCAAUUACACCACAUACUAUCGACACAAGAAAUGAAAUCUAAUAUCACCUGUUUAGUUAAAAAAUCACUCAUGAAAAAAGUUUACCAUUUUGAUUUGAGGAUCCAUAUUUUGAACUGCAAGCUAAUGUUCAUCAAGAAUCACUGAUGGCCGUUGAGUAGAAAAAUUAUUUUUGGACAAAUUAUUUUUGUUGAUAGAAGAAUUUCUUUAGGGACUACUAAAUUAUUAAUAAAAAUGUCGAACACACCCACAUAUCAUCGACACAAUUGAUUUUGAGGAUCCAUGCUUUGAAUUGCCGCCUAAUGUUCAUCAAGAAUAGAGUAUGGCUUGUGAGUAGAAAAUUUUCUUAUUUUGGCCCAAAAUAAAAAGAAAUUAAAUUGGAUGAGAAUCUGCCACUUUCUCAUGAAGAAAGGCAUACGAAGCAUACCAUGAUACCAUACAAUAUAAGGAGCCGCCGUUCUUUGGUUUUUCAAACUUUGAAGGGGCCAAUAUUGCCAAAUUCCCCCUUGAAAAUUCUGACUACGACAUUAUUCAUCGCUUGAUGCAAUCAAAGUAGUGACAAAGUUAGGAAAAAUAUGAGCCCUAAGUAAUUGCUAGGCAGGGUUCCUGAGAGCAAAAUUGUCCUAAGCAUUAUAUGCAUACAUGGUGCGGUACAUAGAGCACGUUGAAUUCCCCACUAUAACACAAAUCCAGAAAGAGAAGUAAUAACUCAACUGAUAUAAAGACAAAAAGAAGAUAAAAUGAUAUAGAAAAAAGAAUUUCAAAGAGACAGCAACAUACGAUAGGCUGAAGCCACUUGAUCUACUCAUUGAUUGCAGCCUUAAACUUGCAAAUAGUUACUGUAUGCUAGUGCUCUAAGAAGUGAAAAUGAUGCAAGCCCUGAUUCCCUUUUGACUUCCAUUUACUGUCAAACAUUCUAGUAAUACAAAAAAUUGUUUAGAUAUCUUGCUAUAAAUAUAGUUGUUUGACUGUCAUAAUAAAGUCACAAAUAACCAUUCAUAUUGAUCUACUGUCACACAGCAUGCUUUAUGCAUACAACAGCUGUAUGUAUACCAACUCCUAACCUUAUCAAUGCAUUUGGCAAAAACUUAAGAAGAAAACUAUUUCUCCAUCUCUUUUUUGAAAUUUCACAAUAACCAGCACAAUGUGAAAGCUAUGUUCUAACCUUAUGAUAAAUGCUCCAGACUCCAAAAGGAUUUUAUAUAUGAGUUUUUGUUGCAGCAGAUAUAUUGACUUAUCAAGUAUGAAUCAUUUUCUGGAUGAACUAUCUUUAGAUAAAAGAAUAUUAGAACCACUGUAGAAUAUCUUUACGCUGCUGGUUCUAACAAGAAUCUGCUUGUGGCAACAAUUGCUAGAUCCACAAUUCCCCAACUUGAAAUACAUAGUUGCACACCAUGAGAUAGUGCUACGAUCUACUGAGAUCUAACUUAUAUGGUACUUUAAGCUACUAAUGUUUGCAUAUUUCUACAUGUUAAAUUAACACUAUCAUCUAUAAUCACUCCAAAACAACAAAUGAUAAGCAGCUUUUGGCCACUUAUUACUAGCAUCCACAAUUAUAAUAAGAGAUCAUGGGUUUACUUGUUGCACCUACUUAAUUAUCUGCAGUUGACAUCCUGACGCAAGGUUUAAAUAGUGACUGCUUAGAACCCUUGUAGUUGGAUCUUGACCUCUCCCAUUGUAGCCAAGAUUGGUUACUCUGGUAAUGAAUCAACACUCUCCUGCUCAGGGCCAUGAAGAUCUGAAAGCUCAGCACUAGUGGAGAACUUCAUCAAUCUCUUCUUCUCAGCAUACUUGAGACAAGGCUGCAUUACGAGACCAAUCACCACAGCACCAACGCUUAAAGCUACAACUUUUAAAGAAGAAAGAGCCAACACAACACAACACAAAUCAAUAUGGUUGGAGGAAUACACAUGAUAAUGGCUCUAACAGUGCCAGUGGGUAUCUUGUAGGGACGAGAUGCAGCAGGAUAUUGUAUCCUUAACCAUACAAAUGCUAUGAACUCCAUAAUCAUUCCAAAACAGUACAGGAAGUUCUCUGCAGCUACAAUAUCUCGAAAGCUCAGCCAUGAUAGCAAAACCACACCAGAUGCUGAGAAUAUGAUUCCAAUCAAAGGAGUCCCAUAACAAGACCUCUUAGCAAAAAACUCAGGUAGCAUUCCACGCUCAGCCAUCCCCAAAAGUUGGAAAGAGUCGCUGCUCAUCUCAGCCACAAACAUGCCCAUAUUGGACAUUGCUGCAACCCCCUGGAUGCACCAACUCAACCAAACUCCUCCAAGCACUUUAGCGAUACCUGAAAAGUAACCAUCGGUCCACAAGUCGCGAUCUAAUGGAAUAGCUCCAGUUCCAACUAGAAAGGGAAAGAAAUAUCCAAAAACGACCAAGAUCAAAGCAUAAAACAAAGCCUUUGGAAGAGUCUUCUUUGGGUUAUCCACCUCUCCAGCUAGUGUACUUAUUGAGUCCCAGUAGUUGAGAUUCCAAAACAGGGUGUUCAAAUACAAAUUCCAAUCCACUUCACCUAAAUUUAAUACAAGCCAUCUUGAAGGCUCUAACUUGGGAAGGGACACAAGUCCCAUAACCACAAAAGGAAGGAGUGAGAAAAUCCCUAAAAGAACAGCAGCCCAUCCCACAAUGGUUAGACCCCUAUAGUUCAUGAAAGUGAGAACAAAAGUCAAAGCUAACGCCGCAAAGGCUCUAGGUAACCCAUCGCCCAAAGCAGGGAUACCAGACUUCAAGUAAUCAAGAAACAGAACUGGGUAUAAAGCAUUAUCAGUAACCCCACUUAGCCAUUUCAUCCAAACUUGCUCAAAACCCCAAUAUGGGCCUAAGGCAGAUGAAACCCAAACCACAUAACCACAAUUUUCAGGAAACACGGUACCCAUCUCGGCAGUAAUUAAAGCUUCAGGGACACUCCAUAUAAUCGGAAACACCAAGAAACCAAGAAGUGCUAAAAGAGGACCAGCUGUCUUUACACUAUCCUCAACACCAAACGGCCCCCCAGAAACCUCAUAGAAUAUAAGGAAAAUAAGUGGCAAGAUUGAUACUUUUUUAGUGCCAUGGACUCUAGGAGAAGAUGGUUGGUCAUUGAUAUUAAAAUAUUCAACAGCAUCAGACUGCCCCAUUUCUACUGAAACUUGCCUAUUUACAGUGCUCCUCAAUUUCUGCAUCAAGUUUAAGCAUAACUAUCAAAAGGGUAUCCGCAUCUAAAUUAUGAAACAAAAUGAGCAUUUACUUAUUAAAAAAAAAAUCAAAAAACAGAAAUGGAUUUCACAGAACACAUGAACUUAAGUUCAACAUUAAACAGGCGCUUAAGAAAACAAAAGGGUCUGUUCGUAAAGCCAUCAGAUUGCAAGAUUGAACAACAUUAACGGAAUCAAUAGAAUGGAUGUAAAGAGAACUGAAAAGAAAAUAAAAUAAAAGAUGAAGAGAGAUAAAACGAACCAUCAAAUAAGUGCAUGCAGAGCAGAGAGGCAGAUACUAGUGAAGCUCCGUCAUGUUAGAGAGAGCCUAAAUCAAUCAGAGCUCACUGAGUUUCUUUUAAACCGACCGGCAAAUUUGGAGUAGCACAACAUAAUAUUUUUGCUUUUAUUUUUGGAACACUUUUGAAUGGAAUUUUUUGUUUUAAAAAAUGGCAAAGGAGAUUAGUAUUUCUAUCGUUAAAAUAAUAAUUUUCCUAACAUUAUUUUUUAUAUUUUUUAAUUUAUUUUUAUAAUAAUUUUUUAUUUAAAUAUUAAUAAAAAAUAAUUAAAUUAACAAUUUAAUCCUAAAAUAAAUAAACACGGUUUUGGGUUUUUUCUUUUGUUCGUUUAAUAUCAUCUGGUUCCCUGAUUUGUGACUAAUUAUCAACGGAAUCCCGUUAGUUUCUAAAUUGAAAUAAUAGAAGGUCAUGAGAUUAUUUACUCCAUUUAGCACUGCAGACUUAGAGUAUAUUGAAAAAGCUUUGUCAAAUAGUAGUAAUAGGGGCAUAAGAAAUAAAUUAUAGCUAUCACAAAUUCGUUAGGAGAAUUUCAAAUUUUUCCAUCAAUAAUGGCUAUGAAGCAAAAUUACUUUAGGUUAUAUUGCAACACUAAUACUUCAAAUCCUGACAAUAAAUUUGAAGAACUUGUUAAAAAGAAAAUGGUAAUGUUAUCAUUUUGAAAGACAAAAAAAAAAAGAGUGAAAGUGGCGUUACCUCAUGGUCAUUAGUGACUUGUUGCAAUGAUAGCUCAAAAUUAAAAAUUUGUGAAGAAUUAGUAGACAACGACGAUAUUAUAUUUAUACAGUCACCAACGUAUUGAUUUUUGUUUAAUGUUUGAUUGAUAGAAACUUUUGUCGUCGUCGCCGUUGUUGAAUUCGUGCUUAGAAUACCACAAGAGAAGAAAAAGGGAUGAAAGGGAAGAGAAGAAGAGAGAAGUGGUGGAUAGCAAAUAUGAUAUGCUAGCUACACACAGGCCUUAGAGAGUUUUUUUUUUUAAUAUUUAUUGUAUUUUUGUUUUUGUUAUUGGUUUGUCAUAUGCUUCCAAGGCAACAAUGCAUUACAUCAUAAAUUGCACCUUUUAGGGGAGGUGGUAAAAAACAUGAGAGCAAUGCAUUCUAGCGCAUACAUGCAGAAAGAGUUUCCAAAUUUUCAAAAGUUUCUUUAUUUCUUCCACCUUUUUUUGCUUAAAAUAAAUUUUAAUUGUAUUUUGCAUUAACUUAGAGAAAAAAAAAUCCAAUUCUAUGCAUAAACGCAUACAUUGAUUAGAAAAUGAGUUUUAUGGACACAAAGGGACAAUAUAAGAGAUUCUUUUUGUUUAUUAGAAGUAACAUAACUAGUUAGUGUAACAUGUAAUUAUAAGCUACCAAUAAUUUGCACUGAUGAUAAUUAACGGUACAGAUUUUGAGCUAUGAAUGUCUUGUGGCUAGUUUAAUUGGAUUUUUGAGUUUUCAGCAGAUCUAUUUUAAUGAUUAUUAAAUUAUUUUCACUUCUUAUGCCUUAAUAAAAAAAAUUCAAUAUUUUUUGCUGUAUUCUAUAUUUUAAAACUUAAUUUUUAGUUCUUUAUAUUGCAAACCAAACUGAGUCAAAUAGAGUAUGCUCUUCAAAUAAUUUUUCCAUUGCCUUCAAGAAGAAUUCAUUUUAUUUUUAUAUAUUAAUUCAACACUUGUAAACCGGGCCGUCAGAUUGCACAUAAAGCAAAUGAUCAAACCGUUACAAGACCGGCCCAGGCCCACUGACUCUAUUUUCUUUAAUUUGACCAUUAAAAAGCUUUUGGCCACCCCCACCAAAUAAAUAAGCUCUUGUUCUCUUUUGUAGGGGUGGGCAAAAAAACCGUAGUCUUAAAAAAACCGAACCGAACCGACGGUUUUUUCUAAUUCGGUUUGGUUUUUAUUUUUUUAAAAAACCGAAAUAUACCAUUUGUAAAAAAAAACCGAAAUGUCGGUUUGGUAUUCGGUUCACUUAGCUGAACCGAAAAACUGAACCGAAAAACCGAAUUAUUUUUUGAUUUUAUUCAAAUCAAACAUGUGUUAAUUUUUAACUGAUUGUGCAAGAUAACUAACAUAAACUUGCAUACACACAAUCAUGAGUAUAUAUAUGUAAGUGUUACAAUUUCGUAAAUCUUUAUUUCCCCCAAAAUAAACCCUAAAGCUAAAAUCAAAGAUUCAAAAUCGAAACCAAAUCCAAAUCACCCACCCCAAUCCACUGCAAUCACAGCCGACGCUGCUCACCGGCGAUAGUGUCACCGUGCAACACGCUGCUCACCGCGAAAGCUGCAGCUUCUUUUCACCGUGGGACAGCUUCAACUCACAGGCCUGAGGCCACCACGCGACAGCUUUGCUCUGCUCACCUGAUUGGAGUGGAAAUUCGAUGGUUUUGAAUGGUUUAUAUAUGCAUGUGAGGUGUUCGGCGCAUAUAAUCAACUUAAUUGUGCAAGAUGGGUUGUCACAAGUGAGUCAAUCAAUAGCUAGUAUUCGAAAUGCGGUGAAAUAUGUUAGAUCAUCUCCGGCAAGAUUACAAAAGUUCAAAACAUGUGUUGAUAGGGAGAAAAUCUCACGUGGAGGGCUUAUGGUGUUAGACGUGCCGACUCGGUGGAAUUCAACAUAUUUGAUGUUAGAAAAAGCGGUAGCAUUUGAGAGGCUAAAGGAAGAUGAUGGCCAUUAUACAAACUGGUUUGAUGAGGAUGAGAGUGAAUAAAGGAGGGUGGGGCCACCGAUUGAUAAGGAUUGGGAAAAUGCAAAGAGGUUAGUCAAGUGUCUUUCGAUUUUUUAUCAUGUGACUUUAAAAUUCAGCAGCUCUUUAACAGUCACUUCCAAUAAUUUCUUGAAUGAAAUGUGGAAAGUUUAUAUUCAUUUGAAGUCACUGGUUGAUUUUGUUAACAUAUAUGUUUUCAUAAUGUUAAUUUUGAUGAUAACAAACAAGAUUAAGAAUGAUUAAUCUUUUAAGAUCAAAUUAUUUUUUAUAUAUUUUAAAUAAAUCAUUAUUUUCACAUUAUAAAUGUUUUAUAUUUAAUGGAAAAAUGAUUUUAUGAAAAAUGAUUGUUUAAAUACAUGAAAUGUUUGUCAUCAUCAAAAAGGGGGAGAUUGUUAACAUAUAUGUUUUCAUAAUGUUGAUUUUGAUGAUAACAAACAAGAUUAAGAAUGAUUAAUCUUUUAAAAUCAAAUUAUUUUUUAUACAUCUUAAAUAAAUCAUUAUUUUCACAUUUUAAAGGUUUUAUAUUUAAUGGAAAAAUAUUUUAUGAAAUUGAUUGUUUUUAUUCUUUUUAAAUAAAUCAUUAUUUUCACAUUAUAAAUGUUUCAUACUUAAUGGAAAAAUGAUUUUAUGAAAUUGGUUGUUUUUCAAAGUUUAUGGUUUAAUUGAAAGAAUUUUGAAAACUUUGAUAUAAACAAGUAUUGCUUGAAAUUUUGGUAAAGGACUUAUUUGAAAAGUGUCAUAGCAUCUUUGGGCGAAAUCAUAAUUUCAGAAAGUUUUGGGAUUAACGAAGAAUUAUUUAGAAAUUCUGAAAUUGGACUUAUUUGCAAAGUUUAAUAACGUUUUGGGCCAUACUACAGUUUUAUAAAGUUUUGGGGUCAAACUAUAAAUUUUGGGAAAUGUUUUACUGUAGCAGUUACUGUAGCAAGCGGCUUACCGGAUACUAAUAAACGGCAAGUCGGAUACGGGGUAGUAAGCACCAGAACGAAAGCGGCUAACCGGAUGUCCAUAAACGGCAAGCCGGUUACGACAAAAAAUGUGCAUAACGGCUAGUAACGGCUAGUUUUUGAGUUCAAACUAUAUAAACUCAAAACCAAUUCAUUUUUGGUAACUCAAGCAAGCAUAAACAAGUGCACACAACUUAUAUUGAGCUUCAAAUUCGAAAAUCUUCAUAGAUUAAAUCUUCAUUGGGCUAUCAUUUGUAAAUCCACUCUUAAAGAGAGUUUUUGUUGUAAUUUUCAUUUCUCAUCAAAUUGUGAGAGUACAAGUGUGAGAAACACUUGGAGUGAAGAGAUUGGAGAUAUAAUCUCUUGUUGUAAAGGUUCAUUGACACCUUGAAGUCAAUUGUAAUCGUUUGAAGCCUUGGAAAGGCUUGGAUAGUGAAAUCCUCAAGCCCGGUGUGCUUGGAGGCGUGGACGUAGGCGGGGAUUGCCAAACCACGUAAAAAUCCUUGAGUUUGCUUUCUCUUCCCUUACUCUUUAAUUAUUGUGCUUUGAUUGAAUUUAUUGUUUUCGAAUUUAUUAAGGCAUUAGAUUGCUUGUUGUGUGGAUUUGUUAGGAUAAUUUUUAAAAUUCCAAUUCACCCCCCCCUCUUGGGUUGCACACUCAUAUUUCAGAUUUUAAUGAUUUUUUGUUAAAUCAAAUGGGUUACAAGAUGGAGGAAAAAUUUGUCAAGUAUUGGGGUCAUUUUUUUGAAAAGGUUAACAUGUUGUUGAUUGUGGCAAAUGUGCUUGAUCCUCGCUGCAAACUUGACUUUGUUAUAUGGUGUUUUAGUAGCUUGUAUGAUAUUAGAAAGGUUGAUGAAUUGAGAGCUAAUAUUAAAGAGUUGUUGUUGAAGCUUCUUGAAAGCUAUGGUGGUGAGAGUAAUCCAAAUAGAGGUGAGAGAUGUACGGCUGUUCAUGAUGGUGCUAGUAGUAGUAUUGAGUUAUUUGAUCCUUUUACACAAUUUAAAAAGAUGAAAGAAAGUUCAAAUGAUGACAUUAGUGGAAAAAAUGAUGUUGAAAAGUACUUGUCAGAGACUUGUGAGAGUGCUAGUAAUCCCCAGUUUGAUAUUUUGACUUGGUGGAAAUUGAAUGGGCCUCGGUAUCUGAUUUUAUCUCAAAUUGCCAAAGAUGUUUUGGCAAUUCCGGUGUCUACUGUGGCUUCUGAAUCAGCAUUUAGUACAGGAGGGCGCAUUCUUGAUCCUUUUAGGAGUUCUUUAACUCAUAAAACAGUCGAGUCAUUAAUAUGCACUCAAAAUUGGCUUCGUUCAACUCUAUUAGGAGAGCGUACAAUACAACCAAGUCAGGAAGAAGCUGAAUUCUAUGAAUUAGUUGAAACAUGUAAUAUUGUAAUUUAUUAUGUUAUUUUUUUCUAUUUCACUUAUAACAUUUUGAAUAUUAGAAUUAAUUAUUUUAAUAUAAUUGUUUUAAUUUCUUGAAGAAUUUUUUAGGCCAAUGCAAUCUCAAGAACAACAGCAAGUAGCUGAGGAGUAAAUGACAAUUGAUUGAUGUUGCUUACCAGUAAGUUUUCUUUAUUUUUUUUAAACUAGCAUCUUAUUUAUAUAGAUUGUUUAUUUAAUUAUUUAUUGUUUAAAUUUUUUUUAUAGAUCCAAAUAUUGAGUUGGAAAAUGCCUAAAGUUGAUGUUGAUAUUGAUGAAGAUGGGAGAAUAUUGUUGGCAUUUGUUUGCAAUUUUUUUUUUAUUUUGUGUUGUAAGUUGUAAUUGUUGUUAUUUUUAUUUCUCUUUAUAACAUUAUGAUUAUGUUUAUAUAGAUGGAGUAUUGGAGUUUGGUUAUGUAUUUUGAAAUUUUAAUAUUUCAUAUUUUGGGAGUAUCUUAUUAAUAGUUAGUAAGAUAUUAGUGAUAAAAUGUGUUUUGAAUACUUUGUAUUUAUUGUUAAUAUUUGUAAUAAAAUUAGAAUAAAUUAAUUGUUAAAAAAAUUAUUACAUUCAUGAGGCCCAAUGGGCUAAAAAUUCAAAAUAGGCCCAAUAGGCCCAGAAUCGAAAAAACCGAACCGAACCGAACCGAUCCGAAAAGAACCGUUUGAGUUCGGUUCUUAUUGAGUUCGGUUCUUAUUCAGUUCUUUUGAUAAAAUAACUGAUUUAAAUCGGUUCUACUUAAUUUCGAUCCGAACCGAACCGUGCCCACCCUUACUCUUUUGUUCCCUCUCAAAGGAAAAUAUCUAAUCACCGGAUAAUGAUUCCGGUGACACAAAAGAUCGAAACACCCCCUAAAUUCCCUAAAUUUAUGAUAAUACCCCACCAUGGAUGAUUCCGUUGAAAUGCCGCCUUACGAUGAAAGGCCUAAAAAGGGUUUUAACUUCACCUCCAUGCGCUUGAUCUUAACCCUCGUUUUCCCAAUUUUAACUUGCUUUUUGUUGGCAUUUUUUAUUGGAAUCGUAGUUGUUUUAUUCGGCGAAUCAUCAGUUUCCAGUUCCAUUUUUGUCCCUUCCCAGUGCAAGAUAGUGUCCAACAGUAAGCUUUUUUUAACAUUUUCAAUUUUUUUUCCAUUUAUGAAGUCCAAAAAAUUUAUUAAUUUUGAUUUUUUUGAAUGAUUUUUCAGGUGUUGAUAUAAGGUCAUCAAAAGUUCGUAAACUUGGGGUGUUCAAUUAUAAGGCGAAGCGCGUGUUUUAUCCAUUUGAAGCAAGUAAAUUUCGCUGUCGGUAUGAUUACUAUUGGGCUUCUAUCUUCAAGGUAUUCAUACAUUUUCCCCUGUACUAUAAGCUUCUUAGUGGCGGUCUUGUGUGCGGAAGUGAACGGUGUGGCUGACAGCUUCUUGAAAAUUAUAAGUUUGAACAGAGCAUGUUAGAGCACCACCAAAAGGCUCUUUAAAUAAGAUUUUAUUAUUUAUUUGAAGAGCCACAUCAAUAUUGAAAACUUCAAAAGACACUUCAAUUAAAAUUCUUCAAAUAAGAAUUGAUUCUCUCUCUUCAAAUUUGGAGAGUUAAUUUAUUCCUCUUCAAUUUAUAUUUUAUUACUUUUCAUUGAAGAAAGAGAGAAGUGCUUUAAUUGCUAUUGACUUUUCCUUUAAAAAACUAAUUAUAUGAUUAAAACAAUAUUAACUUAUUUAUAUUUGAAGAGUCUUUUGGAGAAUAUCAUAUUUUUUCACCCUUCUAUUUGCCACAUAGGUAAACAAAUAGAUAUUUAAAGAGUAAAAUUUAUAGAGGCUUUUAGAGAUGCUCUUAGACUUUUGUUGACCAAAUUCGAAAGCCAAAUGGCACAGCUCAGAAGCUUUUGAAUUGAAUAACUUACUAGGAAGCUCCAAUUUUUUGUUGGCUACAGUAAAAGGAUGUUGUUUUAUUCUUCUUAUACUUUACGCUUGCAUCAGCUUAAAUCACUUCUUAAACGCUUUGCUUUAACUCCACUGCUUCGCUGGGGCGGAUUUACCUUGGAACAAGUGGGGACUUAAGUCCCCACUGAAAAAAAAAAAUUGUUUUAAUAAUUAAUUUGAUUUGCCAAAACUUCUCAAUAAAUUUUUCUUAAGCCCCCCAUAAUUUCUUUCAACAAACAAUUGAUCUAAAUGAGUUAUUUUCUGUCAGUUGUAUCCAAAUGAGUUCUCUGCAAUUGAUAUCAUGGCACUUAAAAUUCAACUUGAUACAUAUAUUUUGGAUAUGCGCACUAGUGCGAGACUAAAAGACAUAAGGUAUAUCCAUUGGUUUACUUGUUAAUAAUAUUAGCAUUGACUUUACCUGUUGCCACUGCUAGUGUAGAGAGAGUAUUUUCAGCCAUGAACAUUUUGAAGAAUUGAUUAUAAAGCUGUGAGUAAUGGAUGAAUGAUAGUUUAAUUAUUUACAUAGAAAAAUACUUAUUUAAUAAUAUUGAUAAUGAACUUGUAAUGCAACAUUAUUAAUGUAUGAAAACUUGAAAGGACAAUUGUAAACAUAUAUUGAAGUAUGAUAAAUCUUUCAAAUUUAUAUAUUUAUUACUUUUUAAAUUUUUUUAUAUUGCCGUUGAAUGAGCCCCCAGUCAAUCAAUAUGUUGUCUUCGCCCUACUUCGUACUCUUCUAUAUAUGUAUCGGGUAUGCAGUUUUAGUUAACAGCUGAGACUACGUGUUUGUUUGACGUGGUAGUUACGUUACGAGUCUGUUAAACAUUCAAUGAUUAAAGUAUUAUCAGUUAUUUCAAAGGGACAAAUAAGAUUAGCUACAACACACCCACUAGUUUUAUAAAAUUCGAAUGAGAUGGAAUAAAAUAAAAAAAUAAAUAAGUAAAUUGACUUUUAGUUUUAGUGGUUGAAUAUAUUUUGCAUUCUCUUAGGGCACUGCUGUAAUUAUUCCUUAAACGUCAGUCAUACCCACAUAUAAUAGACACAAGAAAUGAAAUCUAAAAUCACCUGUUUAGUUAAAGAAUCAUCAUGAAAAAAUUUUGCCAUUUUGAUUUGAGGAUCCACAUUUUGAACAACCAACUUAUGUUCAUCAAAAACGGAUCAUGGCCUGUGAGUAGAAAAAUUAUUUUUGGACAAAUUAUUUUUUUUAAUAGAAUAAUUUCUCAAGGGACUAUUAAAAUUACUAAUAAAAAUGUCAGACACACCCACGUACCAUCGACACAAUUGACUAUGAGGAUCCAUGUUUUGAACUGCCACAUAAUGUUCAUCAAGAAUAGAAUAUGGCUCGUGAAAAGAAAAUUUUCUGAUUUUGGCCUGGAACAAAAAAAAAUUAAAUUGAAGGAGAAUCUGCUACUUUCUCAUUAAGAAAGGCAGACAGGGUAUACUAUGGUACCAUACAAUAUAAAAAGUCUCCGUUCUCUGGCUUUUCAAACUCUGAAGGGGGCAAUAUUCCCCAAUUCCCCCUUGAAAAUUCUGAUUACGACAUUAUUCAUCACUUGAUACAUAAGUACAAGUAGUGACAAAAUUAGGAAAAAUAUGACUCAUAAGUAAUUACUAGGCAGGGCUCUUGAGAGCAACAUUGUACUAGGCUUUAUAUGCAAACAUGGUGUGGUACAUAGAGCACGUUGAAUUCCACACUAUAACACAAACCCAGAAAGACAAGUAAUAUCUCAACUGAUAUAAAGACAAAAAGAAGAUAAAAUGAUACAGAACAAAGAAUUUCUAAGAGAUAGCAACAUACAAUAGACUGAAGCCAGUUGAUCUGCUCAUUGAUUGCAGCCUUAAACUUGCAAAUGUUUACUGUAGCCUGGUGCUCUAAGAAGUGAAAAUGAUGCAAACCUUGAUUCCCUGUUUACUUCCAUUUACCAUCAAACAUUCUAUUCAUAAGAAAAAAAAUGUUUAGAUAUCUUGCCGUAAAUAUAGCCAUUUGAUUGUCUUAAUAAAGCCACACACAACCAUUCAUAUUGAUCCACAUUGCCACAUAGCCUGAUUUAAGCAUACAACACCUGAAUGUAUACUGACUCCUAACCUUAUCAAUACAUUGGCGACAACUUAAGAAGAAAACUAUUUCUCCAUCUCUUUUUUGAAAUUUCACAAUAAAAUAGCACAAUGUAAGAGCUGCAAUGAAAAUGGACCAUCUGGAACUAUGGCGGAAGCUUCAACUAGUGUAGUGAUUUGACCUUCUUAUUAACCUAGCGAGAUCAAACACUGCCCUUGAUCUUGAACAGAUCAAUACGAUACGCACAACUUAUGAUUGAAUCCAGAAACAAUCAAAUCUUUAGCAAGAAUAAUUAAUCAGAAUCAAGAAACAAGUUUAAUGAAUAUAAACCUAUAAUUGGAACAAACACAGCAAAAGAACCCAAGAAUGACACAACCAGCACCAAGGGAGAAGCUUUCCAGUGAGAUUAUAUUGAUGAUCAAAGAAGAAUCUUUUUACAAAGCUAACAAAAGAGAUUUCAGAGAAUAAGCUAUGACCCUCUCUCUUCUCAAUCUCUGUCUAGUUUGUUAACAGUGAUGACCCCAAUCUCCUUCGUUAGCCAGCUUCAUAACUGCGUCAGUGACAAACUAGCAAACCCAGAUUGAGCAGACUAACGACACGUGCAUAACGGCUUUAACGAACUUGGUUAAAGAACUGCUCACAUGUUCGUCACGCGUGUUGCUUAAAUGAUAGCCAAAACGACUUCAACCAGAUGCCGUUUUGAAGCUUAUGAAUUAUAAGUGAAAACACGUGCUUGUCUCGUGACAUUUAAAUGCAACAACAAGCCCAAAACACUGCCGGUCCACUAUGUUGAGUUUGCCAUCUCUAAGCUUCACAACUAGCAGCGGACAAGAUGAUAAUUUAAUUGACUUGGAGAGCUUUUAUAUCACUUUUACAACAUUCUAUAUAAUUGUGAUAUUGGGAAUCGUCGGUGUUGUAUAUGUGAACCCUCGUUGGCGACACUGGUGGUUUUAUCUUUAUUGAAAUAUGGAUGACUUUUCGUUACUAUUUUGUUGUACAUAACCUUAUUCUCAGGAGAUUUAAUCAUUGAAAUUAACAUGUUAGUUUCAUUAGAAGGCUGAGUGGUUAGGGCUGCUACCUUCCAACUUGGAGGGCAAUAGUUUGAACCCACAAGCGCAAUGUGGGGGUAUUUCAUUCUUUAAUUACAUUGUAUAAUUGAAUAAAGAUAAUAUUCUCUCUUACCCAAGUGUGAGUGGAGUAGACAUCCUUCGAAUAUUAGCGAGGGUUAAAACUUGGGCAGAGCUCAAUAAGUAUUGAUGUAAGUUGGUCCUAAUAAUAGUCUGAUUUGUAAAUAUCAGUUAUAGUCUCAUGUUUCCUUCCUUAAUUAUAUUGCAUAAUUAAGUAAAUGUACUCUUUUCUCUUACCCAAGUGUGAGUGGAGUAAACAUCUCUCGAAUAUUAGUGAGAGUUAAAAUCUGGGCAGAGCUCCAUAAGUAUUGAUGUAAUUUGAUCCCAAUAAUAGUAUGAUUUGUAAAUACCAGUUAUAGUAUCAUGUAAUAUGAGUUGUAAUUUGAGUAAUAAUUUCAUGUAAUUACAAAAAAAAAUGUUACUUUCAUUACUUUUUUCUUCGUUAAAAUUCUCAAGUAUCAAUUAUGUUUGCUUAAGAAAUAAAAUUUCAUUAUGAAAAUUGUAGCAGUAUUUCCGAGCACCUCACAUUUUCAAUGAUUUUUCAUAAAUCAAUUAAUCUGCCAUACCAAUAUCAGGUUUAGUUUUUCAGACUAAAUGAUCAAGAAAGCAAACAUACAAAUUCACAUUUUAGAGGGGUAAACUAGCUUUUAGAUUUUAGAACUAGGCUAGCUACCUCACCAAAUUCCAAUCUGUACAGUGAACUACAAGAUUAAGAAAAUAAUGUAUUUAUAGUUUAAUUGAAUCAUGAGAAAACAAUGUAGUCAUAGCUCAAUCGGACAUGAUCACGGAGAGGCAUAUUCUUUUCAAGUUAAUUUGAUCCAUUUAUAAGAAAUGAAGUGGAUUGAAGUUAAAAGUUCAAAUAACAAAUCCUUGUUCUUGAGUUUUACGACGUCGUUACUCCUUCAAGAGGCUGAUUAUGCGAGUGAAUGAGGAAACAGAAUGCAUUAUCCAAUUUCACUCAUAUAGAAAAUUAAUUUUUUAUAUAUACUAAUCAACACUAGAUUGAUUAUGUUUUGUAUGUUUAUAUGCUAAUCAACAAUAAAUUAUAGUAAAUGAAGAAAUGCUUCAAAAUUUUUUAAUUUAAUUUAGAAAAUCAAUUAUUAACAUUAAUAUUCCUAAUAAAAAUUAUUUUCCAUCGGUAUUCAAAAUUUUCACUUAUAGAAAAUGCGUUUUACGUGAAUACAAGUUAUUGUGUAAAUUUGAAUGAUAGCGAAAAAUAUUUUUUUUAAUAAUUGUAAAAAUAAUUAACCAUAACAAAUCGCUUGCGUAAAUAAUAAUCAUUAUUUAAAAGGUAGAAAGAUGGUUAGUGCACAAUCAAAUUUUAAGCCCCUACCUCCUCGGCCCAAUAUUCAAACUUAGAUGAUCAGCCAAAUAAAAUUAUUUGAAAAUCAUUCAAUCAGGUUCUCGGGGCAAAAAUACAAGAUCCUUAUUUGCAUGAUAUAUAUGAAUUAAUGUAAUUUAUUUGAAUUAUCCAAAUUCAUUAGAGAUAAAACUAUAAAAUAUACGAAAAAAGUUAGAAGGAAGGGUGUGUUGGGAUAUUUUACAAACUAUAGGAAUCUGGUGAGAUUUUGAGCCAAACUGUAGGGAGUUGAAGGCAUUUGCCCAAUAUGUUUAGCCGUACACUAACCGUUAUUUGAUCUUGUUGUUGGUCCCGGAUGAGCUAUAGUCUUAUUUUAAUUUUAUUUAAACUCACCAUAAGAUUCGCAGAGCUCCUAACUAACUUAAAUGACUCUGCAGAGCAUGUCAACACAUAGCAUGUUUAACCGUUUUAUUUGUAGAAGAAUUUAUGAUUUCCCAUUAGCAUUAUUAUUGAAGUGGGGCGGGUCAAAUCUCAAUUGCUUGAAAAUUUUAUUUAUUAUUAUUAAUUUUGAAGUGGGGUGGGUAACGGUUCGUUCAAUUCGAGGGAAUCAAAUAUAUCAUCCAAGGUAGAAUUGUGGAAAAUUAAAGCAAAAUAAGAAAUAUGGACAGAAAAGAAGAAAGUUAAUGCAUGAAAGACAUUUACAGUUGAAAUUGAUAAUCAUGUUUCUAUUUUGUUAACUAAUCAAAUGGAAAACUGAACUGUAAACAAACAUUAAAACGUGUGGACCAAGCUAGCUGCCCUACAAGUCUACAAUAAUAAUUGAGUACUUUGAUUCAUCCUUCUAUGAAUUUCUACCCAUAUUGACUCCUCCGAAAUUUCCACAAAAUAAAAAAAAAAAAAAAACUGAAUUUCCACAAAAUGCAAAACCCGUAGAACUUAAUUUUUGGUCAUGUGAACUAAGAUGUAAAUUAAAGAAAAAGUAUAAAAUUAAAAAAGAUAAAAUUUCUAAAAUGUGUGGAAGGUGAUUCAUAAUUCACUGAAAUUACUUGCCCCAGAUAUAUAGGUAAACCUAUCUAAUUUCAUUAAAAAUAGUUGGAAAAAAUUAACUAAUAGAAAGCUACGGAAAUUAACCCCCCACAAAAAUAACUUUUUAUAGAAGAAUUUAUGUUUUUUAAAAUAUGUUAUCAAAGUGUAUUUGAUCAAAUCUCAAUUGCUUAGUAUGCUUAGGAUUUUGUGAACAUCACUAAAAAGCGAAAGCUAUGAAUGAUAGGGGUGAUGCUUGCAAUAUGAAUAAAUAAUGGACUGAUUCAAUUGAUGAUUACAUUUAUAUAUUAUUGAUUAUUUAUGAAUUUUCAGACUUGUUACGAUGUAUAACUAUGUGAUUUUGAAACUUGAAACCGUGGCAAACAUUGAAAGGAAUUAUAACUUGAAAUCAUGACUCACGGGGUAUGUCAUGAUUCACGUGCACAAAAAAAGGUAGAAUUGUGGAAAUUUAUAACCCAACGACAAAUACGGAAAGAAAGGAAGAAAAUUAAAAGACUUCGGGCCUAGCCUGCGUGUAUUAAUUAUUAGAUUAUUUUUUUUUUAUAAGGGUAAUCAUCAAUUUACUCCAUAACAAUCUUUAAUUCAUUUCUUAAAACUAUCAAAACUUUAAUUUAUCUUUUAAACAUCGUUACCUCUUCAUUGGUUUUAAUAGUUCAAAGGGUAAAAUUAUGUUUGCAUAUUUUCUUGACCGCCAACUAAAUGAUAAAACUCAAAAUUCAAUCUUGUUAUCUUGUUUCAAUCCUCUAUCAAUCAAAUAAGAUUUCUAAAAUAUGUGGAAGAUAUUGCAUGAUUUCCUCAACCUACCUGGCCCGAACAUCAAGGUAAAUAUCUCUAAAAUAGUUUAUUAAAUCUCAGUUGCUAAGUAUAGUAAGGAUUGUGUGAACAUCAAUCAAAACUAUGAUUGAUAGAAGUGAUCUUUGCAAAAUGAAUAAAUAAUUAACUGAAUCAAUUGAUUUACAUAUUAAAGUUUAUGAAUUUUCGGACUUGUUGCGAUAUAAUAAUAGCAUAUGAUUUUGAAACUUGAAACAGUGGUAAAUAUUGAAAGGAAUUAAUUUGAAAGCAUGAUCCGUGGGGAAUGUGAUGAAUCGUGUUUACCAAAAAGGUAGAAUUGUGGAAAUUUAUAACAGAACGAUAAAUAUGGUAAAAAGGAAGAAAAUUGAAAGACUUGGGGCCUGGCCUGGGUGUAUUUUCUAACAGUCCAAUGGACAAAAUUAUAUUUGUAUACUUUCUUAACAGUCAACUGAUUGAUAAAAGUCAAAACUGGUCUCUUUUUUUUUUCCUUGUUUCAAUCCCCUCUCAAUCAAAAAUGUUUCCUUGUCUAAGCAAUGAGGAAUAUGGCUGAAAAGAUUGCUAUUAGAAAGAUUUAUCAAUUGUAAUUGGUUUAAAAUUGAAUAGACACUUCAUUUUUAAGAUUGUUAUGAGUCAAUAUAGGUCCUAUUUGGGAUUGAGUUCUUGUAAUUUUUAAGCUACAGCGGCUGUGGAAAAAAAAUUAUAAUUAUGAAAUAAGAGUUAAAAACAUGUAAUAAAUAUAAAUUUUAAAUAAUAGUUUUGACAAAAUUAUAAAAUAUAUAAUAUAUCUUUCAUAAUACAAGUAAAAGAUCAUAUCAACAUAGAUUGCAAGCCACAACAGUUAGUGUUUACCAAACAAUUUAGUGCUGUAACUUUCAAGUUACAGCUGCCCAAUCUCAAUUUCAAAUGCACUUAUAAAGUGACUUGCUUCAAAAGCCUAGCAACCCAAAUUGGAAUGCUUUCAUUCAAGUGGCUAUAACUAAGAUAUAACGUCCCUAAGGAAGAGUAAUUAAAAAAUGUACCUUCUUUAACAUGUCCGUAUGGCAUUUUUUUUUUAAGUGAAUUUGUGUGAUAGAGAGAGGAUGUCAGCAAGAUAGUAAACUCCUAAAUAUAUUAUUGUUUGUAAUGUCUAAAAUUUGAAGAGAAUCAAGCUAAUAAAACUCCAUUGAAAUUAGACCUUCAAGAGUACGGUUCUUGGGCAUUAUAAAAUGUUGUAAUGUCGAGAGAUUACCCAACCAUUAUGGAAUCCUACCAAGAUGAUUGUUACCACUAAGAUACAAUCCUUCUAGUGAACAACAAUCAGACAAAUUUUUUGGGGAUCUCUCUUACAAAGUGAUUACCAUCCAAUCGCAAUUUUGAAUGAAAAUAAAUUUUUUUUAUUGGGAGUUUGACCUUAACAUUAAAUUUAGACAAUGAAUUUUAACUUUCUUCAAUUAUUAAACAGUUUACAGACAUUUGACAAAUUUGAAAACACUUCAUCCAUAGAAAGUUAAAAUUAGAGAUGGAAGCUAGGUGCUACAGCUAAUGGGAACAUUAAUUCCUGUCCCUCAUCACACUUUAUUUUGGGUCUAAUAAUUUUACGGCAGCAUUGACCACUGCUCAAGGUAAGUAAAACUUACAAAUGUGUGGCAAAAUAAAUAAUUAAGUGCAUAAAUUGUUAGCUAAUUUUCUUGAUAUAUACAGCUAAAGUAGUCGUUCCCCUUUAAAAAAAAUGUUAAACAAUUUCGGCUGAGCCUGCUUGUGGUUUUGAUAAAAAGGAGGGGCUGGCUUCAAAUAUUUGAAUAGGCAUCUCCGCCGUACCUCAAACAAAUCUGUCAUUAUUUGUGCCAUGAAACAUGUUUCGGCCGUCGAAGUCACGAGAGGGUUGAUGACGCUACUACGUAUGAUGACACACCAGCCGACAGUGUAGUAACAGCUCAAAAACAAAAUCUACCAAAAUCAACGAAAGUUAAUAAAAAUUUAUUUUAUUAAUAAAAAUAAAUAAAUAAACUUAUUAUUUUUGGAGACGUGUGUAUUUGAGUCUGUGGACUGAAAUGGAAAAUAUGAAGAAGUUCAGAGUCGUUGUGCAGAUUGACUUCAGUUAAAUGGGUCUAGUAGAUAUUUUAUGCUGACGUGGCACGAAUUAGUUAUAAUCUGUUACAACGUUUCCAGAAACAUCAGUAUAAAUAGAAGCUGAUGAGCAGUGCCUGUUGUACGAUCCUUUUUCUUCGUCAGUUGUUCGUCAAUUUUCAUAGAAUCUGUUUCAUUGUGAUCUGUACAAAGUCUUCUGUAAAUCCACUUAUGUUUGAUUAGUUGUUGAUCACUAACGAAGUAAAUUUUUCCUUCAAAUCUUGCUGGUUCGUGCCCCUGUUUCAGUUCUGGAUUUUUCUUUUUCUUUUUUUAGUUCUGGUUUCUUAAUUCAAUUGAAUUUCUUGGUGCUUAAUUCAUCAAGAUUCAGUGGAAUCGACUUGAAAAGGAAAACAUUAUCCACCUGGAACGACUUCAAGUCCAAAGUAAAAGACAAGAGUGGCUCCCCGCAAUUUUCUUGUUUUCAGUAUAUUUUCUCUUUUUCUUUUUUAAAAUCUUUUGACGCAUGCAUAAUAUACCCUUGUUUAUUAUCUCUACUUUGCUCUGCUCAAGUCCAUUUUUUUCAAAUAUUAUUUUAAAUAAUAAAUUUAAUAAAAGUACAUUUGUGUAAUUAAGACUCUGCUAUUAUAUCACACAUACGCAUAUAAUAUAACUAAGCAUUUGUUAUUAUAGCAAAGAUCCAUAGCAUGAAAGUGAAUAAAUUUAACUAAAUGGUUAAUUAAUCAAUUAAGUUUCAUGAGCUUUAAUCGAGUUAAAACCAAGUACAAACAUCGUUAACAAAUACUGAAAUUGAGUAAAUUAAAAAAAUAAAAAAAAUUAAUUCAAGUAAUAUGUAGUUUUUACAUGUUGAUCAGCAGAAUACAACAUUAAAUUUUGUCAUUGACAAUAUUGCAUACCAGUCAUCUAAAGCAUUACCUCACGAGGUUUUAUGAGAAACGAAAGAUAAGUGUUUGCUCUGAACAAUUAAAGUUGCUGCUACCAACCUCCCCGAAGACCAAGAAGACGGAACAGGAAGCUAAUGCAUCAAUGUCUUCUUCAUUAUAGCUGCUGCGUAGUUAGGUGUAGUUUCCUCAUUUGAAGCUGUCUAUACAUAGGCUUUCCCCCUGCUUAUGUACAAAUAAAUGAACAGCCUUGAAGCUUUAUUAUUCGCAACAAAAGGGAUUACCAAUUGGAGAAGACUUUACAGAGUUCCUCUCACACACUCUCUCAAUUUCAUCUAGAAGUCCCUCCGAAAGCAUCUCCCAAAACAGUUAGUCAUCUUUUAUACUCUGUUUUCUAGAAACAGAGUCCUAACUAAAUUAAUUGACUGUACAGUGCAUUUCAACAUAGCAUAUUUAACCGUUUUAACAGUAAUUUUAACCGUCUUCUGAGUUAUCAUCAACAAAUUCAUUCAUAUUUCUCCAGUCUUACGGACGAUAUCAUAUGUUUAAUAAUGAAUGAAUAGUCUUGGAUCAGUGUUUUGCAGCAAAUUCACAUCAUAGUUUUGAUUCUUUAGAUAUGAAUUCAUCACAUUACCGAAAAGAAUAUGCGCUAAAAAAUGAUUCCAAGACUAUUUGACUACCAAAAGCUGCUGUCAGAGUGCACUGAAAUCUUGACUCCUCUCAGCGAAAAAUAUAUCAAAGUUUAGAUUAUGUGUUCGAGCUUUAAUAAAUGCCUGAGUUAAUAAUAAUAACAACAAUAAUAAUAAACUAAAAAGCAAAAUUACUAUUGAAUGAUCGGAAAAAAAAAAAUUUGAAAACGUGUGAACUCCAAUAACCACCCCACAAAUUUAGUGGCGAAUUUUGGAGAGGGCAAGGCCGGGCUUCUCAGAAAAAAAAUGACGAGUAGAAUUGUGGAAAAUUAAGCAAAAUGACAAGUAUGGAAAGGAAGGCUGAAAGUAAGGCAUGACGAAAGGCUUUGAGAAGGCUGAAGACUACCAAAGAAGACAACUGAAAGCUAGUUGGGGCCUGGGUGUAUAAAUUGUAGAUGUGUUUGUUAUAAAUAACAUAGAGCCCUUUUGUUAUUUAUAGUUAUAGAGAAAGAGAGAAUGUGUGUUUUUUAAUAGUUAGAGAUAUAGCUAGAAUGGGUGGUUCAAAAUCCAAAAUGGUGACAAUGUUAGUUCUCGUAUUAAUAAUAUUAGGGAGGGGGGGGGGGGGGGGUGUGGAGUGAGGGAUGUUUGGAGCAUGAGGAAUUUGCUCAUUUUCGGCUUAAACAUUUCUUCAAUUCCCCUUAUAGACUUCAAAACUGGGUAGGUGAACAAAGGGAAAGGGUUGAGUGCAGCAACUCCACAGGCCGAGUGGUACAACUACACCUUAGUCUUACUAGGAAUAUCGAUCUGGGAGUGUGGUAUCUGAAUGCUUCUCUAUUUACUCCCUUUCAACAACUUGGUAACAAAAUAGCCGGCUGCAUGCGUUGAGAAUGAAGGUCCUUCAUUUAAUUUAAUUUACUUAAUUUCUCCCUCCUAAUUAAUGUCUAUAACCAUUAGGAGGAACAAGGGAUUUUAUUAACUCAAAUAUAUCUAAUGGAGCUCAUUCUUUGGUUUUACUUGCAGGUAUAGAAGCAGGUGUCAUCUAACAGCUGCUUUGAUAAUUUCCCACCCCUUCAUCUUUGAUGGAAAGAUGAAAUAAAAACAAAAUGGUGAAAAUGGUAUUGGUACCUGAGGCUAUGUAAUCUAAUUCAAAAACUGCACCAUCAAAACGAUUACAUAAGUCCCAGAAGAAUCAAACGUUAGUUUGCAAAAUAUCAAUUGCUGGAGUUGUUUCGGUUGCACGUUAAUAUCAAUUCCGCUCUUGAUUUUUAUGGGCAUGUUGUAUUGUACUUGCAUACGAAAAUCAUAUUUUAGUUUACUUCACUCAACACUUGGAUUAAAGUUUUAGGUGGGGAAAAUUGAAGGAGACUAAAAUGACUCAAAAAAAUAGUUGAAUGAGUGAGGGUUUUGUCUUCAUUUAAGGAGCUCUUUAUAAAUUUUAGGAUUCUUUUUCCUGAGAAAAUUUAUGCCAACUCAUUCUUUGCUUCUUUUUUGAAGGGACACAUGCAACCGAAAGUAUAUUCUUGAAUUCUCCAGGAUAAGAGACAUACGUUUAGAUUCUGGAGCAUUUAAAACAAUGUCAAAUUUUAGAUUGCUGAAAUUUUAUAUAUCCGAGUAUGAUGGUAUUCCAAUUAUAAGCUCCAGGGUGCAACUUCACUGAGGUUUAGAAUGCCUUCCUAUAGAAUUGAGAAAUCUCCAUUGGCCUAAAUAUCUUUUGAAAAUACUGGCAUCAGAUUUUGAAUUGGAGAACCUGAUUGGACUCAGCUUGCCUUGUAGUAAGGUUAAGCAAAUUUGGAAAAGAGAAAAGGUAUAAUGUAUUACUAUUACCAAAGUAUCUAUUUUUCUUUCUUUAAGUAUUUAUAAUGAAUAACUUUGAAAUUCAAUGAUGCUCAUUUAGUAUAGUUAUGUAUCUUUGGUUAUAGGAAGCUGUCAAGUUAAAAUCUAUAGACCUUCACCACCCCUCUAUCUCAAUAGGAUCCCAGAAAUACUAAAUCUUAAAAAAAUAAAUCUUUCAAAUUGUGAAAGCAUGCUUACGUUACCCCCGUAUAUCCACAAUUUCAACUAGCUGAGUAUGUUGUGUUUCAGGGAUGCAAAAUUCAUUUUGUUUCUCAUGAAAGGAUUGACUUGUCCGGAUGUAUUAGGGUUAAUAAACCAACUAAUCCCAUAAUUUGUUGAUGUAGUAGAUUGUAGAUCAGUACACUAUUCGAAAAUGUAUUUGAUCCACACAGUGAAGUGGAUAUUGGACCAAUUUGAUGAUAAUGAUUUUCUUUCAAUCUCAAUCUUUUUUCCUUUUAGCAACAUGACUAGUCAUUGCGCAAAUUCAAACUCUGACAAUGAUUUCUCAAUCGGUUUCUAAGAUGAUGACCAUGCAUGUAUAUGUAUAUGCGUGUGUAUAUGUGUGUGUGUGUGUGUGUAGAGAGAGAGAGAGAGAUCACACGUGUGUGAUUUCCUUUUGCCAAUAGGAUAUGCAGAGAGCUUGAUCUUACCCAAUAGCGAAACAAACUUCCUAAUAAGUGAAGGUUAGUAUAAAUACUUACACUUUCAUGUUAUUUUGUUCAUCAGUAGCUUGAUUAUUUUAUAUGCGUCUUCGAUUUUAAUUUUCUUUCCCUAUAAUCACUAUUAUCUUUGAACUGGUCGUGAUUUGCGUAUAAGAUUUCUCAUGUUGUUUUGAGGUGCAAUGGAUUUUGAAUUUAGUGACGAGCGGUGGAAGCCAGAAGGCAGAUUAUGAAAAUGGAUAAAGAUCUAUAAUUAGCUGUUAUGGGAUGUCACAUAUCAUAUUGAUGGUAACAUUAUAUAUAUGUACAUAUAAUUAAUGGGGUUGGCUCACGAGCCCAUUAAUAAUCAUAUAUUAGCUUAAAUACUUCAAACAAUGUACCAUGAAGCAAUUUCACAAACACUUUUUAGCUUAUGUUGAGCUUUAUCAAUAAAAUGCAGGUUUGCUAUUUUACGUACAUGGUUAUGGUGUGUGCAUUCUUCAUAAGGCUAACUACUAAUUUAUCAAUGAAACUUGAAAAAUGUGACAGAGAGAUGUCGAUAACAGCCGCAAAACACUGAGAUCGAAAAUCAGGGCUACUAAAUACUAUUAAAAGCUCUUAAAAUAGACAGUGAUCAUCCUUAAUCGCAAAGUUAUGCACUAAUAGAACUAUUGACUACUUAUCUUUAGCAGAAGGUAUAUUUUUAACUACAGCUUUCUGCUUUGUUCUAAGAACUAGGCAAGUGGUAUAUCUUCAAUCCAAUCAACGCAUAUACCACUUAUCUUCCUCUUCACUUUUGUCUAUUUUGAUUUCCACUUUAUAUCCUGCACUUGCUGCUUAGAAAUAGUCUUAGUCUGGACAUUGAAAGUAGAAAAAGUACUUGAAACAAUCAUUGGCACAGCCCGAGAUUCCAUUGAAUCGUGGACUCCAAGCUUUCAUAGUUCUAUAAAGAAAAUGACAUAACUUUAUACAACUGGCAUUCUGCUUUUAACAUUUGAUCAACCUGAGCGAGUUAGCAAGCCUCUUGUCGCGUUCCCAUUGAAUAGACCUACUUCUGUUAUCCACAGAAGAUCCACCACUCAAAAUGUUUAUCACCAGGCUAUUCUUAAACUGAGCCUAAACUGAGUAGAAAUUUCCGCACAUCUCUCAACAUUUACAUGAAGAAAUCGACAACUAUCCUCAUCUCUCAGCACAUCUCUCAGCAUUCUACAAAGUUGCAUUUCACUAAGCAAUCUAUCCUCUCCAUUCCUAGCAAAGUGACAUUGAUUCAUGUAUUUGUAAUCGCCUAACUUGGGUUUUGGGCAUAGCGUGGUCUUAAAAUUACCACCCAAUACUUUGUUCAGUGCCACUGGCAUCCACAAGCUCUAGCCCUGUUAGCUGAAUCAUAUUCAAUGGGAGAGUGAGGCAGCAUUUCACUAACAUAUUCAAUUUGACUACUUAUAUUGAUGCAAAUAUUAGAAUUUGAAAUCACUUCUUUUCUUGGAAUAUUAUAUUAAAAUGACCCCAAAUGAAAGUUCUUUAAUGGAAAUUAUUUUUAUUUAAUUUUCCAACAGAUUCAAGAAAACCCAGAGAACACAAAAUUUACACAGUAAUAUGAUUAAGAGCUGAGAACAUACAUGUAGUAAAUGUCUAUCAAAAAACACCCAAGUGUUUCUUUAAAAUUAGAAACUAGUAAACAAAAAGAAAGAAUCAUUUUACAUUUUUAGCAACUUUGGGGUGAGUGAGUGAGUGAGUGAGUGAGAAAUUGAAACCCUAAAGUGAUGACAACAGUAAGAUUCAGUAUGAAGUGAAACCCCAAUUUGAAAUGUAGGCAUGAGUUGCUGAGUCAGUAGAUGAAGCUAUAAAUAGGCAUUCGGUUUCCUUCUUUUCGGUUUGGAGGGCCAUGGAAUAGUGUAUUGGAGUGGGCUCCAAGUAAUAGCCUCUAUCACUGGAACGACACAUCUGUAAAACGUGAUACAUGGGGAAGGAUUGGGCAUUAUAUUCUUAGAUUAGCGCCUUAUUUAGGGUGUAUAUUAAGCAAAUUAUAUAUUACAUGGAGAUGGAGUUUAUGAAAUAGAUUAAAAAGAAAAGGAAAUUUCGGUGUCUAAAGUUUGCUACUUGGAAUAUUUCGGUGUCUAAAAAUUCACUCACCACUUAUUUCAUGUUUGAUUAUAUGUUGAAAAGAUAUUAAAAUAGUAUAAUGCUAUUAAGGCUUAACGUAUAUUUUUUAUUAGUAGAGUGUAGAAUUUUUAAGAAAUAAAUUAUUAAAUUAUUAUAACUAACAUAUUAUUUUAAAGUUGUGUUAUGAAAAAAAUGAAAUAAAAAUGUACAAUAAAUAAGAAUAUUUUAAAACUUUUAUCUUUUUAAAAUUAGUUUUUAACAUAAGGUGAACUAUUUUUUUUUUUAAAUCACAUAUUCUAGUUAAAAUCAAAUAUGUAUUUAUAUGAAGCUUGUAAAUUUUUUUUUUUAGUACUGAUAUUUGAAUAUUAUCAAUAAAAAAAAGGGUAAUGUUCAUGCUGCAUUAUUUUUGUAGCACACAAAAGGACAACAAAGUUUAUGUUAUAAUACUAUCGCUUCUGUUAUGAUAAUAUUUUUUUGUGGCCAAAUAUCUUUUUUUUUUUUAAGUAAAAAAAAGUGGACAAAAUGCAAAUCAGUUUUUAAUCCUCAAUCUCUCCCAAAAUAUAAAUUCGUAGGUCCAUGGGUUGUUAAAACUAUAGCCGACAAAAAGUUACUAACAAAAACAGAAUGUCCAUUUUAUAACUUUCUUAAAAAACUUUCCUUAACUUUUUUAAAAAGUUACCAACAAAAAGUUAUUUCUAAUUUUUAUUUUGUUAUAAUUUUUAUAACAAAAUUCGUAGUUAACUAAACUCUUCUUAUUCCCUUUCUCAACUGCCAUACCCUAACCCGAGCAAAUUGCGUAGGAUAUACCUGUUUUCCCUCAAAAUACUUAAAAUAUACCUCCAUAUAUUAAAAUUGCUAGCUUUACACAUUUAUACUUAAAAAGAUCAGGGAAAAUACAAAAAUAACCUUAAUAAAAAUACUCAACUUAUUAAUAUGCUUAAUCGACUCAUUUAAUAUUCUUACUCGACUUUUUACCGGACCAUACACUCGACUUAGUUAAUAUGCUUACUCGACUUAUUUAAUAUUCUUACUCGACUUCUUACCCGACCAUAUACUCGAUUUAUUUAAUAUGUUUACUCGACUCAUUUAAUAUUCUUACUCGACUUCUUACCCGACCAUAUACUCGACUUAUUUAAUAUGCUUACUCGACUCAUGUAAUAUUCUUACUCGACUUCUUAUCCGACCAUAUACUCAACUUAUUUAAUAUGCUUACUCGACUCAUUUAAUAUUCUUACUCGACUUCUUACCGGACCAUAUACUCAACUUAUUUAAUAUGCUUACUCGACUCAUUUAAUAUUCUUACUCGACUUCUUACCGGACCAUAUACUCGACUUAUGUAAUAUGCUUACUCGACCCAUGUAAUAUUCUUACUCGACUUCUUACCCGACCAUAUACUCAACUUAUUUAAUAUGCUUACUCGACUCAUUUAAUAUUCUUACUCGACUUCUUACCCGACCAUAUACUCGACUUCUUUAAUAUGCUUACUCGACUCAUUUAAUAUUCUUACUCGACUCAUUUAAUAUUCUUACUCGACUUCGUACCCGACCAUAUACUCGACUUCUUUAAUAUGCUUACUCGACUCAUUUAAUUUUCCUACUCGACUUCUUACCCGACCAUAUACUCGACUUAUUUAAUAUGCUUACUCGAUUCAUUUAAUAUUCUUACUCGACUUCUUACCCGACCAUAUACUCGACUUACUUAUCUCUAAUUCUUACUCGACUAAAUUCUCGAUUUACCCGACUUCUUCCUGCACUGAUUCUUCAAUCACUCAUAACUUAAAUGUAGUCUUAAAUCCCUACAUUGAAAUAGUGUGUGUGUGCAAGCACAAAAAAUGAAUAAUGUACUACUAAAAUUCAUAAAUCAUUAGGAAGUACACUUAUAAGAAAAAUAGAGAAUGGUGAGAGAAGCCCAAAAAAGAGAAGCAAUGGGAGAAGAGAGAUGUGAAUUCUUAGUUUUUUUAAGGUUAUUUUUGACUUGUCCUAUCUUCAUAAGGUAUAUGUGUGUAAUAGGGUACAAAUUUGGCAUUUAAGGGUAAAUUGAGGGUAUUUAAAUAAAAAACCCCCUAACCCUGUUCCCCAUGUCCCCACUAAACCACGCUCAAUUAAGGCCAUCAGAUUCUCCCGGGCCCACAUUAAUCCAACUGCUCACAGAGACCGACAGCCUCUCUAUCUCCAUUUCAAGCUCCCUCUUCAACUGGCUUCUGCUACCGUCCUACUCUUUCUCGGCUUCGGAGUCCGUAUUUGCUCGGCCUGUCCCACGAAGCUCCCUCUCACUCCAAUUGUCGCCCCACAAGACCAAUUGCUUAAUCAAGACACCGAACAAGAAGAGGAUGAGAAGUUGAAACAAGAAUUUGAGAAUUGGAAAUCAAAAACGUUUGAGAGUCGUUUCUCUUCAGAACUCAGCGCCUCAAUCUUGGGUUAAGGAUUUUAGAAGUCAGGGAAAGAGAUUGAAGUUUCAGAUGAAUUUGUGUGCUAGCAUUGAUGGGAUCUUUAACAAUUUAUCUGUGCCCUUUAACAAAGUUAAGUCUAAGUCAGCUUCUUAUAUGGCUGCUGAUUUGGUUAGUGUUGGUGAUUCAUGGCUUAGUUUUGCCAUUAAAAAUAGAUUGAUUGAGCCAAUAGCUGGAGCUGAAGACCAAGAUUGGUUCAAAUGCUUAAGUCACAAAUGGAAGGUAACAUCUUUGUCUUUGAUCCUCGAGGUAAAAUAUGGGCGGCACCAUACAGGUGGGGCACAACGGUGAUAGCCUGCAAGAAAAUUAAAUUUCGAAAGCAUAAUUUGGCUCCGAUUGAGGUAAUAAUUUUCUUUAAACUCAUUUAGUUUUAUAUCAAACAAAAUCAAGAAUGCCUUUCUCUUCAAUAUUUUUUAUGAUAAUAUCUUUAGAAGCAUCUCAUUGACGGGUAACAAUGGCAUCCCUGAAAGAGUCUAUAAACUCAAUGAUAUUAUCUUCUACAAAUGGUUCAUUAAACUUUGUCGUUGUACUCAAAUGUACACUCAGAGCAAUGAGAAGCUAUGCCACUUUAGCAUGUAGUGAUGGCACUUAAUAAGUGAGUUGCUAGGAUGUGAACUAGAAAAAUUAAAUAUUGUCUCCUUGGGUAUGCUAGCUCGUAAGUCAGGGUUAAUAUCAGAGCUUAAGAUAGUAUAACCGUGAGAACCUAUUGACUGCCAAUUAAAAUAUCCAUUAAAAUGUCUAGGGAGUUAUGAAGGUGGAGGUAACUUCCGAUUUCUAGGGCCACAUGGUAGACAUCAUCCAGGAUUCUAGGAAAGUGCAGUUAACUUCCUGCUCGAUGCAAUUAAUAAAUUUGGUCAAUGCCACUGAAACCUGCUAACUGACAUCACAAUGUGACAUGAGCACUUCAAAAUGGGACAGACGGUCAGUAGCACUAAUUUUUUCUUGGCUAGGAUUGAGCAAUUGGUCUAACUACUAAUCCCCUAUUGUAGGUUGAUCAUUAUUUUUUAAAUUAUGUUCAGUUUGACCCAAAAAGUUGCAGAAUCUUGAGCAGAAUUUUGUCACUGAACACUGUCAAUGUCAUUUAGCAUAGCCCACUAACUUGAUGUUAAAACAAACACACAGUGUGUCUCAUGUCUCACAAUUCAAAUUAUCAUCUGUAAUGAUGGAGAAUUUUUCCAAUGUAUGAAGUAUGCUUUGAUAUGUGGGUUACCUUGGAGAAGAUAUCUCAAAAUAAAGAAUAUGGGGAGAAAACAGUUCAGUAGUUUAUUAUUCUGUAGUCAAGUUUUGUCUCGAAAAUGGUCAAAAUUUAAAUGAAUAAGGACAGGGGAUCUUCAUUCUUUUUUCCCUUUUUUAUACCAAGAUAUCUCUCAACCUUUAUAUAAUCCCCACUGGAUAUCUGCUUCUAAUAAUUAAAAUAAAAAUUUCACCGCUCUAACAAUAAAAAGUAACAUCUUUAGUCAAAUAAUUUACAGUUCCUCAUCAUCUUAGUGUGAGACUAUCAGUACAUUCCAAAAACAUAAUAAAACUGGUUUGAUCCUGUUUAUUGAUGUUUAAAUGUUGUUCAUUGUGACAUGUAGAAAUGAUGAGGCGAAGUUUAUUUGGACAUCAAUUAGUAAGAUCUUGUUUGAAGUUGUUUUCUGAAAUUUCUGAAAUGAACUGCCAAAUGGUAGUUUUUUUGGGGCAUUUGAUGGCUCUUUUUUUUCCCUCAUUUUCAACAUGUGCCUGCUUGGAACAGGAAGGAUUAGGCUGCAGAGUUGUUAUAUAUUUUGAGAUGCUCUGGUCAUUGCACAAUUUGUUCACACUGGAAAUUAGAAUGAGAAAUUUGUUGAUGCUGUUUUGAGAGAUCUGCAUUCUAUGCACAAUAACAUGAUUAAUGAAAAUGCAUUGUAAGACUGGAAAGAUCUGUGGCAGCCUGAGCUCGCAGGAAGAAUUUCAAUGGUUAAUUCUCCCCGAGAGGUUAUUGGUUCAGUUUUGAAGUAUAGGGUAGCAUCAUACAAUUCAAAUGAUAUUGAUUCGCAAGUUGCUGGUGGGAAGAUUGCUGUUCAGCAGAAUCUGGCAUUACUGGCAAACCAGGUACUCUUACAGAAAUGAUAUCUGCUCAUUGCAUGUUAUUGCCUGACAACUGAUUUUGUUUGUAAAAGUCUGCUUCUUCAUACAGAUGAAUGCAUAUGUUAGUGUUUUCUUCUCCUUUUCAUACAUAUAAAUGCAUAUGUUAGUGUUGUCUUUUCUUUUUCAUACAUAUUAAUACAUAUGUUGGUGUUCUCUCCUGAGAUGGAUGCAAUAAAGGCUUUUGCUCCUAAAUUUAGCUGAAGAAAUGGCAAGGGAUGUGAGAUUCUGUCUCAUUAAAUUAACAAAAACCCAAAGCAAUGAAAAUCCAUAAUAAUGUGGUGUGGGUAAAUUGGCUCCAUUUGGUUUGUUUCCUUAAUGUGAAUGCGCGAGCAAUAGAGACUAACAAAAUGAAGUGACAACAAGAAGUCAGUGUCCUUUGAUGGAUGCAAUUUUAGGCAGAAAUCAGUGUCCUUUGAUGGAUGCAUUUUUAGGCAGAAAUAUGUUUGUAAUUGACCAAAUUUGUCUGGCAUGCCAAUUUCAAAAAAAUUAAAUUAUGUGGUUAUUAGCUGUAAUGAAGGAGGAUAGUAGGUGCAAUCAUGUGGAUCCAGGAAAGUUCGACAAAGUUUUGGUAUGGCGUAGUGAAAUUGGUUUGUGCAACUCAGGAGCCUUUCAGGUGAACGAUGAUAGGUUUUGAUUUAUGAAUAUUAUAAAUCUACUGUGCAUAGUAUUCUAGUAGAAUCAUCUACAAGUUCUAGUUAUUGAAAUUGUAUACUUUGCCCGGUUUGAGUUAAGGGCACAUGUAAUAUGAAAGAUAGUUGUCGCAUCUUUUAGGUUACCUAACAUUUGAUCAAUCCUAUUAUGGGGGCUUCAAGAUGUCUAACAAUAUGUAGAAUGCCCAUGCUCCUCCCCAUUGUUUAUCUUCUACAAUAAUUUGUUUUAAAUGCUAAUAUCUUUGUCGAUACCGGUAACAAUAUUACAAUAUCUGCAUUUAUUGGGUUUUACAUAGGUUCGACUGUUUGACAGUACACACUAUCUGAAGGCAUUUGCAAUUGGAGAUGUAUGGGUUGCUGUUGGGUGGAUUAGUGAUGUUCUUCCUACUGUCAAACAUAUGUCUAAUGUUGCUGUUGUUGUUCCCAAGUCUGGUGCUAGCUGCCUGCCAUUCUACUUCGAUAUUCACAUUGUUAUCUCCUUCAUAUUAGCGAUCAGUAAACACGAUAAUGUGGCUAAUAAGUUCGUAUUCUCUUUAUAGGCAAUCCCUGCUGCCUCAAGACUUGAAACAAAACAAAUUGGAGGGCGAGUCAGAGGUCCAUCUCCAUUAAUCCAUCAAUGAAUAGAAUUCUGCUUGCAAACAGCGAGAUUUUUGCCUUGCAAGCAAGAGGUUAUCCCGGGUGCAUCUCCCUCUGCCCUUGAAAGUACUCUGGUUAAGUUGCCUGAAGAACUUCUGGAGGGUAAACCAAGUCUGGAUACUAACUUAAUUGCUGGAGUACUCCCGGCUGAAAUUCUGGCCAGAUGUGAGUUUUUGGAGCCAUUAUCUGAAGCUACUUUGUCAGAUUAUGAGUGGCUGGUUGUUAAUCUGCAAAAACCUGCUCCUGUCUUGAUGAAAAGGGUGCAACAUUACUUGUCAUCAUUAAUCUAAAGCUUUCUAGCAAGAGCUACACUGAAAAGUUAAUGGCGCUGCAUGCCAGUCAUUAUAAUGCUGUCAGGGCAAUUGGGUCAGGGCAAUUAGGUCUGAGCAUAACUUCAUUAGGAAAAGAGGCUUCAGCUACGUUAAAUAUUACAGGAUGUACUGAGAUGGCUGAAGUUCUGAAGGUUUUAUGAGAAGCGAAAGAUGAGUGUUUGUUUGAACAAAGUUGUUGCCAAUCUUGCAGAGUUCGGAAAGAAAGAUCACGGAGCGAAUGCCACCGAUUUCUUCAUCAUUUUAGCCUCCAUAGUUGAAGUUUCCUCAUUUGAAGCUGUUUAUGCAUACGCUUUUUCCCUGCUCUAGUACAGGAAAUUGAAGAAUUAACCAGAUGUGAUAUGCUGAAAGAGGGAAGUUUUCUUCCUUGAAUGUGGCCUUUGUGAUUUGUCUUGAAGGAAUAGGAUGAUCACUGGCAAGAACCCUAUCAAGGUAGAUUUUAUGGUGUUAACAUAUUAUUAGGCAUUUUGUUACAUCAUGAAAGUGUUUAAAUUUAACCGAAUGAUCUUGAUUGAUCAAUUAUGAGUUUUAAUCGAGUAAAAACUAAAUACAAUAAUCGUUAACAAAUAUUGAAAUUGGGUAAAUAUGAUCUUGAUAUUGAAGAAUUUGAAAUCACAACCCACACAGGAAAUCACCCUUCGCGUGGGGAUGGAGAUGUUUACUGCAGCGAUAUUGAAUAUGUCCACUGCUCUUUGGGUUAUGGUGCGACUUGCGAUUUCAAGGUUGCCAUGAAACAAUGGAAAAGAUUAACAUACCCUCCAAUGAAUGAAAACGGGUGGACUAAUUCGGAUUACCUAAUUGACUCAGGAUCAAGAUCGGCUGGCAAUAAUAACAGUUUAUUAACAAUGCACAGUCCGAGUACCUUUCCAGGAUCAGAUACGACGUGGUCUAAUGUUGAUAAUAAUAGUUUAUUAAAUGACAAAUCGUUGUUCUUGGGUGUUGAUUUCAGAAAUAAAAUACAUUCUGAGAGAUGCUGGUCUACUAUUGCAAGCCCCCAGAUUUAAGAAUAUUUUGAUGAUAAUUUAUCACCGGCAACUGUGCCGGAAGAUUCAAGUAGCACUGAAAAAGAUGAUAAUUUAAUUGAUAUGGACAGUUUCCAUAUCACUUUUAAAUCAUCUUAUGUAAUUGUAAUGUUAGGAAGCAUUAGUGAUCUAAAAGUGAACUAUUAUUGGUGUCAUUGGUGGUUUUAUCUUGUUAAAAUAUGGAUGAUAUUUUAUUGUAGACAAUCUUAUUCAAUUAACAUAUGGUUUAAAACCAUUAUGUUUUAUAUAAAUCAAUCUACUAAUUUUCAUGAUAUUUAACUGAGUUAAAAUCAAGUGCACUCAAUAAAUGUCUUUUCCUUUAAAAAAACAGCUACGCUUUGAUUUUAGUGCUUAAUAUUUCGUAACUACAAAUUAUAUAAUUGCGAGUUGCUGUCCAUAGCUGCUAAUUUGUAGUGAUUAUCUAAUUGCCUGAGGUGACAAUAAUUCUUUUAUCUUCAAUAGCACAAUGUGGAAUUCAAUAAUUAAAUUCUCCUAUUUAAUUUGUUUCAAGUUAAAUUAUUAAUUACUUAAACUCUGUUUUAAGUCUUUAAUUUUAUGUGUUUAUGCAGAAUUGGAUUCUUGAGCGUGUUGGACAUGACCAACAAUGAAAUUGACAGUAAACAAACAUUACAACGUGUGGACUCCGGUAAGCACCAAUGAAUUUCUAGCCCUGUUGACUCCGCCAACUAAAGUUUUGUAAAAUAAAAAAAUAAUACAUAGAAUUCCACCAAAUGCAAAACGCGUGAAAUUUAAUUUUCGGCCGUGUGGACCAAAACAUAAUUUAACGAAAAAGGAAAAAAAUAAUAAGAUUUUUAAAAUGUGUGGAAGGUAAUCCAUAUUUUACUGAAACGACUUAUUAAAUUUUUCAAGGAUUUAGAAUAUUUGAUCAUAAAUUACGUGCAUGUUAAUUUUUCCGCCAUUGACUAUCAUAUUCUAGACUUAAUGGUACCUUUCUUGAUGAAGGGUACUUAGUCUCUCUUCUCCUCUUAUAAAAAUUAUAUUAAUUGAUUUCUUGUUAUAGUUAAUAGACUUUAAGAACGGAUAGAUUUAUUGUUUUCAUGACCAAAUUAUGCAUGCCUAAGGUUGCAACUAUUAAUAAAAUUAAUAUUUAAUGUUUAUGUUAAAAGAUAUAAGUUUUUAUGCAUUCAUUAAUUGUUAUUAGCUAAAGGAUGAAUUAUUUUUUCCCAAUCAGUUGAUGCAUCUGCAAUAGUUUUUUUUUUCUUUUAUUGACCAUAAUUAUAUUCCGGGUGCAAUAAAUUGUCUUUGGUGCUUGGAAAAUAUGACAUCUCUCCGUCAACUUACUGGAAAUAUCUCCUCAUCUACUCGCAUUUAUCUAAUAUCAAUUGAAGAUCUCAUAUUUCCAAACUAUGACUUCCAAAUCUCAUUAUCAUUUGAGCAUUCAAAACUAAUCAAGUGUGGAAAUAAUCAAAUAUAUGCAAAAAUCGAGUCACAAUCUUUGGCCCCUCAAAAUUCUAAUUAUAUAACUUCUAUAUAUCUCAUACAUUUUCCAAAUUCCUCUUCCAUCAACAUCACUAGGAGUAUGUUCAUCUCUCACACAUUAACUUGAGUGAAGAGUUUCUAAAUUGAUUGUUAGAAAAUAAUACAAAAGCUAGACACGCUUGAUCUGUCUAAUAAUUCUCUUUCUGUAAAAUUAAUUAAUUUUAGGGGAAUUUAGCCAACCUCUGUAAUUUCAGAGUGAUCAUUAAUUAAUUAAACAAUACAAAUAUCUAAAGUGAUUAGAUGUUUGCUGACAAUACAAGUUCAUGGCUUGAAAUUUGAUCUCUAUCGAUUGACUUACAGAUGGACGUACUUGUGCCUUUCUGGUGAUAAUUGAACCAGAGAUGUGAAGCUGUAAGGAUUUGGCAGUAGUAAAUUGUUAUAAAGACAUAAUGACAAAUUCCCAUGAUUAUUAUUUUUUCCAAAAACUUUUUUACAACAAAUUCAUCUCGCCAAAAAUUUUAUUUUGCUAACUAACAAUAAUUGAGCACUUGACCGCAUUGACUCCACGUCUCCACCUACUUUCUAAGUAAAAACAUGGAAAUGUAAUCUCUACAAAAUGCCAAACGUGUGGAAUUUAAUUUUUGGCCUUGUGGACCAAAAUGCAAAUGAAAGAAAAAGAGAGAAAAAAACAAGGCCCAAAGACUUCUAAAAGAUGUAAAAGCUUUGGGCUUUUUUAUAAUGGUGGAUUUUUUAAAAGGAAAAAAUAACAACACUUCUAUGGUUUGUUUUGAUAAUCACAUUUACAUAUACUCUCUAAUUUUCAAAAUAGACACAUAAAUAUUUUUUUUCUACAAAUGUAUAUUAUUCAUAUUUUUUUAUUAUUUUUAAUAUCAUAUUAUUAUUUAUUAUAAAUGUUUAAAGUAAAUUUUUAGGUUGAAAUAUAAUAAAAGGGGAUAAUCGUUCUCCUAUUAAACACCCAUACUUUUAGUUUCUAUCCAUUUGUCAUCUCAAUCUCUCUCGAUUAUUCAUUCUUUCUAGCUCAAAACGCGUUGCUGUGGAAAAUUAUAGCAAAAAGACAAAUAUGGAAAAGAAAAAAGGGAAGAAAAUUAAUGCAUGAAAGACUUGGAGAAAACAACGAAGUAAGUCAACUAUAAUCUAGUUAGGUAUAUAAAUUGUUUGAUGCUUUAUAAGCAAAUAACAUAUAGAGACAGACAGUGUGUGUUCGUUUUUUCAUAGUUAAAGAUAUAGUUAGAAUGGGUGGUUCAAAAUCAAAAAUGGUGAUAAUGUUUGUUAUGUUAUUAAUAAUAUUUAAAAGUGGGUGGAGUGAGGGAUGUUUGGAUCACGAGAGAUUUGCUCUUUUGCGACUUAAACAUUUCUUCGAUGAUACUGGUAGUUAUCUUUACGACUGGGCCGAUGAUGAGGGAGCUACUGAUUGUUGUCAGUGGGAAAGGGUUGAGUGCAGCAACACCACAGGUCGAGUGACAGCGCUAGACCUUUCUGACACGUAUUCGGGAGAGUACGGCUGGUAUCUGAAUGCUUCUUUGUUUACUUCCUUUCAACAACUUGAGUCACUUGAUUUUAGUUUAAACAAAAUAGCCGGUUGUGAUGAGAAUGAAGGUACUUCGUUUAAUUUAAUUAAUUUACUUUCACUCUCCUAAUUUAAGUGGAAUAUUAAGACUGAGCAACUAUAUGCAUAUACAUUAGUUGACAAUUUUGACAUAUUUUUUGAAGUGAUUAAUUAAUUUUGAAAUUACACCAAUAUCUAUGAUCUUUUUUUUUUUUUUAAUUUUGCUUGCAGGUCUAGAGAGGUUAUCAAGAUUGAACAAUUUAAAGAUGCUUAAUUUAAGUUAUAACUGGUUCAACAAUAGUAUCUUAUCAUCUUUAACUCGUCUUUCAUCAUUAAGAUCAUUAAAAUUAUAUGCGAAUAAUUUGGAAGGAAGUAUUGAUGUUAAAGGUACAUAUUUAAAACUUCUCUCUUCCCCAAGCUCUUUCAUUAACCUGCUAAAAUAAGAUUCAAGGCUUUGAAUUCAAUUUUUUUAUGAUUAAUAUUUUAAAAAAAAGUUUUAAGCAAUUUAUAAAUACAAGUUUUAAUGUUUCUCAUAAUUUCAUCUUGUACUUUCAUAUGUCUUGAAUUUAAGAUUAAAAAAAAAACUCUAAUAGCGAACCAAACACCUCCACAACUUAUUAUUAUUAUUUUUUAAUUUGUGGUGAGGUUUGAAACAUUCAAGUCAAUUUGUACUUAUUACAGAAUUUGAUUCUUUGAGAGAUUUAGAGGAGCUAGACAUUGGAUGGAACAUGAUUGACAAAUUUGUGGUCUCAAAAGGUACUACAAAUACCAUAAAAAAAUGCCAACUUUUACAAAUAAGCUGGAUUCUUUGCCAUUUGGUUUAUUAUUUUACAGGUUUGAGUAAGUUGAAGUCUCUCGGUUUAGCUGGUAUCAAACUCAACCGUAGCAUCUUAUCUUCUCUGACUGUCUUUUCUUCGUUAAGAGAAUUACAUCUACGUGAUACCGGAUUCAAAGGAACAUUCGAUGUUCGAGGUAAGUCUAAGCCUUGCUUUCUCAUUUUAUAUAUGCCAGCUAGAUUUGUGUAUCAUUGACAUAAUUUAAUAUUUAAUUUGAUUCGUCUGAAGGAAUUACAUGCUAAUUUAAACAUACUUUUAUUUACUUUGUCAAUUAAUUAAUUAAUUAAUUACUAUUUGGCUUGGUUUGGAUGAAAUUCUCAUGAUGUUUUAAUUUCUUUAAAUUAAUUAAUUAAUUAACUUUGUUUUUAAGUCUUAAGUCUGGGCAUGUUUGCAGAAUUUGAUUCCUUCAAUAACUUAGAAGUGUUGGACCUGAGUUGGAACGAAAUCGACAAUCUUGUGGUUCCUCAAGGUAAACAAUUAAAAUGUUAUUUAAUUACAUUAUUUUAAUUCAUUUGAUCUGGGAAGGCCAAAAAGGUAAAAAAAAAAUUAAAUAAAGAAACAGAGAAUUUGUAUUAUUUAAAAAACAGAAUGUAAUAAAGAUUUGAUUCUAGUUCUUUAAUCUUUAAAGCGAUUGAAAAACAAUGUUGCUCUUUUCCCAAAGCAUAAAAUACGAAUUGAAUGCCGAUUAACUUAAUCAUUCAUUUUGUUUAGCUCUAAAUUUAGACAAUGAAUUUUUAUAUUAUUUCAAAAACAGGACGUAAUAGAAUUUUUUUUAAAAACAGAUUGUAAUAAAGAUUUGAUUCCAAUUCUUUAAUCUUUACAGUGAUUGAAAAACGAUACUGCUUCCCAAAGCACAAAAUACGAAUUGACUCCCAAUUAAAUUAAUAAUUUAUUUCGUUUAGGUCUAAAUUUAGAAAAAUGAAUUUUGAUUCUCUUCAAUCCUUUCCUAAUUAUUAUUAAUAAACAGGUUACAAAGGUUUGAGGAAGUUGAAAAGCCUUGAUCUAUCGGGAGUUGGAAUUAGAGAUGGAAGCAAGUUGUUACAGUCAAUGGGAUCAUUCCCAUCCCUCAACACUCUUCACCUUUUGUUGAAUAAUUUUAACAAUAUAGCGACAGCUACUCAAGGUAAGUAAAAGUUGGAGAUGUGACCAAAUUUAUAAAUAAGCUGUUAAUUAAUUAAUUAAUUAAUUUUUCCGUAUUAUUAAUUAAGCUAAAUUCCUUGCUCCUUCCUUCUAAAUCUAAACAGAGUUGCACACUUUCACCAACUUGGAAUAUUUGACAUUGGACCAUUCCUCCCUCCAUAUAAGCCUUCUGCAAAGCAUUGCGUCAAUAUUCCCUUCGUUAAAAGAUUUGUCGAUGUUUGAUUGCAAAGUCAACGGUCUUGUACGCGGUCAAGGUAAAAGAAAAGUGUCGAUUGUGAACUCACUCAGUGUUGUCCUACGUGUUCAACAUUUUUAUUUAUUUAUUUUAUUGUUUAAUGUUUCUGCUAGGUUUUCCUCAUUUCAAGAGUUUGGACCAUUUGGACAUGGUUUUCGCGCGCACUGCACUCAACACCAGCUUUCUUCAAAUCAUCCGUGAAUCAAUGCCUUCUCUUAAGUACUUAUCAAUGUCAGAUUCUACUCUUGGCACUAACAGCAGCAGGAUUCUUGAUCAAGGUUAAUAAUAUAAAUAUUUAAUUACACAAACGAAUCACUUAUUAUAAAAGAAUAAUACGCAUUCAUUAAUUUUUAUGUUGUAUUAAUUGAUGAAUUUAAUAAAAUUUCAGGCCUCUGUUCGUUGAUGCAUCUGCAAGAGUUGUACAUCGAUAAUAAUGAUUUGAGAGGUAGCUUGCCUUGGUGCUUGGCAAAUAUGACAUCCCUCCGAAUAUUAGAUGUUUCUUCCAAUCAACUUACUGGAAGCAUCUCCUCAUCUCCCCUCGUUCAUUUGACAUCCAUUGAAGAACUGAUGCUUUCAAACAAUCACUUCCAGAUCCCAAUUUCACUUGAACCACUUUUCAAUCACUCAAGACUCAAGAUUUUCGAUGCUGCGAACAACGAAAUAAAAGCUGAAAUAACUGAGUCACAUUCUUUGACCGCCCCAAACUUCCAAUUACAAGCUCUCUCAUUGUCUUCCGGUUAUGGAGAUGGUGUCACAUUCCCCAAAUUCCUUUACCAUCAACAUGACCUGGAGGAUGUUCGUCUCUCACACGUAAAUAUGGAUGGAGAAUUUCCAAACUGGUUGUUGGAAAACAACACAAAAUUGAGACAACUUUAUCUCGUCAAUGAUUCUCUUACAGGACCUUUCCGAUUGCCAAUCCAUUCACACAGAUGGUUAAGAUUCUUGGAUGUCUCCAACAACAACUUCCAAGGCCACAUUCCAGUGGAAAUUGGAGAUAUUUUACCAAGUUUAAUAUCCUUCAACAUUUCAAUGAAUGCUUUAGAUAGUAGCAUUCCCUCUUCAUUUGGUAAUAUGAAAUUCCUCCAAAUUCUGGACUUAUCCAACAAUCACUUGACUGGUGAAAUCCCCGAGCACUUGGCCGUGGGUUGCGUCAACUUGCAGGCUCUUGCAUUAUCAAACAACAACUUAAAAGGUCAUAUGUUCUCCAGAAACUUUAACCUGACAAACUUGAGAUCAUUACAAUUGGAAGGCAAUCACUCGUAGGUGAGAUCCCACAAAGUUUGUCUAAAUGCUCCUCACUAGAAGGAUUGUAUAUUAACAAUAAUAGUCUUUCGGGUAAGAUUCCACGAUGGUUGGGUAAUCUCACAUGGUUACAAUAUAUUAUAAUGCCCAAUAAUCAUCUUGAAGGCCUUAUUCCAGUGGAGUUUUGUCAGCUUGAUUCGCUUCAGAUUUUGGACAUUUCAGACAACAACAUAUCUGGAAGUUUACCAUCUUGUUUCCAUCCUCUCUCUAUUGAACAAGUUCAUCUUUCAAAAAAUAUGUUACAUGGACAGCUAAAAAGAGGUACAUUCUUUCAUUGCUCUUCCCUGGUGACAUUAGAUCUCAGCUAUAACCGUUUGAAUGGCAGCAUUCCGAAUUGGGUUGAUGGGCUUUCUUAGUUAAGCCACCUUAUCUUAGGUCACAAUAAUCUUGAAGGUGAAGUGCCAGUUCAAUUGUGCGAACUGAACCGAUUGCAAUUGUUAGAUCUUUCUAAUAAUAAUCUUCACGGUCCUAUUCCUCCUUGCUUUGAUAACACCACACUUCAUGAAAGUUACAGCAAUAGUUAUAGUCUUGAUGAGCAAUUUGAAAUAUUUGUUUCCAUCGAAGGCUCUUGGGGAUCGGUAGAAAAGUAAAUCCAUGAAAUUUUUGAGUUCACAAUAAAGAACAUUGCGUACAUUUACCAAGGAAAAGUUCUUAGCCUCCUAUCAGGACUUGAUCUUUCUUGCAACAAGCUAAUCGGUCAUAUUCCUCCUCAAAUUGGAAAUUUGACAAGGAUUCAAACAUUGAAUCUAUCACACAACAACUUGACAGGAUUGAUCCCAUCAACAUUUUCAAACUUGAAGCAUAUCGAAAGUUUGGAUCUUUCCUACAACAAAUUGAAUGGGAAAAUCCCUCAUCAACUUGUGGAGUUAAAGACAUUGGAGGUUUUCAGUGUGGCAUACAAUAACUUAUCAGGCGAAAUUCCAGAAUGGACAGCACAAUUUGCAACCUUCAAUGAGAGUAGCUAUGAGGGAAAUACUUUUCUUUGUGGAUUGCCAUUGCCAAUUUGUAGAUCACCAGCAACUAUGUCGGAGGCUUCAAUUGGCAAUGAACGAGAUGAUAAUUUAAUUGACAUAGACAGUUUCUUUAUCACAUUUACAACAUCGUACGUAGUUGUGAUAUUCGGAAUUGUUAUUGUUUUAUAUGUAAAUUCUUAUUGGCGACGUAAAUGGUUUUACUUUGUUGAAAUGUGGAUAACUUCAUGUUACUAUUUUGUUGUAGACAAUCUUAUUCCAACAAGAUUUUGUCAUUAAAAUUAAUUAGUAGUUUAAUUACGAUUCUUUAAGUUCUAAUCAAGUUUGCUUAGGAAAUAAAUUUAUUUUUAUUUUUUAUUAAAAUUGUAGUAGUAUUUAGCGUUACAUAGCUUCCAACUUCCAAGCACUUCACAUUUGUCUCUACACUUCCAAACCCAUAUCUAUCCACCAUAACUUAUACUUCCCUAUACUGUGCAGCCUACUUAAAUAAGAGAACCAUCUCCAAUGUUAAAACCAGCCACUCUAUAACAUUCAUUUAGAAACUAUAUUUAGAAUAGUUUUAUUAUCAUACACAAGAAAUGAAACACCUAGAUGCACUUGAUCGCCUAUUUUACUUUAAAAAACAAUAAUUAUCGUGCUAUCAUCAUCUUCUUCACUAGCAACAUUAACACCAAAUCCAGCGAUGGACCCAGACAUUUAAUCAAGAAAGGUAUAUAUAUAACAAAGUUGAAGCUUGACAAAAAAUUCAGGAAGAUUAAUGCCUCGGUAUAUAUAUAUAAUAAAGUUGAAGCUUGACAAAAAAUUCAGGAAGAUUAAUGCCUCGCCACAACAAGGGGCACAACAACAUCAAAGUAGAGAUGAAGCAAUAUUCUCAAAGCUAAAACUCUCAAAUCCACCCACCAGAAUUUCAUAUCUCCUCGACAAUUUUAAGAACUAAAGAUAAUUAGGAUUUAACAUUAGUUUUUUAUAUAUUAGUUUCAUAAUUUACAAAUCAAUGAAGAUGAAGAUUAUGCUAAUGAAUUCAAAUUAUACCAUACAUUCUAUAGAUGUUACCAAAAAUUUCUAAGUCAAUCCCACAUAUUUCAUAAUUUUAAGACUAGAAAAUUUCAUUAGUUAGAAGUUUCAUUACCUUCAAGUGGAAGAUGAAGAACAUUAUACAAGUGAUUCAGAUUAUAUCAUACAUACUCCAAAUGCAACUAGAAAUUAACAAGUUCAUGCGCACAGAUUUCAUAACAUUAUGAUUGGAAAGUUUCACAAAGAGAAAUUCUAAAUUCAAUCUCUUGCAUCAAGGUAGUUUGAUUGAUUUGAGUUACUUUCUGAUCAAGCUACUAAUAUAACAUUCAAGUUAGGGAGAAAGUAAAUUAAAACUGGGAAGAAAUAACAGUAAAAAUUUGUUGCUAAACAUGAUGUGUAUUUUUUUUAAGGCAAUUUGGAAACACAGUUGUUACUACAGAUAUUCUCCUCAACUUGGAGACAAAUACAAAUAUUAAAAUGCAUAUGAUCGCACAUACUACUUGGAGCUUAGUAAGAUUUCAUUAAAAGAAGCAAUCAAACCACUUAUCAAUUGUCGCAAUCGUUCUAUAAACUAAAAUAGCAAUAUAAUACAAGAAAAAGAACAUAUAGAUACUCGGCAAGAGUUCAUUAAGAAGUCGCAUCACAUUAGGGUGAGGAGUUUGCUUCUGAUAUCUUGCUAGCUGGGGCUUUUUCUUGUCUUUCUACGUAUGCCGAGGGAAACCAACCAGCUAGGCCCUUGCAUUCACCUUCCGACCAUCCAGUAGGAGCCACCUUGAGAAGUUAUAACUAAAACGGUGAAUUAAAAAAAAGUUGACAAUUCAAAGACCUAAGGGGAAAACUAAUUCUUUUACGUAGAGGAAGUGAACUAGUUGUGAUCACUGAAAUAAAAAAAUAACUAUGGAAGCAUAACAAGAUAUAAAUUCACAUGUCUAUAAGGGUAAACAGGGUGGUUUAGAACUGAGCUAGCAACCCUACUAUAUUCUGAUUUGCACUUCAAUGUAAAAGGGAAUAUAUGGUAGGAAGAAAAAAAACCAACCAUCAUUUGUUAACUUAUUGCUUUUCAAUCAAAAUUUUAAGAACAAAAUGCCAUGUGCUUUGAACAUCAAAUAAGUAUAAGCAUUAGUUCUAAAUUCCACAUAUUAUAAGUUGUUAGAAGGAUAAGUUAAUAGCAUAGUAGAAAAAUCUAUGUGUUGGUAUUUAGAGGGGAAAGUACCUGGCGAACCACAACAUAAUCAUCAAUUGAAAGACUUAGCUCUCCAUUUGCUUGAUCAUCAAAUGGAUGUAUAACCUGCAAGAUAAUGGGAUAAAUAGAACUUAAAAAAAGCAUAACAAAAGCAGCAACAGCAGCAGCAGCAUUCAUUGUAACCACUAUGAUCAUGGCCAACAAAGAUAUAUUAGAAACAAAAUUCCAUUUUUACUACGACUUUAAUAUGUACUAUACGAUAUCAUGACGAUUGGGUUAUCAAGUGCUAUCAAAGUCUAAUAAGUUCUGUAUAACUUUAUAUAGUUAUUUUAAUUAUGGAUCAAAUUUUAAAUUUGAAAUUUUGACUGCUCUCCACAAAAUAUGGCCUAUGCACAAGAAAGUCAUAGAUAAUGAGGAUUACAAGUGUCCGACAUCUUUUGAGUGAUGGAUUUAACAUGAGAGCUUAUGGUCAGUCAAUUUCCUCUGCCUAGCAAUAUAAGCUUUCUCGGCCAGAUUUAUCAUCAAAUACAUAGAUUGCCCCCAAGUCACAUCCAUAUAAACAUAGUUUUCUAGGUAAACCAAGUAAGGAGAAUCAUAAUUUAGACAUAAUCAUAAAAAGGCCCAUCUAACUUAAGAGAAAAUCUCAAAAAGAGGGAUGUUGAGCUAUCAGUCUUGUAUCUAUAAGCAAUAUCAAGACUUUACAUCACCUGCUACAUCGUGAGUGGCUACACAACUUUCAGUGGUUUGUCUUUCUUUGGCAUGCCUAACUCAGCUUUGAUGUUGCUGAGAUAUUGAUAGUAGAGACACAUGAUACUUCUAGCUCAUGCAUUUUAUCUAGCUCAUCCGACAACUAUUUCUUUUUUAAUUCAUUAGUGUUUGCUAAACCUCAUGCUCAAAAGUCCUGUUCUCCUAAACAAAGUUUCCUAAGAAUGACUUCCUCAACACAACAUUUGGACACUUUUAGAGCAAUUUUAUUUGGAGGAAAAGAAUUUUCAAGGUGUUAACUAAUAAAUUUUAAAAUAUAAUUACAAUUUGUCCUACGAUCAUAUGACAAUUUAUUUGGGAUGAAAGGAUACAGACAGACAUCUUCCACUUUCAAGACUAAUCACUACUUCCGUAGAUGUUGUGCAAUGAUACAAAUACUUGACCAGAUGGUAGUGAUGGUAGAAAAAAAUUUAUUGCUCCAAAAUUAAAAUAAGAAUGCAAUAUGUUAAGCAAAAGACUGUGCAACAUCAAAUUAAUUGAUGAGUUUGUAAUUCAGUAAAUUAACAACUUUCAUGGUAAAAUACAACAAGUUUCUUUUAAAAAAAAUAAAUCUUAAAAGACAGCAUUCAUUUUUGUGCGCAUGUUAUUUCUUAAGAUUUUUCAGGAGGAGGGCAAUAGAGGGACUUUCACCUAUGCAAGAGAGCAGAAGCCUUACUUUUGCUAUAAAGUAGACGUCAUUCUGAUUAAUAUGCGUUUGAAUCAGCUCCGUUUGCUAUAAAGUAGACGUCACACAUGAGGCAUUUACAUCCAUUUCCAAAGUCACAUGUUGCGAGGAGGACUCAUUUGAUUGCUCCUCUAGGAUCAUCUAAUGCAAGUAGUAAGGGUUGGAAGAAAAUAAAAAGUCACAAUUAUUCUUUUGCGUAAGUGAGACGAAAAUGAUAAAUGCAAUAUUAUCAGCAGUAAACAAGAAGAGAACGCUCCAAGGAAUAGAUAGAUGCAGACAAGCAAGUUAAAAUGCAUAGUCCCAAACCUCCGCAUACAACUUCUCUAAAAUAGCAAUAACGUGUUGAUGAUAUGUUUUCUCAGCAUCUACCUGCAAAGGCCCGAGACCAGGAAAACGGCAAUAAAACCACUAGCUAAAGGAGAAAGUAAAGAAAGAAAUACACUUGACAUAAAUCUUGACAAGAAGCACAGUUUAAACCCCAAUCAUAUUGUUUAGAACUACCAUUCGUUAUUGUAACAUUUCGAACAAGUGUUGACUUAAUUCAACAUUGUUGGAAAGAUAGGCUUUUAAAAGCGGAAGAAAGCCACUCAAACCAAAGUGAUUGUCCUUGUAUUGAUCAAGGGAUGUAAACAUAUUACAUUUGCAGGAUAAGUUUUAAUUAAUCACUCCCCUGAUUUAUUUGGGUUGCAGUUUAAUUUGUGAAUUUCGUUAUUGUAACAUUUCGAACAAGUGUUGACUUAAUUCAACAUUGAAAAAUUAUUCAAUAAAUUAUGCAAACAUUAAAAUAGAGGACAUAUUAAAAAGUUUCUAAUUACAAUGUUAAUAUUUCCUAUAUUUUAGCAUUUGCAUAUUUUAAUUUAUUUAAAAGCUACGUCGAUCAACUUUGGGCGUGAAGAUUUUAGCUUCUACGAGACUUGAUUGGAAUAUGCAUAAGGAAGAGUGUUAAAAUAUGAUGCAUCCAACGAAAGACAAACCACGUGUAGUCUUUUAAUUAAGCCAAAGUAGCAGCUCAAACAAAUGACACUUGGACCAACAUGCAAUCAUGAAGUGGCCGGAAAAAGGACAAAUGCAACUUUGGCUUAAAUAAAAAAUAACAUGUGACUUGACUUUUGCUGGACAUGCAUCAUGUUAUUACAAGACAACAGAAAUCAGUAUGAUAGUACUAAAAGUUGACAAUAACAUGAAGAUAAGAGGCAGAAUAUCAACACAUGCAUAGGCACACACAAGGAAGUAUUAACUUAUAUACCAUAGCAAAAAGUCUUUGAUAUGUCAUCUGUUGCUGCUGUGAUUCAACUGACAGCAUGGCAGUUGUCGCUUCUCUACCAAGAGCCAUUAUUGUAGAUUUAAGCUCGGUCAAUCUUGCUUCUGCAUUUCGAAGCUUCACAGCACUCUCUGCUGAUAUAUCAGAUUCCCUAAUCUUUGAUCGGCGCCUAAAUACUUCAGCUGCCUGGUGAAAAUAUUCAAUAUAAAUCUAACAUAAUUCUAAUCUUGCCUUAUACAUGCAUAUGUUAACUCAAAGCUUACCUGGGCUUCAACUUCAUGUCGAAGUUUGUCAUAACGAUGAGUCAGGUGUCGAGCAUCUUCCAAAGGUGCUCCGUUGAUUAACGCCCGUAGUGGCUCAGAUACCUACAUGUCCAAAAACCUGUAACAUAGUUAGAAAAAUGAAAAGAAAGAGCGAAACCUCAAUUAAAAAGUUCCUCCAACAUAAUCAUGGAAUUUGGGCCUACUUCAAGGACAUAUAUAAGGAUAAUUUAUGCAAUUUUGGGUCUUAGGAUGAUUGGCAUUAGGUUAGUGUUCUUCUCUUCUGUAUUUAAGGUUAAAAUAGAAAUAAACCUAUGAAAAUAUCUAAAUUAGGGCUGUAAGACUUCCACAUGCAUCCUUCAGUCUCAUGGAUUUGAUUUUACUAUAGAUGCAAGUGUCUUUAUCGAAAAUGCUUGGAGUCAAUUGAGAGAACUCACGGCCAAUAACUUGUCACACGCUAGUCUUUGCUAGUGAUGUAAGAAGUCACAAGGUCUCUUCAACAUUUGAACCCAUAAAAUUAUUAAGUCAUGGAUGUCACUAGCAAUGAUUUUAAUAUAAAACAUUAAAUAUUUCAGAGUUGUAACGUUAAAAUUCUUUUAUUCAAUAUCUUAGAACUAAGUUUCCUUAUGAGAAGAUAAUAGUUUCAGUAGUAAUUUACAUAUAAUUUUCUAUAUUUGAAUUAUUUUCUAGUUAGGGAUGAACUAACCUGAUCACCAAGAAUCCCAAGCAAAGUUUCCCUCUCAUUUUCCAUCAAAUCAUGUGAAGUGCCAAAUUGAAGAGCAGCUCUUGCAACGCAAGAAUUGUCACUUUGAUUCUCCGCUCCAUACUUGCAACAAUCUUCAGCCAACUUUCUCGCUACAAUAUUUGAAUACAAAAAUAUUGUGCACAAGAACUAGUCAAGAAAAAAAAAAUCAAAUAUUAUAACGAAUGCAAGAGCAAACAAACAACCUAUUUCCAUUUGUUUCAAGCUUACUGCAACAAGCCCUUCAAUGCCACGAACAAUAUUCCUCUGAAAAUGCUGCGCUACAGAGCAUAUAUUCCAAAUUAUUGUUCAGAUAAAACCAUAGAAACCAUCAUAAUUAUUCAACAUACAUUAAGCUCCGUUUGGUAAAUACUUGCAACUUCAGUCUAGAGAAUACAGUUCUAUAUAUGUAGCAGUCUAAAGGAGGAUGGUGCCUUAGCUGCCCUGGUGGAAUUGUAUAGAUUUUGAAGUUGUUGGUGACACUCAAUUUCAGCUUCAUCAACUGCCUGUACAAAUCAUAAAAAACUAAUGAAAAAAAUAAAUAAAAUCGAGAAAUUUCACUAAUUAAAAGUCUAAAUAUAAUUUUAAAAAAGAAAGAAACGCACUUGGUGCUGCUUGGCGACUUGUUCUCGGAGCUUGAUUGCCUGUUUCUUGAUAGCUUCCAUACUGUUUCUUUCAAAAAGCGGCGACGGCUCAGCUCAUGGAAGUUGGGGAAAAAAAAAAGUGUGAUCAAGAAAAUAAAAAGGCAUAUUAUUGUUGACAAAAUGUGAAAAUAAAAAAGAAAAAAGAAAAUUAUAAGUUUGAAAGGAGAAGAUGAUAGUGGAAGAGUGCGGCGUGGCUGCCAGCUACUUGGAUUGUAUUGUCGGGUAAGGUAAUUGUAGAAAAUUAUAAGUUUGAACAGAGCAUGUUAGACUUUUGUUGACCAAAUUCAAAAGGCAAAUGGUACGGCCCAGAAGCUUUGGAAUACAGUAACUUACAAGAAAGCUCCAUUUAUUCUUCUUAUACUUUACGCUUGCAUCAGCUUAAAUCACUUCUUAAUCGCUUGCUUUAACUGCGCCGCUUUGUACUGUUCUAUAUAUGUAGCAGUUAUGCGGAUGUAGUUCACGGCUGAGGGUACGUGUUUGUUUGACGUGGUAGUUACGUUACGACGUUACGAGAGUAUUAUUAGUUAUUUCACAGGGAUAAAUAAGAUUAGUCACAAUAAACCCACUAGUUUUAUAAAAUUCGAGUAAUAUAGAAUAAAAUAAAAAAUGAAUACAAAAUUGACUUUUAUUUUUUAUGGUUGACUAUAUUUUGUGUUCUCUUCUGGUACUACUACAAUUGUUCCCUGUAUAUCACUCAUACCCAUAUAUCAUUGACACAAGAAAUGAAAUCUAAUGUCAGAUGUUUAGUUAAAGAAUCACUUAUGAAAAAAUUUUACCAUUUUGAUUUGAGGAUCCCUAUUUUGAACUGCAAGCUAAUGUUCAUCAAGAACAGAGUAUGGCAGUUGAGUAGAAAAACUAUUUUUGGACAAAUUGUUUUUAUUGAUAGAAGAAUUUCUCAAGGGACUACUAAAAUUAUUAAAAAAAAAUGUCAAACACGCCCAUAUAUCAUCAACACAAUUGGUUUUGAGAAUCCAUACUUUAAACUGCCGCCUAAUAUUCAUCAAGAGCAGAGCAUGGCUUGUGAGUAGAAAAUUUUCUGAUUUUGGCCCCAAAUAAUCCAGCACUUUCUCAUGAAGAAAUGCAUACAAAGCAUACCAUGGUACCAUACAAUACAAGGAGUCUCCGUUCUCUAGUUUUUCAAACUCUAAAGGGGCCAAUACUCCCUAAUUCCCCCUCGAAAAUUCUGAUUAUGACAUUAUUCAUCCCUCGAUGCAAUCAAAGUAGUGACAAAGUUAGGAAAAAUAUGAGUCCUAAGUAAUUGCUAGGCAGGGCUCCUGUGAGCAAAAUUGUCCUAAGCAUUAUAUGCAUACAUGGUGUGGUACAUAAAGCACAAUGAAUUCCACACUAUAACACAAACCCAGAAAGAGAAGAAACAACUUAAUUGAUGUAAAGACAAAAAGAAGAUAAAAUGAUAUAGAAAAAAAAAUUCAAAGAGAUAGCAACAUACUAUAGACUGAAGCCACUUGAUCUGCUCAUUGAUUGCAGCCUUAAACUUGCAAAUAGUUACCGUAAGCUAGUGCUAUAAGAAGUGAAAAUGAUGCACACCCUGAUUCCCUUCGACUUCCAUUUACUGUCAAACAUUCUAUUAAUACAAAAAAAUUGUUCAAAUAUCUUGCCAUAAAUAUAGCCGUUUGACUGGCUUAAUAAAGUCACAAAUAACCAUUCAUAUUGAUCCACAGUGUCACACCGCCUGCUUUAUGCAUACAACAGCUGUAUGUAUACCAACUCCUAACCUUAUCAAUACAUUUGGCAAAAACUUAAGAAGAAAACUAUUUCUCCAUCUCUUUUUUGAAAUUUCACAAUAAACCAGCAUAUUGUAAACGUUAUGUUGUAACCUUAUGAUAAAUGCUCUAGACUCCAAAUGAAUUUUAUAUAUGAGGGUUUGUUGCAGCAGAUAUAUUGACUUAUCAAGUAUGAAUCAUUGUCUAGAAGAACUAUCUUUAGAUAAAAGAAUAUUAGAACCAUUCUAGAAUAUCUUUAGGUUGCUAGUUCUAACAGGAAUCUGCAUGUGGCAACAGUUGCCAGAUCCACAAUUCCCCAACUUGAAAUACAUAGUUGCACACCGUGAGAUAGUGCUGCAAUCUACUGAGAUCUAACUUAUAUGAUACUUUAAGCUACUAAUGUUUGCAUAUUUCUACAUGUUAAAUUGACACUACCAUCUAUAAUCACUCUAAAACGACAGAUGAUAAGCAGCUUUUGGCUACUUAUUACUAGCAUCCACAAUUAAUUUUUGUUCAGCAAUCAGCUUAUUUUAUAGAAAUUGAUUUAGUCAGCAACAAACACUAUAAUCCUUGAAAUUAGUUCUUGUUCUUUGUAAUUUUCUAUGAUUUUUCAUACAUCAAUUAAUCUGCAGUGCCAAGAUGAGGUUUGGUUUUUCAAACUAAAUAAUCAAGUAGCAAAAAUACAAAUUUAGAGAUUAGGGGGUGAACUAGCUAGGUGGUUUACAAAUAUUCCUAUUUGUAAGGUGAAUUAAUUGAAUCAUGAGAAAACAAUGUGACCAUAGCUCAAUAUGAGAUGAUUUCGGAGAGGCAUAUUGUUUUCAAGUGAAUUUGAUCCAUUAAGAGAUGAAGUGGAUUGAAGUGGAAAGUUUAAAUAACAAAUCCUUGUUCUUGAGUUUUACGACGUUGUUACUCCUUCAGGUGGCAGAUUAUGCAAGUGAAUUCAAAAACACAAUGCAUCAAUCACGGGGAUGCUACACCAAAAGACGGGAUCAUAGUCUAUGCAUUGAACAGUUACAGUUGCUGCUACCAAUUGACUCGGCAAAGAUCAAGAAGACUGAACGGGAAGUUAAUGCCAUCAAUGUCGUCUUCACUAUAGCUGCUGGGAAUGUAGGUGAACUUUCCUCAUUUGCGGCUGUCUAUACAUAGGCUUUUCCCCAGCUUAAGUACAAAUAAAUGAACCUGCUUUGAAGGCUUUAUUAUUGACCACAAUAAGGAUUACUAAUUGAAGAAGACUAUACGGAGUUAAUCCCACACUUUCGUUCUCUCAAUUUCUUUCAGAAGUGCCUCUGAAAAUAGCUGCCAAACCGUUAGUCAGCUUGUUAGACUCUGUUUUCUGGAAACAGAGCCCUAACUAACUGACUGUACAGAGUAAGUCAACAUAGCAUAUUUAAUCGUUUUAAUUGAAUUGUCUUCGUAGCGAUCAUCAACAAACUCAUCAUGAGAUUUUUGAAGCACCCAAGGACUAUCACUGGGUUUCUCUUCUGGUUGAUUAAUUAAUUAAUCAAAGAACGGUUGGAUACCCAAGGACAAUUAAAAUUAUUCGACUUCUGGAACUGGGAAUGAAGUGCAAUGAUGGAGCAAAAUUUACAAUGUCUCCGGUUUCUCCUACCAUCGGACUUUUGCAGUGAGAACAUAUAACAAAAAGGCCUUCAUCAAAAUUUGUAGACUCCGGGUAUGGAUUGGAUCGAUUUUUUUGUUUGAUAUUGAAGAACCUCUUUACUAUCGCGAUAUAGAUUAUGUGCAAGGAGUUGUCUACUGUUCUUUGCCUUGUGCUAUGAUCGGUGCUCUUGAGGCUGCCCUGAAACACAGGAAAAUACUUCGAUAUCCUCCGUUCGAUGAUGCAAAGAACCGGUUAAUGUAUGAUUACCUAAUUGACUCAGGAUCAGGUAACAACAACAACAAUUUAUUAAUAUCACAAACGAAGAAGAUCGCGGAGAGGGAGAUGUAUGCCUAUACUGUUUACAGGUUUGAUCCAUUGGGGAUGAAGUGGUCUCAAGUCGAAAGUGAUUUAUUAAACAACAAAUCAUUGUUCUUGGGUUAUACCUCAUGAUGUCAUCAAGUGGAAGAUUAAGAUUAUGCAAGACGAAGAUCGUUUGAUAUUGAAGAAUUUGAACAGAAAGCCCAUAGAAAGUACUUAAAAAAGCAUAUUCUUGUUGGGGUAGAAUAUUGAGAAAGGAGUUGUCUACUGUGUGUUGCGUGAUUAUGCUAUGAUCUGUGCUUUGAACAUUGCCCUGAAAACAGUGGAAAAUACUUCAUAUCCUCGACAUGAUGAUAAAAAAUUGGUUACCGAUUACGUAACUGACUCAGGUGACAACAAUCCAUUAAUAGCACAAUUUGAGGUGAUGCCGUUUAGGUAUAUGGUUAACAGGUUUGAUUCAUCAAUGAUGAAGUGGGCUUAAAUUAAAAGAUCAUAUAAUAAGUCGUUCUUCUUGGGCAUAUCGUCAUUACUACUUCAAGUGAUCAAAGAUGAAGAUGAAGAUGAAAAUUGUGCAAGUGAGUUCAAGAAUACCAUACAUCGUUACUUGGGAUACUUCUUCAAAUAUGGAUGGGGUCAUAAUUUACUCCCACGAAUUUCAACCCAAUUUUAUGAUUGGAGUGUCCCACCAUGACUCAGAAAAAUUUUGAUUCAACCUCCUCCACCAAUGGAUUUUGAUUAGUCACUUUGUGAUCAAGCAACUUAAUUAAACUCAGAGAGUCAGAGUUCGAUUUUGCUGGCACCGCAUUUUCUUUAAAAUGUGGCCAUGUAAGGAGAGCGGCACAUAAUGUCACUUCCUUAUCAAGCACUUUAAAGAGGGAUUUUAGAAGAAGAUACAACUGCAAUUGUUUUCGUAUGUAUAUAUAUAAACAACAGCACACAUUCAGUUCAUAAAAGAAAUUUUUGCUAACCAUGAUAUGUGGUAGUGCUUUUUAGGCAAUUUAGAAACAGAGUUGUUCAACUUACAGCAGGUAUUCUCCUCAAGUUCGACGUAAAUACAAAUAUUAAUUAGAAUCCAUAUUAUAAUGACACACAUAACUUGCUUCAAAAUUAUCAGAAAUUAAAAUUGCUGAUUCAUAAUGCAGAUAACUUGGAUGAAUUGAUGUUAAAGGAAAAAUCACAGGCAUAACUUGGAGAGCAAUUGCGACAGCAGCCAAGUAUAUAUUUUUAUUUGAGAGUUGAGAAGAAUAUAUUUAAUGAAGCUUGAUAACAUUUGAUGGGAUAGCAAGUAAGGGUAAAUAAGAUAUUUUUAUUUGUUAUUUAUUUGAAUUAUAUCUAUUUUGUUCAAGUUAAAAUACUAAAUAUAAAUUGGAGGUAGACAUUUUAACAGAUCAUCUAAGCUCUCAAAUCUGAAAUUUUGUGUAGAUUUAAAUUCAUAAUUUUAGUUAAUUUUCAUUCAUUCAUAUAAACAAAUUUAUGAGAUUUUUCUUUUCAGCAUGUUAUAUUUUGAAACUUUCAAUGUAUUAUUCUAGCUUUAUUUAAACAAUUAAUUUAUUUAAUUUUGAAUUUGAUCAGUAGUAAAAUUAUUUUUAUAUCAAAUUUUUUUUAUUUAAAUAGUUCGUGGAUUGGACAAAAUUAAAAAAUUUUAAUCUACAAAAUGGUGGAUUAGAUAUGAAUUGGGUUAAAUCCACAUUCGAUUUGCAGUCGUAUGAAUUUGAUUUGGAUUGAAUUUCAUCAAUCCAUGGAUUAGAUUGGAUUGAAAAUUUAUUAUCCGCAAAAUCGUGGAUCGAAUAUGGACUGAUGUCCAAUCAGCAAAAUCCGAUCCCCGAACACGCCUCUAUCAAAAUUUUCAAGAAUAUGUUUUAUCUUACAAAUUUUUUUUUAAAGUCAUAAUCUAAUGGCAGCCCAAUUUUAUAAAGUCACACACAACCAUUCUUAUUAAAUUAGAAAGAUCAAACACUGCACUGGAUCUUGAACAGAUCAACACAAGUUGCACAACUUGCGAUUGAAUCCGGCCUGAAACAAUCAACUCUUUAGCAAGAACAAUUAAUCAGAGUCAAGAAACAAGUUUAAUGAAUAUAAACCUAUAAUUGAAACAAACAUAGCAAAGAAAAAAAAUACAGAUUUUACACGGUUCAGUUGUACCUAGGAUGGCACAACCUACACCACGAGAGAAGCUUUCUGGUGAGAUUUUAUUGAUGAUCAAAGAAGAAUCUUUUGACAAAGCUAAUAAUAGAGAUUUCAGAGAAUAAGCUAUAACCUCUCUCCCUCUUCAAUCUCUCUCUAUUUUGUUCCCAUUGAUGACCCCAAUCUGCUUAGUUAGCCAGCUUUAUAGCUGCAUCAGUAACAAACCAGCAAACCCAGAUUGAGCAGAUUGACGACACGUGGAUAACGGCUUUAACGAACCUGGUUAAGAACUGCUCACAUGUUCGUCACGCGUACUGCUUAAAUGAUGGCCAAAACGACUUCAAACAAAUGUCGUUUUGAGGCUUAUGAAUUACAAGUGAUAACACGAGAUUGUCUCAUGACUUUUAAAUGCAACAACGUGCCCAAAACGCUGUCGUUUUACUCUGUUGAGUUUGAUUCAUUACUAAGCUUUACGACUGGCAAUGGAGAAGAUGAUAAUUUAAUUGAUAUGGACAGUUUUUAUAUCACUUUUACAAAAUCCUAUGCAAUUGUAAUAUUGGGAAUUAUUGAUGUUUUAUAUGUGAAUCCUCAUUGGCAAAAACUAGUGGUUUUAUCUUUGUUGAAAUGUAGAUUACCUCUCGUUACUAUUUUAUUAUAAACAUAUAGUUUCGUAAGUGAAACUAUAUAUUUAUAAUAAAANNNNNNNNNNNNNNNNNNNNNNNNNNNNNNNNNNNNNNNNNNNNNNNNNNNNNNNNNNNNNNNNNNNNNNNNNNNNNNNNNNNNNNNNNNNNNNNNNNNNCAUUUCUGCCUCAUUAAGAUUCUCAAAUACCAGUCAGGUUUGCUUAAGAAAUAAAAUUUUUCCAUUAAAAUUGCAGUAGUAUUUCCAAGCAUAUCGCAUUUUCUAUGAUUUUUCAUAAAUUAAUUAAUCUGCGGUGCCAAUAUCAGAUUUAGUUUUUCAAACUAAAUAAUCAAGAAAGCAAACAUACAAAUAUACAGUUUAGAGGGGUAAACUAGGCAGGUGGUUUAGAUUUUAGAACUAAGGCAGCUACCUCACUAAAUUCCGAUUCGUACAGUGAACUGCAAGAAAUUGAGAAAACAAUGUAUUUAUAAUUUAAUAGAAUCAUAACAGAUGAAGUGGAAUGAAGUUGAAAGUUUAAAUAACAAAUCCUUGUUCUUGAGUUUUUACGACGUCGUUACUCCUUCAAGUGGCAGAUUAUGCAAGUGAAUGCAGAAACACAAUGCAUCUUCCGCGGGAUGAUACAUCAAAAGGCGGGAUUUGUUUAUGCCUUCAGAUUAGCAAUUUCACUCAUAUAGAAAAUUAAUUUUUUAUAUAUACUAAUCAACACUAAAUUGAUUAUGUGUUGUAUGUUUAUAUGCUAAUCAACACGAAAUUAUAUUGAAUUAUUAACAUUCAUAUUCCUAAUAAAAAUUAUUUUCCAUUAGUAUUCAAAAUUUUCACUUAUAGAAAAUGCAUUUUACGUGAAUACUAGUUAUUGUGUAAAUUUGAAUGAUAGCAAAAAAUAAACCUAUUUGAAAACUGUAAGGGUGUGUUGGGAUAUUUUACAACUGUCGGAAUCUGGUAGGAUAUUGCACCAUUUGCCCAAUAUUUUUAGACGUACUCUAACCGGUAUUCAAGAUAAGUAAAAUUUACAAGCGUGGCAAAAUAAAAAAAAUUAAAUUCGUAAUUUGUAAACGAAUUUUCCUGACAUGUAUAGUAGAUGAAGUUGUUGACCCUUUCUUUGGAUUAUUUCAGCUCUGGUUGUUGGUCACCGAUGAGCCGAAGUCUUAUUUUAAUUCUAUUUAAACUCAUCAUAAGAUUCGUGGAGCACCUAACUAACUUAACUGACUGUGCAGAGCAUCUCAACAUGGCAAAUUUAACCAUCAUUCAAGUGAUGGGUUUAAUAAGACUGCUUUUGUUCUACCAAGUUCCUCCGCCUCUAAGCAGAAUUACUAUUGAAGGGCCAAAUGGAAAAUGAAAACGUGUGAACUCCAACAACCACCCCACAAAUUCAAUGACGAUGCUCGGAGAGGGUUAGGUUGGGCCUCUGAGAAAAAAAAAAAUUAUUUAGUUAAAAAGUUACCCUUAUUGAAACCUGUAUAAAAAUUUUAUAUUAAUUAGUUAUGUUGCCUCUUCAACUAUGAUCAAAUUUUUAUCUGAGCUCAUCAUUUAAUGAGUAAACAUGUAUUUUAAUGAUCUCAAUUAAUAUUUAGAACAAAUAUUUUAAGAAGUAAAGCUCAUUAUAUCCCCCAUUAUUAUGUAUCUCUGUAAUGUAUUGAAUUAGAAGAAAAAAAAAAUUCAACUCACUCAAAAAAAAAAAAAUGCUGGUAGCUUCGUAAUAAUUACUGUCUUGACUGCACCAGAUAAAGUUUUGUAAAAGAAUUCUGAUAUUUACCCCGGGUCAAACCCCGAAAAUAACUUAAACGGUGUCGUUUUGAUUUUUUUUUUUUUUAUACUCCAAAACGUUCUUACCAUUUCCGUUUCACUUACCAUUUAAUGCUCACAACUCAAAUAAAAAGCCCAGAAACUAGAAUCAAACUUUACAGAAACUAGAAUGCCCAGAAACGUUGUAUAGCAGGAACGUAUGUAAAGAGAGUAAACAAGAGGGAUUAAACAGAACAUACGUUUUCUUCACUUAUUAUUAGCAACAAACACCCUACACAACACACAUUUAAUGCUCACAACUCAAAUAAAAAGCCCAGAAACUAGAAUCAAACUUUACAGAAACUAGAAUCAAACAAUACACAUUUCAUUUCUUCAAGGUUAGGGAGAGACUCAGGGGAGUGAUUAAUUAACAAAAAUAAGAAUAAUAAUACCAACAUUUGUACAGGUCAAAUAAGAAUAAUAAUACUCAACCUAAUACCCAGUAUAUACAAACAAAUGCCCAGGCCAUCGUUCCUAUUUUGCCAUAACCUAAAGAGGAAAAAGCGAAGCACUACCUCAGGCUGUGAACUUUGCCGCUUCGUGAGUUUAAUUUCCCGAACAAGUUUCGGCUACCAGCGUUACCAGUGUUGACGGUGACCGUGGCUGUCAGCGUUGACGGUGACCGUUGGUGGAUCCCGAAUGCCUGGACCUUGGUCGAGGAAGGAAAGUAACGAAUUUUUUGAACAAACGAAGAAACGAAGCACCGAAGAGAUUUACGGUCAAACGGAACAAGACCAACUUGCUCUUCUAUCUAUGGCUUUCCCAGUUGAAACGAAGAAACGAAGAGGAAGAGGUUUAAUUCUUCUCAAAAUCGUCCAUCAGAAACGGCAACGUUUUGGAGUAUAAAAAAAGAAAAAAAAAUCAAAACGACGCCGUUUAAGUUAUUUUUCGAGUUUGACCCAGGACAAACAUCAUUUUCCUUUGUAAAAUAAUAAGUUCUCAUUAGUGGUUUUUAAUUUUUAAUUUUUUUUUCGGCACACCUGAUCAAGAAUUCUAUUUUGUUAACUAAUAAAUUGCAAAGCAUAAGUGUUGAACGGUACAAAAAAAUUUGAAAAAAAACACUUAAAACGUAGGGAAAUGAGAAAUAUAGAAAGAAAGGAAGAAAGUUAAGACAUGAAACUGAUCUGCCGUGAAAUUGAUAAUCAUGUUUCUAUUUCGUUAACUAAUCAAACGGAAAACUGGAACUGUAAACAAACAUUAACACGUGUGGACUCUGCUAGCUGCCCUACAAGUCUACAAUAAUAAUUGAGUACCUUUGAUUCAUCCUUCUACGAAUUUCUAGCUGUAUUGACCCCAACUGCUAAAGUUUUGUAAAAUUAAAAAAAUAAAAAAUAAAAACUGGAAUUUCAACAAAAUUCAAAACGUGAGAAAUUUAAUUUUUGGCCAUGUGGAACAAAAUGUAAAUUACGGAAAAAGUAUAAAUCUCAAUUGCUUAGUAUGGUUAGGUUUUGUGAGCAUCACUAGAAAGUGAAAACUAUGAAUGAUAGGGGUGAUGUUUGCAACAUGAAUAAACGAUGAACUGAAUCAAUUGAUGAUCGUAAUUAUAUAAUGAACAAAAUUUACAAAAUCAACAAAAGUUAAUAAAAAUUUAUUUUAAUAAUAAAAAAUAAUAAAACUUAUUAUUUAACGGCGCUCUAACCAUGGAGUGCCAUAAUCAUAUUCUUCUUUUAAGAAAAUUAUAACUUAUUUCAAAUAGCACCAUAACAUAAUUCUAGAUAUUUAAAAGAAAAGCAUUAUCCACCUGAAAUGACUUGAAGUCUAAAGAAAAAGAGAGAGUGGCUCCCCACAAUUUUCUUGUUUUCAGUAUAUUUUCUUUUUUUUUUCUUUUUAAAAUCUUUUGACGCAUACAUAAUCUACCCUUGUUCAUUAUCUCUAUUUUGCUCUGUUCAAGUCCCUUUUUUUCAAAUCUUAGUUUAAAUAAGAAAAUUGAAUAAAAGUACAUUUGUGUAAUUAAUUAGUAUCUGUUUUUUUUGGGGGGGGGGGGGGGGGGGGGGGGGGGGGAGGGGGAGGAUAUUUGGUGUAAUGUUUUGCUAUGUAAGACUCAGCUAUUAUUAAACAGUUCCUUAACCUGUUUCGCAGUUUAUUUGCUAUCUUUGUGGAUCUCAUAGGCGUUGCAGAAUUUAAUAAUUUUAUUCGUCAGAAGAAUAGGAUACUGACUUCAAUAAAUUUAAUUUAAACCAACUUUUAUUUACUCCAUCAAUUAAUUAAUGCCAUUUUGUUUUGAAAAAUUCAAUAAUUAAAUUCUCACGUUUUAUGUGUUUGAAGUUAAAUUAUUCAUUAACUAGAACUCUGUUCAAAAUUGACUGUCUUGUGGUUCCCAAAUGUAGUUGUAAUAUUGAAUGAAAGUAAAAACUUUCUAUGGCGAGUUUAAAUCUAAAUCUGAACAAUGAAUUUUGACUUUCUCAAUGCUAUUCUAAUUACAAAAAUUAUAUUGAUUGAUUUAUUGUUACAGUUACUACCCUUUGAAAAUGUAUGGAUUUAUUGUUUCCGUGACCAAAUUAUGCCUGCCUAACGCUGCAACUAUUAAAAAAACUAAUAUUUAAUGCAUGUGUUAAAAGAUUUAAAAUUUUAUGCAUUUAUUAAUUGUUAUAAUCUAAAAAAAUUAAUUAGUUCAGGACAAUCUGAGUUGGUGCAUCUGCAGAGCCUUUUUUUUUUCCCCCCUUAUUGACCAUAAUGAUCUAAGGGGUAUAAUACGACCUUGGUUCUUGGUAAAAAUUAAUUAGUUCAGGUCAAUCUUUUAUGCUCUGUUUUCUAGAAACAGAGUCCUAACUAAAUUGAUUGACUGUACAGUGCAUUUCAACAUAGCAUAUUUAACCGUUUUAACAGUUAUUUGAACCGUCUUCAGAGUUAACAUCAACAAACUCAUUCAUAUUGGUCCAAUCUUACGGCCGAUAUCAUAUUAUCAUAUGCUUAAUAAUGAACAAAUAGUCUUGGAUCAGUGUUUUGCAGCAAGAGCAACUCGACACAAUCUGGAUUCAACCUCCUCCUAUCUAACAGGGGAUUUCGAUUUGAGUUACUUUGUGCUCAAGCAAAUUCACAUCAUAGUUUUGAUUCUUUAGGUAUGAAUUCAUCACAUUACAUAUAUCAGAUUAAGUGUAACAAAAUUUUUAAUUUAUUGCGAAAAGAAUACGCGCUAAAAAAUUAUUUGACGACUAUUUGAUUACCAAAAGCUGCUGUUAGAGUGCACUAAAAAUCGCCAUUGGCAUAAAUAUUUUUUGAAAAUACUGCCAUUAGAUAUUUUUAUUAUUCAUACUUCAUUGCACAAGGCAGCACCUAGCUUCUAUUUCCAGCCCUAAUAAUGAUCCGCUGCUGGAAAAGAAUUUGUGCAGCAUGUACGCUCCUUGACCACAACAGCAAAGUUUAUUGAUGUUAUUUCAUAUUCUGCUGUGACUCAAAUAAAAAUUUACCAUGCCCUUUCGGCAUGGCUUGCCUUUCAGCAAAAAAAGAAAAAAAAAAAUCUUUCAAAUUGUGGAAGCAUGCUUACAUUAAUCAGCUCAGUAUGUUGUGUUUCAUGGGAUGCAAAAUUCUUUUUGUUUCUCAUGGAAGAAUUGACUUGUCUGGAUGUAUUAAUCUCAUAGAUUUUCCACAGAUUCGUGGGAAUAUAACAAAGCUAGACUUAAGUGAGACCCCAAUAGAAGAAGUUCCGUCAUCAAUAGAGUGCCUAGCUGAUCUUAAAACGUUGCGUUUGAGUAAUUGCAUGAGGCUGAAGAGGCUUUCCAUCAAGCAUUUGUAAAUUGAAAUCUCUUCUUGAGCUUUAUCUCUAUAACUGCUCAAACCUUGAAAGUUUUCAAGAAAUCAUGGAGAAAAUGGAACGUUUAAAGAUAUAAAUUUAAAAAGGACGGCCAAUUACAGAGCUGCAAUCUUGAUAGCCUUCGGGAUAACAUUAGAAAUUUAAAAUCUUUGAGGUACAUCUCUACUAAUGGAUCGGCCAUUAGUCCUCUGUCGCAGGUUCGAUUGUACUUAAAUAUCUAUCAUUUUCUCAAUGCAGAGGUUUGGUAUCAUUGCCUCCAAUAUUAUUUUCAGGUUUAGUUUAUCGAAUUUGUUACAGCUAAAUUUAAGGGACUCUGCUAUAAUGGAAAUUCCCCAAAAUAUUGUUUGUCAAUCCUCAUUGAAAAUUUUAAAUCUAAAGGCUUGUUUGUUAACUACUUGAAGUAUGUAAUUAAUGCUUUUUUUUGUGUAAUUUAUGUUUGAUUUUGAGAUAUUUACAUUUGAAUAAAAAAAAAAAACUUUUGUUACAUUUAUCUAAAUAAGAAAAAGGCUGAAUGAGAAGUAAAUAAUCUCCUUUUUUGUUUUAACUUAGAAAAACAUAAACGUUAACUAACUAUGUUUAAAAAAAAUUUUAUUUAUGAAAAGAAACCAAAUACUACUUAUAUUCAUAUAUCAAAAAAUGAAAAACAAACAUAUUAUUCAUACGUGCACGCACAAACUCAUUCAGACCUCAGCUACAUACAAAUCCAUUUAGAUUUCAAACAAAAAAAUAAAUACUUCCUAAGUGGGAAUAACUUUGAGAGUUGACUUGCAAAUGUCAAGCAACUUGCAGGGCUAGAAUAUCUUGACUUGAACGGUUGCAAUGAUUUCUCAUCAUUGAGAGUUUAUCAUUGUGCUUCAUCAUCAUCAUCAUCAUCAUUAUUAAUAAAAAGGUAAGCAAUUAAGAGUCAAAUUAAACCACUUGAAAAUCACUCAUCCACACUUUUGGGACAUCAUCUGCUCAUUAUUUUUAUUCCGUAUCUUCAUUGUUUUAUUUGGUAAUUAUUACCAUUAGUAAAUAAAGGGAUUAGUUGAUUAUUGUGAAGUAACUAAAUGGAGCUCACCCUUAAAUGUCGGCUUAUAUCAAGGAGGCGCCUUAGGGUUAAUAAAUCAACUAAUCCCAUAAUUUGUUGAUGUAGGGUCCUAACAAAUUAUUGCCGUAGAUCAGCACACAGCUCGAAAACAUAUUUGAUCCACACAGUGAAGAUGAUUCAAUAUUAAGCAUGUCAUAUAAUCUGGAGUUGGAUAUUGGACCAAUUUGAUGAUAAUGAGUUUCUUUCAAUCUCAAUCUUUAUCUUAUUCGCAACAUGACUAGCCAUUGCGUAAAUUCAAACUCUGAAAAUGAUAAGUUUGUGAUAAAGGAAUCUAUGAGUACAAUGGGAAAAUUACAUGAACUUAUGUUAUCAAUCAUUGUUUUUCCUUCUCGUGAUAGAAUUCAGUGCAACAUAAAACAUGAUAUAUUUGUACCUUACCAUGCCAUGUUGUGAACCUAGAAGCAAUGCAAAUUGCAAGGAACAUUAAGCUAUCCACUGUAUAUAACAAAUUCUUAUUAGCCCACAAUCUUGUGCCGCCACAUUGAUCAAGUAACACUAUUAUAUCAUUUCCAAAAUGGCAUAUAUAAUCUAAUGUUGAACAAACCAAAUUGGGAAUCAUCAUUCCUUACAUUAAGUUGACAUUCGUACCUGCUAGUCCAUGAGCAAAGUUGCAUAUAUUUCUACACAGGCCGCUCCCCUUAUCUCUCGGUUCCGACAGAGCUUUGUUUUCCCAUCACCAGCUUUGGAUUCAUUCGAUCACUGGUGCUCCGAGUUAGAACGGUCUACAAAGCUGCAUUUCGUUAGGCAAUCUAGUCUCUCCAUUCCUAGCAAAGUGACAUUGAUUCCCGUAUUUGUAAUUGCCUAAUUGGGGUUUUGGCAAUAGCCUGGCUUAAAAUUACCACCCAUUACUUUGUUCAAUGCCACUGGCAUCCUCUGAUUAGGAACAUUUUCACAAUUUUUGGUCCUGUUAGUCGAAUCACAUUCAACGGGAUAGUGAGGCAGUAUUUCACUAAAAGAUUCAAUUUGACUACUCAUAUUGAUGCACAUAUAAGAAUUUGAAAUCACUUUCUCUUGGAAUAUUUAAUGACCCUUGAUGAAAGUUCUUGAAUGGAAUUAUUUAAUUUGAUUUGAUUUCCAACAAAUUCAAGAAACCCCACAUAGUAGCUAAACAAAAAUCAACCAAUAAUACGCAAUGGGUUUCUUUCUUUUUGCCUUUGGAGGGCCAUGGAGAUCUGGAGUGGGCUGUAAGUAAUAGCCUUUAUCACUGGAAUGACAGAUUUGCAGAAGAUGAUACAUGGGGAAGGAUUGGGCGAGCAUAAAAAUGGGUUUACACUCUUGGAUUAGCGCCUCAUUUAGGUUGUAGGCUUGUAGCGAGAUAAAGAUAUUAAUUAAAGUUUUAUAAUCCCUGUUAUGAUUAAGGCUUCACUUAGUAUAGCAUAGAGCUUUUUGAGUUUUACCAGAAAAUUUUUUUAAAAUUAUUAUUUAUCGGAAAAAGGAGACUUACACUCCAUGGUCUAAGGAAAUAGUCACAAAGAUACUAAGUUUUCAAUAAAAGACACCAAUUUUUUUUUUUUUUUCAUAAUGCCCUUUGACUCCAUAAAUUUCUAAAAAAAUAACUCCAAAAUUUUAUAAUAAAUGAAAAUAUGGCAUUAAAAUAAAUGCAGUAAUAUAUACAUUUCAAAAUAAUUUUAAUAUUUAGAAAUAUUUUAAUAUUUUUCAAUCUAUUAAACCUAUUUUUAAGCUGUUGACCUAUUAAAGUAAUUCUUAAUAAUGAUAGAAACAUAAUAUUAAAAUAAAUUAAUUAAAAUUAAAAUUAAAAUUAAAAGUAUUUUGAAAUUAUAUAAAACUAAUUUUAAUAUUAUUAAUAGGUAGAUUUUUAAUUGUAAAAUCUAUUUAACAAAAGAUUUAUUCAAAAUCUUUAUGAUAUUACAAAUAUAUUGUUAAAAUAAAUAUAAUAAUUUAAAAUUUUAAUAUUAUUUUAAAUGUAAAAAAUAAUUUAAUAUUAUUAGUCUACUAGAUAGAUUAUGUUAUUUAUAUUAAAUUUGUUUUAAUUAAAAGUCUUUAAAGUUAAUUUUUUAAUUACUAUAGUGAAAGGGUAUUAUGGGCAAAAAAGUGUCUUGGUAUCCUUCUUUUAAAACUUGAGAGUUUUUGUGACUAUUUUCCUAAAUCUUAAAGGUAUAAGUGUCAUUAUCCCUUAUUUAUUUGGUUGUUUUGCUCUCGAGAGUUUUUAAAGCUCCAAAAUCUUUAAUCAGUACUUUUUUUUUUUAAGUAAAACUUUUAACAAAAAAUUAUUAUUCAUUUGAUUGUUUACGAGAGUUUUUAUUAGAAGUUAUAUAAAGUUCUUUAAUUUUUUUAUUGGUGCAGCUUUUUACAUGUAUAAUUUUUAUUUUUUAACAAAAAUUAAUUAAAUAAUAUUAGAAAUCCUAAUAUUUGAGUCCCAAUAUCAUAUAUCACUCAUUUUUUAGAUGACAGAUUUCAUAACUUAUAAAAUUAUUUAACUAACAUCCAAUUAGUGAAUGUUACUAUAGUGAAGACUCAAAUUGAAAUUUAAAUGUUGGGUUGCGUGACAUUUCUCUUAUUUGGUUGUUUAUGAGAGCUUUCUUGUACAAAAUAAUUUUUAUACAAAUUGAUAUAGUCUAAAUUCAUUAAUUAGAUUAAAAUACAAAAUAAUAAAAAUAAAUAAGUUUGUAUAAGAAUAAUUCAUUCUUUAAUCCAUCUAAUUGAAUUAUCCUAUGUCUAUUUAUACUAAAUAAGUUUAUAUAAAAAUUUAUAGUUUUGUUUUUAGAUGUGCAACUAAAUUUUUAGUCUCUUAUUCCUCGUAAAAUUCAAAUCUGAGUGGCUCAUCAAAUAAAAUUAUUUGAAACCAUACGGUAUGGUAGCUGGAACCCUUGAAACCAUCGAGGUCAUGAAAUUUACCAGCCAAAAGAGUUUUAAAUGUCUAUUUUAUAAACUUUUAAAAAAAUUUUUAUUUACCAUUUUACCAUCCGUAGUAAAGGUGUCGCAUCGACAUUGAACAGAUCAACAUAUCAGUCAUUUCUCAUUCAGCCAUUAGGAAUUUACGUUUGGGGUAUUUUUGUAAUUAUAAGAAGGUAAACUAAUCGCAAAACUCGUUUGGCUUGCACUUGCUCGCCUGUGCUCUGUGACUCUGUGUAUGGUUAUGGCGUUAUCAUUAUCAUCUUCUCCACUCCUACUGACGCCAGACCUUAACAGUUCAGAUUCCCUUUCUCGACUGUCAUACCCUACGCCCCGUCUCCGUGUCUCCGAUAAACAGUGCUCAAUUAAGGCCAUCAGAUUAUCCCGGACCCACAUUGAUCCAACGGCUCACAAUGACCGACAUCCUCUCUAUCUCCAUUUCAAGCUCCCUCUUCAACUGGCUUCUGCUUCUGUCGUACUCUUUCUUGGAUUCGGAGUCCGUAUUUGCUCAGCCGGUCCCGCACAGCUCCCUCUCACUCCAAUUGUCACCCAACAAGACCAAUUGCUUAAUCAAGGCACAGACCAAGAAGAGGAUGAGAAGUUGAAACAAGAAUUUGAGAAUUGGAAAUCGAAAACGUACGCAUUAACCGUGCCUUAAAGGGUUGCUUCUCUUCAGAAUUCAGUGCCUCAAUCUUGGGUUAAGGAUUUUAUGCGAAGUCAAGGAAAGAGAUUGAAGUUUCAGAUGAAUUUGUGUGCUAGCAUUGAUGGGAUCGUUAACAAUUUAUCUGUGCCCUUUAACAAAGUUAAGGCUAAGUCAGCUUCUUAUAUGGCUGCUGAUUUGGUUAGUAUUGGUGAUUCAUGGCUCAGCUUUGCGAUUAAAAAGAGAUUGAUUGAGCCAAUAGCUGGAGCUGAAGACCAAGAUUGGUUCAAAUGCUUAAGUCACAAAUGGAAGGUAACAUCUUUAUCUUUGACCCGAUAAUUUUUAUUGUCUUACAUUGAAAUUUGGUAAUGUAAUUUGUUCUCUAUCUGUAUUACCCUUUUUAGUCGUUUUAUUUAUUUGUUUGUUUGUUUAUUUGCUUUUAUUUGCACUAACGAAGUCUCGGGUAUAUCUACCCAGGAAUGAUGCAGGAGAAAUUGAUCCUCGAGGUGAAAUAUGGGCGGCACCAUACAGGUGGGGCACAAUGGUGAUAGCCUACAAGAAAAGUAAAUUUCGAAAGCAUAAUUUGGCUCCGAUUGAGGUAAUAACUGUCUUUAAACUCAUUUAGUUUUAUAUCAAACAAAAUCAAGGCUGCCUUUCUCUUCAAUAUUUUUUAUGAUAAUAUCUUUAGAAGCAUCUCAUUGACGGGUAAUAAUGGUGUCCCUGAAAGAGUCUAUAAACUCAAUGAUAUUAUCUUCUACAAAUGGAUCAUUAAACUUCUUUUUUGUAGUCAAAUGUACACUAAGAACAAUGAGAAGCUAUGCCACUGUAGCACGUAGUGAUGGCACUUAAUAAGUGAGUUGCUAGGAUGUGAACAAGAAAAAUUAAAUAUUGUCUCCUUGGGUAUGCUAGCUCGUAAGUCAGGGUUAAUAUUAGAGCUUAAGAUACUAUAACCAUGCGAAACUAUUGACUGCCAAUUAAAAUAUCCAUUAAAAUGUCUAGGGAGUUAUGAAGGUAGAGUUAUCUUCCAAUUUCUAAGGCCACAUAGUAGACAUCAUCCAGGAUCCUAGGAAAGUGCGGUUGAUCUCCUGCUUGAUGCAGUUAAUAAAUUUGGUCAAUGCGACUGAAACCUGCUAACUGACGUCGCAAUGCGACAUGAGCACUUCAAAAUGGGAUAGACAGUAGCACUAAAUUUUUCUUGCCUAAGAUUGAGCAAUUGGUCUAAAUACUAACCCCUAUUGUAAGUUGAUCAUUAUUUUUUCAAUUAUGUUCAUUUUGACCCAAAAGUUACACAAUCUUGAUCUGAAUAUUGUCACUGAACACUGUCAAUGUCGUUUAGCAUUGGCAACUAACUCGAGUUUAGUAAAACAAACAUACACACUGUCUCAUGUCUCACAAUUCAAAUUAUCAUCUGUACUGAUGGAGAAUUUUUCUGAUGUAUGAAGUAUGCUUUGAUAUGUAGGUUAAGCUUGGAGAAGAUAUCUCAAAAUAAAGAAUAUGGGGAGUGAAUGGGAAGAAUCUGUAGUCAAGUUUUGUCUCAAAAAUGGUCAAAAUUUAAAUGAAUGGACGGGGGAUCUUCAUUCUUUUUUCACUUCUUUAUACCGAGAUAUCUCUCAACCUUUAUAUAAUUCCCACUGGAUAUCUGCUUCUAAUAAUUAAAAUAAAAAUUUCAACCACACCAAUAAAUAAUCAUCUUAGAGUGAGACUAUCAGUACAACCCAAAAACAUAAUAAAACUGGUUUGGUUCUUUUUGUUGAUGUCUAAAUGUUGUUCAUUGUGACAUGUAGAAAUGAUGAGGUGAAGUUUCUUUGGUCAUCAAAUAGUAAGAUCUUGUUUGAAGUUAUUUUCUGAAAUGAACAGUCAAAUGGUAGUUUUUUUGGGCCAUUCGAUGGCUCUUUUCUUCCUCAUUUUAAACUUGUGCCUGCUUGGAACGGGAUGGAUUAGGCUGCAGAGUUAUAUAUUUUGACAUGCUCUGGUCAUUACACAAUUUGUUCAUACUGGAAAUUAGGAUGAGAAAUUUGUUGCUGCUGUUUUGAGAGAUCUGCAUUCUAUGCACAAACAUGAUUAAUGAAAAUGGAUUGUAGGACUGGAAAGAUCUGUGGCAGCCUGAGCUCGCAGGAAGGAUUUCAAUGGUUAAUUCUCCCCGAGAGGUUAUUGGUUCAGUUUUGAAGUAUAUGGGAGCAUCAUACAAUUCAGACGAUAUUGAUUCACAAGUUGCUGGUGGGAAGAUUGCUGUUCAGCAGAAUCUGGCAUUACUGGUAAACCAGGUACUCUUAAAGAAAUGAUAUCUGGUCAUUGCAUGUUAUUGCCUGACAACUGAUUUUGUUUGUAAAAGUCGGCUUCUUCAUACAUAUGAAUGCAUAUGUUAGUGUUUUCUUCUCCUUUUCAUACAUAUGAAUGCAUAUGUUAGUGUUGUCUUUUCCUUUUCAUACAUAUUAAUACAUAUGUAGAUUUCUUCAUCAUUGUAGCCUCCAUAGUUGAAGUUUCCUCAUUUGAAGCUGUUUAUGCAUAUGCUUUUUCCCUUCUCAAGUACAGGAAAUUGAAGAAUUAACCAGAUGUGAUAUGCUGAAAGAGUGAAGUUUUCUCCCUUGAAUGUGGCCUUGUGAUUUGUCUUGAAGGAAUAGGAUGAUCACUGGCAAGAACCCUAUCAAGGUAGAUUUUAUGGUGUUAACAUAUUUUUAAGCAUUUUGUUACAUCAGCAAUGAUGCUUUCAUAGCAUGAAAGUGUUUAAUUUAACUGACUGAUCUUGAUUAAUCAAUUAUGAGUUUUAAUCGAGUAAAAACUAAAUACAAUCAUCGUCAAAAAAUACUGAAAUUGGAUUUGGAAACACAAUCCACACAGGAAAUCACCCUUCGCGUGGGGAUGGAGAUGUUUACUGCAACGAUAUCGAAUAUGUGCACGGUGUUGUCCACUGAAACAAUGGAAAAAAUUAACAUAGGGGUAUUUAAAUAAUUAAACUCAGACCUCUUUGUAUAUGUUAUCCUAACUUUACUUACCCUUGUUUGUAAUUUUCACUUAACAGUUGAUGCCUAAACCAUUAAAACCAAAUGACCAUAGGGGUAUUUAAAGUAUGUAAAAAUAAACAAAAACACGUAAAAAAUUUCAAACAAUUAAUAAUUACACUCUAAAUGUACCACUUAACUCUUAAUAAUAGCCAUACUCUAAAACAAUCUACAACCUUUGAGGGGAGUAGCUAUGAGGAAAAUCCUUUUCUCAGUGGAUUGCCAUUGUCCGAGAGUUACAAUGAAAAGAGACCACCAGCAACUGAGUCGGAAGAUUCAACUAGCACUGAAAAAGAUGAUAAUUUAAUUGAUAUGGACAGUUUCCAUAUCAUUUUUAAAUCAUCCUAUGUAAUUGUGAUGUUAGGAAGCAUUAGUGAUCUGUAUGUGAACUAUUAUUGGCGCCAUUGGUGGUUUUAUCUUGUUAAAAUAUGGAUGACUUCCAGUUACUAUUUUGUAGUACACAAUUUUAUUCAAUUAACAUAUAGCUUAAAACCAUUAUGUAUGUGCUUUAUUAAGAUUCUCAAGUACCAAUCACGUUUGCUUAAGAAAUAAAAUUUUGCCAUUAAAAGCGUAGUAAUAUUUCCAAGCGCUUCGCAUUUAUCUCAACAUUUUGAAGGAAUUUUGAGAAAUACACGGGUCCAAAAGUCUAGUCAUCAUCCUUAUUUUUCUAUCGUUCUUUUGGGUUUGCAGUUGGUGGUGCUUUCAAUGUUUCCCUGAAACAUAGCAAAAGAACGUACAUAUUCUUGGUAUGAGUUGAUUUUUAGUGAUUAUCUAAUUGACUGGGGUGACAACAAUAGCACAACGUAGAAUUCAAUAAUAAAAUUCUCUUGUUUAAUUUGUUUUAAGUUAAAUUAUUAAUUACUUAAAAUUCUGUUUUAAGUCUUUAAUUUUAUGUCUUGGCGUAUAUGCAGAGUUGGAUUCUUGAGUGAGUUGGACAUGACCUACAAUGAGAGUGGCAGUAAACAAACAUUAAAACGUGUGGACUCCGGUGGCUGCCCUGCAAGUCCACAACUCUACAAGAAUAAUUUCUAGCCCCGUUGACUCCACUAACUAAAGUUUUUUAAAAUUUAAAAAGGUACAUAGAAUUCCACAACAAGCAAAACGUGUGGAAUUUAAUUUUUUGCCCGUGUGGAACAAAAUACAAUUUAGCAAAAAAGGACAAGAAAAAUGGUAAGAUUUCUAAAAUGAGUGGAAGGUGAUCCAUAUUUUACUGAAACGACUUGUCCCGAACAUCACGACGAUUGAUUUUUUUUAUUUUAUUUUUGAAUAACAUCAACUUUCAUAUUUUUCUAACCCCCAGAAUAUGCUCACGUUCAAGUCUAUCUUGCUAAUUUAAAAAAAGAAAAUCAAAUCAACACCAAAACAAUGAAAAGUAAAGCUUUUGAAUUUCAACUCCAGCUAGCAAACGUAUUCAGCGUUUUCAAAUUCUUCCCAUUGCAUAUCUUCUUCCUCCAUCAAUGCAAUAUUUGAACGAUUAUGAAAGAAUUUAAGAACAUAAAAAAUCUCCAAGGUUUAUACGGUAUAACAAAUUUAAAUUCUCAAUUACAAUAGAUAAUAAUUAAACUAAUAAUUUUUUAUGUAUUUAUUUUAGUAAUUUCACCUAAGAAUAAUAUUGUAAUUAGAAAAAAAAAAUCUAAUAAGUAGGGUGGUCUUAUACAAAAUCAACUGCAUACAUUUACGCAGAUGCAGAUAAUAAUUUUUAAUUCCUUUUUUUAAUAAGAAAAUUGUGUAUUGAGAUGAAUAAGAUGUUUAAUUUAAUUAAUUUCCUUACUUUCGUAUGCAUUGUCUUUCUAUCUAGAGAAAGCUUGGUGUUCAGAACGACAUGAAGUUGCGAGUUGUCGCCCAUGGCUGCUGAUUAAUAAUAAAACGAGACAAAUUAAUUGAACUCAGGCCCAUAUGUAUAUGUUAUCCUAACUUUACUUGCUCUUGUUUGUUAAUAUUCAUUCUUAGAGAGGUGAAAAAAAUUUCAAGUCUUGAAUAACGAGGAGUUAGUUGCCUCUAACUUUACUUGGCCUUCUAUAAUCUCAUUAAUAAUACAGAGAAUUAAUUAUCUUUUUAUUAUUAAACCAUCUUCAGGAAGAUUUUCCUCAAUUUGCUCCAGAAGAGUUGGAGCUGUGGUUCUGAUAAACCAAAGAAUUAGUAGCAAUAUUAAUAUUGCCCACCCAAGAAAUAUGAGUGAAUUAAAGUAUUGACAAGACUUCGCUCAGAGGAGCAUUUAAACCACUUCCUUAUCAAUUGCGGCAGCCGUCUAUUAACUAAAACGCCAAUCUAAUACAAGAAGAAAGAACAUUUACAGACUUCGCUCAGAGGUCUAUUAACUGCGGCAGCCGUCUAUUAACUAAAACGCCAAUCUAAUACAAGAAGAAAUAACAUUUCCUUUUGUUAAUAAUUUUAGUCUAAUUUCAAUUGUACUGUGACCGCUUCUCAAGGUAAGUGAAAGUUACAGAUGUGGCAAAAUAAAUAAUUAAAUUAACAAAAUGCUAACUAAUUUUCCUAAAUACCUAGGGUUGUACAAUUUCACCAACCUGGAAGAAUUGACAUUAAUGGACUGGUCUCCUCCCCAUAUAAUUAUAAUCCUUCUAGAAAGCUAAUUUUUAUUAAAUAUUUGCUUUUAAGUUCAUUUCAAUUAAAAAAUGUUUUAAGUUAUUGAGAUUCUGAAUUCCUUUCUUCCAAUAAUAAUGAAAACGUAUUAAAUUAGAAAUGAAAAAAUUGGUGUUGAUGAUUCAACCUAUUUGGAUAGAUUACGUGAAUAAAAUUGAAAUUUUGAUUUAAUUUUUGUUUAUUGUUAAUUUUCAGGCUUAGUUUCAAGAAUUUAGAAUAUUACUUUGUUCAUGGAUUCAACUCGUGAGUGUCAUAUUCUAGACUUAAUGGUACCAUUUUUGAUUGAGGACAAUGACUCUCACUCAUCUUGUAAAAAAAUAUUUUCAACUAUUUUAAUGACUUAAAAAUUGAUAGAUUUAUUGUUGUCAUGAACAAAUUAUUCAUUUUAAUGAAAUAUAAUUAAUGCAUCAAAGUUAUCAGGUUUAUGUUCUAUCUUAACGCACUUUUUUUUUUUUUUGGGUUAUCAGCUAUGCCCCUGAGGCAUUUUGUAGAGUAUAGCUUCUGCCUACCUUUGUUUCAUUUUUUUUAAUAAAAAAACAAGGGAAGGUUUUUCCGAGUCAUCCAUUAUUUGAUUACCGUCAAUCAAGAAAACGACCAAAUUAAUUUCUCUCCAAAAUUUCCAAAAGCUAGAAAAUUUUGUUAUUUGAAAAUAACAUCAUUAAUUAUAGAGUGGAUCAAACCGCGUUAUUGUCUUUCAUAAAAUUGAUGUCUUUUUAAGAGUCAAUACUUUUUAUUUACGCAAACCAGUCGACAUCAACUUAAACUUCCAUAUUUUUAUUAUUAUUAUGUUAUUUAUUUUAAUCCCCGAUUAUUUGAUUAGCCACUAUAUAUAUCAAGAAAGCGACAAAAUUUAUUUCUCAUGACUUCCAAAAACUAGAAAAACGACAUCAUUUAUUAUUUUUUUGCAACCCUAAUUGACAUCAACUUUAACUUUAUUAUGUCAUUAUUUCAAUCCCCCAUUAUGACCUUUCUAAUCCUCCAUUAUGCAUCUUUUAUAGUGCAAAUUUAAUUGCACAUAUAAAUAAAUUGAUUAUUGUUACUCCACCACCAAUAUUUCAAAUAGUCACUAGACCAUUUCUGCCUUUAAUUUUCCCUUAAGUUUAACUAUUGACUGCUUUUAGCAUCUUAAAAUAUACAUUUAUUCCUCGAUUAUGUGAUAAAAUUAUGAAAAUAUCCAUUUUAGCUUAAAUUAAUUGGAAUAACCAUAAACAUAACUUAAAUUAAUAGAACAAAAUUAUCAAGUGUAUGUUCUAUCUUACUUUUUGAAGAAUUUAACAUAUAUAAUGCUAUACUAUUAAUAAAUUUAUCAUUUAAUAUAUAUGUUCAAAUAUUUUAUAUAUUUAUUAAUUGUUAUAUACUCAAAGGAUGAAUGAUUUUUCAGGUCUACAUGAGUUGGUGCAUCUGCAAGACUCAAUUUUGACAACAAUGAUCUAAGGGGUAAUUUACCUUGGUGUUUGACAAAUUUAACCUCUCUUCAAGAUUUACUUCCAAUCUACUUACUGUAAAUAUCUCCUCAUCUCCUCUCAUUUAUAUGAUAACCCUUGAAGAUCUCACAUUUUCAAACAAUCAUAUUAGGGUUUUUAUUAUUAGCAUCAUUGUGUCAAUAAUAUAUGUUGCAGUAAGAUUUUUUCAGACCAGUUCCCUUCUUCAAAUAAUAAUGGAAAAGUAUCAAUUUAAAAAUAAAAUGAAUAUGCAUUGAUUAAUUAUAUCCUGAUUUUGAUCGAUUAUAGCGAGAGUUUCUCCAAAUCAACGCCCUGAUUCAAAUAAUACAGAAAAAAUAGUAAUUUAAUAGUAAAAUUAACAAGUGUUGAUUAUAUAUCCUAAGUUUCAUCGAUUAUGUGAUCAAAGUGGCAUUGUUGAUUUAUUUCUUGUUCAAUGUUAAUUUUUAGGUUAUCUAAAUUUCAAGGAUUUAAAAUCUUUGUUCAUGGAUUACACGCUUAUUAAUUUUUCUGCCAUUGACUGUCAUAUUCUAGACUUAAUGGUACCUUCCUUGAUCAAGGACAAUUACUCUCUGUUCUCCUCUUAUAAAUUCCUCUUCCAUUAACAUCACUAGGAGUAUGUUGAUCUCUCAGACGUUAACUUCAGUGGAGAGUUUUCAAAUUGAUUGUUAUAAAACAACACAAAAACUAGACACACUUGAUCUGUCUAAUAAUUCUCUUUCGGUAAAAUUGAUUAAUUUUAGGGGAAUAUUCUACCAACCUAUAUAAUUUUAGAUUGAUCAUUAAUUAAUUAGACGAAAAAAGUACUUGUGCUUUUGUGGCGACAAUUGAACCGGAGAAGUGAAGCUGUAAAGAUUUGGCAGUAGUAAAUUGUUAGAAAGACGUAAAGACAAGUUCCCAUUAUUAUAAUUUUUUCAAAAAACUUUUUUACAACACAUGCACCUGGCCAAAAAUUUUAUUUUGCUAACUAACAAUAAUUGAGUAGCUGACCGUAUUGACUCCACCUACUUGCUAAAGUAAAAAAAUAGAAAUAGAAUUUCCACAAAAUGGCAAACAUGUAAAAUCUAAUAUUUGGCCGUGUGGAACAAAAUACAAAUUAAAAAAAAAUAGAAAAAAGGCCUAAAGACUUUUAAAAUGUGUGGAAGUCUUUCGGCCCUUUUAUAAUGGUGUGUUUUUCAAAGGAACAAAUAAUAAUAAUGACACUUCUAUGGUUUGUUUUGAUAAUCACACAUAUACUCUUUAAUUUGAUAAAUGGUUACACAAAUUUUGUUUACAAAAAUAUAUUAUUCAUGUUCUGUAUUAUUUUUUAACAUCAUAUUUUUAUUUAUUAUAAUUGUUUAAAGUUAAUUGUUAGGUUGAUAUAUAAUAAAAACGUAUAAUCGUUCUCUUACUAAACACACAUACUCGUAGUUUAUGUUCAUUUGUCAUCUCAAUCUCUCUCAUUUAUCCUUUAUUGAUAGCUCAAAACGCGUCACUGUGGAAAAUUAUAGCAAAACGACAAAUAUGGAAAAAAUGGGAAGAAAAUUAAUGCAUGAAAGAGUUGCAGAAGACAACCAAAUAAGUCAACUAUACGCUAGUUGGGUGUAUAAAUUGUUAGAUGUGUUAUAAACAAAUAGCAUAGAGCCUUGGUUGGUUACAGAGAUAGAAAAAGUGUGUGUGUUUUUUAGAACUUAAAGAUAUAGUUAGAAUGGGUGGUUCAAAAUCAAAAAUGGUGAUAAUGUUUGUUCUGUUAUUAAUAAUAUUAGAAGGUGGGUGGAGUGAAGGAUGUUUGGAUCACGAGAGAUUUGCUCUUUUGCGACUCAAACAUCUCUUCGAUGAUACUGGUAAUUAUCCUUACGAUUGGGGAGAUGGUGAGGGAGCUACUGAUUGUUGUCUGUGGGAAAAGGUUGAGUGCAGCAACACCACAGGCCGAGUGAUAGCGCUAGACCUUAUUGAUACGUAUGGGGGAGAGCACAGCUGGUAUCUGAAUGCUUCUUUGUUUACUCCCUUCCAACAACUUGAGUCACUUGAUUUACAUGGCAAAAAUAUAGCCGGUUUUGUUGAGAAUGAAGGUGCUUCGUCUAAUUCAAUUAAAUUACAUUUCGCUCUCCUAAUUUAAGUCGAAUAUCAAGACUGAGCAGCUAUAUGCAUAUUCAUUCAAUUGACAAUUUUUACAUAUUUUUUAAAAUGUUUAAUUUUGAAAUUACACCAAACAUCAUAUGUGAUCUUUGUUUUGAUUUUACUUGCAGGUCUAGAAAGAUUGAGCAACUUGAAGAUGCUGGAUUUAAGUGAAAACUUGUUCAACAAUAGCAUCUUAUCAUCUCUAGCUCGUCUUUCAUCAUUAACAUCAUUAGAUUUAUCUGAUAAUAGAUUGGAAGGAAGUAUUAAUGUUAAAGGUACGUAAUUAAAACAUCAUCUCUUCUCCCAACUCUUUCAUUAACAUGCUAAAAUAAGAUUCAAGGCUUUGAAUUCAAUUUUUUUAUGAGUAAAUAUUAGAAAAAUAGUUUUAAGCAAUUCAUAAAUACAAUUUUCAAUGUUUCUCAUAAUUACUCUAACUGUGAAGCAAAUACCCCAUGACUAAUUUAUCAUUUUGUCCAGUUAAAAAUGAUAAAAUUUAUCAUUUGUUUAUAUUGAUUUAUUAACUCUAUUUUAAGUCUUAAGUCUUGGCGUGUUGGCAUGUUUGCAGAAUUUGAUUCCUUGAGCAACUUAGAGGAGUUGGACAUGCGCGGUAAUGAAAUAGACAAUUUCGAGGUUCCUCAAGGUAAACAAUUAAAAUAUUAUUCAAUUACAUUAAUUUAAUUCGUUUGAUUAGGGAAGGCCCAAAAUGUACAAAAACAUAAUUAAAAAAAAAUAAAGAAACAGAGAAUUCAUAUUAUUUCAAAAAACAAAAGGUAAUACUAUUAUUUCAAAAAAAGAAUGUAAUAAAGAUUUGAUUCCGGUUCUUUAAUCUUUAUAGCAAUUGAAAAACAAUGUUGCUCUUUUCCUAAAGCAUAAAAUAUGAAAUGAGUCAUAAUUGAAUUAGUCAUUUAUUUUGUUUAGAUCUAAAUUUAGACAAUAAAUUUUGAUUUUUUUUUCAAUCCUAUCCUUAUUAUUAUUGUUAAACAGGUUACAGAGGUUUGAGGAAGUUGAAAAGCCUCUAUCUAUCGGAAGUUAAAAUUAGAGAUGGAAGCAAGUUGUUACAGUCAAUUGGAUCAUUCCCAUCCCUCAACACUCUUUACCUUUCGUCUAAUAAUUUUACGGAAACAGUGACAACUACUACUCAAGGUAAGUAAAAGGUAUAGAUGUGGCCAAAUUUAUAAACAAAUUGUUAAUUAAUUAAUUUUUCCGUAUUAUUAAUUAAGCUAAAUUUGUUGCUCCUUCCUUCUAAAUGUACACAGAGUUGCACAAUUUCACCAACUUGGAAUAUUUGACAUUGGACUCUUCCUCUAUCCAUAUAAGCCUUCUGCAAAGCAUUGCAUCAUUAUUCCCUUCAUUAAAAAAUCUGUCGAUGUCUAGUUAUGAAGUCAAUGGCGUCCUACGUGGUCAAGGUAAAAGAAAAGUGUUGAUUGUGAACUCGCUCAAUGGUGUCCUACGUGUUCAACAUUUUUAUUUAUUUAUUUUAUUGUUUAAUGUUUCUGCUAGGUUUUCCUCAUUUCAAGAGUUUGGAACUUUUGGAUAUGGAGUGCACGCGCAUUGCACUCAACACCAGCUUUCUUCAAAUCAUCAGUGAAUCGAUGCCUUCUCUUAAGUACUUAUCACUGUCAGAUUCUACUCUUGGCACUAACAGCAGCAAGAUUCUUGAUCGAGGUUAAUCAGAUGCUCCCACCCUCCCUUCUUAAUCUAUAAUAUUAAUUUUCAAUUAAAUAUUUAAUUACACAAACGAAUCACUUAUUAUAAAAGAAUAAUACGCAUUCAUUAAUUUCUAUAUUGAAUUAAUUGAUGAAUUUAAUAAUAUGCAUUUGUUAAUUUUUUUAUUGUACUGAUGGAUGAAUUAAUAAAUUUUCAGGCCUCUGUUCGCUGGUGCAUUUACAAGAGUUGUACAUUUAUAAUAAUGAUCUGAGAGGAAGCUUGCCUUGGUGCAUGGCAAAUAUGACAUCCCUCAGAAUAUUAUAUGUUUCUUCUAAUCAACUUACUGGAAGCAUCUCCUCAUCUCCCCUCGUUCAUUUGACAUCCAUUGAAGAGCUGCAUCUUUCAAACAAUCACUUCCAGAUCCCAAUUUCACUUGAACCACUUUUCAAUCACUCAAGACUCAAGGUUUUUUGGGCUAAGAACAAUGAAAUAAAUGCAGAAAUAACUCAGUCACCUUCUUUGACCGCCCCAAACUUCCAAUUAUCACGUCUCUCAUUGUCUUCCGGUUAUGGAGACGGUGUCAUAUUCCCCAAAUUCCUUUACCAUCAACAUGACCUGGAGUAUGUUGAUCUCUCACACAUGAAGAUGAAUGGAGAAUUUCCAACUUGGUUGUUGGAAAACAACACAAACUUAGAAUCUCUUUUUUUGGUUAAUGAUUCUCUUGCAGGACCUUUCCGGUUGCCAAUUCAUUCACACAAGCGGUUAAGACUGUUGGAUAUAUCCAACAACAACUUCCGAGGCCACAUUCCAGUAGAAAUUGGAGAUGUUUUACCCGGUUUAUUUUCUUUAAACAUUUCCAUGAAUGCUUUAGACGGUAGCAUUCCCUCUUCAUUUGGUAAUAUGAAAUUCCUCCAAUUACUGGACGUAACCAACAACCAAUUGACUGGUGAAAUCCCUGAGCACUUGGCUGUGGGUUGCGUCAACUUGGAGUAUCUUGCGUUGUCAAACAACAGCUUAGAAGGUCAUAUGUUCUCCAGAAACUUCAACCUGACAAACUUGAAAUGGUUACAAUUGGAAGGCAAUCACUUCGUAGGAGAGAUCCCACAAAGUUUGUCUAAAUGCUUCGUACUAGAAGGAUUGUUCCUUAAUAAUAACAGUCUUUCGGGUAUGAUUCCACGAUGGUUGGGUAAUCUCACAAGGUUACAACAUAUUAUGAUGCCCAAGAAUCAUCUUGAAGGUCCUAUUCCAGUGGAGUUUUGUCAACUUGAUUGGCUUCAGAUUUUGGACAUUUCAGACAACAACAUAUCUGGAAGUUUACCAUCUUGUUUCCAUCCUCUCUCUAUCGAACACGUUCAUCUUUCAAAAAAUAUGUUACAUGGACAAUUAAAAAGAGGUACAUUCUUUAAUUACCAUUCCCUUGUGACAUUAGAUCUUAGCUAUAAUCGCUUGAAUGGCAGCAUUUCGGAUUGGGUUGAUGGGCUUUCUCAGUUAAGCCACCUUAUCUUAGGUCACAAUAAUCUUGAAGGUGAAGUGCCAGUUCAAUUGUGCAAAUUGAACCAACUACAAUUGUUAGAUCUUUCUAAUAAUAAUCUUCAUGGUCCUAUUCCUCCCUGCUUUGAUAACACCACACUUCAUGAAAGUUACAGCAAUAGUUCUAGUCCUAAUAAGCAAUUUGAAAUAUUCUUUUUCAUCCAAGGCCCUCAGGGACAUGUAGAAAAGCAAAUCCAUGAAAAUUUUGAGUUCACAACAAAGAACAUUGCGUACAUUUACCAAGGAAAAGUGCUUAGCCUCCUAUCAGGACUUGAUCUUUCUUGCAACAAGCUAAUCGGUCAUAUUCCUUCUCAAAUUGGAAAUUUGACAAGGAUUCAAACAUUGAAUCUAUCGCACAACAACUUGACAGGAUCGAUCCCAUCAACAUUUUCAAACUUGAAGCAAAUCGAAAGUUUGGAUCUUUCCUACAACAAAUUGAAUGGGGAAAUCCCUCAUCAACUAGUGGAGUUAAAGACGUUGGAGGUUUUCAGUGUGGCAUACAAUAACUUAUCAGGCGAAAUUCCAGAAUGGAAAGCACAAUUUGCAACCUUCAACGAGAGUAGUUAUGAGGGAAAUACUUUUCUUUGUGGACUGCCAUUGCCCAUUUGCAAAUCACCAGCAACUACGCCAGAGGCUUCAAUUGGCAAUGAACGAGAUGAUAAUUUAAUUGACAUGGACAGUUUUUUUAUCACAUUUACAACAUCGUACGUAAUUGUGAUAUUCGGAAUUGUUAUUGUUUUAUAUGUAAAUUCUUAUUGGCGACGUAGAUGGUUUUACUUUGUUGAAAUGUGGAUAACUUCAUGCUACUAUUUUGUUGUAAACAAUCUUAUUGCAACAAGAUAUUGUCAUUGAAAUUAAUUAGCAGUUUAAUUACGAUUCUUUAAGUUCUAAUCAAGUUUGCUUAGGAAAUACAUUUAUUUUUAUUUUUUAUUAAAAUUGUAGUAGUAUUUAGCAUUAUAUAGCUUCCAACUUCCAAGCACUUCACAUUUGUCUCCACACUUCCAAACCCAUAUCUAUCCACCAUAACGUAUACUUCCCUAUACUGUGCAGCAUAAUUUAUUUAAGAGAACCAUCUCCAAUGUUUUUUUUUUUUUUUUGAAUACUGAUUAAUCAUCAGAUUACUGCAUUAUACAGAUAUUUACAACAACUGCUAUUGUAGAAGAGAUAUUAUACUGAUAUUUACAAUCAGAUAUACAUAAUUGGGACUUAUAUUAUGACAUUAAAUUCUAUGAAGUACAUGCCCAAACAAAUAACCUCUCACAAGAUAGGGAUGUCCAUACUCCACUCGCAUUUCGCAAGGAAGAAGGAUUUUGAAAUAUGAAGAACAUUUAGCCCCCACAAUGCUUUUAUGGGGGCUAGAACCGCUGCCCUCACAAUUCUUGUGAGGGCAGCAGCCCACCACUUCGGCCAUCUCCAAUGUUAAAAGCAGCCACUCUGUAACAUUCAUUUAGAAACUAUAUUCAGAAUAGUUUUAUAAUCAUACACAAGAAAUGAAACACCUAGAUGCACUUAAUCGCCUAUUUUACUUUAAAAAAUAAUGAUUAUGGUGCUAUCAUCAUCUUCUUCACUAGCAACAUUAACACCAAAUCCAACGAUGGACCCAGACAUUUUAUCAAGAAAGGUAUAUAUAUAUAUAAUAAAGUUGAAGCUUGACAAAAAAUUCAGGAAGAUUAAUGCCUCGCCACAACAAAGGGCACAACAACAUCAAAGUAGAGAUGAAGCAAUAUUCUCAAAGGUAAAACUCUCAAAUCCACCCACCAGAAUUUCAUAUCUCCUCGACAAUUUUAAGAACUAAAGAUAAUUAGGAUUUAACAUUAGUUUUUUAUAUAUUAGUUUCAUAAUUUACAAAUCAAUGCAGAUGAAGAUUAUGCUAAUGAAUUCAAAUUAUACCAUACAUUCUCUAGAUGUUACCAAAUAUUUCUAAAGUCAAUCCCACACAUUUCAUAAUUUUAAGACUAGAAAAUUUCAUUAGUUAGAAGUUUCAUUACCUUCAAGUGGAAGAUGAAGAACAUUGUACAAGUGAUUCAGAUUAUAUCAUACAUACUCCAAAUCCAACUAGAAAUUAACAAGUUCAUGCGCACAGAUUUCAUAACAUUAUGAUUGGAAAGUUUCACAAAGAGAAAUUCUAAAUUCAAUCUCUUGCAUCAAGGUAGUUUGAUUGAUUUGAGUUACUUUCUGAUCAAGCUACUAAUAUAACAUUCAAGUCAAGGAGAAAGUAAAUUAAAACUGGGAAAAAGUAACAGUAAAAAUUUGUUGCUAAACAUGAUGUGUAUUUUUUUUUUAAAGCAAUUUGGAAACACAGUUGUUACUACAGAUAUUCUCCUCAACUUGGAGAUAAAUACAAAUAUUAAAAUGCAUUUGAUCGCACAUAUUACUUAGAGCUUAGUAAGAUUUCAUUAAGAGAAGCAAUCAAACCACUUAUCAAUUGUUGCAGUCAUUCUAUAAGCUAAAAUAGCAAUAUAAUACAAGAAAAAGAACAUAUAGAUACUUGGCAAGAGUUCAUUAAGAAGUCGCAUCACAUUCGGGUGAGGAGUUUGCUUCUGAUAUCUUGCUAGCUGGGGCUUUUUCUUGUCUUUCUACGUAUGCCAAGGGAAACCAACCAGCUUGGCCCUUGCAUUCACCUUCCGACCAUCCAAUAGGAGCCACCUUGAGAAGUUAUAACUAAAACGGUGAAUUAAACAAAAGUUGACCGUUCAAAGACCUAAGGGGAAAACUAAUUCUUUUACGUAGGGGGAGUGAAUUAGUUGUGAUCACUGAAAUAACAGCAUAACUAUGGAAGCAUAACAAGAUAUAAAUUCACAUGUCUAUAAGGGUAAACUGGGUGGUUUAGAACCGAGCUAGCAACCCUACUAUAUUCUGAUUUGCACUUCAAUGUAAAAGGGAAUAUAUGGUAGGAAGAAAGAAAACCAACCAUCAUUUGUUAACUCAUUGCUUUUCAAUCAAAAUUUUAAGAACAAAAUGCCAUGUGCCUUGAACAUCAAAUAAGUAUAAGCAUUAGUUCUAAAUUCCACAUAUCAUAUGUUAAUAGCAUAGUAGAAAAAUCUAUGUGUUGUUAUUUAGAGGGGAAAGUACUUGGCGAACCACAACAUAAUCAUCAAUUGAAAGACUUAGCUCUCCAUUUGCUUGAGCAUCAAAUGGAUGUAUAACCUGCAAGAUAAUGGGAUAAAUAGAACUUAAUCUUAGAAAAAGCAUAACAAAAGCAGCAACAGUAGCAGCAGCGUUCAUUGUAACCACUAUGAUCAUGGCCAACAAAGAUAUAUUAGAAACAAAAUUCCAUUUUUACUACAACCUUAAUAUGUACUAUAUGAUAUCAUGACGAUUGGGUUACCAAGAGCUAUUAAAGUCCAAUAAGUUCUGUAUAACUUUAUGUAGUUAUUUAAAUUAUGGAUCAGAUUUUAAAUCUGAAAUUUUGACUGCUCUCCACAAAACAUGGCCUAUGCACAAAAAAGUCAUAGAUAAUGAGGAUUACAAAUGUCUGACAUCUUUUGAGUGAUGGAUUUAACAUGAGAGCUUAUGGUCAGUCAAUUUCCUCUGCCUACCAAUAUAAGCUUUCUCGGCCAGAUUUAUCAUCAAAUACAUAGAUUGCCCCCAAGUCACAUCCAUACAAACAUAGUUUUUCUAGGUAAACCAAGUAAGGAGAAUCAUAAUUCAGACAUAAUCAUAAAAAGGUCCAUCUAACUUAAGAGAAAAUCUCAAAAAGAGGGAUGUUGAGCUAUCAGUCUUGUAUCUAUAAGCAAUAUCAAGACUUUACAUCACCUGCUACAUCGUGAGUGGCUACACAACUUUCAGUGGUUUGUCUUUCUUUGGCAUGCCUAACUCAGCUUUGAUGUUGCUGAGAUAUUGAUAGUAGAGACACUUGAUACUUCUAGCUCAUGCAUUCUAUCUAGCUCAUCCGACAACUAUCUCUUUUUUAAUUCAUUAGUGUUUGCGAAACCUCAGGCUUAAAAGUCCUGUUCUCCUAAACAAAGUUUCCUAAGAAUGACUUCCUCAGCACCACAUUUGGACACUUUUAGAGCAAUUUUAUUUGGGGGAAAAGAAUUUUCAAGGUGUUAACUAAUAAAUUUUAAAAAAUAAUUACAAUUUGUCCUACGAUUAUAUGACAAUUUACCUAUGUGGCAAAUAAAAGGGUGAAAAAAUAUGAUAUUCUCUAAAAGACUUUUCAAAUAGAAAUAAAUUAAUAUUAUUUUAAUCAUAUAAUUAAUUUUUUAAAGGAAAAGUCAAUAGCAAUUAAAGCACUUCUCUCUCUUUCUUCAAUGAAAAAUAAUAAAAUAUAAAUUGAAGAGAGAUAAAUUAACUCUCCAAAUUUAAAGAGAGAGAAUCAAUUCUUAUUUGAAGAAUCUUAAUUGGAGUGUCUUUUGGAGCUUUAAAUAUUGAUGUGGCUCUUCAAAUAAGUAAUAAAAUCUUAUUUGAAGAACUUUUUGGUGAUGCUCUAAGAAGUGAAAAUGAUGAGAGCCCUGAUUCCCUUUUGACUUCCAUUUACUGUCAAACAUUCUAGCAAUACAAAAAAUUGUUUAGAUAUCUUGCUAUAAAUAUAGCCGUUUGACUGUCAUAAUAAAGUCCCAAAUAACCAUUCAUAUUGAUCCACUGUCACACAGCAUGCUUUAUGCAUACAACAUCUGUAUGCAUACCAACUCCUAACCUUAUCAAUACAUUUGGCAAAAACCUAAGAAGAAAACUAUUUCUCCAUCUCUUUUUUGAAAUUUCACAAUAAACCAGCACAUUGUGAAAGCUAUGUUCUAAUCUUAUGAUAAAUGCUCUAGACUCCAAAAGGAUUUUAUAUAUGAGAGUUUGUUGCAGUAGAUAUAUUGACUUAUCAAGUAUGAAUCAUUGUCUGGAUGAACUAUCUUUAAAUAAAAGAACAUUAGAACCACUGUAGAAUAUCUUUACGCUGCUGGUUGUGGCAACAAUUGCUAGAUCCACAAUUCCCCAACUUCAAAUACAUAGUUGCACACCAUGAGAUAGUGCUACAAUCUACUGAGAUCUAACUUAUAUGAUACUUUAAGCUACUAAUGUUUGCAUAUUUCUACAUGUUAAAUUAACACUACCAUCUAUAAUCACUCCAAAACGACAAAUGAUAAGCAGCUUUUGGCUACUUAUUACUAGCAUCCACAAUUAUAAAUAAGAGAUCAUGGGUUUACUUGUUGCACCUACUUAAUGAUCUGCAGUUGAGACCCUGACGCAAGGUUUAAACAGUCACUGCUUAGAACCCUUGUAGUUGGAUCUUGACCUCUCCCAUUGUAGCCAAGAUUGGCUACUCUGGUAAUGAAUCAACACUCUCCUGCUCAGGGCCAUGAAGAUCUGGAAGCUCAGCACUAGUGGAGAACUUCAUCAAUCUCUUCUUCUCAGCAUACUUGAGACAAGGCUGCAUUACGAGACCAAUCACCACAGCACCAAUGCUUAAAGCUGCAACUUUUAAAGUAGAAAGAGCCAACACAACACAAAUCAAUAUGGUUGGAGGAAUACACAUGAUAAUGGCUCCAACAGUGCCAGUGGGUAUCUUGUAAGGACAAGAUGCAGCAGGAUAUUGUAUCCUUAACCAUAUAAAUGCUAUAAACUCCAUAAUCAUUCCAAAACAGUACAGGAAGUUCUCUGCAGCUACAAUAUCUUGAAAGCUCAGCCAUGAUAGCAAAACCACACCAGAUGCUGAGAAUAUGAUUCCAAUCAAAGGAGUCCCAUAACGAGACCUCUUAGCAAAAACCUCAGGUAGCAUUCCACGCUCAGCCAUCCCCAAAAGCUGGAAAGAGUCGCUGCUCAUCUCAGCUACAAACAUGCCCAUAUUCGACAUUGCUGCAGCCCCCUGGAUCCACCAUCUCAACCAAACUCCACCAAGCACUUUAGCGAUAUCUGAAAAGUAACCAUCGGUCCACAAGUCGCGAUCUAAUGGAAUAGCUCCAGUUCCAACUAGAAGGGGAAAGAAAUACCCAAAAAUGACCAAGAUCAAAGCAUUAAACAAAGCCUUUGGAAGAGUCUUCUUUGGGUUAUCCACCUCUCCAGCUAGUGUACUUAUUGAGUCCCAGUAGUUGAGAUUCCAAAACAGGGUGUUCAAAUACAAAUUCCAAUCCACUUCACCUAAAUUUACUACAAGCCAUCUUGAAGGCUCUAACUUGGGAAGGGACACAAGUCCCAUAACCACAAAAGGAAGGAGUGAGAAAAUCCCUAAAAGAACAGCAGCCCAUCCCACAAUGGUUAGACCCCUAUAGUUCACGUAGAACAAAAGUCAAAGCUAACGCCACAAAGGCUCUAGGUAACCCAUUGCCCAACGCAGGGAUACCAGACUUCAAGUAGUCAAGAAACAGAACUGGGUAUAAAGCAUUAUCAAUAACCCCACUUAGCCAUUUCAUCCAACCUUGCUGAAAACCCCAAUAUGGGCCUAAGGCAGAUGAAACCCAAACCACAUAACCACCAUUUUCAGGAAACAUGGUACCCAUCUCGGCAGUAAUUAAAGCUUCAGGGACACUCCAUAUAAUCGGAGACACCAAGAAACCGAGAAGUGCUAAAAGAGGACCAGCUGCCUUUACACUAUCCUCAACACCAAACGGCCCUCCAGAAACCUCAUAGAGUAUAAGGAAAAUAAGUGGCAAGAUCGAUACUUUUCUAGUUCCAUAGACUCUAGGAGAAGAUGGUUGGUCAUUGAUAUUAACAUAUUCAACAACAUCAGACUGCCCCAUUUCUACUGAAACUUGCCUAUUCACAGUGCUCCUCAAUUUCUGCAUCAAGUUUAAGCAUAACUAUCAAAAGGGUAUCCACAUCUAAAUUAUGAAACAAAAUGAGCAUUUACUUAUUAAAAAAAAAUCAAAAAACAGAAAUGGAUUUCGCAGAGCACAUGAAUUUAAGUUCAACAUUAAACAGGCGCUUAAGAAAACAAAAGGGUCUGUUCGUAAAGCCAUCAGAUUGCAAGAUUGAACAAACAUUAAGGGAAUCAAUAGAAUGGAUGUAAAGAGAUCUGAAAAGAAAAUAAAAUAAAAGAUGAAGAGAGAUAAAACGAACCAUCAAAUAAGUGCAUGCAGAGCAGAGAGCCAGAUGCUAGGGAAGCUCCGUCAUGUUAGAGAGAGCCUAAAUCAAUCAGAGCUCAUUGAGUUUCUUUCAACUGACCGGCAAAUUUGGAGCAUCAUAACAUAAAAUUUUUGCUUUUAAUUUUUGGCACUCCUUCGAAUGGAAUUUUUUGUUUUUAAAAAAUAACGAAAUCAUAAAAUAAAUAAACACGUGUUUGGUUUUGGGCAUUUUCUUUUGUUCAUUUAAUAUCACCUGGCUCCCUGAUUUUUGACUAAUUAUCAACCGAAUCCUGUUAGUUUCUAAAUUGAAAUAAUAUUAGGUCAUGAGAUUAUUUACUCCAUUUAGGAUUCCUCCCACUUUAGUGUUUACUUAUUAAUUUUAAGAGAGUGCGAAUCCCACUCUAUGGGACUCAUUCUUUUUUGGAGUGUAGAGUGGGAUUCCCACUCCCAUGGGGGGAGGUGAGAGUGGGAAUCCACUCCCCCCUCUUCCAUUUUUAUCUUUAUAUUUAAUUUAAUAAAAUAAAAUAAUAUCAUAUUUACUUAAAUAAUAUUAUUAUAUUAUUUUAUAAAUUAUACUUAUUAAAAAUAAUAAUUUAUAUUGAUUCUAAGUUAAAAUUACUUAAAAAAAUAUUAUUAUACUCAUAGAGAAUUAAUAAUAUUACUAUAUACUCUUUUUAUUUGAAAAUAUAAUAUUAUUAUAUUUAUUUAAAAAUAAUAGUAUUAUAUUUAUUUAAUAUUAGUAAUUAAUAAUAAUCAAUAUUUUAUUCUGAGAAAAUAUUAAUUUUGUAUUAUAUUAUUAAUAAUAAUGUUUCAUUUGUGUUGCUCUUAAUAAUAAUUUUUUAUUUACAUAAUUAAAAUUAAAUUUAAUAAAAAAAUUAUUUACAUAAUUAAGAAUAUUAAUAAUUAUUAUUAAUUUACAAAUAUAAUAAAAUAAAUAUUUUAUUUUUCAAAUCUAUUUUUUAUUAAUUUUGUAAUUAAAAACUAUAAUUCUUUAAAUAAGGAUAAAACUGUAAUUUAAAAUUAUUUACUCCCAAAUCUAUGCUCUCAUUCCAGUGUAAGUAAAUAACUUACUCUCACUCCCACUCCACACUCCUAAUCCCAGGAUUCUUAUUUCAAUCCAAAAUGUAAACGCAGCAUUAGCACGGUAGACUUACUUAUAGUAUAUAAUACUAUUGAAAAAGCUUUGUCAAAUAGUAGUAAUAGGAGCAUAAGAAAAAGUUCUUCAGAAUUUAGAUAACGCACUUGGCUCUAGGAAGAUUGCCCUCUUAUCACUCGAGUUAGGCUUUUGGCUUAGAGUUGAGUAAAUCAUUAAAAUAAAUUAUAGCUAUCACAAAUUGUUAGGAAAAUUUCAAUUUUUUUUCCCAUCAAAUGUCUAUGAAGCAAAAUUUUCUUAGCUUAUAUUGCAACACUAAUACUUCAAAUCCUGACAAUAAAUUUGAUGACAGUUGUUUUUUUGUAUAGUAAUUGUCACUCUAUUGUUUAGUUUAAAAGUAGUUCUUAAAAUGAUAAUGAUGACUUAUUUAGAACAAAUGGUAAACUUGUAGUUUGUAAUAUUAUUUGUACAAACAAUAAAGACUAAUUUGAUAAUAAUCUUUCAAAGAAUAAAUUACUAUUUAACAUUUUAAAUUAAUUUCUAAAUUUAAAACAAAUAUGAAAGUUGAUUGCUUCGAAGGUUGGAUCGUGACAAAUUGACAAUUGAAAAGAGGAGGGAAUAUAUAUUUUGAUGAAAGGGACAAGAUUAAGCAAGGGGACAAUAUUUUCUAUUGGACCUACAAAUAGGGGGAAAGAUUUAUAUAUUUCAAAAUUUCUUAUUUGUGGAUUGGCCAGCACGUGUAACUAAUAUAAAAGGAGAAAAUUUGUCAUGGUUUUAACCGAUAUAAGAAGAGAAAAUUUUGAGUGCACAACAAGAACGAAGCAAAACUAGGGUUGGCAGAAAAGCCCGGGCCGGCCCAGGCCCGCAUCGGCCCGGGCCAGGCCCGCGGGCUUUAAGCCCGGCCCGUGGCUUGAAAUUAUGGGUAAGGGCUCAAAGUUAAUAAAGCCCAUAACAUAUGGGCUCAGUCAAGGACCUAAAUGAAAAGUCCGGGCUUAAGCCCGGGCUUUAUAAUAAAUAAUAAAUAAUAUAUAUAUAUAUAUAUAAUAUUAUGGAUAAUGGCUUUAUAUAUAUAUUAAAAAAUGUAUAAUAUAUUAUAAAAUUGAAAAAAUAAUUAAACAAAAUAAUAAAAAAAUCGGGCAAAGGGAAAGGGCAAAGGUUUUGUCACAAAAUGUCAAAAUUCCUAAAUCGGUAAAUCUCUAUUAGUUUUUUUUUUAUAUUAGUGGUUGAUUUGUACGUUGUGUACGGUAUUUGUAUUGUUAGUAUUUUUAUAUUUUGUGUUGCUAAUCAUGUAUUAGAGAAUUAUAUUUAAGUUUUUAGCCUAUUGUAGUAUUAUGUAUUGGUUAAUUAUGUUUUGAAAAUUUAUAAUUUUAUUUUUUAAAAAAAAAUUUUAAAAUUUCGUAAAAGCCCGGGCUUGGCCCGCGGCCCGGCCCAGACCCGUCAAGGCCCGGCCCGCCCAAAGUCUGCUCAACUUGGAUGGACUUUAAGAGGGCCUGGACUUAUUUAACAUUAUAUGGGCCUGGUCCUGAGCUUGAUAAAGCCCGGCCCAGGCCCUUAAAUUGCCAACCCUAAGCAAAACCCAUGAAAAUUCACCUUGUGGGUUGGAUUGGAUAAAAUCAAUAUCUUGAAUCAAACAAAAUGUUUGGUACAUUAAGGUUUUGAGUGUGUGUAAUGAGCAAGAAUCUACAUAAGGAUAUUUUAGUAAAUAUAAGAAAAAGGGCUCAAGGAAUGGCCUAGAGAUAGAAGCCCACAGCCCAUGAGUGAUGAGAAUACAAUUUAACCAUUCAAACUAAUUAGAAGCAAAUUAUUUCAUAUCUUUCGUUAAUUUUUCCGCUUACUUACUUAGCAUCCAAACAAGUUAAAGUUAAAACACUGUUGAGACAACAAUAUGCAGGCAUCAAUAAGCAUGGCAGUUUUUUAUAUGUAUUCUACACGAUAUUCUGGGGAUGUCAAUUGUAGAACAUUUUGCGGCAACUUUUUACAUUAAUUAAUGUUUGAAGAAUUUGUUAAAAAAGGGUAAUUUUAUCAUUUUGAAAGAGAAAAAAAAAAGUAAAAGUGGCGUUACCUCAUGGUCAUUAGAGACUUGUUGCAAUGAUAGCUCAAAAUUAACAAUUUGUGAAGAGUUAGUAGACGAUGCCGAUGUUGUCGUCGUCACUUUUGUCGUCGCCGCUGUUGUUGAAUUCAUGCUUAGAACACAACAAGAGAAGAAGAAGGGAGGAAAGGGAAGAGAAGAAGAGAGAAGUGGUGGAUAGCAAAUAUGAUAUGCUAGCUACACACCCGCCUUAGAAUUUUUUUUUUGUGUUUAUUAUAUUUUUGUUUUCGUUAUUGUUUUGUCAUAUACUUUCGGUGUAGCAGUGCCUUACAUCAUAAAUUGCACCUUUUAGGAGAGGUGGUAAAAAACGUGAGGGCACUGCGCUCCAGCGCAUACAUAUAGAAAGAGCUUCUUAAUUUUAAAAAGUUUCUUUAUUUCUUCCACAUUUUUGUGCUUAAAAUAAAAUUUAAUUGUAUUUUGCAUUAACUUAGAAAAAAAAUCCAGUUCUAUACAUAAACGCAUGCAUUAAUUAGAAAAUGAGUUUUACUAACGCAAAUGUACAAUAAAAGAGAUUCUUUUUGUAUAUUGGAAGUAACAUAACUAUUUAGUAUAAAAUGUAAAUAUAAGCUACCAAGAAUUUGCACUUGUGGUAAUUAACGACACAGAUUUUGAACUAUGAAUGUUUUGUGGCUGGUUUGAUUGGAUUUUCGAGUUUUCAGCAAACCUAUCUCAAUAAUUAUUAAAUUAUUUUCACUUCUUACGCCUUAAUAAAAAAAAUCAAUAUUUUUCUGGUCUAUUCUGUAUUUUAAAACUUAAUUUUAAUUUUUAUAUUGCAAACCAAAAUGAGUCAACCGGAGUAUGCUCUUCAAAGAAAUUUUCCAUUGCCUUCAAGAAGAAUUUAUUUUAUUUUUAUACAUUAAUUUAACAUUUUUUCAUUCACUUGUAAACCGGGCCGUCGGAUUGCACAUAAAGCAAAUGAUCAAACCGUUACAAGACCAGCCCGGACCCACCGACUGUCAUUUUCUUUCAUUUGACCAUUAAAAGCUUUUGACCACCCCCACCAAAUAAAUAAGCUCUUGUUCUCUUUUGUUCCCUCUCAAAGGAAAAAAAAUAUCUGAUCACCGGAUAAUGAUUCCGGUGACACAAAAUAUCAAAACACCCCCCUAAAUUCCCUUAAAUUUACAAUAAUACCCCACCAUGGAUGAUUCUGUUGAAAUGCUGCCUUACAGUGAAAGGCCUAAGAAGGGUUUUAACUUCACACCCAUGCGCUUGAUCUUAACCCUCGUUUUCCCAAUUUUAACUUUCUUUUCGUUGGCAUUUUUGAUUGGGAUCGUUGCUGUUUUAUUCGGCGAAUCAUCAGUUUCGAGUUCCAUUUUUGUCCCUUCCCAGUGCAAGAUAGUGUCCAGCAGUAAGCUUUUUCAAAAUUUUCAAUUUUUUUACCUUAAUGAAGCUAAAAAGUUUUAUUAAUUUUUUUUUUUGAAUGAUUUUGCAGGUGUUGAUAUAAGGUCAUCAAAGGUUUGUGAACUUGGGGUGUUGAAUUAUAAGGCGAAGCGUGUGUUUUAUCCAUUUGAAGCAAGUAAAUUUCGCUGUCGAUAUGAUUACUAUUGGGCUUCUAUCUUCAAGGUAUUCAUACAUUUUCUCAACUUUAAUUACUUACCUGUACUAUAAGCUUCUUAGUGGCGGUCUUGUUUUGUGUUUUGAUGAAUGUGUUUAAGGGUCAGUUUGGGAAUGCUGGUAAUAGGAUGUUGUUAGUGUUUGGCAGUAAAUUUGCUAUGCAUAAUUCAGCAAUGUGCUUGAUUUUGGUUAUUGUCUUUAACAAUUUUUAGGUAGAGUACUUAGAUCAUUCACUGGGACAAACGCAGAGCUUGGUUGACCAAAGAUAAGUUCCAGGUUGGGGUCGGCAAUGCAGAGCUUCUGCGUGUAUUAAAAUUUGAAGCCUAGUAAAUGAAUUUCUAAUUUAUUUAUAGUGUUUGUUUUAUCUUGACAGAAAUGAAUGCUAACUCAAGAUUUUCCCAACUUUAAUUACUUACCUGUACUAUAAGCUUCUUAGUGGCGGUCUUGUGAGCGGAAGUGAGCGGUGUGGCUGACAGCUUCUUGAAAAUUAUAAGUUUGAACAGAGCAUGUUAGACUUUUGUUGACCAAAUUCGAAAGCCAAAUGGCACAGCUCAGAAGCUUUUGAAUUGAAUAACUUACGAGAAAGCUCCAAUUUUUUGUUGGCUACAGUAAAAGGAUGUUGUUUUAUUCUUCUUAUACUUUACGCUUGCAUCAGCUUAAAUCACUUCUUAAACGCUUUGCUUUAACUCCACUGCUUCGUACUGUUCUAUAUAUGUAUCGGGUAUGCGGUCGUAGUUCACGGCUGAGACUACGUGUUUGUUUGACGUGGUAGUUACGUUACGAGUCUGUUAAACAUUCGGUGAUUAAAGUAUUAUCGGUUAUUCCAAAGGGACAAAUAAGAUUAGCUGCAACACACCCACUAGUUUUAUAAAAUUCGAAUGAGAUGGAAUAAAAUAAAAAAAUAAAAAAGUAAAUUGACUUUUAAUUUUAGUGGUUGAAUAUAUUUUGUAUUCUCUUAGGGUACUGCUGUAAUUAUUCCUUAAACGUCGUCAUACUCACAUAUAAUAGACACAAGAAAUGAAAUCUAAGAUCACCUGCUUAGUUAAAGAAUCAUCAUGAAAAAAUUUUGCCAUUUUGAUUUGAGGAUCCACAUUUUAAACAACCAACUUAUGUUCAUCAAGAACAGAGUAUGAAUUGUGAGUAGAAAAAUUAUUUUUGGACAAAUUAUUUUGUUAAUAGAAGAAUGUCUCAAGGGACUAUUAAAAUUACUAAUAAAAAUGUCAGACACACCCACGUACCAUCGACACAAUUGAUUAUGAGGAUCCAUGUUUUGAACUGCCUCCUAAUGUUCAUCAAGAACAGAGUCAAUUGAAGGAGAAUAUGCUACUUUUUCAUUAAGAAAGGCAGACGGGGCAUACCAUGGUACCAUACAAUACAAAAAAUCUCCGUUCUCUGACUUUUCAAACUCUGAAGGGGGCAAUAUUCCCCAAUUCCUUUGUGAAAAUUCUGAUUACGACAUUAUUCAUCGCUUGAUACAUAAGUAAAAGUAGUGACAAAAUUAGAAAAAUUAUGAUUCAUAAGUAAUUACUAGGCAGGGCUCUUGAGAGCAACAUUGUCCUAGGCUUUAUAUGCAUACAUGGUGUGGCCACACCAUAACACAAACCCAGAAAGACAAGUAAUAUCUCAACUGAUAUAAAGACAAAAAGAAGAUAAAAUGAUACAGAACAAAGAAUUUCUAAGAGACAACAACAUACAAUAGACUGAAGCCAGUUGAUCUGCUCAUUGAUUGCAGCCUUAAACUUGCAAACGUUUACUGUAGCCUGGUGCUCUAAGAAGUGAAAAUGAUGCAAACCUUGAUUCCAUGUUUACUUCCAUUUACCAUCAAACAUUCUAUUCAUAAGAAAAAAAAUGUUUAGAUAUCUUGACGUAAAUAUAGCCAUUUGAUUGUCUUAAUAAAGCCACACACAACCAUUCAUAUUGAUCCACAUUGCCAUAUAGCCUGAUUUAAGCAUACAACAGCUGAAUGCAUACUGACUCCUAACCUUAUCAAUACAUUGGCGACAACUUCAGAAGAAAACUAUUUCUCCAUCUCUUUUUUGAAAUUUCACAAUAAAACAGCACAAUGUGAGCUGCAAUGAAAAUGGACCGUCUGGAACUAUGGCGGAAGCUUCAACUAGUGUAGUGAAUAUAAACCUAUAAUUGGAACAAACACAGCCACAGAACCCAAGAAUGACACACCCUACACCGCGGGAGAAGCUUUCCAGUGAGAUUUUAUUGAUGAUCAAAGAAGAAUCUUUUUACAAAGCUAACAAAAGAGAUUUCAGAGAAUAAGCUAUGACCCUCUCUCUCUUCAAUCUCUCUCUAGUUUGUUCACAGUGAUGACCCCAAUCUGCUUCGUUAGCCAGCUUCAUAACUGCGUCAGUGACAAACUAACAAACCCAGAUUGAGCAGAUUACCGACACGUGGAUAACGGCUUUUAAGAACUUGGUUAAAGAACUGCUCACAUAUUCGUCACGGGUGUUACUUAAAUGAUGGCCAAAACGACUUCAACCAGAUGCCGUUUUGAAGCUUGUGAAUUAUAAUUGAAAACACGUGCUUGUAUCGUGACACUUAAAUGCAACAACAAGCCCAAAACACUGCCGUUUCACUUUGUUCAGUUUGCCAUCUCUAAGCUUCACAACUAGCAACGGAGAAGAUGAUAAUUAAAUUGACAUGGAGAGUUUUUAUAUCACUUUUACAACAUUCUAUAUAAUUGUGAUAUUGGGAAUCGUCGGUGUUGUAUAUGUGAACUCUCGUUGGCGACACUAGUGGUUUUAUUUUUGUUGAAAUAUGGAUGACAUUUCGUUACUAUUUUAUUGUACACAACCUUAUUCUUAGGAGAUUUAAUCAUUGAAAUUAACAUGUUAGUUUCAUUAGCCACUAGGCCUUUGGCUGAGUCGUUCGGGUGUCUGCCCUCCAACUUGGAGGGCAGCAGUUUGAACCCCCACAAGCGCAAUGUGGGGUAUUUCCUUCUUUAAUCCCUCGAAUAUUACUGAGGGUUAAAAUCUAGGUAGAGUUCCAUAAGUAUUAAUGUAAGUUGGUUCCAGUAAUAGUCUAAUUUGUAAAUAUCAGUUAUAGUCUCAUGUAAGAUGAGUUGUAAUUUGAGCAAUAGUCUCAUAUAAUAAUAAUAAAAUAAAAUAAACAUGUUAGCUUCAUUACAUUUUUCUUCGUUAAAAUUCUCAAGUAUUAGUCAGGUUUGCUUAAGUAAUAAAAUUUUGUCAUUAAAAUUGUAGUAGUAUUUCUGAGCACCUCACAUUUUCAAUGAUUGUUCAUAAAUCAAUUAAUCUGCCGUACCGAUAUUAGGUUUAGUUUUUCAUACUAAAUAAUCAAGAAAGCAAACAUACAAAUUCACAGUUUAGAGGGGUAAACUAGGUAGGUGGUUUAGAUUUUAGAACUAGGCUAGCUACCCCACUAAAUUCCAAUUUGUACAGUGAACUACAAGAAAUUGAGAAAACAGUGUAUUUAUAGUUUAAUUGAAUCGUGAGAAAGCAAUGUAGUCAUAGCUCAAUCUGAGAUGAUCACGGAGAGGCAUAUUCUUUUCAAGUUAAUUUGAUCAAUUUAUAAGAGAUGAAGUGGAUUGAAGUUAAAAGUUUAAAUAACAAAUCCUUGUUCUUGAGUUUUACGACGUCGUUACUCCUUCAAGAGGCAGAUUAUUUAUGCAAGUGAAUGCAGAAACGCAAUGCAUCAUCCACGGGGAUGGUACACCAAAAGGCGGGAUCAUAGUCUAUGCCCGCAGAUUAACAAUUUCGCUCAUAUAGAAAAUUAAUUUUUUAUAUAUACUAAUCAAUACUAAAUUGAUUAUGUUUUGUAUGUUUAUAUGCGAAUCAACACUAAAUUAUAUUAAAUGAAGAAAUAAUUCAAUUUUUUCUAAUUUAAUUUAGAAAAUAAAAUUAUUAACAUUAAUAUUCCCAACAAAAAUUAUUUUCCAUUAGUAUUCAAAGCUUCACUUAUGGAAAAUGUGUUUUACAUGAAUAUUAGUUACUGUGUAAAUUUGAAUGAUAGUGAAAAAUAAUUUUUUAAUUAUUGUAAAAAUAAUUAACCAUAUCAAAUCCCUUACGUAAAUAAUUUUUAUUUUUCAAAAAGGUAGAAAGAUGGUUAAUGCACAAGCAAAUUUUAAGCCCCUCUCUUCUUGGCCUAAGAUUCAAACUCAGAUGACUAGUUAAAUAAACCUAUGUGAAAAUCAUUCGGCCAGGUCCGCGGGGCAAAAAUACAAGAUCCUUAAUUUCAUAAUAUAUAUGAAUUAAUGUCAUUUACUUGAAUUAUCCAAAUUCAUCAGAGGUUAACGAGUUUUCCUGACAUGUAGCAGAUGAAGUUGUUGCUUCCUUCUUGGCAUUAUUUCAGCUCUGGUUGUUGGUCCCGAUGAGCUUUAGUCUUAUUUUAAUUUUAUUUAAACUCAUCAUAAGAUUCGUGAAGCACCUAACUGACUUAACUGACUGUGCAGAAAUGUCACAUAGCAUAUUUAACCGUUUUAACAGUAAUUUUGAACGGUCUUCGCAGUUAUCAUCUACAAACUCGUUCGUGUUGGUCCACUAGGUGAAGUUUUUGAAAUAAUAAUAAGCUCCCAUUCUUGAUUUUAAAAAAUGUGCUUAUAAUAAUUUUAGAAUAAUGGCUUAUUUAUAGAACAACUUAUGAUUUCCCAUUAGCAUUAUUAUUGAAGUGGGGUGGAUAACGGUUCACUCAAUUCGUCGGGAAUCAAAAAUUACCAUCCAAGGCAGAAUUGUGGAAAAUUAAAGCGAAAUGAGAAAUAUGGAAAUGAAGGAAGAAAGUUAAGGCAUGAAAGACUUCCAGUUGAAAUUGAUAAUCAUGUUUCUCUUUGGUAACUAAUCAAAUGGGAAACUGAACCAUAAACAGACAUUAAAACGUGUGGACUCCGCUAGCUGCCUUACAAGCCUACAAUAAUAACUGAGUACCUUUGAUUCAUCCUUCUAUGAAUUUCUAGCCGUAUUGACUCCACCGAAAUUUCCACAAAAAAAAAAAAAAAAAGAAUUUCCACAAAAUGCAAAACGCAUGGAACUUAAUUUUUGGCCCUGUGAUCACUAAGAUACAAUCCUUCUAGUGAAGAGCAAUCAGGCAAAUUUUUUUAGAUCUCUCCGACAAAGUGAUUACCAUCUAAUCGCAAUAUUGAAUAAAAAUAAAAAUUUUAAUGGGAGUUUGACCUUAAAUUUAGAAAAUGAAUUUUCACUUUCUUCAAUUAUUAAACAGAUUACAUACAUUUGAGGAAUUUGAAAACACUUUAUCCAUCGACAGUUAAAAUUAGAGAUGGAAGCUAGGUGCUACAGCUAAUGGGAUCAUUAAUUCCCCUCCCUCAAAUGUGUAGUUGUUCCUCUUUCCACAGCAUAAGCCUUAUAGUUAGAGUUUCUUUAAAAAAAAAAUGUUAAACAAUUUCGGUUGAGCAUGGUUUUGGUAGUUGAAUAGACACCUCCGCCGUACCUCAAACAAAACUGUCAUUAUUCGUGCCAUGAAACAUGUUUCGGCCGUCAAAGUCAUGAGUAGGAGUGUGCAUGGGUUGGUUUGGGUUAGAUUUUAAGUCAAUUCAAAGCAAACCAUAAAAAUUUGGGUUCAAUCCAAAUCAACCCAAAUAUUUUUAACCCAACCCAAACCAACCUAUUUGGGUUUGGGUUUGGAUUUUAUAAUUAAAAUAUUUUUUAUUUUAAUAAAUUUAACUAUAUCAAAUUAUAAUAAUUAUUAAAUUAAUAUUAAAAUACGAAAAAAUGUAGUGGAUAAAAAUUAUGAAUAAUGGAUUUUACAAUAACUUUGUUCUUAAAUAUUAACCAUAUUACAACAUAAAUUCUAACAAUGUCAAUACAAAUUAAAGUAAGAUAAGAUAUCUCAACUCAAGUAUCAAAGCAAUCCAUCAAAAUUAAAUUAUUUAAUUUUAUAAAUUUAAAUUUUCCGAGAAAUAAAUCUAAAAUUUAUUGUAAUUAGAAAAAGCGCCAAAAUUUUAAACGCAAUAAGAAAAAUUAGACAUAAAAUCUAAUUAGGUUUAAAUUUAAUUAAAAAAUAACAAUAGAAUCAUAUUUUAUUUGAUAAAAUCUUAAAAUCAAUUUCAUUUUUUAUUUUAAUAAGUUACAAUACAAAUAGGAUUAUAAAAUUAUAUUACAGAAUUUCAUAAAAAUAUUGUUUGAGUAAUUUAUUAAAGGACUCACCUACGUUGCCACAGUUGUAGCUUACCACGCUUUUUGUCUUUUUCCAGUAAAAUCGUAGAUGCUUUCAAAUUUAAUCUAACGGCUGCAAUUAAUUAUUAGAUAAUUUAAUCAGCCAUUGGCAACCUUUACAACCGGUUAUAUUCUCUCGUUACAUUUCUCGGCUACCAAAUAAUCCCCAAGAAAAUGACGAAGUGAGUAACUAAUACGCACACCGCAGAGAAAGAUGACAGGAGAAGAGAUGACGGUAGGCUCACCGGCACAAAGGUUCUUCGAUUGCUCUAUUUCUUCGGCGCUGGAUUUAUCUACACAGCUACAAUCGACAAGUGGCGGGAACUCGAGCAGAAGUCAUUGAAGAAGAAACAGCAAGAGAGCAAUCUAUGGACUGAUGAUAACUCAGCAACUACGGUAAAGAAAGCCGUCAAAUGAUCUUUUUUAUUUGACUUUUGAUGGAUUUUCAAGAGUUUUGGUAAUAAAAUGUCUCUUAAUUUUUCAUUUCAAUGGCCUAUUGUUUGAGUUAUUAUUAUGCAUAAUUGUUGGAAGAGUUAGGGUUUUACUAUUGGAUUUUGGAAUUUGUAUUUUGGCUUUGAUAUGUUAUUGUUGUGAUGUUGGUCAAGAAAUUUUUGACAACACUCUCCUCGAGUUUGAUACUAUAGCUAAUGAAUUUUUACGGCAGAUAUAUUCUUUUCUUUGAAAAAAAAAAACACUUUACAACUGGUUAUGCAUUCAUUUAGGAGCUGUUAACUGAGCGUGACUUCCAUAAUUUUCCAACCAGUGGUUAGGGUUUCACAGAAAAAUGUCGACAUUGAUCUUUAGGCAGCACUUAAGACUGAAAUUGGUUGUAGAGGAUUGAAUUUGGGGGACUAGAAAUUUCUGAUCAUUAAUAAUUGAAAAUGGCCUCUCACUUGUAGGCAGUUGUUGGAUGUAAUGUAUCCAGUUUCUGAAAUCGAAAGCAGAGUGAGUUCUUAGGUUAGAUGUACCUACAUGCAUUAAGGUUCGAAGAUGUAGAAUAGGCCAAUUGUUUGAUGUCAGCUUUGUUGCACAUGUUCUGAAAUUGAUCAUUUAAGAUGGCUUGGAAGCACUCCGUGAUGUGACUAAGAAGAUUCGAGGAAGUAUUAAAUAUGUUGAAAGUUCACAAUUAAUACAAGGAAAGUUCAAUGAGAUCACCCAACAAGUUGAAAUCAACAGUCAAAAGAGCCUAAAGUGUGAUAUUUUUCUCUUGGAUUGUUUUUUUAUUUUCCAUUUCAAAGCUGAUAGUGUAAAUAUUUUGUUUGCAAAAGUUUCUAAAAAGUACUUGAGUCAAGAUGGUUAGGUAUUUCAUAACUUCCUUUUUACUCUUAACUAGAUUCAUAGAGAGUUAUAACAUUAACAUAAUUUUUUUCUUUUAAAAGUGAUCAAUUAGACACUGAUGAGAUAUCUCACUUUUGAAUCAUUUAGCUUUAUGUAAUUUCAUUACUAUUAUAUGCCCCCAGGAAUUGUUGAAGUAUAUAUAUCUUGGCAUUUCUUCACUGACUGAAUUAUCUUUCAUAAUAUUCCAGCUUCAAAUGGGUACACUGCAGAGCCUAUUGGAUGCAGAAUUCCUUCUAGCUCAUAUGUGCUCUGUAAAAUUCAAAGACUGAAUAGUGGUUAUGGCAACUCUUUGUAGAUGAUCUAAGGUAUAAUGCCCAAUUAUUGCUUUUGCUUUAUCUGUUUUACCUUGCAACAUUUUGAAAUUUAUGAGAAGCAUAAAAUUACUGAGCCAAAAUUGAGGAUCUGAACUUUCGUAAAAAUAUUUGUAUUUUUAAAUUAUAAAAUAUUGCAUUUGAUGCUUUAGGUGGAACUUAGUUCACUACAGAAAGGAAAAUUAUGUUGGGCAUAACCAGAUGUUUUUCAAGAGAAAAUUUCACUUCUGAGGAUUUUACUUGGCCAUCUUAUUUCAAGCUGCUUGAAUUUUUUCUUUAUAUCAUCUUGGUUGUAUACUAUAACUCAUUGAAUUUGCUAGCACUUUUGCUAGUUGUUUAUUCUAUAUGUGAUUGUGGUGGUAAAGUUUGGAAGCUCAAAAAGUAAUGGAACUUAGGAAGNNNNNNNNNNNNNNNNNNNNNNNNNNNNNNNNNNNNNNNNNNNNNNNNNNNNNNNNNNNNNNNNNNNNNNNNNNNNNNNNNNNNNNNNNNNNNNNNNNNNNNNNNNNNNNNNNNNNNNNNNNNNNNNNNNNNNNNNNNNNNNNNNNNNNNNNNNNNNNNNNNNNNNNNNNNNNNNNNNNNNNNNNNNNNNNNNNNNNNNNNNNNNNNNNNNNNNNNNNNNNNNNNNNNNNNNNNNNNNNNNNNNNNNNNNNNNNNNNNNNNNNNNNNNNNNNNNNNNNNNNNNNNNNNNNNNNNNNNNNNNNNNNNNNNNNNNNNNNNNNNNNNNNNNNNNNNNNNNNNNNNNNNNNNNNNNNNNNNNNNNNNNNNNNNNNNNNNNNNNNNNNNNNNNNNNNNNNNNNNNNNNNNNNNNNNNNNNNNNNNNNNNNNNNNNNNNNNNNNNNNNNNNNNNNNNNNNNNNNNNNNNNNNNNNNNNNNNNNNNNNNNNNNNNNNNNNNNNNNNNNNNNNNNNNNNNNNNNNNNNNNNNNNNNNNNNNNNNNNNNNNNNNNNNNNNNNNNNNNNNNNNNNNNNNNNNNNNNNNNNNNNNNNNNNNNNNNNNNNNNNNNNNNNNNNNNNNNNNNNNNNNNNNNNNNNNNNNNNNNNNNNNNNNNNNNNNNNNNNNNNNNNNNNNNNNNNNNNNNNNNNNNNNNNNNNNNNNNNNNNNNNNNNNNNNNNNNNNNNNNNNNNNNNNNNNNNNNNNNNNNNNNNNNNNNNNNNNNNNNNNNNNNNNNNNNNNNNNNNNNNNNNNNNNNNNNNNNNNNNNNNNNNNNNNNNNNNNNNNNNNNNNNNNNNNNNNNNNNNNNNNNNNNNNNNNNNNNNNNNNNNNNNNNNNNNNNNNNNNNNNNNNNNNNNNNNNNNNNNNNNNNNNNNNNNNNNNNNNNNNNNNNNNNNNNNNNNNNNNNNNNNNNNNNNNNNNNNNNNNNNNNNNNNNNNNNNNNNNNNNNNNNNNNNNNNNNNNNNNNNNNNNNNNNNNNNNNNNNNNNNNNNNNNNNNNNNNNNNNNNNNNNNNNNNNNNNNNNNNNNNNNNNNNNNNNNNNNNNNNNNNNNNNNNNNNNNNNNNNNNNNNNNNNNNNNNNNNNNNNNNNNNNNNNNNNNNNNNNNNNNNNNNNNNNNNNNNNNNNNNNNNNNNNNNNNNNNNNNNNNNNNNNNNNNNNNNNNNNNNNNNNNNNNNNNNNNNNNNNNNNNNNNNNNNNNNNNNNNNNNNNNNNNNNNNNNNNNNNNNNNNNNNNNNNNNNNNNNNNNNNNNNNNNNNNNNNNNNNNNNNNNNNNNNNNNNNNNNNNNNNNNNNNNNNNNNNNNNNNNNNNNNNNNNNNNNNNNNNNNNNNNNNNNNNNNNNNNNNNNNNNNNNNNNNNNNNNNNNNNNNNNNNNNNNNNNNNNNNNNNNNNNNNNNNNNNNNNNNNNNNNNNNNNNNNNNNNNNNNNNNNNNNNNNNNNNNNNNNNNNNNNNNNNNNNNNNNNNNNNNNNNNNNNNNNNNNNNNNNNNNNNNNNNNNNNNNNNNNNNNNNNNNNNNNNNNNNNNNNNNNNNNNNNNNNNNNNNNNNNNNNNNNNNNNNNNNNNNNNNNNNNNNNNNNNNNNNNNNNNNNNNNNNNNNNNNNNNNNNNNNNNNNNNNNNNNNNNNNNNNNNNNNNNNNNNNNNNNNNNNNNNNNNNNNNNNNNNNNNNNNNNNNNNNNNNNNNNNNNNNNNNNNNNNNNNNNNNNNNNNNNNNNNNNNNNNNNNNNNNNNNNNNNNNNNNNNNNNNNNNNNNNNNNNNNNNNNNNNNNNNNNNNNNNNNNNNNNNNNNNNNNNNNNNNNNNNNNNNNNNNNNNNNNNNNNNNNNNNNNNNNNNNNNNNNNNNNNNNNNNNNNNNNNNNNNNNNNNNNNNNNNNNNNNNNNNNNNNNNNNNNNNNNNNNNNNNNNNNNNNNNNNNNNNNNNNNNNNNNNNNNNNNNNNNNNNNNNNNNNNNNNNNNNNNNNNNNNNNNNNNNNNNNNNNNNNNNNNNNNNNNNNNNNNNNNNNNNNNNNNNNNNNNNNNNNNNNNNNNNNNNNNNNNNNNNNNNNNNNNNNNNNNNNNNNNNNNNNNNNNNNNNNNNNNNNNNNNNNNNNNNNNNNNNNNNNNNNNNNNNNNNNNNNNNNNNNNNNNNNNNNNNNNNNNNNNNNNNNNNNNNNNNNNNNNNNNNNNNNNNNNNNNNNNNNNNNNNNNNNNNNNNNNNNNNNNNNNNNNNNNNNNNNNNNNNNNNNNNNNNNNNNNNNNNNNNNNNNNNNNNNNNNNNNNNNNNNNNNNNNNNNNNNNNNNNNNNNNNNNNNNNNNNNNNNNNNNNNNNNNNNNNNNNNNNNNNNNNNNNNNNNNNNNNNNNNNNNNNNNNNNNNNNNNNNNNNNNNNNNNNNNNNNNNNNNNNNNNNNNNNNNNNNNNNNNNNNNNNNNNNNNNNNNNNNNNNNNNNNNNNNNNNNNNNNNNNNNNNNNNNNNNNNNNNNNNNNNNNNNNNNNNNNNNNNNNNNNNNNNNNNNNNNNNNNNNNNNNNNNNNNNNNNNNNNNNNNNNNNNNNNNNNNNNNNNNNNNNNNNNNNNNNNNNNNNNNNNNNNNNNNNNNNNNNNNNNNNNNNNNNNNNNNNNNNNNNNNNNNNNNNNNNNNNNNNNNNNNNNNNNNNNNNNNNNNNNNNNNNNNNNNNNNNNNNNNNNNNNNNNNNNNNNNNNNNNNNNNNNNNNNNNNNNNNNNNNNNNNNNNNNNNNNNNNNNNNNNNNNNNNNNNNNNNNNNNNNNNNNNNNNNNNNNNNNNNNNNNNNNNNNNNNNNNNNNNNNNNNNNNNNNNNNNNNNNNNNNNNNNNNNNNNNNNNNNNNNNNNNNNNNNNNNNNNNNNNNNNNNNNNNNNNNNNNNNNNNNNNNNNNNNNNNNNNNNNNNNNNNNNNNNNNNNNNNNNNNNNNNNNNNNNNNNNNNNNNNNNNNNNNNNNNNNNNNNNNNNNNNNNNNNNNNNNNNNNNNNNNNNNNNNNNNNNNNNNNNNNNNNNNNNNNNNNNNNNNNNNNNNNNNNNNNNNNNNNNNNNNNNNNNNNNNNNNNNNNNNNNNNNNNNNNNNNNNNNNNNNNNNNNNNNNNNNNNNNNNNNNNNNNNNNNNNNNNNNNNNNNNNNNNNNNNNNNNNNNNNNNNNNNNNNNNNNNNNNNNNNNNNNNNNNNNNNNNNNNNNNNNNNNNNNNNNNNNNNNNNNNNNNNNNNNNNNNNNNNNNNNNNNNNNNNNNNNNNNNNNNNNNNNNNNNNNNNNNNNNNNNNNNNNNNNNNNNNNNNNNNNNNNNNNNNNNNNNNNNNNNNNNNNNNNNNNNNNNNNNNNNNNNNNNNNNNNNNNNNNNNNNNNNNNNNNNNNNNNNNNNNNNNNNNNNNNNNNNNNNNNNNNNNNNNNNNNNNNNNNNNNNNNNNNNNNNNNNNNNNNNNNNNNNNNNNNNNNNNNNNNNNNNNNNNNNNNNNNNNNNNNNNNNNNNNNNNNNNNNNNNNNNNNNNNNNNNNNNNNNNNNNNNNNNNNNNNNNNNNNNNNNNNNNNNNNNNNNNNNNNNNNNNNNNNNNNNNNNNNNNNNNNNNNNNNNNNNNNNNNNNNNNNNNNNNNNNNNNNNNNNNNNNNNNNNNNNNNNNNNNNNNNNNNNNNNNNNNNNNNNNNNNNNNNNNNNNNNNNNNNNNNNNNNNNNNNNNNNNNNNNNNNNNNNNNNNNNNNNNNNNNNNNNNNNNNNNNNNNNNNNNNNNNNNNNNNNNNNNNNNNNNNNNNNNNNNNNNNNNNNNNNNNNNNNNNNNNNNNNNNNNNNNNNNNNNNNNNNNNNNNNNNNNNNNNNNNNNNNNNNNNNNNNNNNNNNNNNNNNNNNNNNNNNNNNNNNNNNNNNNNNNNNNNNNNNNNNNNNNNNNNNNNNNNNNNNNNNNNNNNNNNNNNNNNNNNNNNNNNNNNNNNNNNNNNNNNNNNNNNNNNNNNNNNNNNNNNNNNNNNNNNNNNNNNNNNNNNNNNNNNNNNNNNNNNNNNNNNNNNNNNNNNNNNNNNNNNNNNNNNNNNNNNNNNNNNNNNNNNNNNNNNNNNNNNNNNNNNNNNNNNNNNNNNNNNNNNNNNNNNNNNNNNNNNNNNNNNNNNNNNNNNNNNNNNNNNNNNNNNNNNNNNNNNNNNNNNNNNNNNNNNNNNNNNNNNNNNNNNNNNNNNNNNNNNNNNNNNNNNNNNNNNNNNNNNNNNNNNNNNNNNNNNNNNNNNNNNNNNNNNNNNNNNNNNNNNNNNNNNNNNNNNNNNNNNNNNNNNNNNNNNNNNNNNNNNNNNNNNNNNNNNNNNNNNNNNNNNNNNNNNNNNNNNNNNNNNNNNNNNNNNNNNNNNNNNNNNNNNNNNNNNNNNNNNNNNNNNNNNNNNNNNNNNNNNNNNNNNNNNNNNNNNNNNNNNNNNNNNNNNNNNNNNNNNNNNNNNNNNNNNNNNNNNNNNNNNNNNNNNNNNNNNNNNNNNNNNNNNNNNNNNNNNNNNNNNNNNNNNNNNNNNNNNNNNNNNNNNNNNNNNNNNNNNNNNNNNNNNNNNNNNNNNNNNNNNNNNNNNNNNNNNNNNNNNNNNNNNNNNNNNNNNNNNNNNNNNNNNNNNNNNNNNNNNNNNNNNNNNNNNNNNNNNNNNNNNNNNNNNNNNNNNNNNNNNNNNNNNNNNNNNNNNNNNNNNNNNNNNNNNNNNNNNNNNNNNNNNNNNNNNNNNNNNNNNNNNNNNNNNNNNNNNNNNNNNNNNNNNNNNNNNNNNNNNNNNNNNNNNNNNNNNNNNNNNNNNNNNNNNNNNNNNNNNNNNNNNNNNNNNNNNNNNNNNNNNNNNNNNNNNNNNNNNNNNNNNNNNNNNNNNNNNNNNNNNNNNNNNNNNNNNNNNNNNNNNNNNNNNNNNNNNNNNNNNNNNNNNNNNNNNNNNNNNNNNNNNNNNNNNNNNNNNNNNNNNNNNNNNNNNNNNNNNNNNNNNNNNNNNNNNNNNNNNNNNNNNNNNNNNNNNNNNNNNNNNNNNNNNNNNNNNNNNNNNNNNNNNNNNNNNNNNNNNNNNNNNNNNNNNNNNNNNNNNNNNNNNNNNNNNNNNNNNNNNNNNNNNNNNNNNNNNNNNNNNNNNNNNNNNNNNNNNNNNNNNNNNNNNNNNNNNNNNNNNNNNNNNNNNNNNNNNNNNNNNNNNNNNNNNNNNNNNNNNNNNNNNNNNNNNNNNNNNNNNNNNNNNNNNNNNNNNNNNNNNNNNNNNNNNNNNNNNNNNNNNNNNNNNNNNNNNNNNNNNNNNNNNNNNNNNNNNNNNNNNNNNNNNNNNNNNNNNNNNNNNNNNNNNNNNNNNNNNNNNNNNNNNNNNNNNNNNNNNNNNNNNNNNNNNNNNNNNNNNNNNNNNNNNNNNNNNNNNNNNNNNNNNNNNNNNNNNNNNNNNNNNNNNNNNNNNNNNNNNNNNNNNNNNNNNNNNNNNNNNNNNNNNNNNNNNNNNNNNNNNNNNNNNNNNNNNNNNNNNNNNNNNNNNNNNNNNNNNNNNNNNNNNNNNNNNNNNNNNNNNNNNNNNNNNNNNNNNNNNNNNNNNNNNNNNNNNNNNNNNNNNNNNNNNNNNNNNNNNNNNNNNNNNNNNNNNNNNNNNNNNNNNNNNNNNNNNNNNNNNNNNNNNNNNNNNNNNNNNNNNNNNNNNNNNNNNNNNNNNNNNNNNNNNNNNNNNNNNNNNNNNNNNNNNNNNNNNNNNNNNNNNNNNNNNNNNNNNNNNNNNNNNNNNNNNNNNNNNNNNNNNNNNNNNNNNNNNNNNNNNNNNNNNNNNNNNNNNNNNNNNNNNNNNNNNNNNNNNNNNNNNNNNNNNNNNNNNNNNNNNNNNNNNNNNNNNNNNNNNNNNNNNNNNNNNNNNNNNNNNNNNNNNNNNNNNNNNNNNNNNNNNNNNNNNNNNNNNNNNNNNNNNNNNNNNNNNNNNNNNNNNNNNNNNNNNNNNNNNNNNNNNNNNNNNNNNNNNNNNNNNNNNNNNNNNNNNNNNNNNNNNNNNNNNNNNNNNNNNNNNNNNNNNNNNNNNNNNNNNNNNNNNNNNNNNNNNNNNNNNNNNNNNNNNNNNNNNNNNNNNNNNNNNNNNNNNNNNNNNNNNNNNNNNNNNNNNNNNNNNNNNNNNNNNNNNNNNNNNNNNNNNNNNNNNNNNNNNNNNNNNNNNNNNNNNNNNNNNNNNNNNNNNNNNNNNNNNNNNNNNNNNNNNNNNNNNNNNNNNNNNNNNNNNNNNNNNNNNNNNNNNNNNNNNNNNNNNNNNNNNNNNNNNNNNNNNNNNNNNNNNNNNNNNNNNNNNNNNNNNNNNNNNNNNNNNNNNNNNNNNNNNNNNNNNNNNNNNNNNNNNNNNNNNNNNNNNNNNNNNNNNNNNNNNNNNNNNNNNNNNNNNNNNNNNNNNNNNNNNNNNNNNNNNNNNNNNNNNNNNNNNNNNNNNNNNNNNNNNNNNNNNNNNNNNNNNNNNNNNNNNNNNNNNNNNNNNNNNNNNNNNNNNNNNNNNNNNNNNNNNNNNNNNNNNNNNNNNNNNNNNNNNNNNNNNNNNNNNNNNNNNNNNNNNNNNNNNNNNNNNNNNNNNNNNNNNNNNNNNNNNNNNNNNNNNNNNNNNNNNNNNNNNNNNNNNNNNNNNNNNNNNNNNNNNNNNNNNNNNNNNNNNNNNNNNNNNNNNNNNNNNNNNNNNNNNNNNNNNNNNNNNNNNNNNNNNNNNNNNNNNNNNNNNNNNNNNNNNNNNNNNNNNNNNNNNNNNNNNNNNNNNNNNNNNNNNNNNNNNNNNNNNNNNNNNNNNNNNNNNNNNNNNNNNNNNNNNNNNNNNNNNNNNNNNNNNNNNNNNNNNNNNNNNNNNNNNNNNNNNNNNNNNNNNNNNNNNNNNNNNNNNNNNNNNNNNNNNNNNNNNNNNNNNNNNNNNNNNNNNNNNNNNNNNNNNNNNNNNNNNNNNNNNNNNNNNNNNNNNNNNNNNNNNNNNNNNNNNNNNNNNNNNNNNNNNNNNNNNNNNNNNNNNNNNNNNNNNNNNNNNNNNNNNNNNNNNNNNNNNNNNNNNNNNNNNNNNNNNNNNNNNNNNNNNNNNNNNNNNNNNNNNNNNNNNNNNNNNNNNNNNNNNNNNNNNNNNNNNNNNNNNNNNNNNNNNNNNNNNNNNNNNNNNNNNNNNNNNNNNNNNNNNNNNNNNNNNNNNNNNNNNNNNNNNNNNNNNNNNNNNNNNNNNNNNNNNNNNNNNNNNNNNNNNNNNNNNNNNNNNNNNNNNNNNNNNNNNNNNNNNNNNNNNNNNNNNNNNNNNNNNNNNNNNNNNNNNNNNNNNNNNNNNNNNNNNNNNNNNNNNNNNNNNNNNNNNNNNNNNNNNNNNNNNNNNNNNNNNNNNNNNNNNNNNNNNNNNNNNNNNNNNNNNNNNNNNNNNNNNNNNNNNNNNNNNNNNNNNNNNNNNNNNNNNNNNNNNNNNNNNNNNNNNNNNNNNNNNNNNNNNNNNNNNNNNNNNNNNNNNNNNNNNNNNNNNNNNNNNNNNNNNNNNNNNNNNNNNNNNNNNNNNNNNNNNNNNNNNNNNNNNNNNNNNNNNNNNNNNNNNNNNNNNNNNNNNNNNNNNNNNNNNNNNNNNNNNNNNNNNNNNNNNNNNNNNNNNNNNNNNNNNNNNNNNNNNNNNNNNNNNNNNNNNNNNNNNNNNNNNNNNNNNNNNNNNNNNNNNNNNNNNNNNNNNNNNNNNNNNNNNNNNNNNNNNNNNNNNNNNNNNNNNNNNNNNNNNNNNNNNNNNNNNNNNNNNNNNNNNNNNNNNNNNNNNNNNNNNNNNNNNNNNNNNNNNNNNNNNNNNNNNNNNNNNNNNNNNNNNNNNNNNNNNNNNNNNNNNNNNNNNNNNNNNNNNNNNNNNNNNNNNNNNNNNNNNNNNNNNNNNNNNNNNNNNNNNNNNNNNNNNNNNNNNNNNNNNNNNNNNNNNNNNNNNNNNNNNNNNNNNNNNNNNNNNNNNNNNNNNNNNNNNNNNNNNNNNNNNNNNNNNNNNNNNNNNNNNNNNNNNNNNNNNNNNNNNNNNNNNNNNNNNNNNNNNNNNNNNNNNNNNNNNNNNNNNNNNNNNNNNNNNNNNNNNNNNNNNNNNNNNNNNNNNNNNNNNNNNNNNNNNNNNNNNNNNNNNNNNNNNNNNNNNNNNNNNNNNNNNNNNNNNNNNNNNNNNNNNNNNNNNNNNNNNNNNNNNNNNNNNNNNNNNNNNNNNNNNNNNNNNNNNNNNNNNNNNNNNNNNNNNNNNNNNNNNNNNNNNNNNNNNNNNNNNNNNNNNNNNNNNNNNNNNNNNNNNNNNNNNNNNNNNNNNNNNNNNNNNNNNNNNNNNNNNNNNNNNNNNNNNNNNNNNNNNNNNNNNNNNNNNNNNNNNNNNNNNNNNNNNNNNNNNNNNNNNNNNNNNNNNNNNNNNNNNNNNNNNNNNNNNNNNNNNNNNNNNNNNNNNNNNNNNNNNNNNNNNNNNNNNNNNNNNNNNNNNNNNNNNNNNNNNNNNNNNNNNNNNNNNNNNNNNNNNNNNNNNNNNNNNNNNNNNNNNNNNNNNNNNNNNNNNNNNNNNNNNNNNNNNNNNNNNNNNNNNNNNNNNNNNNNNNNNNNNNNNNNNNNNNNNNNNNNNNNNNNNNNNNNNNNNNNNNNNNNNNNNNNNNNNNNNNNNNNNNNNNNNNNNNNNNNNNNNNNNNNNNNNNNNNNNNNNNNNNNNNNNNNNNNNNNNNNNNNNNNNNNNNNNNNNNNNNNNNNNNNNNNNNNNNNNNNNNNNNNNNNNNNNNNNNNNNNNNNNNNNNNNNNNNNNNNNNNNNNNNNNNNNNNNNNNNNNNNNNNNNNNNNNNNNNNNNNNNNNNNNNNNNNNNNNNNNNNNNNNNNNNNNNNNNNNNNNNNNNNNNNNNNNNNNNNNNNNNNNNNNNNNNNNNNNNNNNNNNNNNNNNNNNNNNNNNNNNNNNNNNNNNNNNNNNNNNNNNNNNNNNNNNNNNNNNNNNNNNNNNNNNNNNNNNNNNNNNNNNNNNNNNNNNNNNNNNNNNNNNNNNNNNNNNNNNNNNNNNNNNNNNNNNNNNNNNNNNNNNNNNNNNNNNNNNNNNNNNNNNNNNNNNNNNNNNNNNNNNNNNNNNNNNNNNNNNNNNNNNNNNNNNNNNNNNNNNNNNNNNNNNNNNNNNNNNNNNNNNNNNNNNNNNNNNNNNNNNNNNNNNNNNNNNNNNNNNNNNNNNNNNNNNNNNNNNNNNNNNNNNNNNNNNNNNNNNNNNNNNNNNNNNNNNNNNNNNNNNNNNNNNNNNNNNNNNNNNNNNNNNNNNNNNNNNNNNNNNNNNNNNNNNNNNNNNNNNNNNNNNNNNNNNNNNNNNNNNNNNNNNNNNNNNNNNNNNNNNNNNNNNNNNNNNNNNNNNNNNNNNNNNNNNNNNNNNNNNNNNNNNNNNNNNNNNNNNNNNNNNNNNNNNNNNNNNNNNNNNNNNNNNNNNNNNNNNNNNNNNNNNNNNNNNNNNNNNNNNNNNNNNNNNNNNNNNNNNNNNNNNNNNNNNNNNNNNNNNNNNNNNNNNNNNNNNNNNNNNNNNNNNNNNNNNNNNNNNNNNNNNNNNNNNNNNNNNNNNNNNNNNNNNNNNNNNNNNNNNNNNNNNNNNNNNNNNNNNNNNNNNNNNNNNNNNNNNNNNNNNNNNNNNNNNNNNNNNNNNNNNNNNNNNNNNNNNNNNNNNNNNNNNNNNNNNNNNNNNNNNNNNNNNNNNNNNNNNNNNNNNNNNNNNNNNNNNNNNNNNNNNNNNNNNNNNNNNNNNNNNNNNNNNNNNNNNNNNNNNNNNNNNNNNNNNNNNNNNNNNNNNNNNNNNNNNNNNNNNNNNNNNNNNNNNNNNNNNNNNNNNNNNNNNNNNNNNNNNNNNNNNNNNNNNNNNNNNNNNNNNNNNNNNNNNNNNNNNNNNNNNNNNNNNNNNNNNNNNNNNNNNNNNNNNNNNNNNNNNNNNNNNNNNNNNNNNNNNNNNNNNNNNNNNNNNNNNNNNNNNNNNNNNNNNNNNNNNNNNNNNNNNNNNNNNNNNNNNNNNNNNNNNNNNNNNNNNNNNNNNNNNNNNNNNNNNNNNNNNNNNNNNNNNNNNNNNNNNNNNNNNACUCAUUUUCCGUUCCAUUUUUAUGGCUUUUUCAGUGCGAAGAUGGAGCUCAGCUUCUCUACGGCCUGUAAAUGUUGCGGAUACUGGUGCUGAUAUUGAGUGUAGAGAAAUUUCGCUUCUUCAAAGUCCAACUUGUUUAAAUGCAAAAAAAGAAAAGAAACGGACUUGCUGCUGCUUGGCGACUUGUUCUCGGAGCUUGAUUGCCUGUUUCUUGAUAGCUUCCAUACUGUUUCUUUCAAAAAGCGACGACGGCUCAGCUCGUGGAAGUUGGGAAAGAAAAAAAGUGUGAUCGAGAAAAAUAAAAAGGCAUGAAUAAUUGUUGACAAAAAGCGAAAAUCAAGGAAAGCCAGCUCUUUCCAGAAAAUAAAAAAGAAAAAAGAAAAUUAUAAGUUUGAAAGGAGAAGAUGAUAGUGGAAGUGUGCGGUGUGGCUGCCAGCUACUAGGAUUUUACUGUUGGGUAAGGUAAUAGUAGAGAAUUUUUUUUUUUUUUUUUUAAGAAAAAUAGUAGAGAAUUUUUUAAGAAGCUAGAACAGAGCAUGACAUUAGACUUUUGUGGACCAAAUUCAAAACCGAAUGGCACGGCCCAGAAGCUUUUGAAUAGCAAAACUUGCAUCAGCCUCAAUCACUUCUUAAUCGCUUGCUUUAACUGCAUCGCUCUCUCUGUGCUCUUGUACAUAUGUAACGGUUAUGCGGUUGUAGUUCACGGCUGAGGCUACGCGUUGGUUUGACGUGGCAGUUACGUGACAAGGGGAUAAAUAAGAUUGGUUGCAACAAACCCACUAAUUUUAUAAAAUUCGAGUAAUAUAGAAUAAAAUAAAAAAACAAAUACAAAAUUGGCUUUUAUUUUUUAUGGUUGACUGUAUUUUGUGUUCUCUUCCGGCACUACUACAAUUGUUCCCUAUAUAUCAGUCACACCCAUAUAUCAUUAACACAAGAAAUGAAAUCUAAUGUCACCUAUUUAGUUAAAAGAAUCACUCAUGAAAAAAAUUUACCAUUUUGAUUUGAGGAUCCAUAUUUUGAACUGCAAGCUAAUGUUCAUCAAGAAUCACUGAUGUUCAUAAAAAUCAGAGUAUGGACGUUGAGUAGAAAAACUAUUUUUGGACAAAUUAUUUUUGUUGAUAGAAGAAUUUCUUAAGGGACUACUAAAAUUAUUAAUAAAAAUGUAUAACACACCCACAUAUCAUCGACACAAUUGACUUUGAGGAUCCAUGCUUUGAACUGCCGCCAAAUGUUCAUCAAGAAUAGAGUAUGACUUGUGUGUAGAAAAUUUUAUGAUUUUGGCCCGAAAUAAAAGGAAAUUAAAUUAGAUGAGAAUCUGCCACUUCUCAUGAAGAAAGGCUAAAUUGUUGAACUGCUGCUUGGCAACAUAUAUCACUCUAACUCAUUAAGAAAAAUAUGAGUCCUAAGUAAUUGCUAGGUAGGGUUCCUGAGAGUAAAAUUGUCCUAAGCAUUAUAUGCAUACAUGGUGUGGUACAUAGAGCACGUUGAAUUCCACACUAUAACACAAACUCAGAAAGACAAGUAAUAACUCAACUGAUAUAAAGACAAAAAGAAGAUAAAAUGAUAUAGAAAAAAGAAUUUCAAAGAGACAGCAACAGACGAUAGACUGAAGCCACUUGAUCUGCUCAUUGAUUGCAGCCUUAAACUCGCAAAUAGUUACUGUACGCUAGUGCUCUAAGAAGUGAAAAUGAUGCGAGCCCUGAUUCCCUUUUGACUUCCAUUUACUGUCAAACAUUCUAGUUCCAGCAAUUUUUUUUUUUGAUAUCUCGCUAUAAAUAUAGCCGUUUGACUGUCAUAAUAAAGUCACAAAUAACCAUUCAUAUUGAUCCACUGUCACACAGCAUGCUUUAUGCAUACAACAGCUGUAUGUAUACCAACUCCUAACCUUAUCAAUACAUUUGGCAAAAACUUAAGAAGAAAACUAUUUCUCCAUCUCUUUUUUGAAAUUUCACAAUAAACCAGCACAUUGUAAACGUUAUGUUGUAACCUUAUGAUAAAUGCUCUAGACUCCAAAUGAAUUUUAUAUAUGAGGGUUUGUUGCAGCAGAUAUAUUGACUUAUCAAGUAUGAAUCAUUCUCUAGAAGAACUAUCUUUAUAUGAAAGAAUAUUAGAACCACUCUAGAAUAUCUUUAGGCUGCUGGUUCUAACAGGAAUCUGCAUGUGGCAACAGUUGCCAGAUCCACAAUUCCCCAACUUGAAAUACAUAGUUGCACACCGUGAGAUAGUGCUGCAAUCUACUGAGAUCUUACUUAUAUGAUACUUUAAGCUACUAAUGUUUGCAUAUUUCUACAUGUUAAAUUGACACUACCAUCUAUAAUCACUCCAAAACAACAGAUGAUAAGCAGCUUUUGGCCACUUAUUACUAGCAUCCACAAUUAUAAAUAAGAGAUCAUGGGUUUACUUGUUGCACCUACUUAAUGAUCUACAGUUGAGACCCUGACGCAAGGUUUAAAUAGUGACUGCUUAGAACCCUUGUAGUUGGAUCUUGACCUCUCCCAUUGUAGCCAAGAUUGGCUACUCUGGUAAUGAAUCAACACUCUCCUGCUCAGGGCCAUGAAGAUCUGGAAGCUCAGCACUAGUGGAGAACUUCACCAAUCUCUUCUUCUCAGCAUACUUGAGAUAGGCUGCAUUACGAGACCAAUCACCACAGCACCAACGCUUAAAGCUGCAACUUUUAAAGUAGAAAGAGCCAACACAACACAAAUCAAUAUGGUUGGAGGAAUACACAUGAUAAUGGCUCCAACAGUGCCAGUGGGUAUCUUGUAAGGACGAGAUAAAUAGUAGAGAAGUUUUUAAGAAGCUAGAACAGAGCAUGUUAGACUUUUGUGGACCAAGUUCAAAAGCCUAAUGGAACGGCCCAGAAGCUUUUGAAUACAAUAACUUGCUAGAAAGCUCCAUUUUUUGUUGGCUACAGUAAAAGGAUGUUGUUUUAUUCUUCUUAUACUUUACGCCUGCAUCAGCUUAAAUCACUUCUUAAACGCUUGCUUUAACUGCACCGCUUCGUACUGCUCUACAUAUGUAACCGUUAUGCGGUUGUAGCUCACGGCUCAAGCUACGCGUUUGUUUGACGUGGUAGUUACGUUAUGACGUUUCGAGUCUGUUAAACAUUCGGUGAUAAGAUUCGUUACAACAAACCUACCAGUUUUAUAAAAUUCAAGUGAGAUGGAAUAAAAUAAAAAAUAAAUAUAAAAUUGGCUUUUAUUUUUUAGGUUGACCAUAUUUUGUGUUCUCUUCGGGCACUACUACAAUUAUUCCCUAUUUAUCAGUUACACUCACGUAUCAUCGACACGAAAAAUAAAAUCUAAUAUCACCUGUUUAGUUAAAGAAUCACUCAUGUUUGAACUACCAAUUAAUGUUCAUCAAGAACGGAGUAUGGCCGUUGAGUAGAAAAACUAUUUUUGGACAAAUUAUUAAAUUCCAAUAUUGUAUCCAUAUGCAAACGAUGCCUGAAGCAGAGCCUCCAAACACUGACCAGGGCACAAAACAAGAGUGUAGUAAUCAAGUGUAUUGUCUCAUAAUCAAUUAAAAGCAGAUAUACAGGAUACCAUAUUCAAUUCCAAAAUAACAAAAGCAUAAUGAGGAUGAGAAGAACAAUGCAAGAUUUGUUGUCGUUUUAGUUGCUUCUAAUAUUUUUUAUGACGCACAUCUAUUGAAUUAAGAGAUUUCUAUAAUCAGUGCCGCAGUACUGAAAAUAAACUACUUGUCAGUCAAAUAGCUGAGUAUUUCUAUGAGAAUGUCAUUAUUAAUGAGUGUCAUUAUCUAUUCAAAUUAAUCAGUGUCAUUAUCGACUUAUUUAUAAAGACAAAAAGAAGAUAAAAUCAUAUAUAUAUGAAAAAAAAAAAGAAUUUCAAAGAGAUAGCAACAUACAAUAGACUGGAGCCAUUUGAUCUGCUUAUUGAUUGCAGCCUUAAACUAGUAAUUAGUUACUGUACGCUAGUGCUCUAAGAAGUGAAAAUGAUGCAAACCCUGAUCCCCUUUUGACUUCCAUUUACUGUCAAAUAUUCUAUUCAUACGAAAAAAAUGUUUAGAUAUCUUACUAUAAAUAUAGCCGUUUGACUGUCUUAAUAAAGUUACACACAACCAUUCUUAUUAAAUUAGCAAGAUCAAACACUGCCCUGGAUCUUGAACAGAUCCACGCAAGUUGCACAACUUACGAUUGAAUCCGGCCAGAAACAAUCAACUCUUUAGUAAGAACAAUUAAUCAGAGUCAAGAAACAAGUUUAAUGAAUAUAAACCUAUAAUUGAAACAAACAUAGCCAAGAAACAAAUAGAGAUUUUACAUGUUUCAGUUGUACCAAGGAUGGCACAACCUACACCACGGGAGAAGCUUUCUGGUGACCCCAAUCUGCUUAGUUAAUAAUAGAGAUUUCAGAGAAUAAGCUAUAACCCUCUCUCCCUCUUCAAUCUCUCUCUAUUUUGUUCCCAUUGAUGACCCCAAUCUGCUUAGUUAGCCAGCUUUAUAGCUGCAUCAGUAACAAACCAGCAAACCCAGAUUGAGCAGAUUGACGACACGUGGAUAACGGCUUUAACGAACCUGGUUAAGAACUGCUCACAUGUUCGUCACGCGUACUGCUUAAAUGAUGGCCAAAACGACUUCAAACAAAUGUCGUUUUGAGGCUUAUGAAUUACAAGUGAUAACACGAGCUUGUCUCAUGACUUUUAAAUGCAACAACGCGCCCAAAACGCCGUCGUUUUACUCUGUUGAGUUUGAUUCGUUACUAAGCUUUACGACUGGCAAUGGAGAAGAUGAUAAUUUAAUUAACAUGGACAGUUUUUAUAUCACUUUUACAACAUCCUAUGCAAUUGUGAUAUUGGGAAUUAUUGAUGUUUUAUAUGUGAAUCCUCAUUGGCAAAAACUGAGUGGUUUUAUCUUUAUUGAAAUGUAGAUGACCUCUCGUUACUAUUUUAUUANNNNNNNNNNNNNNNNNNNNNNNNNNNNNNNNNNNNNNNNNNNNNNNNNNNNNNNNNNNNNNNNNNNNNNNNNNNNNNNNNNNNNNNNNNNNNNNNNNNNNNNNNNNNNNNNNNNNNNNNNNNNNNNNNNNNNNNNNNNNNNNNNNNNNNNNNNNNNNNNNNNNNNNNNNNNNNNNNNNNNNNNNNNNNNNNNNNNNNNNNNNNNNNNNNNNNNNNNNNNNNNNNNNNNNNNNNNNNNNNNNNUCAAGUUAAUUUGAUCCGUUUAUAAGAGAUGAAGUGGAAUGAAGUUGAAAGUCUUGAGUUUUACGACGUCGUUACUCCUUCAAGUGGCAGAUUAUGCAAGUGAAUGCAGAAACACAAUGCAUCAUCCGCGGGGAUGAUACAUCAAAAGGCGGGAUUUGUUUAUGCCUGCAGAUUAGCAAUUUCACUCAUAUAGAAAAUUAAUUUUUUAUAUAUACUAAUCAACACUAAAUUGAUUAUGUGUUGUAUGUUUAUAUGCUACUCAACACGAAAUUAUAUUGAAUUAUUAACAUUCAUAUUCCUAAUAAAAAUUAUUUUCCAUCAGUAUUCAAAAUUUUCACUUAUAGAAAAUGCGUUUUACGUGAAUACUAGUUAUUGUGUAAAUUUGAAUGAUAGCGAAAAAUAAACCUAUUUGAAAACUGUAAGGGUGUGUUGGGAUAUUUUACAACUGUCGGAAUCUGGUAGGAUAUUGCACCAUUUGCCCAAUAUUUUUAGACGUACUCCAACCGGUAUUCAAGAUAAGUAAAAGUUACAAGCGUGGCAAAAUAAAAAAUUAAAUUCGUAAUUUGUAAACGAAUUUUCCUGACAUGUAGAGUAGAUGAAGUUGUUGAUCCUUUCUUUGGAUUAUUUCAGCUCUGGUUGUUGGUCACCGAUGAGCCGAAGUCUUAUUUUAAUUUUAUUUAAACUCAUCAUAAGAUUCGUGGAGCACCUAACUAACUUAACUGACUGUGCAGAGCAUCUCAACAUGGCACAUUUAACCAUCAUUCAAGUGAUAGGUUUAAUAAGACUGCUUUUGUUCUAUCAAGUUCCUCUGCCUCUAAGCAGAAUUACUAUUGAAGGGCCAAAUGGAAAAUGAAAACGUGUGAACUCCAACAACCACCCCACAAAUUCAAUGACGAUGCUCGGAGAGGGUUAGGUUGGGCCUCUGAGAAAAAAAAAAAUAUUUAGUUAAAAAGUUACCCUUAUUGAAACCUGUAUAAAAAUUUUAUAUUAAUUAGUUAUGUUGCCUCUUCAACUAUGAUCAAAUUUUUAUCCGAGCUCAUCAUUUAAUGAGUAAACAUGUAUUUUAAGGGUCCGCCUAAGUUACGUUAAACGUAACUUACGGCUUGGCUGUGAAAUUUCAUCCAGCCCCCCAUAUUCGCUGUUAUUUAUAUUAUAUUCAUAAAUAUUAUAAAAUUUUUUGAUUUAAAAAAUUUCAUUUAACCCCUUACACUCAAUUUUAUUUUAUUAAAAUCUUAGAGUAUGAAUUCGCCCCCUAUAAUUUUAAAUUCUCAAAAUAACCUCAUUUAAUUAAAAAUUUUAAUUAUUAUUAAUUGAAUUAUAAUUAUAAUUAUUAUUUUAUUAUAAUCAUAAAUAUAUUUAUAUUUUUUAAAUAGAUUAUUAUUAUUAUUAAUCACAAGAAUAAAAAGUAUUACAAUUAAUUAAUCUAUUAACAAUAAUUAAUAAUAAUUUUCUAUUAAAUUAAUAAUAAUUAACGAUAAUUAUUAUUAAUAAUUAAUUUUUGAAAAUUAAUGAUAAUUGUUCAGAGUCCUAGGAAUGCCAAUGCCCACCUAGGCUUAGCUAGCAAAGUAGCAACAUACCCUCAUCACUGAUAUUAAUUGCAGUACUACUUAGUGCCAUAAUUGUCCAAGUCCUUGUUAGUUUUGAGAAACGUGUGUUUCUGAUUUUGUUAAAUCUCUUGUUUGGUUAACAAGAAAGCUAUUGCUUUAAUUUCUUUUGCAGCUAGAAGUGAAUGCAUACAGUAUGAUAUAAAUAUCGGGCAACUUGUUCAGAGUCAGUCACAAUCUAUUAACGAUAAUUGUUAAUUAUUAUUAUUAUUCAAAAAUUAAUUAUUAAUAAUAAUUAUCGUUAAUUAUUAUUAUUAUUAUUAACAAUUUAAUAAAAAAUAUUAUUAAUUAUUGUUAAUAGAUUAAUUAAUUGUAAUACUUUUUAUUCUUGUUAUUAAUAAUAACAAUAAUCUAUUUAAAAAAUAUAAAUAUAUUUAUAAUUAUAAUAAAAUAAUAGUUAUAAUUAUAAUUCAAUUAAUAAUAAUUAAAUAAGGUUAUUUUGAGAAUUUAAAAUUAUAGGGGGCGAAUUCGUACUCUAGGACUUCAAUAAAAUAAAAUUGAGUGUAAGGGGUUAAAUGAAAUUUUCUAAAUAAAAAAUUAUUAUAAUAUUCAUGAAUAUAAUAUAAAUAACAGUGAAUAUGGGGGGCUGGAUGAAAUUUCACAGCCAGGCUGUAAGUUACGUUUAACGUAACUUAGGCGGACCCGUAUUUUAAUGAUCUCAAUUAAUAUUUAGAACAAAUAUUUUAAGAAGUAAAGCUCAUUAUAUCCCCCAUUAUUAUGUAUUUCUUUAAUUUCUUAUUUACAUAAUUAUAUUGUACAUUAAAAAUAUAUUGAAUUUGAAGAGAAAAAAAUUCAAAAAAUUCAACUCACUCAAAAAAAAUGCUGGUAGCUUCGUAAUAAUUACUGUAUUGACUGCACCAGAUAAAGUUUUGUAAAAUAAUAAGUUCUCAUUAGUGGUUUUUCGUUUUUUAUUUUCUUUUCCGGCACACCUGAUCAAGAAUUCUAUUUUGUUAACUAAUCAAUUGCAAAGCAUAAGUGUUGAACGGUACAAAAAGUGAAAACUAUGAAUAAUAAUUAUUCCUUAUUAUAUUGACUGCACCAAGCAAUAAACUAAUAAGUUCUCAUCAGUGGUUUUUAAUCUUUUUAAUUCUUUUUACCGCACACCUGAUCAAGAAUUCUAUUUUGUUAACUAAUCAAUUGCAAAUCAUUUAUUAGUGUUGAACGGUGAACAAAAUUGAAAAAAAAAAAAAUCUUAAAAAACGUAUAUUCUUAAAAAAUUCUUAACUUGCAAGGCUAGAAUAUCUUGACUUGAACGGUUGCAAUGAUUUCUCAUCAUUGAGAGUUUAUCAUUGUGCUUCAUCAUCAUCAUCAUCAUCAUCAUCAUCAUUAUUAAUAAAAAGGUAAGCAAUUAAGAGUCAAAUUAAACCACUUGAAAAUCACUCAUCCACACUUUUGGGACAUCAUCUGCUCAUUUAUUUUAUUCUGUAUCUUCAUUGUUUUAUUUGAUAAUUAUUACCAUUAGUAAAUAAAGGGAUUAGUUGAUAAUUGUGAAGUAACUAAAUGGAGCUCACCCUUAAAUGUCGGCUUAUAUGAAGGAGGUGCCUUAGGGAUAAUAAAUCAACUAAUCCCAUAAUUUGUUGAUGUAGGGUCCUAACAAAUUAUUGCUGUAGAUCAGCACACAGCUUGAAAACAUAUUUGAUUCACGAGAAAUGUUCCAGUCAGGAAUUUUAAAGUGCAGGAAAAUACGGAAAACCUUUAAAACCGCAUGGUUUUAAAGGCUUAAAACUGUAAGCCUUUAAAGCCGUGUGGUUUUAAAGCUUUCCCGGACUUUCCCGCACUUUAAAUUCCCUGACCAGAAAACUACUGUUUGAUCCACACAGUGAAGAUGAUUCAAUAUUAAGCAUGUCAUAUAAUCUGGAGUUGGAUAUUGGACCAAUUUGAUGAUAAUGAAUUUCUUUCAAUCUCAAUCUUUAUCUUAUUCGCAACAUGACUAGCCAUUGCGUAAAUUCAAACUCUAACAAUGAUAAGUUUGUGAUAAAGGCAUCUAUGAGUACAAUGGGAAAAUUACAUGAACUUAUGUUAUCAAUCAUUGUUUUGCCUUCUCGUGAUAGAAUUCUGUGCAACAUAAAACAUGAUAUAUUUGUACCUUACCAUGCCGUGUCGUGAACCUAGAAGCAGUGCAAAUUGCAAGGAACAUAUUAAGCUAUCUACUGUAUAUAACAAAUUCUUAUUAGCCCACAAUCUUGUGCCGCCACAUUGAUCAAGUAACACUAUUAUAUCAUUUCCAAAAUGGCAUAUAUAAUCUAAUGUUGAACUAACCAAAUUGGGAAUCAUCAUUCCUUACAUUAAGCUGACAUUCGUACCUGCUAGUCCAUGAGCAAAGCUGACAUUUGAAAUCACUUUCUCUUGGAAUAUUUAAUGACCCUUGAUGAAAGUUCUUGAAUGGAAUUAUUUAAUUUGAUUUGAUUUCCAACAAAUUCAAGAAACCCCACACAGUAGCUAAAUAAAAAUCAACCAAUAAUACGCAAUGGGUUUCUUUCUUUUUGCCUUUGGAGGGCCAUGGAGAUCUGGAGUGGGCUGUAAGUAAUAGCCUUUAUCACUGGAAUGACAGAUUUGCAGAAGAUGAUACAUGGGGAAGGAUUGGGCGAGCAUAAAAAUGGGUUUACACUCUUGGAUUAGCGCUGUUGAGAAUCAAAUAAAAUGGCAUUGAAUGAAGCUUUCAAAGACAGAAUCUGCACUUGUCAAAGGGGUAAUCUACACUUGUCAAAGACAAGAUCCGCGCCGAACGGAUUGACACAUUUCCUUCCGUAUUCACAUAUAUAAUCUAUGAAAAAAUGUAGCCUCUGCAUCUAUAAAUAACUCUCAAUGUAUAAUAUUUUUUUAAGAAAUGAAAACACGUUUCUUCAUGGUAUCAGAGCCAUGAAUACGCUCAACUUUCUUCAAGUUCCGCUGCUCUGUUUGUAACAAAAACAGAGGAAACCAAAUUCCUCCCACAACCAUUUUUCCCACCAUUUUCUUUCUUAAACCCAUUCUUACCAUUACACAUAUCCAUGCCGAUCAAGAAACAAGCCACCCAUACGUAAAAAACUCGAGUUUUCAAAUUUAUCAACAAUCCCAUCAAUUUUCCAAGAGUGUGCUCUUCAAAAACCAAGAACACCAUCAAAUUUCUCAGUUUUCAGUGAGGAAACUGUAAACAUUUCGCAAUUAAACACAUUUUCACGCGCUCACACGCGCCACCCGAAGCCACGGCCAGUCAACCACGCGCCUCUGUCAUUAUUCACGCGCUCUCACGCGCUCCAAAGGUUGAAGAAGACUUCAACCGACAUGUCGUUUUUUAUCUCAGAAGUGCAGCAGUAAAACACGACUUGUCGUUUUUUUAUUAUAUUACAACCGACAAGUCGUUUCUAAAUUAGAGAUAAAACGACGUGACGUUUAGUCUCCAGAAGUGCAGCAGGAUUCAAACGACAUGUCGUUUAUAUUCCACCAUAACCGACAUGUCGGUUUGUCAAGCAGUGGUCAAACGACCUGUCGUUUUGUUAUCUAAAAAGGUUAUUUUUUUCCUUCUUUCAAUCUAGACGAAAAAAAAACAAAAAAAAAAAAGAAAAAAGAGAAAAAAAAGAAAAAUAAAGAAAAAUAAAAAAAUAAAAAAAUGGAGAAAACUCCAACUGAAUCUAGUCCUGUUGUCAUUCAAUCUGAUGGAGUAUUUAAUGCUGGAAUUAUCCUCACUGAGACAAACUACGAUGUUUGGUCUCAAAUAAUGGAGAUGCAUCUUGCAGAAAGAGAAAAACUCUCAUAUAUUCGUAGCAGCACAAAGCCAUCUGAGGAAUUUUCAAAGGAAUAUGAGAAAUGGUAUAGUGAGAACCAAAAAGUAAAAAGAUGGUUACUCAUAUCCAUGUCUCCGGAGAUCAUGAAGCGGUAUUUACGAAUUCCUACAGCCUACGAAAUCUGGGAUGCAUUAUCAAAAGCCUUCUAUGAUGGAAGCGAUGAAUUACAAGUUUUCACUCUAAACCAGAAGGCAUUCUCUACCAAGCAAAAUGGACUACCACUCUCUAAAUUCUAUGGAGAAUUGAUCGAAAUAUUUCGAGAACUUGAUCACCGAGAUAAAGUGGUCAUGAAGGAUCCAGAAGAUGUUGUAAUAUACAGAAGGUCUGUUGAAAGAUUGAGAGUGCACAUUUUUCUUGCUGGGCUAGAUGAAGAAUUUGACCAAGUUCAUGGAGAAAUUCUACGAAAAGAUAUUAUCCCAGACUUAGAAGAAUGUUAUUCUCUGAUCCGAAGAGAAGAUGUACGGCAAAGCAAACUAAACAAGAAGGUCGACUCAGAAACGUCUGCUAUGAUAGCACGACAACAGCCUCAAAGAAAGUUUGUUGACAAGUCAUCACUCCAUUGCACUCAUUGUAGAAAGAAGGGUCAUACGAAAGAACAAUGUUUUGAAAUCAUUGGAUAUCCUGACUGGUGGGAUACUUGAAAGAAGAACACCAAGCAUGGAUCAAAAAGUGCAGUAGCUGAAUCCACAUCCACUACAGAUCUUAGAAAAGAAUCUUCAGUACAAAUCGCAACCGCUGUCAAUCCAGGUAAGGCCCUUAAAACUCUUACACCUGUUAUUAAUAGUACAUGGAUAAUUGAUUCUGGGGCAACUGAUCAUAUGACUUUUGAUUCUCGACAAGUUUCUCAACUGAAAACAUCUUCACAAAAACAUAUUUCCACUGCAAAUGGAACCACAACCUCAGUUAUUGGGGAAGGAUCUUUACGACUCACAAAUGAAUUAAAUUUAGACACUGUGUUAAUUGUUCCAUCUUUAGAUUAUAAUCUUUUAUCUGUGUCUCAAUUAACCACUUACUUAUCAUGUGUUUUAAUUUUUUGGCCUGAUCAUUGUGUGUUUAAGGACAUCCAAACGAAGCAAACGAUUGGUUAUGGUAUUAGACGAGGUAACUUGUACUACUUGGAAAUGUCAUCAACAAACACUGGAAAGCUAAGCCCCGCACUAGUCGCAGAUAGUUUCAUAAAAAAAGGGCAAUUAGAAAUUUGGUUAUGGCAUAGACGUUUAGGGCAUGUGUCAUUUGGUUACUUAAAAAAACUAUUUCCUAGUUUGUUUCUGAAAUUUGAUGUUUGUAACUUUAAAUGUGAUGUUUGUGAACUUUCAAAAAGCCAUCGAACUACUUUUCCAUUGUCCUUAAAUAAAAAUCCAGUUCCUUUCAUGGUAGUACAUUUCUGAUGUAUGGGGGCCAUCUAAAGUUUCUACAAUUGGAGGUGCUCGUUGGUUUGUUACAUUUAUUGAUGAUUGUAGCAGAAUGACAUGAUUUUUUCUGAUGAAAUCGAAAGACGAAGUAAACUCUUUAUUUCAAAGAUUUCAUAAGAUGGUGACAACUCAAUUUCAGACACAAAUUCGAGUUCUACAUACUGAUAAUGGAGGCGAGUAUAUGAGCACAGCAAUUCAACAGUUUCUGAAAUCACAAGGAUCUGUCCAUCAAACCACUUGUGUGGGGACACCCCAACAAAAUGGCGUUGCCGAACGAAAAAACAGAUAUUUACUAGAAGUUGUUCGAGCAUCACUAAUCCAAGCCCACAUGCCAUUAUCUUAUUGGGGAGAAGCACUGGCAUCCGCAGCAUACUUGAUCAAUCGAACACCUUCAAGCUCCCUUGGAUUCCAGACUCCUUUCCAAGUUCUGAAUGAUGCAAUUAUGUCACCAAAUGUGCCGAAUCUGCCCCCACAUGUGUUUGGCUGUGUUGCCUUCGUUCAUUUGCCGCAAUAAGACAAAUUAUCUCCUCGAGCGCUACGUUGUGUGUUUGUAGGGUAUGCCUUACAUCAAAAGGGAUACCGAUGCUAUCAUCCACCAUCAAGAAAAAUAUACAUCACCAUGGAUGUCGUUUUUCAUGAAGAUAUCAUGUACUACUUGUCAGAGUCUGAAUUUCAGGGGGAGUAUAAUGAAGAGGAAAUUCAUACUCUUACUUGUCUUCCACCUGAAGAAAGUCAAUCUUCCAUUGAGAUAGUAAACCUUCAAGAAACUGGAAAAGAAAAUGGUGAUGAUUCUCAGGCUGAGAUAAGUGAAGACACAUUUGGGGAGCACAAUAACUCAGACACAACUGCAAUCGAGAAUGAGUCACAUGAAGAAAUACCUAACCAAUCGUCUGCAGAGGAUGUUCCUACCACAAGUCCAAUAAGAAGAAUUCUUCCUCAGCGUCAAAAUAGAGGUAUCCCUAAACCCACAUAUGAGCCUGACUUCUCUAGUAGAGUCAAAUACCCUAUGAGUCAUUUUGUGUCUAACCAUCGCUUGUCAGAAUCAAAUCAGUCAUUUGUGAAUCAAUUAUCUGCUGUAUCUAUUCCUAACAGUGUGCAGGAAGCUUUAAAAGACCCAAAGUGGAAAGCGGCUAUGAAUGAUGAAAUGAGAUCUUUUCAGAAAAAUCAAACAUGGGAACUAGUUGAUCUUCCACCAAGAAAGAAACCAAUGGGUUGUCGAUGGAUUUACACUAUAAAAUACAAAGCAGAUGGCUCUAUUGAACGAUACAAAGCAAGACUCGUAGCUAAGGGUUACACCCAAACCUACGGGAUUGAUUAUACUGAUACGUUUGCACCGGUAGUAAAAAUUAAUACUAUUCGUAUCUUAUUAUCAUUAGCAGUCAUCUUGGAUUAGCCAGUGCAACAGUUCGAUGUAAAGAAUGCUUUCCUCCAUGGAGACUUGUCUGAAGAAAUUUAUAUGGAUCUGCCACCAGGAUGCAGUGGACCAGAACGACUCAAUCAGAAAGUAUGCAAAUUGAAGAAAUCAUUGUAUGGGUUGAAGCAAUCCCCAAGAGCAUGGUUCGGGAAAUUCACAAAGGCUAUGGUUCGUUUUGGGUAUAACCAAAGCAAUUCAGAUCAUACCUUAUUCAUUAAAAAACGACAAGGUAAAAUCACUGCCCUUAUUGUCUAUGUGGAUGAUAUGGUAGUUACAGGCAACGACGAGGAAGAAACAGAGGCUCUUCAGAAGUACUUGUCAAGAGAAUUUGAGAUGAAGGAUUUAGGUGCCUUAAAAUACUUUCUUGGAAUUGAGGUUUCUCGAUCCAAGGGAGGAAUCUUUCUGUCUCAAAGGAAAUAUGCCUUAGAUCUAUUGCACGAAACGGGAAUGACAGCUUGUCAGCCUAUUGACACCCCAAUAGAAGAAGGACUGAAGUUUUGUAUUACUUCAGACCAAGUUCCAGUAGACAAAGGAAGAUAUCAAAGGCUGAUUGGAAGAUUGAUGUACUUGUCCCACACAAGGCCAGAUCUUGCUUAUGCAUUGAGUGUUGUAAGUCAGUUUAUGCAUAAUCCCGGAGAACAACACAUGAAAGCAGUAAUGCGGAUCCUGAGGUACCUGAAGACAAAUCCAGGAAAAGGAAUCCUAUUUUCCAAAAAUGAAGAUUACAACAACAUAGAAGUUUAUACUGAUGCAGAUUGGGCCGGGUCAGUUAGUGAUAGACGCUCUACUUCAGGAUACUUUACCUUUGUGGGAGGCAACCUUGUCACAUGGAGAAGCAAGAAACAAAAUGUCGUUGCCCGUUCGAGCGCUGAAGCAGAAUAUCAAGGCAUGGCCCUUGGGAUAUGUGAAGGGCUAUGGAUAAGUUUUAUCUUAAACGAUUUGGGCUAUCCAUCACAACAACCAAUACAACUAUACUGUGACAACAAAGCUGCACGAGAUAUUGCUCAUAACCCAGUUCAACACGAUCGAACAUUACAUGUGGAGGUAGAUAGAUUUUUCAUCAAAGAGAAAUUAGAUGAAAAAAAUUUUUGAAAAACAAAAAAUAUUAUCAAAAGAUCAACUAGCAGAUAUUUUAAUGAAGGCCNNNNNNNNNNNNNNNNNNNNNNNNNNNNNNNNNNNNNNNNNNNNNNNNNNNNNNNNNNNNNNNNNNNNNNNNNNNNNNNNNNNNNNNNNNNNNNNNNNNNCCUAGACAAGUUGGGUAUGCAAGACAUCUAUGCACCAGCUUGAGGGGGAGUGUUGAGAAUCAAAUAAAACGGCAUUGAACGAAGCUUUCAAAGACAGAAUCUGCACUUGUCAAAGGGGUAAUCUACACUUGUCAAAGACAAGAUCCGCGCCGAACGGAUUGACACAUUUCCUUCCGUAUUCACAUAUGUAAUCUAUGAAAAAAUGUAGCCUCUGCAUCUAUAAAUAACUCUCAAUGUAUAAUGUUAUUUUUAAGAAAUGAAAACACGUUUCUUCAAGCGCCUCAUUUAGGUUGUAGGCUUGUAGCGAGAUAAAGAUAUUAAUUAAAGUUUUAUAAUCCCUGUUAUGAUUAAGGCUUCACUUAGUAUAGCAUAGAGCUUUUUGAGUUUUACAAGUAAUUUUUUUUUUACAGGUAUAAUUUUUAUUUUUAACAAAAAUUAAUUAAAUAAUAUUAGAAAUCCUAAUAUUUGAGUCCUAAUAUCAUAUAUCACUCAUUUAUUAGAUGACAUAUUUCAUAACUUAUAAAAUUAUUUAACUAACAUCCAAUUAAUGAAUGUUACUAUAGUGAAGACUCAAAUUGAAAUUUAAAUGUUGGGUUGCGUGACAUUUCUCUUAUUUGGUUGUUUAUGAGAGCUUUCUUGUACAAAAUAAUUUUUAUACAAAUUGAUAUAGUCUAAAUUCAUUAAUUAAAUUAAAAUAUAAAAUAAUAAAAAUAAAUAAGUUUGUAUAAGAAUAAUUAAUUCUUUAAUCCAUCUAAUUGAAUUAUCCUAUGUCUAUUUAUAUUAAAUAAAUUUGUAUAAAAAAUUAUAGUUUUGUUUUUAGAUGUGCAACUAAAUUUUUAGUCUCUUAUUCCUCGUAAAAUUCAAAUCUGAGUGGCUCAUCAAAUAAAAUUACAACUACUGGUUAAUCAAAUAAAGUUAUUCCAUCGAGGUCAUGAAAUUUACCAGCCAAAAGAGUUUUAAAUGUCUAUUUUAUAAAUUUUUUAAAAAUUGUUUUAUUUACCAUUUUACCAUCCGUAGUAAAGGUGUCGCAUCGACAUUGAACAGAUCAACAUAUCAGUCAUUUCUCAUUCAGCCAUUAGGAAUUUACGUUUGGGGUAUUUUUGUAAUUAUAAGAAGGUAAACUAAUCGCAAAACUCAUUUGGCUUGCACUUGCUCGCCUGUGCUCUGUGUAUGGUUAUGGCGUUAUCAUUAUCAUCUUCUCCACUCCUACUGACGCCAGACCUUAACAGUUCAGAUUCCCUUUCUCGACUGUCAUACCCUACGCCCCGUCUCCGUGUCUCCGAUAAACAGUGCUCAAUUAAGGCCAUCAGAUUAUCCCGGACCCACAUUGAUCCAACGGCUCACAGUGACCAACAUCCUCUCUAUCUCCAUUUCAAGCUUCCCUCUUCAACUGGCUUCUGCUUCUGUCGUACUCUUUCUUGGAUUCGGAGUCCGUAUUUGCUCGGUCGGUCCGCACAGCUCCCUCUCACUCCAAUUGUCACCCAACAAGACCAAUUGCUUAAUCAAGGCACAGAGCAAGGAGAGGAUGAGAAAUUGAAUCAAGAAUUUGAGAAUUGGAAAUCGAAAACGUACGCAUUGACCCUGCCUGUGAGAGUCGUUUCUCUUCAGAAUUCAGUGCCUCAAUCCUGGGUUAAGGAUUUUAUGCGAAGUCAAGGAAAGAGAUUGAAGUUUCAGAUGAAUUUGUGUGCUAGCAUUGAUGGGAUCGUUAACAAUUUAUCUGUGCCCUUUAACAAAGUUAAGGCUAAGUCAGCUUCUUAUAUGGCUGCUGAUUUGGUUAGUGUUGGUGAUUCAUGGCUCAGCUUUGCGAUUAAAAAGAGAUCGAUUGAGCCAAUAGCUGGAGCUGAAGGCCAAGAUUGGUUCAAAUGCUUCAGUCACAAACGGAAGGUAACAUCUUUGUCUUUGACCCGAUAAUUUUUAUUGUCUUACAUUGAAAUUUGGUAAUGUAAUUUGUUCUCUAUUUGUGUUACCCUUUGUAGUCGUUUUAUUUAUUUAUUUGUUUGUUUAUUUGCUUUUAUUUGCACUAACGAAGUCUCAGGUAUAUCUACGCAGGAAUGAUGCAGGAGAAAUUGAUCCUCGAGGUGAAAUAUGGGCGGCACCAUACAGGUGGGGCACAAUGGUGAUAGCCUACAAGAAAAGUAAAUUUUGAAAGCAUAAUUUGGCUCCGAUUGAGGUAAUAACUGUCUUUAAAGUCAUUUAGUUUUAUAUCAAACAAAAUCAAGGUUGCCUUUCUCGUCAAUAUUUUUGAUGAUAUUAUCUUCUACAAAUGGAUCAUUAAACUUCUUUUUUGUAGUCAAAUGUACAGUAAGAACAAUGAGAAGCUAUGCCACUGUAGCACGUAGUGAUGGCACUUAAUAAGUGAGUUGCUAGGAUGUGAACAAGAAAAAUUAAAUAUUGUCUCCUUGGGUAUGCUAGCUCGUAAGUCAGGGUUAAUAUUAGAGCUUAAGAUACUAUAAACAUGCGAAACUAUUGACUACCAAUUAAAAUAUCCAUUAAAAUGUCUAGGGAGUUAUGAAGGUAGGGAUAUCUUCCAAUUUCUAAGGCCACAUAGUAGACAUCAUCCAGGAUCCUAGGAAAGUGCGGUUGAUCUCCUGCUUGAUGCAGUUAAUAAAUUUGGUCAAUGCGACUGAAACCUGCUAACUGACGUCGCAAUGCGACAUGAGCACUUCAAAAUGGGAUAGACAGUAGCACUAAAUUUUUCUUGCCUAAGAUUGGGCAAUUGGUCUAAAUACUAACCCCUAUUGUAAGUUGAUCAUUAUUUUUUCAAUUAUGUUCAUUUUGACCCAAAAGUUACACAAUCUUGAUCUGAAUAUUGUCACUGAACACUGUCAAUGUCGUUUAGCAUUGGCAACUAACUCGAGUUUGGUAAAACAAACACACACAGUGUGUCUCAUGUCUCACAAUUCAAAUUAUCAUCUGUACUGAUGGAGAAUUUUUCUGAUGUAUGAAGUAUGCUUUGAUACGUAGGUUAGCUUGGAGAAGAUAUCUCAAAAUAAAGAAUAUGGGGAGCGAAUGGGAAGAAAACAGUUCGGUAGUUUAUGAUUCUGUAGUCAAGUUUUGUCUCGAAAAUGGUCAAAAUUUAAAUGAAUGGACAGGGGAUCUUCAUUCUUUUUUCACUUCUUUAUACCGAGAUAUCUCUUAACCUUUAUAUAAUCCCCACUGGAUAUCUGCUUCUAAUAAUUAAAAUAAAAAUUUCAACCACACCAAUAAAUAAUCAUCUUAGAGUGAGACUAUCAGUACAACCCAAAAACAUAAUAAAACUGGUUUGGUUCUGUUUGUUGAUGUUUAAAUGUUGUUCAUCGUGACAUGUAGAAAUGAUGAGGUGAAGUUUCUUUGGCCAUCAAAUAGUAAGAUCUUGCUUGAAGUUGUUUUCUGAAAUGAACAGUCAAAUGGUAGUUUUUUUGGGCCAUUCGAUGGCUCUUUUCUUCCUCAUUUUAAACUUGUGCCUGCUUGGAACAGGAUGGAUUAGGCUGCAGAGUUAUAUAUUUUGACAUGCUCUGGUCAUUACACAAUUUGUUCAUACUGGAAAUUAGGAUGAGAAAUUUGUUGCUGCUGUUUUGAGAGAUCUGCAUUCUAUGCACAAACAUGAUUAAUGAAAAUGGAUUGUAGGACUGGAAAGAUCUGUGGCAGCCUGAGCUCGCAGGAAGGAUUUCAAUGGUUAAUUCUCCCCGACAGGUUAUUGGUUCAGUUUUGAAGUCUAUGGGAGCAUCAUACAAUUCAGACGAUAUUGAUUCACAAGUUGCUGGUGGGAAGAUUGCUGUUCAGCAGAAUCUGGCAUUACUGGUAAACCAGGUACUCUUAAAGAAAUGAUAUCUGGUCAUUGCAUGUUAUUGCCUGACAACUGAUUUUGUUUGUAAAAGUCGGCUUCUUCAUACAUAUGAAUGCAUUUUUUUGUGUUUUCUUCUCCUUUUCAUACAUAUGAAUGCAUAUGUUAGUGUUGUCUUUUCCUUUUCAUACAUAUUAAUACAUAUGUAGAUUUCUUCAUCAUUGUAGCCUCCGAUUUCUUCAUCAUUGUAGCCACCGAUUUCUUCAUCAUUGUAGCCUCCAUAGUUGAAGUUUCCUCAUUUGAAGCUGUUUAUGCAUAUGCUUUUUCCCUUCUCAAGUACAGGAAAUUGAAGAAUUAACCAGAUGUGAUAUGCUGAAAGAGUGAAGUUUUCUCCCUUGAAUGUGGCCUUGUGAUUUGUCUUGAAGGAAUAGGAUGAUCACUGGCAAGAACCCUAUCAAGGUAGAUUUUAUGGUGUUAACAUAUUUUUAAGCAUUUUGUUACAUCAGCAAUGAUGCUUUCAUAGCAUGAAAGUGUUUAAUUUAACUGACUGAUCUUGAUUAAUCAAUUAUGAGUUUUAAUCGAGUAAAAACUAAAUACAAUCAUCGUCAACAAAUUCUGAAAUUGGGUAAAUAUCAUCUUGAUAUUGAAGAAUUUGAAAACACAAUCCACACAGGAAAUCACCCUUCGCGUGGGGAUGGAGAUGUUUACUGCAACGAUAUCGAAUAUGUGCACGGUGUUGUCCACUGAAACAAUGGAAAAAAUUAACAUAGGGGUAUUUAAAUAAUUAAACUCAGACCUCUUUGUAUAUGUUAUCCUAACUUUACUUACCCAUGUUUGUAAUUUUCACUUAACAGUUGAUGCCUAAACCAUUAAAACCAAAUGACCAUAGGGGUAUUUAAAGUAUGUAAAAAUAAACAAAAACACGUAAAAAAUUUCAAACAAUUAAUAAUUACACUCUAAAUGUACCACUUAACUCUUAAUAAUAGCCAUACUCUAAAACAAUCUACAACCUUUGAGGGGAGUAGCUAUGAGGAAAAUCCUUUUCUCAGUGGAUUGCCAUUGUCCGAGAGUUGCAAUGAAAAGAGACCACCAGCAACUGAGCCGGAAGAUUCAACUAGCACUGAAAAAAAUGAUAAUUUAAUUGAUAUGGACAGUUUCCAUAUCACUUUUAAAUCAUCCUAUGUAAUUGUGAUGUUAGGAAGCAUUAGUGAUCUGUAUGUGAACUAUUAUUGGCGCCAUUGGUGGUUUUAUCUUGUUAAAAUAUGGAUGACUUCCAGUUACUAUUUUGUAGUACACAAUUUUAUUCAAUUAACAUACAGCUUAAAACCAUUAUGUAUGUGCUUUAUUAAGAUUCUCAAGUACCAAUCACGUUUGCUUAAGAAAUAAAAUUUUGCCAUUAAAAGCGUAGUAAUAUUUCCAAGCGCUUCGCAUUUAUCUCAACAUUUUGAAGGAAUUUUGAGAAAUAUACUUUUAUUUACUUUGUCAAUUAAUUAAUUAAUUAAUUACUAUUUGGCUUGGAUUGGACGAAAUUCUCAUGAUGUUUUAAUUUCUUUAAAUUAAUUAAUUAAUUAACUCUGUUUUUAAGUCUUAAGUCUGGGCGUGUUUGCAGAAUUUGAUUCCUUCAACGAUUUAGAAGUGUUGGACAUGAGUGGCAAUGAAAUCGACAAUCUUGUGGUUCCUCAAGGUAAACAAUUAAAAUAUUAUUCAAUUACAUUAUUUUAAUUCAUUUGAUUAGGGAAGGCCAAAAAGGUAAGAAAAAAUUAAAUAAAGAAACAGAGAAUUUGUAUUAUUUAAAAAACAGAAUGUAAUAAAGAUUUGAUUCUAGUUCUUUAAUCUUUAAAGCGAUUGAAAAACAAUGUUGCUCUUUUCCCAAAGCAUAAAAUACGAAUUGAAUGCCAAUUAACUUAAUCAUUCAUUUCGUUUAGCUCUAAAUUUAGACAAUGAAUUUUUAUAUUAUUUCAAAAACAGGACGCAAUAGAAUUUUUUUUAAAAACAGAUUGUAAUAAAGAUUUGAUUCCAAUUCUUUAAUCUUUACUGCGAUUGAAAAAUGAUACUACUUCCCAAAGCAUAAAAUACGAAUUGACUCCCAAUUAAAUUAAUCAUUUAUUUCGUUUAGGUCUAAAUUUAGAAAAAUGAAUUUUGAUUCUCUUCAAUCCUUUCCUAAUUAUUAUUAAUAAACAGGUUAUAGAGGUUGGAGGAAGCUGAAAAGCCUGUAUCUAUCGGGAGUUGGAAUUAGAGAUGGAAGCAAGUUGUUACAGUCAAUGGGAUCAUUCCCAUCCCUCAACACUCUUUACCUGAAGCAUAAUAAUUUUACCGAUAUAGCGACAACAACGAACUAAAUGCAGAAAUAACUGAGUCACAUUCUUUGACCGCCCCAAACUUCCAAUUAUCACGUCUCUUGUUGUCUUCCAGUUACGGAGACAGUUUCAUAUUCCCCAAAUUCCUUUACCAUCAACAUGACCUGGAGUAUGUUGAUCUCUCACACAUAAAGAUGAAUGGAGAAUUUCCAACUUGGUUGUUGGAAAACAACACAAAAUUGAGACAACUUUCUCUCGUCAAUGAUUCUCUUGGAGGACCUUUUCGGUUGCCAAUUCAUUCACACAAGCGGUUAGGAAUGUUGGAUAUGUCCAACAACAACUUCCGAGGCCACAUUCCAGUAGAAAUUGGAGAUGUUUUACCAAGUUUAUACGUUUUCAACAUUUCCAUGAAUGCUUUAGACGGUAGCAUUCCCUCUUCAAUUGGUAAUAUAAAAUUCCUCCAAAUUCUGGACUUAUCCAACAAUCACUUGACUGGUGAAAUCCCCGAGCACUUGGCCGUGGGUUGCGUCAACUUGCAGUCUCUUGCAUUAUCAAAUAACAACCUACAAGGUCAUUUGUUCUCUAGAAAUUUUAACUUGACAAACUUGCAAUGGUUACAAUUGGAGGGCAAUCGCUUCGUAGGUGAGAUCCCACAAAGUUUGUCUAAAUGCUCCCCACUAGAAGGAUUGUAUCUUAACAAUAAUAGUCUUUCGGGUAAGAUUCCACGAUGGUUGGGUAAUCUCACAUGGUUACAAUAUAUUAUAAUGCCCAAUAAUCAUCUUGAAGGCCCUAUUCCAGUGGAGUUUUGUCAGCUUGAUUCGCUUCAGAUUUUAGACAUUUCAGACAACAACAUAUCUGGAAGUCUACCAUCUUGUUUCCAUCCUCUCAAUAUCAAACAAGUUCAUCUUUCAAAAAAUAUGUUACAUGGACAGCUAAAAAGAGGUACAUUCUUUAAUUGCUCUUCCCUUGUGACAUUAGAUCUUAGCUAUAACCGCUUGAAUGGCAGCAUUCCGGAUUGGGUUGAUGGGCUUUCUCAGUUAAGUCACCUUAUCUUAGGUCACAAUAAUCUUGAAGGUGAAGUGCCAGUUCAAUUGUGCGAAUUGAACCAACUACAAUUGUUAGAUCUUUCUAAUAAUAAUCUUCACGGUCCUAUUCCUCCUUGCUUUGAUAACACCACACUUCAUGAAAGUUACAGCAAUAGUUCUAGUCUUGAUGAGCAAUUUGAAAUAUCUUUUUCCAUCGAAGGCCCUGACGGAGAUGUAGAAAAGCAAAUCCGUGAAAAUUUUGAGUUCACAACAAAGAACAUUGCGUACAUUUACCAAGGAAAAGUGCUUAACCUCCUAUCAGGACUUGAUCUUUCUUGCAACAAGCUAAUCGGUCAUAUUCCUCCUCAAAUUGGAAAUUUGACAAGGAUUCAAACAUUGAAUCUAUCGCACAACAACUUGAUAGGAUCGAUCCCAUCAACAUUUUCAAACUUGAAGUAUGUCGAAAGUUUGGAUCUUUCCAACAACAAAUUGAAUGGAAAAAUCCCUUAUCAACUAGUGGAGUUAAAGACAUUGGAGGUUUUCAGUGUGGCAUACAAUAACUUAUCAGGCGAAAUUCCAGAAUGGAAAGCACAAUUUGCAACCUUCAACGAGAGUAGCUAUGAGGGAAAUAUUUUUCUUUGUGGACUGCCAUUGCCCAUUUGCAUAUCACCAGCAACUACACCGGAGGCUUCAAUUGACAAU
RNAcentral lists this long non-coding RNA (329516 nucleotides) under Citrus x clementina. Its description in RNAcentral is "Citrus clementina (C. clementina) long non-coding RNA (CCLE_LNC002858)". The stretch from base 76232 to 76338 matches the Rfam family "Plant small nucleolar RNA R71". Lineage: Eukaryota; Viridiplantae; Streptophyta; Magnoliopsida; Sapindales; Rutaceae. The record is from RNAcentral.